This 227203-nucleotide long non-coding RNA is filed under the name Capsicum annuum. Lineage: Eukaryota; Viridiplantae; Streptophyta; Magnoliopsida; Solanales; Solanaceae. The record is from RNAcentral.
CAAACUUUCUCAUAGUUAUGGCGACUACUCAUGAACUUGUGAAAGUUACUCAAAUCACAGAAAUCACAGAACCUGCCUCCGAAUACUUCGAGCAGUUCCAAGCUCGCCAAGUCUUCAACUGGGGCAUUCACACGUCCAGGAAGAUUGAGGUAUUAGAGGUCCACAUCAUUUUUUUUUUUUUGGAUCCAUUAAAAAAAAAUUAAUGUUUUUUUUGCACAAUUAUAACAAAGUGAUAUUUUUAAUGGCUCUUAACUAUUUAACCAUUAAUAGCCAUAACUUGAAUAGGUAUAUAUUAUAAAAAUGACAAUUAAAAAAUAGAUGUGAAGAUAUUAUUUGAAAUUGAGCCGAGGAUUUAUCGGAAAUAACUUAUCUAUCGCACUUCAGAGUAGUGGUACGACUAUAUUUAAGUAUUUUUUUUAUAAAUUUAAUUUACCUCCCAUUUUUUUUACCUUUUAUCCUUUUUUUUUAUUUUUCGUUCUUAGUUUUGAAUUUAUGCUUGAAUUUUUUUUGUUCUUAGUUCGAUCUUAUUCUUAAUUUUUUUCCGCCUUUAGUUUGCAAAAAAAAUAGAAAUUUGCCGAAAAAAAUAAAACUUCACCGGAAAAAUGUAAAUUCAUUUUUUUCCACAAAUCAACAAAAUUGUAAAUUUAAUUCAAAAAGAAAAAUAAAAAAUGUUAUUUUCCUAAAUCAAUAAGCGAGUGAACCUCAAUGCUAAACUAAAUAACAAUGUUUUGCAGUAACUUUUGGAAGAGGGUCUUGACAUGGGAUUGUUCCCACUCCAAUCUUUCCCACCAAUUUUUAUCAUCAACUCUGAUUACUCCAAGGGAUGGAAAAGGAUGUUCAUUUGUAGUAUAGAAAGGCAUCCUCUUCAGAUUCUGGCAACCUCCUAAUCUCAUGUCUUCAAGGGAAUCACACAUCAGUUUUCCCUCACAGAUACUCUUCAAUUGAGGCAGGACCAUCAGGUUGAGGUCUUUUAGCUUAGGAAGAUCAGCAGUUGUAGAUGUACUGCUGCUUUGGCUACUUCUCUCUCCUUCCUCUCUUCCUAUUAUCUCUUCCAUCUCUGAACACCGACCUACAAAAAGCACCUCAAGGUUCUUGAGAUCCUGCAACAUAGCCCGUGGAAACAACUUCUUCAUCCUAUCACACUUGGAGAUAUUCAAUUCUGUUAGACCCGAGAAGGUGUGAGAUGCAAUUUUUCCCUUACAGAGCCCAACAAGAUUGCGCAAGCUAUGAACACCCAGACUAUGGAAAGGUAUGCAGUGUGGGUCUGUAGUUGUGUCUCUACCAGAGGGAACGUUGACGAUCCAUUCUAUCUCAUCACAACCAUAGAUGCUGCAGGUCAAGACUCUUGAAGAAGUAGUCCGUGACAGAAAGUUGUCCACAAAGCAGCUACUCAGCCCAUGGCAUUUGCUAAUCUGUAGAAAGUCAAUGCCAUGUGGAAGAAAAAUUGAUGUUGCUGCUUCAAUGGUGUAAUCUUCUACAAUCACUCUUCUCUGUUUCGGUAUGUAGUCAUCAAAGCNNNNNNNNNNNNNNNNNNNNNNNNNNNNNNNNNNNNNNNNNNNNNNNNNNNNNNNNNNNNNNNNNNNNNNNNNNNNNNNNNNNNNNNNNNNNNAUCUUUCUCAUAGUUAUGGAGACUACUCAUGAACUUGUUAAAGUUAUGCAAAUCACAGAACCUGCCUCUGAAUACUUCGAGCAGUUCCAAGCUCGCCAAGUCUUCAACUGGGGCAUUCACACGUCCAGGAAGAUUGAGGUAUUGAAGAUGGGAAAGUUUAGUUAAUAUCUCCUUUGGCAGUUCAUCGAGACGUGUUCUACCCAUAUCCAGAAAUUUAAGCUUGACUAAGUUUUCCAUGCCUUGAGGUACUUCUUCAAUACCAGUGCCAGAUACAUCUAACACCCUCAGAUUUUUGAGCUUUCCCAGUGGUGGCACAGAUUUGAGCAGAAAACAUCCUCGAAGUGAGAGUGCUCUAAGACUUUCCAAGUUAGAAAUGCAACUUGGCAAAUCCAUAAGCUCAGAGUUGCAGCUCAAGUCGAGUACUUGGAGGUUGUUCAUGUACUGAAAGAAAGGACCUGGGAUCAUUUUCAAACCACAAUAGGACAAAAUCAAGGUUGAUAAUGUGGGGCAAUUGGGUGCCAUCUCUUCAGGGAUUCUCUUUAUCUUGCUUCGGUAAAAAGAGGCUCUAUCCAAAUCGAACACCCAAUCCUGCUCCUCCAACACUAGUGAUCCUAUUCCAGCCCUUACCAGGUACCUUGGUUUGUCAUUUGUGAUCCGCAAUGCCAUUUCUCUGAGUAGAUCAUGCAUCCUUACUGCUUCAUCUCCAAAGUCAUCGGCAGUUGCUUCAAGUAAGCAGAGAUUCACUAGUUUAUUCAAUAUCGUAUGGCCAUGGUUAAACUCUUUUUCCCUACUAUUUCCCUUCACCAGACCUUCCAUGAUAAAUUUACCAAUUAGUUCAUCUCUACCAAUUUUGUAGUCUUCAGGAUACAAAGCACAGUACAAAAAGCACUCUUGCAUAGUUGUAUCUCUCAACCGAUCAUAACUGUACUUCAGCACCUUGAAGACAUCAUUUUCCAUAUCAUCAGGGAAUUCAUUCAAAGCAUUGUUCCACUCCCUUAUAUCAGUCACCCCUCUCAUGCUUCCUGCCAAAGUGAUGAGCCCAAGCGGCAAGCCCUCACACUUUGUUGCCAUGGAUUCGGCAACUCUCUCGAUAUCUGGACUAAGCCGAGUCUCAGAUCCUAGACUCUUCCGGAACAGCUCCCAUGCAUCAGAAGCAUUGAGUUUCUUUACUUUGAGUAGUUUUUUACAACCCAUCUUUUGGCAGACUUCAUACGAGCGAGUUGUUAGAAUCAACUUACAACCCUGCACACCAAGAGGGUUACCCAGCUUCUCCAAGCUAAGGCACUCCCAGACAUCAUCCAAUAUGAUAACAAUAAUGUUCUUCAUUUUUUUGAAUGCCCAGUUUAAUUGGUCCGCCCUUCCGUCUUCAUCCGUCACAUGUGAUAGGUUCAGCUUCACAAUUUUCGCAAGAUAGUCUUGUAAUCCUUUGAUGCUAAACCCUUGAGAGACCGUAACCCAGUGGACUUGAUAACGACUAUCUUUACGAAGACGAUUAUAUGUAUGUUUAGCCAAAGUGGUUUUACCCACCCCUCCCAUACCAUAUAUACCGAUGCUUGAGACAUUCUCAUCCUGUAACCACAUCCAAAUCACUUCUAUAUUCUGUUUUGAUAUUUCCUCCUGAACUGGUUGCACCUGCAUUGGACACUCCUCGCUUUCAUACACAUCACACACGAGCUCUCCAAAAUUUCCUCUUUGUUCAACUUCUGCAACUCUUCCAUUCAACUCCUUCAAAGCACCUAUAUUUUUCUUCCCUCUUGUUGCUUCUUCUUUUAACAGACGAAAUUCUUCUUUGAGCUGUUCAACCUCGUUAAGCCAAGAUUCAACUUGUUGUUUCCUCUUCUUCCUCCCAGAUCGCUCUUGAUUCUCAACAUCUCUCUUCAUAUCGUCUGCUCUAUCUGAUAAUCGCUUUACAUUUCUUUCCAGAGUUUUCAAAUCCUCACCAAAGGUUAUGCAACUCGUAAUCUUCUUUAUCAAAAAUCUACCCCCCUGAUCUAUAUAUUCAACUACCUUCCCAGCAACAGCUUCCAUGAUAUUCCUGAAAGUGCUGCAACAAAAGAACCAUCCAAAAGUAGUUCAGUUGCUGUGGAUAAAAUUAUAAUAGUAACUAUUUUGAAUAUAAUUCAAAUUCAAAUCUUAAUGUGAUAUUUUCUCAAUAAAACUAACUUUUCUAUCAUAUUCCUUUAAGCACUUGUUUAUUCUCACUACUAUAUAGAAGAAGCGUGUGCAAAGCACCGGCCCAAUAUCUAUCAUAAAUUAAUAUUAUAAUAAUAAUCACAUUAACUAAUGAGACAUAUUUUGGAUUUUGAAAUUUAAAUAACUUUAGUUUUCAAGGUAAUUUUUGCAUAUAUUCUUAAAAUAUUUUAAAUUAUUAAUUAUUGUGAUUUAUUAUUCAAAUAUAUAAUUUUAUUUCAAAAAUUUAAUUUAGGAUCAAAAUUAAACUCUACAAAUGUAUAAAUUAAUAAAGAGUAUGAAAAGCAAAAUUCGAUGGACCUAUAUUACUGUUUUUCAAAUAACACGGGCUAAGUAUAUUUUAAUUUUUUCAUUUCAAUUUAUGUGAAACCAAUACAACAACAACAAACCCAGUGUAUUCCCACUUAGUGGGGUCUGCGGGGGUAAGAUGUACGCAGUCCAUACCUCUACCUCUAAAGAAGUAGAAAGGCUGUUUUCGAUAGACCCCCGGCUCAAGGCACGAGAUACCACACAAACACAUAGUAAAGCACAGAACAAGAUUACAUAACAUAAAUACGGCACCCAUAAGUAAUAUAAAACAGAGAAAAACACACAGAUUCGUAAUAAAACAUGGAACACGGAACACGGAAUCAUAACAGGAAUAAAACCCCCACCAAGUAAUNNNNNNNNNNNNNNNNNNNNNNNNNNNNNNNNNNNNNNNNNNNNNNNNNNNNNNNNNNNNNNNNNNNNNNNNNNNNNNNNNNNNNNNNNNNNNNNNNNNNNNNNNNNNNNNNNNNNNNNNNNNNNNNNNNNNNNNNNNNNNNNNNNNNNNNNNNNNNNNNNNNNNNNNNNNNNNNNNNNNNNNNNNNNNNNNNNNNNNNNNNNNNNNNNNNNNNNNNNNNNNNNNNNNNNNNNNNNNNNNNNNNNNNNNNNNNNNNNNNNNNNNNNNNNNNNNNNNNNNNNNNNNNNNNNNNNNNNNNNNNNNNNNNNNNNNNNNNNNNNNNNNNNNNNNNNNNNNNNNNNNNNNNNNNNNNNNNNNNNNNNNNNNNNNNNNNNNNNNNNNNNNNNNNNNNNNNNNNNNNNNNNNNNNNNNNNNNNNNNNNNNNNNNNNNNNNNNNNNNNNNNNNNNNNNNNNNNNNNNNNNNNNNNNNNNNNNNNNNNNNNNNNNNNNNNNNNNNNNNNNNNNNNNNNNNNNNNNNNNNNNNNNNNNNNNNNNNNNNNNNNNNNNNNNNNNNNNNNNNNNNNNNNNNNNNNNNNNNNNNNNNNNNNNNNNNNNNNNNNNNNNNNNNNNNNNNNNNNNNNNNNNNNNNNNNNNNNNNNNNNNNNNNNNNNNNNNNNNNNNNNNNNNNNNNNNNNNNNNNNNNNNNNNNNNNNNNNNNNNNNNNNNNNNNNNNNNNNNNNNNNNNNNNNNNNNNNNNNNNNNNNNNNNNNNNNNNNNNNNNNNNNNNNNNNNNNNNNNNNNNNNNNNNNNNNNNNNNNNNNNNNNNNNNNNNNNNNNNNNNNNUACUCCACUCACCUCCAAGCAUCUCCAAAGCACCUCCCUGGGUACUUUGUCGUAAGCCUUCUCCAGGUCGAUAAACACCAUGUGCAGGUCCUUCUUCCUCUCCCUAUACAAUUCCACCAACCUCCGUACCAGGUGAAUUGCCUCCGUCAGACCGCCCCACUUAAUUCUAGGUCUACACUCCUUACUCCUCUUCUUUUUAUUCUUCUUUAUACCCAAAUCCAUAACCAAGAGCCUAUGCUGGGUCGAAAGAUUCUCACUCGGGAUGACCUUACAGUCCUUACACAACGCCCUAUCCCCUUUCCUAAGCAACAAAAAGUCAAUCUGGGUCCUGGCUCUCGCGCUUCGAAAGGUGAUCAGGUGCUUUUCCUUCUUCGGGAAGCCCGAGUUUACCACCACCAGCCCAAAGGACCUCGCAAACUCCAAUAGGGUAGCCCCCUCUUCGUUUCUCUCCCCAAAACCAAAACCACCAUGCACAUCACCAAAGCCUCCCGGUAACGCCCCGAUGUGCCCGUUGAAAUCUCCUGCUACAACAAUCUUCUCCGAGCUAGGCACNNNNNNNNNNNNNNNNNNNNNNNNNNNNNNNNNNNNNNNNNNNNNNNNNNNNNNNNNNNNNNNNNNNNNNNNNNNNNNNNNNNNNNNNNNNNNNNNNNNNNNNNNNNNNNNNNNNNNNNNNNNNNNNNNNNNNNNNNNNNNNNNNNNNNNNNNNNNNNNNNNNNNNNNNNNNNNNNNNNNNNNNNNNNNNNNNNNNNNNNNNNNNNNNNNNNNNNNNNNNNNNNNNNNNNNNNNNNNNNNNNNNNNNNNNNNNNNNNNNNNNNNNNNNNNNNNNNNNNNNNNNNNNNNNNNNNNNNNNNNNNNNNNNNNNNNNNNNNNNNNNNNNNNNNNNNNNNNNNNNNNNNNNNNNNNNNNNNNNNNNNNNNNNNNNNNNNNNNNNNNNNNNNNNNNNNNNNNNNNNNNNNNNNNNNNNNNNNNNNNNNNNNNNNNNNNNNNNNNNNNNNNNNNNNNNNNNNNNNNNNNNNNNNNNNNNNNNNNNNNNNNNNNNNNNNNNNNNNNNNNNNNNNNNNNNNNNNNNNNNNNNNNNNNNNNNNNNNNNNNNNNNNNNNNNNNNNNNNNNNNNNNNNNNNNNNNNNNNNNNNNNNNNNNNNNNNNNNNNNNNNNNNNNNNNNNNNNNNNNNNNNNNNNNNNNNNNNNNNNNNNNNNNNNNNNNNNNNNNNNNNNNNNNNNNNNNNNNNNNNNNNNNNNNNNNNNNNNNNNNNNNNNNNNNNNNNNNNNNNNNNNNNNNNNNNNNNNNNNNNNNNNNNNNNNNNNNNNNNNNNNNNNNNNNNNNNNNNNNNNNNNNNNNNNNNNNNNNNNNNNNNNNNNNNNNNNNNNNNNNNNNNNNNNNNNNNNNNNNNNNNNNNNNNNNNCCCUGUGCCUCCCCCCCACCCCCCCCCUUUCCUCAUCCCCCGCCCCCACCACGGCCCCACGCCCCAACCCCCUUGGACAUGGCCCUAUCCACCCAUUACCGCCCACAGCCACAACUACCCGAAAGUAUAAGCAAAUAUAAAGAUAUAAACGAUGGUAACGAUGGUAGUAGCAAUGCAGCAGCAAGAAAUACAAAUUCGAAGGAAUACUCUAGGAACAAAACUAUAUUCAAUUAGGGGGCAAACACCACAGCAACAGCAACAACAGACAACAGACAAUAUCCACAAAUCUCACGCAAGUCAAGGUACAGGGGCUACUACUAGCCUAAUACGAAGAAUGCAAUAAAAUAAAAUAAAUUAAAAUACAAUAAAAUGACAAAGGUUAGAGGUAACCGGAUUACGCUUGUAGACCAAGCCGGAAACCACGCCCAGCGUUGACCGGCUUCUGGGGGUUUUCGGUGCUGUGAUGGAGCUGCGGCUGCUGUAAACCGAGCGGCGGGUGCAGACGGAGCUGCGGCUGAACACCGAGCUUCGGCUGUUGGAGACCGAAUCGGCGGCUGAAGACCGGGCGGCGGCUAGCUGGAGACCGAGGUGGGGGGGNNNNNNNNNNNNNNNNNNNNNNNNNNNNNNNNNNNNNNNNNNNNNNNNNNNNNNNNNNNNNNNNNNNNNNNNNNNNNNNNNNNNNNNNNNNNNNNNNNNNNNNNNNNNNNNNNNNNNNNNNNNNNNNNNNNNNNNNNNNNNNNNNNNNNNNNNNNNNNNNNNNNNNNNNNNNNNNNNNNNNNNNNNNNNNNNNNNNNNNNNNNNNNNNNNNNNNNNNNNNNNNNNNNNNNNNNNNNNNNNNNNNNNNNNNNNNNNNNNNNNNNNNNNNNNNNNNNNNNNNNNNNNNNNNNNGAGGGCCGGGGACCGGGGGGCCGGGGGCCGGGGCGCGGGAGAGAGAGAGAGGAUACGGAGAGAGAGAGAGAGCCGUUAGAGAGAGAGUAGAGCACAGAAAUCCUCCUUAUGUGAAACCAAUAGAAUUUGUAAUUUUCAAAUAAUAUAUGUUACUCUCCUUGUCCAAACUUUUGUAACAUUGAUAGUCAAUUAUAUUUUUUAAGUAAUUUAAGUUUUUAAUUAUUGUGAUUUAUAAACUUUUUUUUAUUUCAAUUUAAGUGGCAUGAUGCUUACAUGACUAUAAUAAUUAAUGAGAGGUGAUAUAGUGAAAUCAUGAAUAAAGCAGUGAAACAUACAUGUCUUAAAUGACUCACAACAACUAAUUAGAGGUGAUUAUAAAAAUACUUAUGAAAAAAAUUUAAGUGAACCUCGUAAAAGACGUGAAGUUAGUUUUAAACAUCAAGAGUUAACUUAUCAUUUUAUAUAUAUUUUAGUUUUUUAUUAAAUAUUAUUUUUUAAUAUUAAAAUAACUUCUAAUAAUUAAUUAGGGUGAUAUUAGUAAAAUUACAAUUGAAGCAACUGAAGCAUACAUGUCAAAUAUUUAUUUUAUUUUUAAUUAAAUAUAAGCAGCUUAUAAUAAUUAAUUACGAAUGAUAUAAUAAAAUCACGGAGCAGGCAGCUGAAGCAAAAAUAUCGACGGAGAUCUUCUUCAGCCGCCCAACUCUCUAUUAUAGGAGACCUAUAGUUGGCUACCGUGCUACGUACGAGAAUGUUAAUCCUUGAAAAUUUUACGUCAUAUAUAAUUUUAUCAUUUAAUUAAAAUCUUCAUUUGUUUGGUUGAUAAAUUCCUAGUUAGACAUAUAUUAUUAUAUUUAGAUUAAUGAAAUUUAUAUAAGAAUAUUUUAAAUUUUUAAUAUGACACCCAUAUAAUUUUAAAAAUUAAUUAAUUUGUUUUGAUUUACUUUUCACAUAGUAAUUAUCAAAUAUAUACUAAAAUAUUUUAAUUUAGUUAAUUGUUGUAAUUUAAAAUACCUUUUAUCUAAUUUUUAAAUAAUGUAUGUUACUUUUCUUGUCCCAAAUUUUGUGGCAUUGAUAGUCAGUUAUAUUUUAAAAAUAAUUUAAAUUUUUUAUUGUUGAGAUUUGUAAUACUUUUUUUACUAUUCAUAUUUAAGUGACACUGAUAUAAUUUUGACAAUCAACCAAAUAUUUUAUAUCUUAAAUUUUUUAAUUUAUUAAUUACUGUGAUUAAUAUAUUUUUUAUGUAUUUUUUGAAAUAUAUAACAGAUUAAUUAUUUUUUUUAGAUAUUUUAAGUUGUUAACUAUUGUAAUUUACUACGUACUUUUGUAAAUAUAUAACACAUUAAUUAUUUUUUUAGAUAUUUCAAGUUUUUAACUAUUGUAAUUUAUAAUGUUUUAUGCAAUUUUUAAAUAAUAUAUGUUACUCUCCUUGUUCAAAUUUUUUUGGCAUUUAUAUUCAAUAUAUUUUUUAAAUAAUUUAAUUUUUCAAUUAUUGUGAUUUAUCUAUUCCAAUUUAAGUGGUACAAUGGUUAAAUGACCAUAAUAAUCACUUGUAAUUAAGAGUGAUAUAGUAUAACCGUGUCUUAAAUGACUUAUAAUAACUAAUAAGAAGUGAUAUAACAAAAUUACUAUAAAAGUUACCUGUCAAAAAAUUAAGUGACCUUCAUAAACAUCAAGUUAAUUUAACAUUAAAUAUCAUUAAUUUUUUAAUACUUAGAUGAGUUAUAAUAAUUAAUUAUGAAUGAUAUAGUAAAUUAUGGUUGAAAUAACUGAAGCAGACAUGUAAUAAAUGUUUAUUUUAUUUUUUUGUUAAAUAUUAAUUUUUCUAAUAUAUAAAUAACAUAUAAUAAUUAAUGAAAAAUGAUAUAAUAAAAUUAAGAAGCAAGCAUGUCAAAUGUCAACAAUGUCGAUAGUGCGGUGUGUGCUUCUACUGACACACCGUGACUUCUUAUAUAGGAGAAUAAUAUAAAUGUCAAGUUGAAAAUAUUAAACAAUGUGUCCAGUAGAACACUUUGGAAUAAAGCAAGUAAUAUCAGACUAGCUAGCCAUUAUUAAGACAAUAAUUUAAGGAAGGACCCGUAUUUCUACUUGUUCAGACCUAGGGUGUGUUUGUUAUGAAGGAAAAUGAUAGGUUGGUGAGUGAAAAUAUUUUUUGAAAAAUAUUUUUUAGUGUUUGAUUAAUGAAUGAAAAAAUAUUCUUCAGAAACUAUAUUUUAAUGUUUAGCUAAAGAAUAGAAAUUACUUUUUAGAAAAAUAAUUUUUGAUCUCAAAAAAUACUUUUUUUAUGAUGUAUUUGAUAUGUAGAAAAAUAUUUUCUAGAAAAAUAACUUGUUUCUUACUUAUAUUCUUGUGUCCGUUUAGCUAGUAGAAAAUAUUAGAAGUAUUUAUACAUAUUUAACAAAAAGUAAUGAAAAGAAUGGGGUAAGAAGGAUGGGUAGUAGUAAAAAAGUUUUGAAACUUUGUUAAAAAAUAAAUUGAAAAAAAUAAUUUGUUUUAGAAGUGGGGCUGCUAGGUGUGUGGGGGUGAGGGAGGGUCAGGAUAGGUGGUAGGGGUGGCGUAAGAAAAAAGUUUUGAAUUUUUUUUUUAAAAAAUAAAUUUUAAAAAUAUUUUUUAGAAAAAAAAAAAAGGGAGUGGGGUGGGGAACGUCAGGUAGGGGAGUGAGUAUGGGGUAAAAAAAUUAAAUUUUAAAGCAAAUUUUAAAAUUUUAUUUUUUUUGGACCAGCGAGGGAGGAGGGGUUGAAAUUUUUUUAAAAAAAAUUAUAUAUUUUUUUAGGGGAGGCUGGUAGGAGGUGGAGGCCGGGCAAGGAAUAGGGUAAGAAAAAAAUUUGAAAUAGUUUUUUAAGAAAAUUAAAUAUUUUUUUUAUGUGGGGUGGUAAAGGAUUGGGAGGCGGGGAAGGAAUGAGUGAUUUUGAGAGUUACAGAACAUUUUAACUUGAGACUGAGGUUGAAAAAGAGUUUUGAAAAAUAUUUUCCCUAGUUUUUAAGGAAAGCCAUUUUUCUUAAAUUUUAAAAAAUAAAUUAAUUUGAAAAAUAUUUUUUAAAAUAUUUAAGUCAACCAAAUAUGAAAAAAUUAAAAAUAUACUUGUAUUACUAAAAGUAGUAAUACAAGCGUAGCUUUAUAAUGUCCACAUUCCAAAAUACUUGAUCCUUUUUAUUUGGCACGCCCCUUAAGAUUUCAAUGAUAGAAGGUGUUUUUUUAACCUUUUUACUCAUAUACCCUAAUAACUAAUCUAUAAUUAUGAUAGAAAUCAAGAAAUAUUUAAUUGAUGGAAUGCACUCCUUACUGCUCCAAUAAAUAUAGUUGUUUAUAUUCACUUAGAAAUUUUAUACAGAGAGGCAAAAAGGGAGAAAAAGGAUCGGAUAGGUAUUUGACAUUUACAUUUAAUAAUAGUCUUGAAACAGGAAAAAAUUUCGCUAUUAAGCCUCUUCAAGUUUUCAAUUAGCAAAAUGAACCACUGAAAAAAUUUGGCUAUUAAAUCCGUUCAAGUUUUCAAUUAGCAAAAUAGCCUACUUCUAUUUUCUCAUUUGUCGAAUUAAUAAUCGAUCUGUAAAUAUAUAGGUCGGAUCGAUAAUCGAUCUGUCUAUAUAUAAGUCGGAUCGAUAAUCGAUCUGUCUAUAUAUCGAUUAGAUAGAUAAUAGAUCUGUCUAAACAAUGUAUCAUUUUCUUAAAAAAAAAAAAAAAGUUAUAGUCCAUUUAAUUAAAAAGAAGACUUAAAAAGGCCAGUUAAUAAAAGAUUCCUUCUAACUGUACCGUUUUUUGUGUAUUGAAUUCAUCUUCAUUUAUUAUAGCUUUUUCUUUUUCUAAUGCGACUAGUUUCUAUUCUAAAUCAUUUACUCUGGUUUCUAAAGUUGCUAUUCUUAAGUUUGUAAUUUGAUUGUUUACUUGUAUUUGUUCAUUAAUUAUCUCUGGUUCUAUUUUUAUUUUUAGCUUAUUUUCUAUGCAAUUUACACAUGCUUCCAUAUAACAUUUUUUACAUUUAGCUCUAUUUUCUUUACUAGGGUACCAAUUACAUAUGCUACAUUGAUUACUGUCCAUUCCCUUUUGUUUUUGAAAAUUAUGUAUACAUUCUUGUGUAACAUUCAUUAGAUUGUUAAUUAAUAGAUCAUCUAAAUUCAGUACUCAUCUGUUUUUGUCCUCAUUCGUUUAUUAAAUUAUCUUCUUAUGAAUCUGAAGAAUCAGAUUUAGGUCCAUCAUUUAACUCAAAACUUAUUAUAGAAUAUAUACUUUCAUUAUCUGACAUAUAUUCAUCUAGGUUUAAUAGGGUUUCUUGAAAAUCUUCUAUUAGUUGAGAAUUUCUAGUUUUACUAUUAUUUCUUUUGGAACAUAGAUUUGAUAAAUGAUCUAUACUUCCACAUGUAUAACAUUCUAAUUUAUUUUUAGAAUUUCUAUCAUUACUGUAUUUUCUGACAUGUCUAUCUUUGUUUAGGUAUGGUUUCUUGGCUUUUGAUUUGCGCAAGAAAUAUCUUUUACGAUAGUAUGGUUUCUGAUUGUAUCUCUUUUUAUAUUUUUUAGGUUUUCUUUGGUCAUUAUCAUAAUUUUGGAUUGUAUAUAUAAUAGAUAUGCAGAAAUUCAUUUCGUUUUUCUUUAGUUGUUUUUGUAUUUGUAUGCUUGUACAUUUUUCUAUUAGGAUAUCCAUAACAUGUUGUAUUUUAUGUCCUAUAGUCCAUUUAGCAUUUGGAUUUUGAAUGACACAAUCUCUUUUGUACCAUCUAUCUUCUAUUUCUCUUCCUAAAGCUCCUGGUAAUUUAUGAAACAAUUUUUUACCUAAUUCGUCAUCAAAAGUAUUUCCUCUAAUUGUACAAUAGUAAAAGUAGUCUUUUAGGAAAUUCUUUAUGUGUAACCAAUUUGAAAUACUUAAUUGUUCUAAUUUUAUUAAGGCAUUUCUUUGUAACGCUAAUAAAUCACUAUUUGGAUCUUGUCCUGUUAGUAAAUUAUGUACUUUAUUUGUAAAAUUAUAAGGAUUUGGUCCUAAUGCUAAUAAAUCUUGAAACUCAUGUGGAGAAUUUGAUUUGAAAGCUUCCCAUGUAGUUUUUGCAAAUUCUCCUAAAAAAGUUUUCAUAUAUUUAUACAUUCUCCUACGAAAGUUUUCAUAUAUUUAUACAUUGUUUGUGUCUGUUUCUGUGUAGUGUCUUAAAUAGUCUGCUAUUACUAUUCCUUUCCAUAAAUCUACUACUAUAUCCCACAUUUAUGAAUCGUGUGUUGCUAUAUUUAAUAUUUUUCCUUUACUACCUCCUUCUUAUAAUUUAAUAAUCGGCAUACUUCUUCCUGUUGUUCUUAUAUUUUCUUUGAUUUCUCUAUCUGAAUUUAAUCUAAUUGCUCUUCUUCUCGGUACAUUGCCUGUACUAUAAUCUAUUGGUUGAGUGUUUGGAUUAGUUUGUUGAAAUGUUAUAGGGAGCUAGCAGUAAAGGACAGAAAUAUUUUAAUAUAGAAGACAUUAAAUUAGUACAACAAAUUAAAGAAAAGGUCAAAAAUAUUCCAGAUCUAAAGAUCCCCUUAGAGUCAAAUUAUUUAAUUAUCCAGACAGAUGGAAGCAAACUAGGAUGGGGAACUAUUCUAAAAGCAAUAGCUAAUAAAUAUAGUAAUAAAAUGAAGAAAAAAUAUGUGCAUAUCAAAGUGGUUAAUGCAAAGAAAAAGGAAACAUGAGUAGCAUAGAUUUAGAAGUGCUAGCAAUAAUACAUGGUUUAAAUAGUUUCAAAUUAUACAUCUUAAAUAAAGAAGAGGUAUUAGUAAGAACUGACUGUGAGGCAAUAGUAAAAUUUCAUAAAAAAAUAAACGAUAAAGCUAGUAGUAAAAGAAGAUGGCCUAAUUUCAUGGAUACCAUAUCUAUUUAUAAAAAUAUUGUAUUCGAAUAUGUAAAAGGAAAAGAUAAUGGAUUAGCAGAUCAGUUAAGUAGAUUACAGAUUAAAACUAAAUAGAUUAAUUAACAUUUGUUUCAGCAUGAGACCAAUAGGUCCACAACCAUCUGACAAGGGUAAAGCCCCAGCUCAAGACUCUUACUCGCAGACUCUACUAGGUAAUAUUAAAUUUAGACCUCAAAAUUCAGUAGAAAUGAUAGAGAGGAUUUAUUUCAGAAAAAUUAAUUUAAUCUCAUAUCCAUCAAGUAAUUUAUCAUGUAGAGUCAACCCAGACUGUGUUCUAGACAAACCACAAAGAUGUUUAAUAGAUAAUUUAUGGAUAGCACAUAGUAAGAGAGACACUAGACAUUUUGUAGCAGCAGCGAAUGCUUUAUGCCAUUACUUUUCAGACAAAAGUAGAGAAAAUAGAUUUAAAUAUUAUGUAAUUAUACAUGGUAAAACUAAUGGAGUUUUCCAAACUUAGACAGAAGUAUAAGACUCUAUAAAUGGGGUUAGAAAUCCACUCUUUAAAGGUUUUAAUGAUUUUUCUGAAGCAAUGAAUUACGCUAGAGGAUGUCUUGGGCCAAAUUACUACAUAACUCCAGCCCUCAGACAAAGCCCAAACCAAAUACCUCAAUAAAAUAUCCACAAAGAUACAGGCAAAAUAAUUUUUUGUGACCAUUGUUCAAUAAUGACAGAAGCUUUCCAGAGACUUAAUGCCCAUAAAGAGGCCCUUCUUCUUGAAAAUACUAGACUUAAGGAACAAGUGCAGACUUUGAAAGACAAUAUUAAUAUUUCUUAGACUAAUGCAAAUACUCAGACUCCGAGUUCUCCAUCUCAACACAAAAUGGAUGAGAAGGGUGUGCAUUCCCCACUAAAUGCUAAGAAAUCCACUGUAUCGGAUAGAGGUACAGCUAGUCCAGUUCAAACGGUAGCCGGUAAAGACGCAUCAAAUUCUUUAAUGAUUGUCACUUUGCCAAAAAGUGAAGAUGAAGGUUGUACUUCAUCAAAACAAUAAUUACCCAGAACUUGUAAUAAUACUUUGAAAAAGACUUUGAUUUCAAAAAAGAAAAAAGACUAUAAUAAAACAGACUCUAGAAAAGAAAAAAGACUAUAAUAAAACAGACUCUAGAAAGAUUUUUCAAUAGUCAAGAAUCAGAUAAACAUAUAAUUAGCAAAGACAACCUAAGCACAAGUACAGACAGAGUUGUCCCAGACAUGGAUAAUCGGAACAAUCUAGAUGAUAGUGAGAACAGGGCAAGUUCAGAAGAAGGAGAAGAUGAAUUUAAUGACAGCUUUGCUUAUCUCCAAGAUGCACAGGAUCCCAACGAAAAUGAUGACUCAGGCAUGAAAUUUGAUUCUGUCGCACUUCACAACUUGGACACUUAGUCAAACAAAGACAAGUAAAGGGUAGAGAAGAUAGAUACGUGGAAGAAUAAGCAUCAGGCAGUAUGGUAUGAUGUAAAGAUAAAGUGUAUCAUGUGGAUAUGCCCACAUUAGUCUUGUAACGUGUCAGGGUGCUUCCUUUAUCACUAUCCUCCAAAAAAGGGAAAAACUGUUGAAGCACGCGUCUGUCAAAAGAAACAAUAAUGCAUGUGACGAUGGGACCUAAAAGUGUACCCGACCUGCAUUAUUGAAGAAUCUCAUCUUCAAGUGUCGGCCAUUUGUCUCUAGGUCACAUAGUGUAGUUUAGUCCAUUCAUUUUCUUUCUCUUAUGUCUAUAUAAGACAUGUAUUUUAGUAGAGGAAGCAGAAUGAAAGAACGAGCCGAACAAAAUCCCUCACAAUAUAUUCCUCUCCCCUUCAUGGUUAAACCUUUCCUUCAACACCAAACUGUCCUCCGUGUGUAACUCUGUUUGUAUAAAAAUAAGUGUGUUUUAAUAAAAGUUUUCAAGUUUUUGCAAAAGUCCUUAGGGUUCCCAAAAGGGAAACCUCUCAGUUAUAUCAUGUAAGUCUCAUUUAAGCUUUACUUUUUCCCGCCAAAAAUAUGCUAAUGUUUAUGUUUAUAUGCUUAUGAUUAUGUAGUUCAUGUAAAUAAUCUUGUUUCUUUAAAAACGUAACCUUAGUAUAUGAUUAACCUCUUAAUUUUUUAAUAACAACGAUGAAUUAACUUGUAAAUUCCUAGGAGUCCUGGCCUUAAUAGUCCACCGAAAUCAAAGAGUAAAGGACGAAUGUUGUUUGCCAGAUGAAUAUUUCAGGGUGUGGUUAAAGAAGAAAUUAUUAAGAACAAAGGUUAAGAGAGAGAUGAACAGGGUCAGAUUAAAAAAAAAAAAUUUAAUAUGAUAAACUUUAAAUAUAGAUGACUUUUAUAUAACAAUAAACUUUAAUGAUAAAUGAUUUUCAUGUAACAAAAAAAUAAAAAUAAUUUUGUUUGACCAUAUGUGUAUUUAGCUGACUAAACAAUUUUGUUAGGAUCUAAAAAUUAGAUUAUAUAACAUAAAUUGAUAUAUUAGAGAGACCUUUCUAAGUAGAUAUUUUUUUUAAUUAUAUUGAAAACAAUUAACCAAUUAGUAAUUUGCCUUUUUAAGAUGUUCAAAAGUCACAUCUGGUGUCAAAUACAAUAAAAAAUAAAAUCCAUUAAUAACAUGGAAAUGUAUAUAUUUGUAGAGUAUGACUUUUUUUUUUAUAAGAGUUAAAAAAGAAGUUGAACUAAGUCAAUUUGUUAUCAAAUACAAAUAAAAAAAUAUAGUGAAAUUCAAUAUUUACCUUUUAUCUUCAAGUGGAAGUAAAAUAAAAUAAUCAAGAGAGAAGCAAGUGUUAUAAAUGGACUAAUUGGUUUAAGUCAAGGUCUUUUUAAAGGAAAAAGAAACAAAUAUGCGGUUCAGAUUUUUUUUUCGAUAUAUCUCUUUUAAAAAAGAAAAAGUGAAAAUAAAUAUGUUAGAAAGAUUGUUUAUUAAGAAAAUAAACACAUCCUAAUUAUUAUGAGUUUCAUACGUUAUCUAUUCAUUAUGGAAAAAGACUUAAAUAUGCUAAUUAUUAGAAAUGACUUAUUCAUGGCGUUUGUUACAAAUUUGACUCAUCUAUGUUACCGCAUUUAAAAGUUUGGGUUCAUUUAUGUCAUUAUCAUAAUAGAUUGGUUCAUUCAUGCCAUUAUUUUAUAAUGAUGAUUUUGCAAAAUCAUUUUUGCCACGUGAAAAUGUAAACAAAUACAAAAAAUAUUCUUGGUACCUGUGGGACAAACACUUAAACUUGGGCUCAACUAGCAAGUAAGUACUCCAACUUUGAGAGUGCACUCCAACUUGAUCUCAACUGGCAACUAAACAUUCUAACUUGUUCCGUCUCUCUAGUGGUCACUCGAUAGCAACGUGACACAUAUGUUUUGAAGGUGUCCAGAUGUGCAAACUCAAAGUUGGAGUGUUUAAUUGCCAGUUGGGGCCAAGUUUGAGUAUCUGCUUGUGUUUAUGUCUUUUUUAUUUGUUUGACAGUACGUCUGUUAGUUGAUUAUUUUGAAAAUAUUUUGCAGAUAAAUUAUCUUUAACUGUCUAACAUAACAUUCUCAAUGUUUUGCAGAUAAUUUAUCUUUAAUUGUCUAACAUAACAUUCUCAAUAUUUUACAGAUAAUGUCUUUAACUGUCUAACAUAACAUUCUCAAUCUUUAGAACAAAUAUGCAUGAAUUAUUUCAUGAAGUAUGUGCUGAAAAUUGCUUAAGUUACUGCACUAGUUUUUUGCAAAAUAAGUUAAAUAAUUUAGGAUGAAUUUAAAUUUUGAAUUUAAGUUAUGUUAUUUGAUUUGUUGAGACAAUUUAGUUAAUUUAUAUUUUGAAUGUUGCUGAUUUUUCUAUUGUAAGGUGGCUAUUUAAAGCCCCCUGAUGCUCAAUAAAAUUAUUGAAUGCUAUUAAAAGUUAUUCAAUCAUUUGAGAGUCAUUUUAACCCAUUUUAACUCCCUUUUCGUUGCCCCGUCUUUCUUUAAAAAACCAACAAUAUUUGUCCGAAUAGUUUAGAGACUCGAUGGUUAGCUUUCGACCUCCCAAUCAACAAACAAUGUCGAUGAAAGUGUAGAUGAAUUUGCAAAACCAUUCUUGGAAGAUUCAUGCAAGAGUGUAGGUGAAUUUGCAAAAUCAUUUGAAAAUUAAAGUAUUUUCAAAGAAGAAAGAAAUCAUUCUUUUCUCAAACGGAUUAAAAAGAAAAGUAUCGUAUGUAAAAAUUGACUAGACCAAAUAUUUGCUUACAAACUUAUUUAGGUCUGUCUAGCCUUAAAAAAUUAAUCCACGUGGAAUAUUUUUAUUCUUUUUUGCUAAUACGUUAUUUUUUUAUUUUGUUAAUUGAUUUUUGUUAAUUUUGAGGUGUGUUUCUUAAAAUAAUGAGUAAUAAUUUAGGUGUGUUUCUCAUACUCACAAGUGUCUUAGUAUAAAACUCCAAAAAAGAGAAAAUAAUUUUAGAUGCAUUUUUGCCACUUAAUACUUUUUGUAAAUUAAAGGUAGUCUUGAUAGUUGUCAUAUUCACUUUAUGGGUCAAAAAAUAUCCUUUUCUUUUUUAAAAAUAACUAUUUUGCUCCGAAACCUCUAGAGAUUUGUUUCGAUCCUCCACCCUUAUAUUAGUAUAUCUUAAUUGACUUAUUAGCCCACAAAGUAUUAGCGGCACACAGCUAAUAUAAACACAAAAUUUGUGAUUGGUACAACAAAUUGGCCAAGGUCUUUUUUAAAUAUAUCAAUGAGGUAUAUUUCUACAUAAUUUCAUAAGUGGAAAUUACACAAGCGUAUGUAGGAUUGGACAUAUUUUGGUUCAAGUCAAAGAAAUCGAAAACUCAAAUCAAAAUUUAAUUUUGAUUUUGUUUUUUUUAAUUUUUCGGAUUGGUUUCAAUGUCAAAUUUUAAAAAUUUGAAUAAACAGUUUGGUUUUUGAUUUUUCCAAAAAAAAAAUCCAGUUAAAUCGAAAAAUCAACAACAACAGACCCAGUGUAAUCCCACACAGUGGAGUUUGGUGAGGAUAAUAUGUACACAGUUCAUACCGCUACCUCCGAAGAAGCAGAGAGGGUAAAAUGUACACAGUCAAUAAUAUAUAAGUUGAUUUGAAAAAAAAAAAAAUUCAAACUAUUUAAGUCAAUCAAAUAUGAGAAAAUUAAAAACAUAAAAAACAACUAACUAAAAGUAGAAAUACAAGCUAGCUUUAUACUGUCUUCGUUCCAAAAUACUUGAUCCUUUUGUAUUUGGCGCGCCCUUAAGAUUUCAAAUAUUUCUUGCGUAUUUUUACUUUUUUACCCUUAUACCCUAAUUAUGAUAGAAAUCAAGAAAUAUUUAAUUGAUGGCACGCAUGCUUUACUACCCCAAUAAAUAUAGCGGUUCAUAUUCACUUAGAAAUUCAAUACAAAGAGUCAAAAAGGGUCAGAUAGGUAUCUGAAAUUUACAUUUAAUAACAGUCUUCAAACUGGAGAAGAUUUGCCUAUUAAGUCUUUUCAAGUUUUCAAUUAGCAAAAUGGCCUACUUCUAUUUUUUCAUCGGUCGAAUUGAUAAUCGAUCAGUCAGUACAUAGGUCGGAUCAAUAAUCAAUUUAUCGGAUCGAUAAUUGAUCUUCUAUAUAUCAAUCGGAUAAAUAAUAGAUCUGUCUACAAAAUGUGUCAUUUCCUAAAAAAAUAAAUAAUACUUUUAGUCUAUUUAAUUUAAAAAAAAACUUGAAAAAAACAUUUAACAAUAGAUCCUUGAAACUGGUGUAAUACUCAAUGUAUUAGGAGUAAAUUGAAAAAGAAUGUUUAAAAUACUCUUCAUUUUAUAAAUAGGACAAAUAAAAUUAGAAAGAGGGUGACAUAUUUUGAAACGAAGGAAGUAACAUAGAAAACAUUUAACUAAAAAUUGUAAUACACGCUAAGUAAACAGAUGAAGUUAAAAAUAAUUUACAUUUUUAGUUGUUCAGCAAUCAGAUCUGCUGUCAAACACAAAUGAAAAUGAAAAAAACCGAUUAGUAGCACUAAAAAUUAUAUAUAUGAAAAGGUCGAAUAAAAUAUAAAGAGAUUUUUAAUAUGAUAACUUUAAAUAUAGCUGACUUUUAUAUAAAAAUAAACUUUAAUGAUAAAUGACUUUCAUGUGACAAAAAAUUAAAAAAAAAUUGUGUAAUCAUUUGUGUAAUUUAGCUGACUAAACAAUUUUCUUAGGAUCUAAAAAUCAUAUUAUAUAACAUAAAAUUGAUAUAUUAGAGAGAGCAUAAAGAAAUUGUAAAACCGUUUUCCUUUCUAUGUAAGUUGAUACUUUUUUAUUUAUUACAUAAAAAAAAAUAACUAAGUCAUAAUUUAGCUUUUUCAGAUGUUCAACAGUCAAAUCUGGUGUCAGAUACAACAAAAAAAUAAGAUUCAUUAAUAACAUGGAAAUGUAUAUAUUUGAUGAAUAUGAAGAAGAAGAAAAAAACACAGAAGUUAAAAAAAGUUGAACUAAAUUAAUUUGUUAUCAAAUACAAAUAAAAAAGUAUAAUGAAAUUCAAUGUUUACCUUUGAUGAUCUUCAAGUUGAAGCAAAAUAAAAUCUUCAAUGUUUGCAGAGAGUUUUGAAUUUUAUAAGAAACCAAAAGCAAGAGAGAAGCAAGUGCUAUAAUGGAAUGAUUGGUUUGAGUCAAGGUCUUAAAGGAAUAAAGGAAAAAGAAGCAAAUAUCUCUUUUAAAAAAGAAAAAGUGAAAAUAAUUGUGUUAGAAAGAUUGUUUAUUAAGAAAAUAAACACAUCCUAAUUAUCACGAGUUGAUACGUUAACUAUUCAUUAUGAAAAAAGGCUUAAAUAUGCCAUCAAAUUAUUAGAAAUAAUUUAUUUAUGUCGUCCGUUCUAAGUUUAACUCAUUUAUGUGCCCGCCUUUAAAAGUUUGGGUUCAUUUAUGACACUAUUGUAAUAAAUUGAUUCAUUCAUGCCAUUAUUUUAUAACAGUGAUUUUGUAAAAUUAUUUUUGUCGUGUGACAUUUUACUAGAAGUCUACGUCAUCAAAUUUAAAUCAAAUAUAAACAAAUACAGAAAAUAUCCUUGGCACCUGUGGGACAAACGCUCAAAUCUGGUCUCAGCUGGCAAGGAAAUGUCAUGUAUUUAAGGGAAUCACACAUCAGAGGUAAUAGAACCCUUGUAAAGUUGAAGUAUAUCGUAACAAAUUUGAUCAUAAUUCAGGAGGAGGGUACUAAAUGCCUUAUUCGUAAGAUUACAAUAACUAUUUUGGAUGGCAUCAAGGCGCUGAAGGCAUCAAUAUUUAGGAUGUAAUUCAAAUUCAAAUCUUAAUGUGAUAUUUUCUCAAUAAAACUAACUUUUCUAUCAUAUUCCUUUAAGUAAUACUUGUUUAUUUCCACUACUAUAAUAUAAAUAUCAAGUUGAAAAUAUUAAAUAAUGUGUCCAGUAAAACACUUUCAUAUAAUAUGGAAUAAAGAAAGUAACCUAGACAUUAUUAAGACAAUAAUUUUAAGUAGGAUGUGUGUCUACUUGUAUAGAGCUAGGGUGUGUUUGGUAUGAAGAAAAAUGAAUAUUUUUACGGAAAAUAAGUUGAUUUCUUACUUAUUGAGUGAAAAUUAUUUUUCGAAAAAUAUUUUUUAGUAUUUUGAAUGGCAUCAUGAAGAAGUUAAAUUAAAAAAAACAUUCUACAAAUGUAAACUUAUCAAACUUCCAGUGAAAUUUAUGUUUUAGUUAACUGAUUGACUAAAUUUUUAUUUUUUUGUUUUUUCAUUUGGUGUCCGGUACCUGCAUUGGAGUCCGACUAAUCUGGAUUUGCACCGCGUAGGGCCCUUUCGGGGGGUGCUCCCUACCAUGAAUUUUUUCAUACCCAGGACUCAAAUCCGAGAUCUUUGAUUAAGGGAGAAGCAGCCCGUGCACCACAUUGUGGUUACUAAUUGACUAAAAAUUAUGGAUGACUUCUAUGUGGCAUAAUAUAAAAUAAAAAGAUUUUUAAUGUGAUAAGAUUUAUAAUUGAUUUAUUUUUUGUGGGCUCUCAUUCACUUCCAUUUGAAAAUUAAGGUUAAUGACUCAUCGAUAUAUAGUGAGAUAAGAUCGAACCAUAGUAAGGCCCCGUUUUGUAUGGAAAUUAUAAUUUUUUGAAGUUGAAGUUGGAUUGAUGUUAAAGUUGGAGUUGAAGUUGUUUUCGAAGUUUUGUGAAAAAAUUAUGAGUGAAAAAAGUGAAAACAAGUUUGAAAACAAGUAAAACUUGUUUUCACUUUUACAAAUAUAAUUUCGAAGUUGUAUUUGAAUUUUUCAUAAUUAAACACUUACAGUUUUCAUUUUUUAACUAAAGUGAAAUAAUUUUUUAGAAAAAGUAAAACCUUUCGAUGGCCAAACGACUACCAGGACUUUGUAUUUAUUCACUUUUAUUCUGCCAAUCAAUUUGUUUUGUACUUCUUUAUCAAUUUACCUUUAGUUUUUUUAAAAAAAAAAAAAAAAUUAAUCAUAAAAUUUAUUUUACAUAUAAAGUGUGUUUGGUACAAAAGAGUUUUUCAAUUUUCUCAUAUUUAAUUAAUUUAAAUAUUUUAAAAAAUAUUCAAAUCAAUUUAUUUAAUAUCGAUCUCACUAUUUUUUUUUUCGUUUACUAAAUAGAAUAAAUAUUACAUUUAUACAAAGGUUCUUUUCUUCUUUGUGUUUAGUAGACAAAAAAUAGUAUAUUGUGAGAUGUGAAGUGGAUGAAAAAUAUUAUUUGUGUUCUUCUUUAGAGUUAGCGUAGUGAAAGAGAACAUUGUAAGUUUUUGAUUAUAGUUAUUAUACAUAAAAGAAUAAUUAUAUGUCGAACAAAUAUGCGAACUCUUUAACUAUUCGAAGCUGUAUAAGUUGUAGGAUGACAUUGUUGGGUUGUUGUAUCAUUCCUAGAGGGGACAAGCAAGAGUGAUACUGCUUAAUCGGUGUAUAUUAUAUUGUAGUAAAUUUGAAUCUUUUUUAAAAAAAAGAGGAAGAUAUAUGUACCUCCGUGCUUGAAGAAUAUUUUUUAUUUAUUUAUUAUUCAUUUUAUUUUCAACUGUAAUUAAUUUAUUAUCAUAGUAUAUUAAUUACACCACCCUAAAUACAACAACAACAACAAACCUAGUAUAUUCCCACAUAGUGGGGUCUGGGGAGGGUAGAGUGUACGCAGUCCAUACCAAUACCUCUAAAGGUAGAGAGGCUGUUUCCGAUAGACCCCCAGCUCAAGAUAAAAGACAUUAAACAGAAACAUUAAAAUCGUAGAACAUGAUACAAAUAAAAUUGGUACGACAUUCGCAAUUAGAGGAAAGAAAAAAAAACAAAUACAUAUGUUAAUAAAUAAAUAAAUAAAUACAUAAAUUUGCCAAAUAAACGACAUCAAGUCCACCUACUUACUGACUACUACUACUCCACACCCUUAGCCCUCAGCUGUAACUGCUCCAUGUCACGUUUAAUCACUUAUCUCCAGUGUUUUUUCGGUCUAUCCCUACCCCGCUUGAAACCUUCUAAGGCCAACCUCUCACACCUAUGAACUGGGGCAUCCACGCCCCUCCUCAUCACAUGACUAAACCAUCUUAACCUCACUUUUCGUAUUUUAUCCUCCACCGACAUCACUCCCACCUUCUCCCAAAUAAUUUCAUUCCUAACCCUAUCAGCCCUAGUGAAUCCACACAUCCGACGUAACAUUCUCAUUUUCGCCACCUUCAACCUAUGAGACUUCUUAACCGGCCAACACUCUGCUCCAUACAACAUAGCCAGCCGAACUACAACUCUAUAGAAUUUGCCUUUUAGUUUGAGGGGCACCUUCUUAUCGCAUAAAAUUUUCAAAGCGAGCCUCCAUUUCAUCCAACCUGCCCCUAUACGGUGAGAUACAUCCUCAUCUAUCUCUCCUUUCCUCUAGAUCGUAGAUCCGAGGUACUUAAAAUUAUCUCUCUUGCAAACCACCUGAGAAUCCAACUUUCCAACCAACUCCUCCUCUUGCCUCGAGUCAUUGAACUUGCACUCCAAGUACUCCGUCUUGGUCCUACUCAGCCGAAAACCUUUAGACUCCAGGGUCUCUCGCCAAAUCUCCAGCUUAUCAUUAACCCCUUGUCGCGAUUCAUCAAUCAGAACUAUAUCAUCCGCGAAAAGCAUACACCAAGGCACCUCGCCUUGUAUAUUCCGCGUCAGCACAUCUAUCACCAAAGCGAAUAAGAACGUACUAAGAGUUGAUCCCUGGUGCAACCCUGUCAAGACUGAAAAAUGCUCAGAAUCUCCUCCCACUGUCCUAACCCGAGUCCUUAAUUGCUCUGACAUAUGCCACUAGAACCCCCUUGCCUCCAAGCAUCUCCAAAGAACCUCCCUAGGGACCUUGUCAUACGCCUUUUUCAAGUCUAUAAACACCAUGUGAAGAUCCCUCUUCCUCUCUCUAUACUGCUCCACCAGUCUCCGCACAAGGUGAAUUGCCUCAGUCGUGGAGCGACCAGGCAUAAAACCAAAUUGGUUCUCCGAAAUAGACACAAUCUUCCUCAACCUCCGCUCCACCACCCUCUCCCAAAUCUUCAUCAUGUGACUCAACAACUUAAUACCCCGGUAGUUGUUACAACUCUGAAUGUCACCCUUAUUCUUAUAUAGAGGAAUCAUCGUGCUCAUCUCCACACCUCAGGCAUCUUUGUUGACUUGAAAAUAUUGUUAAACAAGUUGGUCAGCCACCGCAACCCUGAUUUGCCAGAGAACUUCCAAAAAUCCAUCAAAAUCUUGUCGGGCCCCGUCGCCCUACCCUUUGCAUCUUGCGAAUAGCCUCACUGACCUCCUCUACCCUAAAACGGGNNNNNNNNNNNNNNNNNNNNNNNNNNNNNNNNNNNNNNNNNNNNNNNNNNNNNNNNNNNNNNNNNNNNNNNNNNNNNNNNNNNNNNNNNNNNNNNNNNNNNNNNNNNNNNNNNNNNNNNNNNNNNNNNNNNNNNNNNNNNNNNNNNNNNNNNNNNNNNNNNNNNNNNNNNNNNNNNNNNNNNNNNNNNNNNNNNNNNNNNNNNNNNNNNNNNNNNNNNNNNNNNNNNNNNNNNNNNNNNNNNNNNNNNNNNNNNNNNNNNNNNNNNNNNNNNNNNNNNNNNNNNNNNNNNNNNNNNNNNNNNNNNNNNNNNNNNNNNNNNNNNNNNNNNNNNNNNNNNNNNNNNNNNNNNNNNNNNNNNNNNNNNNNNNNNNNNNNNNNNNNNNNNNNNNNNNNNNNNNNNNNNNNNNNNNNNNNNNNNNNNNNNNNNNNNNNNNNNNNNNNNNNNNNNNNNNNNNNNNNNNNNNNNNNNNNNNNNNNNNNNNNNNNNNNNNNNNNNNNNNNNNNNNNNNNNNNNNNNNNNNNNNNNNNNNNNNNNNNNNNNNNNNNNNNNNNNNNNNNNNNNNNNNNNNNNNNNNNNNNNNNNNNNNNNNNNNNNNNNNNNNNNNNNNNNNNNNNNNNNNNNNNNNNNNNNNNNNNNNNNNNNNNNNNNNNNNNNNNNNNNNNNNNNNNNNNNNNNNNNNNNNNNNNNNNNNNNNNNNNNNNNNNNNNNNNNNNNNNNNNNNNNNNNNNNNNNNNNNNNNNNNNNNNNNNNNNNNNNNNNNNNNNNNNNNNNNNNNNNNNNNNNNNNNNNNNNNNNNNNNNNNNNNNNNNNNNNNNNNNNNNNNNNNNNNNNNNNNNNNNNNNNNNNNNNNNNNNNNNNNNNNNNNNNNNNNNNNNNNNNNNNNNNNNNNNNNNNNNNNNNNNNNNNNNNNNNNNNNNNNNNNNNNNNNNNNNNNNNNNNNNNNNNNNNNNNNNNNNNNNNNNNNNNNNNNNNNNNNNNNNNNNNNNNNNNNNNNNNNNUGCAGUACCGUCUCAUCAUGCAAUUGCCAAAAAAACUCAAUUGAAAUUGUAGUUGACCCUGUGUGCUCAUUCAUCAAUCCCUAAUUCCACCUAGAUCAAUGUAGGUACUAUUAUUAAUCUUAACAUUAAGUUAAUGAGAACACAUUUCAACUUAGAGUGAUCGAUUGACGACUCGGGUCGGGAUGAACACAAUACUAACACCAUGUAAAUGCAAUGACUCAAUUGGAUUUGUAGUUGACCCUGUGAGCUCAUUCAUUCAUCCCUCGUUCCACCUAGAUUGAUGUAGGUACUAUUAUUAAUCUUAACAUUAAGUUAAUGAAGAGCUCAUUCUUUCAUCCCUAGUUCAUCCUAAAUCAACUGCAAUGAAAUCUGUUGCAACAAACAACUGAAUUGUUGGAGAAUUUCAAACAGAUAACAAUAUCUGUUGCAACAAAAGAUAUUUCUUAUUUAAUUAUCAAAUAGACAUUUGCAUCUGCUAUCACGGAUGACUGAGGUAUUGAAAUUUUCAAACUGAUAUUGAUAUUUAUUGUAACAGAUGACGUUUCUGAUUUAGUUAUCAAAUGACAUUUCCAUCUGUUAUCACAGAUGACUGAGCUGUUGGGAUUUCUCAAACAGAUAUCUAAAUCUGUUGCAACAGACCACAUAUCUGUUUGAAAAUCUUUUUGUUUUCUUUUAAUUUUAAAGCAAGAUACUGUCCGAGUAGAUAAAGUAGUAGUACUAAUAAAGGCGGUAAAAAAUGCUUCUUGGAUAACUCAAAAAUCUCAUUGAGUAGUCUUGUCCUGGCUUUUCAAUGUCACUCGUUUUCUUCCUCGUUCCCCUCAAAUUAUUAGUGAAUAUUAAUUAAUGAAUAUUGAAACCCCUAAGACUUCUUCCGUUUCAUAUUGACUUGGCACUCCCAUCAAGAAAAUAUUAAUUAGGGGUUUAUUUUACUACCAAAUUAACCUUAUUAAUUAUGCUUUGAAAAUAUAAAUUUGAAUAAAUAAAAUUUGUUUAGUCAUUUAAUAUUAAGGGUAGUACAUCUAGAAAUUAGAAUUAUCUCGUCUCUCCCCUCCUCUCCUUCAUCCCUAAAUCUCUUAUCCUUUUUCUUUCUAUCCUCUUUAGGAUUAUCACAGCCUUUUUUCUCUCCUCUUUCUCAAAAAUUUUCAUUCGGAUCUAAACCGAUCGAUAUCCAUAUCUUAGAUUCCUCAACUGAAAUUGUUGUUUUGACCCCCUUUUGACAUUAAGGUAUGAUUUGAUUCACUAUUGCUCUUUCAUUCUCGUCUUCAUCUUGCAACUUUAUUUACAUCUUUUUGUUUAUUUAAUUACCAUUUUUUGGUAUCAUAUUUAUUUAAAAAAUUUGAAGGAACUUUUAAUUGUUGAAUAAACAUACCGAGAAUUUUUAUUAUAAGAUGUGAAAAAAAAUCAUCUGUUGGGAGAAUUUUAAAAGCCUUGUUGGCAGUAUCAUUUUUUUUUAUGUAUUUUGUUUGUUUCUUUGUUGUUGAUGUUGUUAUUGAUGUUGUUGGUGGGGUUGGAAUUGUUGGAACUUGUGGUGUGGUGGUGUUGGUGGGGUUGACAUUGUUGUAACUUGUGGUGUGGUGUGGUUUAGACAGUGGGUACUUCUUAACUUAAAAAUAGUGGAGUCCGAACAAUCAACACGAGGAGUAAGGGAGAAAAAAAUAAAAAGUUUAAAGUGAAUAAGAAGAGAAGAGUUGGCUACCAAAAUUAAAAAAAAAAAUGUGUUGAGUGGGAAUUGAACUCAAGACCAAAAGAAAUAAAUAGCCUUAAGCACCCAUAAACAACAAUUAGGCUAACCAAACAACUCUUACUAUGGGUGCUCACUGAUUAGAUUAUAUACGUUUUUUUCUUUAUUUUCACAUACAUAUAUAAAGUUUGAUACGAGUUCAGUCUGUGCUCGCGCACCCGGAAGACUCCAUGUGGGUCCGUCCCUUGUUGUUGAUGGUGUUGGAAUAUAGGAUGUAUGCUUCUUUAUUGUUGAUGAUGUUGUUGGAACAAAUGUGGUUGUUUUCUUUGUUGUUGAUGUUUUUUAUUUGUUAUUUGUAGUUUAUGCUGUUGUUGAAGUUGUAACAGACGGAGCAACUGAUGGAACACUAGCAAGGCUGCUAUGUAUUCCAACAGACUCCAUAUCUGUUGCAUCAGACUCCAUAUCUGACGCAACAGACUCCACAUCUGACGCAAACUAUCCGGGAUUUAUGAAUUGUGUGUGUUAGUAUUACUUAAAUAAAACUGGUGACUUUAUUAAUAUAUGAAUUAAAAAAACAGAUCUAAAUACAACAUUUUAUCUUUUUGUUGUAUUUUCAAAAGAGACAUAUUGGUAAUCUGUUACAAAAUAUAUUCCACCUGUCAGAUAACUUACAACAUAUGGACAAUCUGUUGCAAAGAUGGAUAUAUCAGUUUGUUUUUCCAUCAGCUGUGGCGUCUGUUGGAACUUGCUAGUCAUUUGUUUAUUCAAUUUCAUCGAGAGCAAUAGAUUUUUCUAAACACUUCUUGGACAAACUCAAUUUCGCUCUUGGAUUGCUUCUCUUUUUUUCUUUGUAUCCUUCAAGCUGGCCUCCAAAUUCAAUUUUUUCCCUCAAUCCAAUAACAAAAAAUUAGUUUGGUUGAAGGAUGCAAAGAAUAAAGAGAAGCAAUCCAAGAGCAAAAAUUGAAUUUGGCCAAGAAGUGUUUAGAAAAAUCGAUUGCUCUCGAUGAAAUUGAAUAAACAAAUGACUAGCAAGUUGCAACAGAUGACACAACUGAUGGAAAAGCACACUGAUAUAUUCAUCUGUUGUAAUAGAUUGUCCAUAUGUUGUAAGUUAUCUGACAAGUGGAAUAUAUUUUACAACAGAUUACCAAUCUUUCUCUUUCGAAAAUACAACAAAAAGAUAAGAUGUUGUAUUUAGAUCCAUUUUUUUUCUAAUUUACUUAUUAAUAAAUUCACCAGUAUUAUUUAAGUAAUACUAACACACACAAAACAUAAAUCCCGGAUAGUUUCAGCAAUAUUACAUUAAAUCCUGGAUAGUUUGCUAAUUACAUCUUUUCCCAAAAUUUUGAAUUGUGAUACAUAUGUUAAGCAGUGAUACAUAUUGAUCUAGUGAUACAUAUGUAUAUGUAUCACUAGUAUAUACAUAUGUAUACAGUUGUGAUACAUAUAGCAUAUGUAUCACUAGUAAAUAUGAAUCCGGGAUUUUAUGUAUAAUACUAACACACACAAAACAUAAAUCCCGGAUAGUUUCAGCAAUAUUACAUUAAAUCCUGGAUAGUUUGCUAAUUACAUCUUUUCCCAAAAUUUUGAAUUGUGAUACAUAUGUUAAGCAGUGAUACAUAUUGAUCUAGUGAUACAUAUGUAUAUGUAUCACUAGUAUAUACAUAUGUAUACAGUUGUGAUACAUAUAGCAUAUGUAUCACUAGUAAAUAUGAAUCCGGGAUUUUAUGUAAUUUUUUAAAACAUUAAGGGAUAUUGCUUAAUAUGGUGUCUUAAAUAUGGAAUUUGUGUAAUUUUUUUUUUAAGGGAUAUGAACAGUCGUGGCUUUUUGUUUGACUAAGUCCAGUCCCUUCCAAUUCUCAAUCACUUUAUAAAUAGGUCCCUCCGGCCUCCUCACUCACUCUCGUUCAUUCUACUAUACUUGUAAUACUACUAUGUCAGAUCCAGAUUUGUGCAAGAAGGUUCAUAUCAAGUCCUUGCAGAAGCUUCAAAGGCAGUUUGAUGAACUCCAGAAGGAUUUGGCUGACUUUCGAGCAAGGCUGAGGAGGGUCCUGCUACUGCCGGAUGAAAAUUGUCUGGUUGACAAUAAUAAUAGUAGUAAUAAUAAUAAUAAUAAUUAGGUUAUGUUUUUUCUUUUUUUUUAGCGUAAGUAUUUCCCUUUCAUAUCGAGUCCUUGCAGGAGCUUCAAAGGCAGUUUGAUGAUCUCCAGAAAGAUUUGACCGACUUUCGAGCAAGGCUGAGGAGGGCCCUGCUGCUGCCUUGUCUGGUUGACAAGAAUAAUAGUAAUAAUAAUAAUAAUAAUAAUAAUUAGGUUAUGUUUUUUCUUUUUUUUAGCGUAGGUAUUUCCCUUUUCUAUAUCCGAUCUACCUAUAAGGGAUUCAAAAAAAUCCAUGUAUAUGUUUGGUUUGGUUUGGUUUGGUUUGGUUUAUUUUGAAUUUUUAAUUCUUAUUCAAUAUUUAAUUAUCAUUCUAUUUAUUCCCUAUUCUCAACAUGUCAGCGGUUGGAGUUAGGGAUACGGUCAUGAUGAGAAAUUCUCCUAAAUGGUUCGUUAUAGUACGGAACUAAAUUAUAUUAUAAUCGUAAAAGAAAGAUUAUUUAAUUUUAAAAAAGUCACAACAUUAGAUUAAUUUAAUUAAGAUAUAUAUAUGAUGAUAUGAUUUUUAAGAAAAAAGUUAAUGAAUAGCCGUGACUGUACCUUUUGUCUAAACACAGUCAACAAACAAACAAAAAUAAAAAACGCUUCUGAUGCAUCAAAUUCCUCAUGUGUUACAACUUAUGAAUCAGUUAGAAGAAAUAAAAAAAGCUCCUUAAACAAAUGGUCGAUUUAUAGCAACAGAUGGGAUAUCUGUUGAAACAGAUGGGUUAUCUGAUGCAACAGAUAUACAAUCUGUUGCCAUAACUCAAUUAAUAAAAAUGGUUAUUAAAGAAAUAGAACAGUUAUUAAAAACCAGGUGUAUUCAAAUUUUAAAUUGAGAAAAAGGUUAUUUAAAUUUAAUAAGCUAAAAAGUCAUGACUUGUCACAAUAAUAAAAAACUCACCACCAUCUUGAUUUAAUUAAGUUAUUUCUUUCACAGAAAAGAAUAAGGAAAUAAAUGAUAAACACAAUUUAAACGGUAAAAAACUCACCGGAAAUAGUCUUGUUUUUAAAUCUUCUUUAUUAAUUUAAUAAUUAAAAAGUCAAAAAAUUUGGAUGUCAUGAAGAUAAUUUAUUUUUUUAAAAAAAUAUAUAUAUUAUAUGUUGCAACAGAUGAAUUAUCUGAUGCAACAGGUUAACUAUUUGUUGCAACAGAUGAUAUAUCUGUUGUAACAAAUGAUUUAUCUGAUGCAACAGAUAUAUAAUCUGUUGUCCAACUCAAUGUAAAAAAAAUGGUUUCCUGAAAGAACUAAUUAUUAAUAAUAAUAAAGCUGAAAAGUCAUGACUUAUCAUAAUAUUGAUUAAUUUAAUCAAGUCAUAACUUUUUACAGUAAUCAAGAAUGACAUUAAUAAAUGGAGGUGAACAGUUGGGCCUUUAAACCUGCUUUAUAAAUUUAUUUAAUUAAAAAGUCAGAAAAUUUGAAUGUCAUAAAGAUAAUAUAUUUUUUAAAAUAUAUAUAUAUAUUAUAUGCUGCAACAGAUAUAUUAUCUUAUGCAACAGGUUAUCUAUUUGUUGCAAAUCAUGACAUAUCUGUUGUAAGACAUGAUUUAUCUAAUGCAACAUAUAUAUUAUUUGUUGUUCAACUCAAUGUAAAAAAAAACGUUCCUGGAAAGAACUAAUUAUUAAUAAUAAUAAAGCUGAAAAGUCAUAACUUAUCAUAAUAUUAAUUCAUUUAAUUAAGUCAUAACUUUUUACAAUAAUCAAGAAUGUCAUUAAUAAAUGGAGGUGAACAGUUGUACCUUUAAAUCUGCUUUAUUAAUUUAUAUAGUUAAAAAGUCAAAAACUUUAUGACUUAUCAUAAUAUUAAUUAAUUUAAUUAAGUCAUAACUUUUUACAGUAAUCAAGAAUGUCAUUAAUAAAUGGAGGUGAACAGUUGCGAUUUUUUGCCUAACUCAUUCAAGUUCAAUCCUCUAUAAAUAGGUCCCUUCUUACUUAAUCUUUCGUUCUACUACACACUGUUUAUUUCUCGCUCUUGUUACACCUUCAACUACUUUCUCUUCAAAGACUUGAUAGUUUUUUCCUAUCUCUGGUAAGUUUUUUUCUUGAUUUUUGUGUAAAUAUACGUUGUAUUACAUUACAUUCGAAUUCUUUCUUUUGUUUACGUGUGUGUUUUGUCAACUUAUGUGUUUUUUAGAUAUGGCUGAUCCUGUGUGGGAUGUCGCUAUUUUACGUGAAGCCAUAAGGGAACUGCAAAAGGAGGUUCAUGACCUGCAUUGGGAGUUGGCCGCCGUCAGAGUAAGGAUGUUGCGGGAGAUCUGCAGGCUCCGGAGGGCGCUGCUGCUGCCCUUUGAAGAUUGGCCGACUAGUCAUACAAAUAAUAAUGAUGUUAAUAAUGAUGAUAAUAAUAAUUAAGCUUUUUUUUCUAUUAUCUAUGUAUUUUUUUUAUCUUUUUAUAAAAAAAUUAUGUUUGAUGCACGAUUUUUUAUUUCUUAUUUAAUUUUUGUGUUGUCUAUUUCUAUUUCUUAAUGAAUGAUAUGUCUAUAAUUAAGGAAUAAUUUGACUCCAGUAUCAAUAGCAAGAACGUAUGAGUUAUCUGUUAGUUUAGUUUUUGUGUGUGACAGGAGCUGUAUCUGAAUUUUGUUGUUCGAAACAUAUUAGUAAUCUGAUUAAACAAAUUAUUUAUCUGUUGAAACAGAUUACUAAUUUGGUGCAACAGAAUACCCAUCUAUUCGAUUCAUAUUACGGGCACCUAAAACCCUUAAACAUGAAUCCAUCCAAUAUUAUUCUACUGUUACAACAGAACAUUUGUCUGUUGCCGCAGAUAAUGGAUCUGUUUAAGCAGAUUGUUCUUGUAUUGCAUUCAUGUUCGCGUGCAAGCUAUUGUUGAAAAAACAACACACUAGAGUUACCCAGAUUCAACUAAAAAGCAUAAUCUGACUUACCAAAGUCUCAUCUCAAGUAAAUUUCAAAGUUGAAAGUGAUUUACGAAAUAAAAUUUGACAUAAAAAUUUGCUCAAAGAGCAGCAGUUGGGGUAACAACAACAACAACAAUGGCCAACAAGAAGAAUAUGAAGAUGAUAAUGAAGUAUAAGAUGAUGAUAAUGAAUCAGAAUAUGAUGAAUAAAGCAACAACGACAAUGAACAACAAAUAUCACGAAGAGAGAGAAAAUAAUAACGGAUGAGGAGAGGGAAAAAGGCGCCUUUUUUCUCUUCGUUCCCCGUUAUAUAUUAACUAACAUUUGGAUCAAAGUGUAAAUUUAAAAACUUGUGAGUUAUUUUCAAACUUUCCCAACUUUCUUAAUCCAUUAAAGUAAUUGUCACCUCCACCUAACAAUUAAAACUUGUGCCACCUACACCUCAUUUUAAAACUCUCCUAGAUUGUUGUUAACUAGGUUGAAUAAACUUCUUUGAAAAAAGAUUUCAAAAAUACAAUGCUAAAUUUAUAUUGUGUCUACAUAGCGAUUAAAUUUUUUUAUCAUAAAAUCAAACACUAAGUUUCAUCACAAUAAUAUAUUUGCCGAUCUAAUUAAAUUAUACUUUUUAAUCAUUUGAUUUGAUUUGAUUUGAUACAAUCUUACCGAGUCUUACAAGUAAAUUUGAAAUAUAAUUUAAAUAGAUCAGUGAUUAUAAUAUAAUUAUUUUUAAUUAACUAAUUAUAGCCGAUUCAAACAAAAUUUUAUUACGUUUAAACUUAUGUUUUUAUCUUGAUAAGAUAUUUUGAUAAUUGUUAUGACUCUCAAAUAUUAUUUAUUGGAAUAAUACUUUUAUGGUCUAUUAUUAAAUUGAAUUAACUAAUAAUUACUGCAAAUGUAAUUAUUGUUAGUUGAACAAGGAUUAACAGCUGAACAUAAUAAUUAUAAAAGUGUAUCUAUAUAAUAACUUAUAUCUAAAUAAACGGAUAACUAAAUUUAAUUGCUUUUCAUCAACUAAUUAUAUUAAUUUUAAACAGAUUAAUUUCACUAAGUGUUACGUUAUGUUUGUUCGAUAAUUAUACCUUUAUUGCAAUGGCGUCGAUAGAAGUUCAGUAUUUUGAAAUGAAAUCUAUGUAAGAAAUUAUAGUCAAUUUUUGGAUGAAAGAAAAUCUCUUUAUAAAGAGAAAAAUGAAUAAAAUAAAUUUCAUUUUUUUGACUUAAUUAUCGAUUAGAAGAUUUAACUUGUACGAAUUAUUACUGAUUUGAUACUAAUAAUGAGCUAUUUCAGUAUCUUAAGCAUACAUAUAUAUAUCCACGAUUAAAAUUAAUUGAUAGCCUUGUCUCACAUAUAGACUAUUUGAAGUUUCAUUAGAGUUGUCGACGAUUGGAUCCAAUUUUAUAGCUUGUAAAUUUUAAAUGUAAUUUUUAAAAAUAAGAAAUUAUAUUAACUUGUAUAAACUAAUUAUAUCAAAUCUAAACUAAAUUUUAAUAAGUCUCACACAAGCUUAUCCUAAUUAAGUGCUAUGAGAAUUAGUAUUUAUUAUGUGUCUCAAAUCAAUUUCAUAAAACCGCUAUUAUAGCUAUUAUAUGUCCUUUACUUUGUUAUUUUUCUAAUAGUACACAAAAAUUAUGGUCAAAUAAUUUUUGUGUUCUAAAUUUUAAAGAUAAAAUAUUUUUAUGUCACAAACAUAUUAAUUUUUAAAGUUAAAUGACAUUUAUGUUUGAGAUUUUUUUUUAUGUGAUAGAAUCAAUGUUAUAUAAUAACAGAUAAAUUUUACCUAUCAUUGAUUUCAGUUAUUCAAUUUUUCAAUUCUUUAUAAUUUUUAUCUACAACAUGCCUAGUGUAAGUGAAAAAAUUAUUUUUCACACGAUAAAAGCUAAUUUAGCAAUAGUAACCUCAGCUUGUAGCCAUAAUAAAUUAUUUCAAACAAAAUAUUAUAAUUAAUCAAUGUUUCUACUUCGGGUUAUUAAGAAAUAUGAAAACAAUUAAAUGUGGACAUAGUUAAUUUUUAUUUAGAGUACUAAAAAAUUAUGACAAUGGUUAGCUUAAUAUCUAUAAUGAGUGAUUAUUUUAGGUUGAUGUUUACUAGGGUCAACAAUUAUGAACUCUAUGAUUUUUAUAAUGUGCUAAGAUCUAUCAUGUCUAAAGAAUUUUGAAUUUAGACAAUCGUUAUAGAAAUAUUUCUUAAUUAUAUUUUUAAACUAUUUAAAUAUGUUUUUUGAUUUUUUUAAAUAUAAAAAUAAAAUUACGCAGUUAAAGUUCAUAUUAAUAACAAAUAUAAUUAAUGACUUACCAGUUAAUAAUUAUAUUUUUAAUUCACCAAUUAACAAAUAUAAUAAUUAAAGUACGUAGGAUCGCAAGACCAUAACAUUAAUGUGUGACUUUCUUGAAUUGAUGUUUAACCAAUAUCAACUGUUUUUGAACUAUAUGAUGUUGAAAUAUUUUUAAACUAUAUAUUUUUUAGAAAAAAAAAACUAUUCAAAUAUGUAGUUUAAAUUUCUAUAAACAUAAAAAUUAAUAUAGUUCCUUAAUUAGAAUUCAUGUAUAUUAAUAAAAAUAUAAAUAAUGGUUCCUACGUUAUCAAAUCGGCGUAACAUAGUGACGCAAAACUACAAUAUCAAUGUGUGACUCUCUUAGGUUAUUGUUAAUUAAAGUCGACACUUAUAACUAUAUAAUUUUUAUAACUUGUCAAUCUCUAUCACGUCUAAAGUGUUUUAAGUUUUUAUUGUUUUUAUUAAAAUAUUUUCAUAUUAUAUUAAAAAUUAUUUAACUAUGCAAACUUUUAGUUUUAAAACUAGUAAAUAAUUUUUAUUCUUUUCUUUAUGUAUUUUUCUUAUCAUUUAUAUAUAAUUUAAGUGUAAGAUUGACAUAGGGUAAUUUUUUUUAUCAACUAAGAAAAUUUUGAUGCGAAAUUUUCAAAAGUUAUGUUGACUUCUUUCCGUUGUACUUCUAAAAAUAGAUAGAAAAGUUUUGAAAUGAAAAAAAAAUUAUUUGAAUUAUCAUGAGAAAAAUUAUAGCAUAAUUAAAACUGUACAAUAGAAUUCAUAAAAAAUAAUUAACUUUUUGUGUUGGAAAUUUUGAUAAUUGCUUAUUUUAUUUAAUACUAAACUACGAAUCAGAUUUCAACAAAAAUAAAAAACUAAAAGUUAUUCAAAAUAUUGAUAGGUUUUAAUAUAUAUAUAUAUAUAUAUAUACACACACACCUCUUAUUUAUCUAUAUAAAAUAAAGAUAUAUAAAAUUUAUUAAAUAUAAAAAAAUAAAAAUUAUUUAUAUGAUAAAACGCAUAAUUAAGUAGAUAUGAUACAUAAAUAUAUAAUGUUAAAUUAAAAAUUUCAGAUAAUACUACUUUGGUCACACUAAUUUUGGAUAUAUAAUAAUAUAAUUAAUUAAUUUUAUAUUUUUAUUUUUAUCCUACACUAUUCUUAUGAAAAUUAUGUUAUUUUGUCAAUUCUCAUGUAUUGAGAUAGUUUUCAAUGUAUUGGAAAAGAGUAAUAAAAUAAGGAUUUUAAAUUUAAGAUGAAAGGGGCAAAAAUGUUCAAAAAAAAUUACUUUAUAGUGUGAAUAGGAUUUAUCACUAUUAUGGCCAAAUUAUGGCCAAAUUUUAUGGACAAAAGGAUUUAUCCUUUUUGAUUUUAUUUCUAAAUAAAUGUGUGUUUAACCCUUCAAAAAUAAUUUGAUCAAAUAAAUGUAAUCAAUGUCAACUUGAAAAGAGGUAGAAAUUUUAAUCAGGGAUAAGUUGGUAAAAUUAUAUUCCUUCCGUCCAAUAAUACUUAUCUAUUAUUGAUUUAACACACAUGUUAAGAAACAAUAAAUAAUGUGGGUAAUUUUAUUGUAUCAUAAUUUGAAUAUAAUAAAUUUGAUGUUUUGAAAAAUAUAUUGAGUGAUUGAAUAGUAUUUAAUAACAGGGAUAAAAUUGAUAGAAAAAAGUACAUUAUUUAUUUGAAACAAAUAUUGUUGAACAAUUAUUUUAGUAUAGUGAACAAGUAUUACUGGACGGAGUGAAUAUUUUAUUUUCUAGAAAUUUACAAUUUAUUAAAAGGUAUGAUUAAUUCAAAAUAUACACUUAUUUAAGAACAGAGAAAGUGAAAUUAUUUGAUUAAUGGAGAUUCAAUGUGAAAACAAGAAUUGAUUAUACUCCCAACACAAAAGCAUAAAACACAUGAAGAAAAAGUUGGCAAAAUUAUGAAUAUGGGGUUUACUUAAAAAAAAAGAAAAAAAAAAUGGAUGAUCUGAUGAAUAAUGUAAAAAAAAAAGUGAAAAAGAUUUAUUAAAAAUCCGACGUAAAUUAGAUACAAUUAAAUAAAAAAUAAAAAAAUGAUAUAAGAUUUAGAAAAAACACUUCAAAAACCAAGACGAUAGUUGGGUAAUCUGAUUUCUAGGCGGGAACCUUAAAACUUUUGAGAGUCGAUAUAUAUACCGUGACCGUUAAAUCCUGAUUUCGCCACUGAAAUAAUCUUUCAUUGUAACAUUAAUAUGCCAACAAUUAAUUACAAACUUGUUUAAAUUAUUUCAAAGUUGAUAAGACUAAAUGGAUUAUCCAACUAAAUUAAUCACACAAUUAAUUCUUGCCCAAAAAACAGCCAAAGUUGCUCUAACUGUUUACAUAUAAUUUCUCAACUGUCUAAUUUCUAGAUGUGACAAAUUCAAUUGUAUUAAUCAACUUGUUUUUCAACCAAAAAAAAAAAAAAAUCAACUUGUUUUGGUACAAUAAUGUUUGUUUUGAUUGUUACGUAUAUUUUAUUUUAUUGUAUCGUAUUGUUAAAUUCGAUGUUAUAUCGUUAUAAAGAGUUUCAUUUAAUGUAUAGAUCGAUUUGGUCUGAGCAUUGUUACAUAACUUUUAUCCUUUUUCAACGAUAAUAUACCUAGUGUAUUUUUAUACGGUGGGGUCUGCGGAAGAUAGAGUGCAGGCAGUUCGUACCACUACCUGAAGACAGAAUAUAGUCCAGAUCAGAUUGUUUCCGACAGACUCUCGGCUCAAGACAAAACAUAAUCGAGAAAAAGAUAUAAAAGGAGUACAAAGACAAUAAAGAGUGACACAAUAACUACCUAAAACAACAUAUAUCAACAAGACUCGAAGAACAAAAAAUACUUCAGUCGGAGGUCGGAAACGACCUCUCUACCUCACCUCUGAGGUAGCGAUGUGGACUACAUACACUCUGCCUAUCCCAGAACCCACUUUGUGAAAAUAUACUGGGUUUUUCGUCGUACUCCAAGAACAAAAAUCUACGAGCAUAAACUCACUACGACUACUAAUUAAUAACGACAGCACUCCUACCUGCUGGCAUAAACGCACUCGACAUCUUAACCAUCUAUCAUAACUCGUGCUCGUCAUACCUUCUUAUCUAAAGUCAUGUCUAUUUUAUACCGAUUCCAAUAAAUCUCUUAUGCCCCUAAGAGACGAAUAUCUUGUUUCAGAUAAGCCAACAAUAGUUGUUGUCCGAAAGAUACUCAGUCGUAAUUUCUCCGAAUGGAUGGUGAUUUUAGAGAGAUAGACAUAAUACAUAAAUGUGCCCUUCAACUUGACUUCAAAUUGCAUCUACGCCUACGCCUUCCAACUUUGGAUGUGCAGAACAAGCACUUCAACAUAUAUAAAGUUGAACAAAUAGACAAAUGCAUCCUAUAUGUCAUCCUAUGUGGCCAUCUCACGUCCAACGUAGCAUCCUACAUGUAUUGAACAAGUAGAUACGUCCUAUAUGACAUCCUACAUGGCCAAUUCAUGUUCAACGUAGCAUCCAACAUGUACUACCACAUAAGCCAUAUAUAUCUGCUCGCUCAGCUUUAUACAAGUUUAACCAUCUUUUUUUUUGUGCACUUCCAAAAUUUGAGGUCACAGACGCUCGACGAAGCCAAGUUAAACGGCAUGUUUAUGAAUCAUGCCAAAGAGAUAACUAGUAGCUCCAAAAUUGAAUUGUAAAAAAAGAAAAAAAAACAACCCGUUGCACUAAAGCUCCUGCUAUGCACAGGAUCCAAAAAAAGACCCGACCACAAAGAGCCUAUCGUAUGCAGCCUUACCUUGCAUUUCUGCCAGAGGCUAUUUUCAAGUCUUGAACCCGUGACCUACUGAUCAUCUAACAGCAGCUUUACCAGCAAAAUUUGAUUGUACUCUAUAGAUACUAAUUAUUAAUCUGCAAAAAGGUUUUAUUCCAAAGUGAUGCAACAUUCUUUUCUCAUUUCUAGUCUACAUUUCAAAAUUCAAAUACUAAUAUGAAAAUGAAAUAGUUUACAUUAACAUACUAUCUAUGGUAGAAUAGCAAUUACAUCAGGUGCCUUUAGAGUAAUGUAAUCAGAGCCAUCAGCUCCUUUGAAGUCAUUGCCAGCAUAUUUGGAAUACAAAACUUCAUUUCCAGGGGAUACUGUAAGUGAUUUCCUGUUUCCUUCCGCGUCGAGAGGACCGGGUCCAACGGCUAUCACCUGUUUCAAUAGCGGAAAAGGUUAACGGAUAUCAGCGAGAGUUUUAACUUCUAUGCACGGACGUUUCUGCUAUCAAUUGUCAUGCAGUGGUUGUUUAUAUGUGAAUCAGUACUAAAAGGAUACCUAUGCAGUGACUAAUACAACAAUCUCGGUGUAGUCCUAGAAGAGGGGUCUGGAGAGGGUAGAGUGUACGUCGACCUUACUCCUACGUCGAGGAGGUAGAGAAGUUGUUUCAGCUAUCAAGUGUUGUUUGGUUCACAUCGUAGCUGUAUGAGAACUGCAAUGCAGCGAUUGUCUGUAUGUGAAUCAGUACUAAAAGGAUAGCUAUGCAAUGACUAAUACAACAAUCUCGGUGUCGUCCCAGAAGUGGGGUCUAGAGAGGGUAGAGUGUACGUCGAUCUUACUCCUACGUUGAAGAGGUAGACAAGUUGUUUCCGGAAGACCCUCGGCCCAAGUAACAAACAUCAUAUGCUAUGCAAUGACUAAUACAACAACAACCACCCCAGUGUAGUCCUAGAGGUCUGGAGAGGGUAGUGUGUACAGCGACCUUACUCCUACGCCGAGGAGGUAGACAAGUUGUUUCUGGAAGACCCUCGGCUUGAGUAACAAACAUCAGAUGCAAUGCACUGACUAAUACAACAAUCCCAGUGUAGUCCAAGAAGCGAGGUCUGGAGAGGAUAGAGUGUACGGCGACCUUACUCCUACGUCGAGGAGGUAGAGAGAAGUAGUUUCCGGAAGACCCUCGGCUAGAGUAACGAACAUCAGAUGCUAUGCAAUGACUAAUACAACAACAACAAUCCCAGUGUAGUCCCAAAAGAGGGGUCCGGAGAGGGUAGAGUGUACGUCGACCUUACUCCUACGUCGAGGAGGUAGACAAGAAGUUUUCGAAAGACCCUCAGCUCGAGUAACGAACAUCAGAUGCUAUGCAAUGACUAAUAAUGAAGAGAUUGUAGUACAUGAAUUACUUACUUUUAAGGGCCCUCAGUGCAUUGUAGCUACGCGUAUAAUUAGAUAAAGACAAUACAUGCUACAUUAGUUAUACGUCUUAUGCGGCCAACCAAACACUAUAUUAGCUUAUGUGCAAUUUUAUGUUGGAACUAGUUUAUUUCAAACCAUCAAUCAAACAACCCCUCAGUGUAUAAAUAUCUAUGUUGCUAGUACGCUUCAAAAUGUUGUCGUACCUAUGCCGAAUCCUUAAAAAAUAUAUUACCUUUGAAGGAUCCAACACGUAUCCAUUGACAUUUUCAAAGAGCCCAAACAUAGAUAAAUAUUAACAAUAAUAGAAGUAAUAAUACUAGCUGAACAGCAGGGUGCAUAUUCUUACCGUGCCAAUUGAAGGUUUCUCCUUUGCAGACUCGCUCAAAAACAAUCCUCCAGCGGUUUUUUCCUCAGUCUCAGCCACCUGAUAAAAAAUGUGAUGACCAAAUUAGCACGACUCUGCAAAAAUGAACCUUGAUGCAAAUGUGAUAUCAAGAAGAAUAAGCGACGAAAAUGUAGUCAGGCUUCCAAAAUUGAAACUCUCAUUAAGUCGCCUUGAUGAAUCACUUGAGCCCUGAUACAUUUUCGGCUAUAUUGCUCGAGCUCUUCAAAAAUGUCAAAAGGUGUGUAUCGGAUCCUCCAUAAAAAGUGCAUUUUUGAAGGAUCCGACACGGGUGCGGUCACAUUUUUAGAGAGUCCAAGCAACUUAGAUUAUCAGCGCCAUGGAGCUAGACCAGUGAAUGUAGAUGCCACAUAAAGAAAUAAAUAAAAGGCAUAACGACGAACCUUGAUUAGAACUCUGUCAUUCAACGGCUGCAGAUCCUUGAUAUCAUCUGUCUCAAGGAUACCGAUAAUGUCAUCCUCUUUCAAAAUCAGGUGCUUUGAUCCAUUGAACUCCACUUCAGUUCCCGCAAAUUUCGAGUACAGCACUUGGGUACCAUUCUACACGUAAUAAGAUCAGUUUAGAAGAAAAUGAUUAACCUACUUAUAAACCAAGUUGAGUAUGCCGAUGAUUACAGAAUUACCUUCACACUAAUUUCCACUGUGGUCUUACCAACUGAACGACCCUCCCCAACAGCAACAACCUCACCUCCUUGUGGCUUUGACUGUGCUGAUGUUGGAAGCAGGAUGCCGCCUACGCUCUUGUCCUCUGCAUCCUUAAUCUUCACCAGAACUCUAUCACCUAGAGGUUUAAUUGAAGUGUACUGUACAAACAAAAGAAAGAGAACACAGAGGCGCACAAAUAUGUAAGCUUCCCUACGAGAACAGCGGAAAUCUUGAAAUGCAUUGCAACUGACAUAGGUUGGAUUUUAAAAACCAGCAGAAACAAAAUCGAACUGAUGCACUUAAAUAAGAGAUACGAGAGCUUUAAAGCCAAUACCGACUAACUGAUGAAACCUAAUUCUCAAUGUAUUCAUCUUUGGUUUUCAAAUAUUUUUUACGGGAGAUAUCUAAUUUAUCCCAGGGCAGCCCGGUGCACUAAACCUCUAAUUAUGUGGGAGGUUUGGGGAAGGUCCGGACAACAAGGGCCUAUUGCACGCAGCCUUACCAUGCGUUUCUGCAAGAGGCUGUUUUCACGCUUGAACAAGUGACCUCCUAGUCACAUGGUAGCAACUCAAGGCGAUUCUUCUUACCUUCCCAGCUAAUAGAUUUCGAGCAAAACAACAACAACAACCUACCGUAUUUCCAUAAGUGGGGUUUGAGGAGGAUAGAGUGUACACAAACCUUACCCUACCUGGGGAGGUAGAGAGGUUGUUUCCGUAGAUCCUCGGCUCAAAGAAAAGCAUAUCAAAAAAAAAAAACUAACAGAAGUGAAGAAAUCAUGGCAAAGCAUUCUGAAAAAAGGAACAUAAAUUACAACAACAUAGUGCGAUAACUGAAGUACAAGAGACAAUAGACAGUGGCAAAGAAAUACUACGACUGCCAGUAUGGAAGGAUAAAGAAUUCGAGCAAAACAAUGGAAUAAAACAAGAACUACAGAGGAAAGAAACCAAAUUAUAUACCUUAGGAGAUACAACAGUUGCAGCCUUGACGAUGAGUCCACGGAACGACCUGCUAUUCUUCUUUAAAGGAGCGAAAGACACAGCCUUAAAAUUACUCGUGGACCUAAGCCCCUCAAAGGAUGCAAAACCCUUGGCAGAAAUGGAUGACGCAGCCAGCUGAGUCGUUGCCAUUCUUUUUCGAGCUAAAUCAAUAAACCCCACAGAAAAGAUGGUCAAUAUCCUCAGCAUCCAGAAGCAAAAAGUGUACAAGCAUCGAUAAAAACUCAAGAAUUCUGAAUUUAAUCUGUAACCCCAUAGCAGAAACGGUACCCCAUGAGCAAAAAGAGCAUAAGUGAAGACGGGAACCACAGAAUUCUGAAUUAAAUCAAUAAUUCCCACAACAACGGUAAAACAGCAGCUCCCCACAAGCAAAAAUGGUACUCCCUCCAUUUCUAUUUGUUUGUCCUACUUUUUAGUUCGUUACAAAAAAAUGUUUCUUUACUUUUUUUUUUGCAACACUUCAAUUCUAGACGAAGAUUAAAGGGCAUUUUGAUAUAUUCUUCGUAUCUUUAGCUUAAGACCACAAGAUUCAAAGGUCUUUUUUGCUUUCUUAAACUUUCGAGUCAAGUUAAAACCAGACAAACAAAUUGAUAUGGAGGGAGCUAAAAUUAUGACAAGAGCAAAAAAAAUUAAAGAUAAAAGCAACACCCAAAAAAGCAAAAAAGAGGAACCGUUAAAGAUAAGAAUCAAAACAUAGUAAAUCUUAACAAGGUUAACAUGACAUUUUGAUACUCUCAAUGUAUCUUUAGUUUAAUAUGACAAGAUUUGGACGUCUUCCUUACUUUCUUAAACUUUGUGUCAAAUCAAAACUAAAGAUAAGAACCAUAACAUUCUGAACUAAAUCAAGAACUUCACAACAAAAAUGGUUAAAAACAGCACACCAGAAGCUAAACGUAUUAAAUUCAAAGACAAAAACUCAAGAAUUUCAAUCAAGUGAUAAUAAAGGAAGCACCUUCAUUGGCGAAAUUAAUAUGACUGAUAGCAAAGGAGAUGUUUCCUCUAGAUAAGAACCAUAAAAUUCUGAACUAAAUCAAGAACCCCCACAGCAAAAAUGGCUACAAGAACAGCUCAACUAAAGAAAAUAUACAGUAAAUUACUAAAUUUAAAGAUAAAAAUUCACAACAACAGCAUACCUAGUGUAAUCCCACAUAGUGGAGCCUGGGGAGGGUAGAGUGUACGCAAGCCAUACCACUACCUCAGGUGAAGUAGAGAGGCUGUUUCCGAUAGACCCUCGGCUCAGGACCGACAACAGAAAGAUAAAAAUUCAAGAACCAUAAAAUUCUGAGCUAAAUCAAGAACCCCACAACAAAAAAGUUACAAGAACAGCACACCAGAAGCAAGAAAAUAUAAUAAAUUUAAAGACAAAAAUUCAAGAACCAUAAAAUACUGAACUAAAUCAAGAACCCCACAACAAAAAAUGCUACAAGAACAGAAAACAUAAGCAAAAAUACAGUAAAUUUAAGUACAAAAAUCUCAAGAAUUUCAAUCAAACGAUACAAAAGGGAAGCACCUUCAUUGGGACAUUCUGAGCUAAAUCAAGAACCCCACAACAAAAAAUGGUUACAAUAACAGUACACCACUAGUGACAAAAAUAGUCCUUUAAAUUCAAUAAUUUCAAUCAAAUGCUACAUUUUCUGAGCGAACUCAAGAACCCCACAACAAAAAAAUGGUUACAAUAACAGUACACCACUAGUAUAAAAGAUAGUAGUACUUUACAUUCAAGAAUUCAAUAAUUUCAAACAAAUGAUACAUUCUGAGCUAAAUCAAGAACCCCACGACAAAAAUGGUUACAAGAACAGCAAACAGAAGCAAAAAUAUAGUAAAUUAUAAGUAAAAAAACUCAAGAAUUCAAUCAAACGAUACAUUCUAAGCUAAAUCAAGAACCCCACAACAAAAAUGGUUACAAGAACAGCAAACAGAAGCAAAAAUAUAGUAAAUUAUAAGUAAAAAAACUCAAGAAUUCAAUCAAACGAUACAUUCUAAGCUAAAUCAAGAACCCCACAACAAAAAUGGUUACAAGAACAGCAAACAGAAGCAAAAAUAUAGUAAAUCUAAGUAAAAAAACUCAAAAAUUUCAAUCAAAUGAUAUAUUCUGAGCUAAAUCAAGAACCCCACAACAAAAAUGGUUACAAGAACAGCAAACAGAAGCAAAAAUAUAGUAAAUCUAAGUAAAAAAACUCAAAAAUUUCAAUCAAAUGAUAUAUUCUGAGCUAAAUCAAGAACCCCACAACAAAAAAUAGUUACAAUAACAGUACACCACUAGUAAAAAAGAUAGUAAUUCAAAUUCAAGAAUUCAAUAAUUUCAAUCAAAUGCUACAUUUUCUGAGCUAAAUCAAGAACCCCACAACAAAAAAUGAUUACAAUAACAGUACACCACUAGUAAAAAGAUGAAAAAGUAAGUACCUUUAUUGUGAAAAUGGUGAGUUUUUCUCUACUACGGAGUGAAGAGUCAAUAAGGUAUGUGUUUAGACUUUUGAAAAGAUAAAAUGUGUAGAAAUGUUAAAAGGAUAACAAAACCCUAGAAGGUUCUAUUAGGGAAACUUUUUUUUCUUUCUUUUAUUUUUUUAUUUUUAAAAAAAUAAAUCUCUCCGAAAAACGUAUUUCUACGUCAAAUUUGAUUUAUAGAAAGAAAAAAGUGCGAAAAAUACUUAUAGUUUAACGAAAUUUACAGUUACGCAUCCUGAACUUUUCGGGAGUUUAUGAUCCCCUAGACUAUUUUUUAUCAUAUUUAACUGAUAUAUACUUCGUGUAUUUCACGCAUAUUGAGUGCGUAAAAAAAAUAUUUAAUAAAAGGUAAAUAUAUGUCAGUUAAAUACUAUAAAAAAUAGUCAAGGGGCAUAGGAUCCCUGUAAAGUUCAGGGUGCGUAGCUGUAAAUUUCGCUCAAGUAUCAAUAUUUUUCGUUUGACCUAAAAACGAAAUCUAUUUUUAAAGAAAAAAAUAUUCAAAUUUGGGAUAUUAAAUUUAGAUAGCCCACGUGGUUAUAGUGCGUGUUACCCUUCCCCACCUUGUAUGAGGUAGAAAAAUUGUUUAGAAAAGCGCAUAAUACAAGAGCAAACGAUGCUUCGAUGAAAAUAUUAAGAAAAAUACUAACAAAAAUAAUAAGAUAACCAAAGCAAAAGAAAUAACUAUGGUAAUAAAAAUAAAAAAUAAUAUAUAAUAAUAAAAGUAAUAAUAACACUGAAAAGAGGAAAGAGAGAAAUCGCUCCAACUACGUCCUAACAUUCCAUCCUAAUCCUCGAUUUUUAAGCUCUCAUAUCUAGGAUCAAAUACACUGAUGUUUUUCCACUGUCAGGUCAUCUAAAAAAUAUUUACACGUAACCGUAUACGAAAAAAAGCAACAUUAAUAACCUAUUAUGACAUGUUAACAUAUGUGGGUAGCGUAAAUUCUUUACAUUUAGGGGUCAUUUGGUUCAAACUUCAUAGUUAUACAGAGAUAUAUACUCACGUUUACGACUAUCAAGUCACCUAAGAGAUAUUUGCAUGUAACUGAAGACAAAAAAGCAAUAGUCGUAACCUCGCCUAUAACAUAUAAACAAACGUUGAUGGCGUAAAUUCUUUACAUUUAGGGGUCAUUUGGUUCAAACUUUACAGUUAUACAAGUAUUAUAUACUCACGUUUGCCACUAUCAAGUCACCUAAAAAAUAUUUACAAGUAACUGUCGAUAAAAAGCAUUUGGUUCAAACUUUAUAGUUAUACAGGGAUUAUAUACUCACGUUUGCCACUAUCAAGUCACCUAAAAGAUAUUUACAGGUAACUGUCGAAAAAUAUUUGGUUCAAACUUUAUAGUUAUACAGGGAUUGUCACUAUCAAAUCACCUAAAAGAUAUUUACAGGCAACUGUCGAUAAAAAAGUAACAGUAGUAACCUACUAUAUCAUCUUAAAACGUGUAAAAAAAAUUGUGUUUAGGGGCCAUUUGGUUCACCAUCAUAUUUAUACAGGGAUUAUAAUGCAGAAAUUAUUUAACAUUCAACAUGAAAGGUUUAAAAUCGAUCAUAAGAUUAAAAAAAUUUAGAUACACUAAUCUACAUAUUUUUGUAGAGAAAAUGAUCAAAAACACCCCGAAUUUUUAUCCCUAAUCUCAACUACAUACUCAACCUUUAAAGAUAACCUAUUACCCCCUGAACUAUUUUAAAGGGAAUUAUUACCCCUCGAAAACUGGCAACCAGUCAUUUGGAACGUGGUGUGAUGCACGCGCUGCCACGUCAUUUUUUUUACUCUAAAAAAAUUAAUUAUUUAACUUUGUUAUUUUCUUUUUUCUUCCCCAUUUUUCAUUUUGCUCCAUUUUCUUUGGCGUUUUAAUGAAAUUCUUGAACCCAAUUUCAUCUCUUUUUGCUCAAGAUCACCAUUAAUGUCGAAUUCUUCCCCAUUGUGGAAAUUCAAAGAUUUGAACUUGCCAUUAAUGGCGGAUCUUGAGCAAAAACAGAGAAAAUAAAAAAAAUGGGUUGAAAAUUAUACGUGGGUUAUGUCGGAAAUUAUAUAUGGCAUAGUGAAAAUUUGAAGCUUUCAGCUAGCCAUUAAUGGCAAUCUUGAGCAAAAAGAGAGGAAAUCGAAGUUGUUGAAUGUCACGCCUCAAAUCCUAUUGGGGCGGACUGGCACCCGUAACCGAGGAGGUCCGGGAGAACCAUCUCAUAACCUUAUACUUCCCAUGCAUACCUCUAUAACAACCCGAAAUUCGGACAACAUCAUGUCACAUAUAAAAGGAAAUAAUCACCUGUAUAAGCUCGAGCACACAUAUAUAUGUAUAUACAAUACUUGGCCGUUGGAGCCAUCACGUCUAUUAACAAAACACCACCUUGACUAUACAUUAGGUCUACAAAGCCUCUAGACAAUACACAGAGUUUAACUAAGGUCGGGACACACCCCACCAUAUAACUAACUUCUAUCAAUACCAAAAGUGACUGGAUAUGACACGAAAAGCUCCGAAGCAAACUAGAGCUCACCAAAAGCAGCUGGAUAUCCUGGCUCCUACUUGUGCGAUGUAUAAGUUGAGGUACCUUUGCCUGCAGCAUGAAAUGCAGGUCCCCCGUGGGGACGUCAGUACGAAAUAUGUACUGAGUAUGUAAAGCUGUAGAUAAUCACAUAUGAUAUAGAAGCUCAAUAGAAAUCAGAAACAAGUGAAUAAAUCGUAAUAGGAGUGGACCACACUUGCUAUAACUUGUGACAACCUGUACAUUGUAUUUAUUCAAUCAUUUUACUUUCAUUCUUAUCAUCUUUGUAAUCAUUACUGUACUGUACUGUGACCAUUAGGCUGCCUCCAGUACAUAUCAACUGGGAUCGAAAGGCCCGGGAGAACCCGUUUAAAUACCUGUACUUUCACUUUCAUGUCACCAAAAAUUUGGCCAGCACUUCGUUGCAUAUAGAAGGGUCUAAUUACCUGUAUCAGCACAACACGCACAAAUAUAUAUAUAUAAUACUUGGCCGUCGGGGCCACCACAUAUAAAAAUAUAACAUCACUAUAUGAACUUCCAUGACUUUACCCUUCCUUAUGUCUACAAAGCCUCUAGGAUAUACAUGACAUAACUAGGGUCGGGACAAACCCCCGCCCACACAUGACUCCUCCUGUACAAUAACAAAAUAUAAGGGACCGACUCGGAAAGCUCCGAAGCAAAUUGGAGCUCACCAACAAUAGCUGUAUGACCUGGCUCCUAUUUAUGUUGUGAAUGAGCUGAAGCACCUGUGCCUGCAGCAUGAAAUGUAGGUCCCCCGUGAGGGACGUCAGUACGAAAUAUGUACUGAGUAUGUAAAGCUGUAAAUAAUCAUAUGUGAUAUGGGGGAUCAAGAAAAUCAGACGCAAGUGAAUAAAUCAUAAUAGAAGUGAACCACACUUCAUAAACACUUUUAGGAUCAUGUACAUUAUCAUUAAUCUGAAUUGGGUUCUUGAAUUCAAACACAUUUGUGGAACGGUAUACAUUCGUUCAUUUUAUUCUUUACAAUUAUCAUUCGCCAUUACCUCCUCCUCCCGAACCUCCAACCACCUAACAAUAAUCAAUACUGUACCGUACUGUGACCAUUAGGCUGCCCCCAGUACAUAUCAACUGUAAUCAUAUCAAAUAUCGGGAUCGGCCCAUGCUAGGCUUAAGCCCCUGAGCUACCACCCACACGUAUAUCAAGUAACACACAUAAGAGAUCUUUCCAAUAACUUAGUUCAAAAGCUUUUGAGAUUAUUACAUUAGUGUUCAUGCCAAUAUAGUACCUUUGGAAUAAUGAUACAUCAAUAGGAACCAAGUAAUAGACUUUCUAUACAAUAACGAUGUAAUAAAGACUCAUUGGUACAUCAACAAUGUGUUUCGGAAUCAUCAAUAUCACAACAAUGAAAUAGGAGCCUUUUGGUAUAUCAAUGAAACAUUUUGACACUUUAUAGAAUGGAAACAACUUCGUUGGUAAUGUAGAACAAUACAUGUUUUUGGACAACCUCGGAAUCUUACUUGAUGGAACAUUGGUGUUUUCAUGCUAAAGAACAUCGUUAGAGUAUGCUUUACAUACCUCGUUGUAGAUUCGGAUACCAAUUCAACACAACUUUCCGCCUUUACAAAUUACUUAUCUAUAAUUAAAUGUUUGGCAUCUAGUAUUAGCAACCCAACACCACAAUUCUCUUCCAUAAUUCCAUACAACCAAUAUUUGCAAAGCAUUCCAAAAACCAACUUGAACAAUCGGUUUAUGUGUAUAUAUAUAUAAUCAUCAUUUCAAUACCACAUCAUCACACCAAAUCCCUUCACAAUUCAACAUAAUCCAACCAUGCACCAGAAUAAUCCAACAUCAUUUCCAAUCAUCUUUCAACAACAAACAAAUAACAUACUUCUUAUGCUCACAUGCAUAUAUAUAUACAUAUCCAUAUAAAUAACACCAACAUAAUUUACAUCCUUACCAUAAAAUGGCCCUUUUGAUUUCGAAGUCCUGUUGGCACAAAUAAGGCUGGCCUCAGUAGUUGUGUGCAGGAAAUUUUCCUACACAUUUACUAUUCCCAAUAUCCCGGCCACCGUUUUAUAGUUUCGAACGUGCUCGAUUAUAUCCGAAACCUAUCCGUUUUUGGAAAUCUUUGUAUCGUUGAAAGCUUAUUCAAUAACCUUCGUAUGGAACCAUCGAGGGGCAAAUUCCGGUAUAAAUAAAAUAAAAUAAAAUUAAUUUCAUAUAAAUAAGAUCAAUACACGUACUUGAAUACGCCAAUACACGUACUUGAAUACGGGGUGUUACAUUGAAUUUUUUCAAGUUUUUUGAAUCGGAGUUCCCCAACUUCUUCAUUCAAGAAUUUAUUAAUCGGAGAAAUCUUAUUGUUUCCUUAGUUCAAGUGUUUCUUGAUUUCGAUUUCGGAGCAAAAAGAAUUUCUUGGUUUCGUAGAAAUCCAUUAAUGAGGAAGAUGAGGAACUCCAUUAAUGAGUUCUUGAAUUUUUCUUUUGAAAAAAAGAAGAAGAAGAUAUGACGUGACAAUUAAAAUUCAUUAAGAAAAAAUAAUAAUUAAAAUAUUUAUUAUAUUAUUAAAAAUAAUGACGUGACAAUUAAAAUUCAUUAAGAAAAAAUAAUAAUUAAAAUAUUUAUUAUAUUAUUAAAAAUAAUGAUGUGACAAUAAAAAAUAAAGAAUUUAAAGUGAAAUGGGUCAACUGACGCGCCCAUGGGCGAGUGUAGUCACGUCCAGUGACAGGUCAGCAACUGAGGGUAAUAAAUUCGGUAAAAAUAGAUUUAGGGGGUAAUAGGUCACUUUUAAAUGUUGAGUGUGUAAUUGAAAUUUCGACUAAAGAUUUAGGGUAAUAGACCAUUUUCUCAUCUUUUGUAUAAAAUCAUAAAAUUCAAAAUAAUAAAAAAUAAUUAACAGUGUGCAUGCAUUACAACUGUUGUUCCUUGUGUGGAAUAAUGAAAAUUUGAUGAGUUGAUCCACAUUUAUAUAUAUAUAUAUGUACAUUUUACUUUUAUCUUUAUAUCCUGAAUUACUAAUAGUGAAUAAUUUCUAUAUGAUUAAUAUGAAAUUCCGUUGUCUUUAUAUAUAUAAUACGCUCAAUCCUCUGUAUAACAAUCAUUUCUGUAAUAACAUUUUACUAUUAUAAAUAACUUUAUGUAAAAUGUCAACGGUCAUCACUAUAAUUGUACACUUUAUUGGAAAAAAAAAACAAUUAAAAUUUAUUAGUCAUAAUAUGUAUAUAUGUUUAAGGAAUCAUUAAAGAAUGUGGCGCAGUUGAUGAGAUUGCUCCUCCGUUAAUUAGAGAUCUCGGGUUCAAAUUCUGAUUAUGAAAUAUUCUUUGGUAGGGAGCGUUUUUCCCGAGUGGAUCCUACCCGAUACGAAUUCGAAUUAAUUUGACUUUAAUGCAAUGAGAAAAGCACACUGAAAAAUAAUUAUGGUUAACUGCAACAUAAAUAUAUGUAUUUUCAUAUUAGUUGUUGUAGUAUUAUUUAUACAGUUUCUUAUUAUUCGAUAUAUGUUAUAUUAUUCUCUCGAUUUAUAUUGGAAGAAAUUGAUUAGGCAGGACAUGGAGCGGUUACAGCUUACGGAGGACAUGACCCUUGAUAGAAAGGUGUGGAGGGUGCAAAUUCAGAGACGGAGUCAGAAUUUCUGUUGAGGGGUUCAAAAUUAAUAUGAAGAAAAACUCACCGAAAGGGGUUCAACAUCUACGAUAUAUACACAUAAAAGUUAUUUUAACCGUGUAUUAAUAACAUAAUUUUUUAUCGAAGAGGGUUCAGAUGAAUGAACCCCUUAUUACUAGGCUGGCUCCGCCGCUGCACCAAUUAGGGUAAAGGAGUGUUUUGUUUGUAUAUGUGCCUGUAUUUUCUUGUUUGUAGCUAGUUUUCUGAGGAUUUUUGUAAUCUCGAAUAGAUGAUUUAUAGUAUUAUUCUAUCGGUGUCUUGUCUCUUUAAUUAUCUAGCGGCGUGUUAUCCCAUUUUAUUGUUUAUUUUUAUAUUUUUUGUUGUUAUACUGUGUUAUCUAUCGUGAGUCAGGGAUCUAUCAGAAAUAACUUCUCUACUUCACCUGAGGUAGUGGUAUGGAUUGCGUACACUUUACCCUCUCAGAUCCCACUUUAUGGGAAUAUACUGGGUAUGUUGUUGUUGACCUUCGUUUCAAUGUGUUUGUCUUGUUUUUUAUUUAUUUUAAAAAUAAUGUUUCUUUUCGUUUUUGAAAACUUAUUUAAUUUCAACUUUUCACGUAAUCAAUGACGAAGCAAAAAAUCUCAUUAAUUAUAAGGGUGUCUGAGAUUUAAUAUAUACGUACAUAUGUCAAGUAAUUUUUGACCUAGCUAUAUAUACACUUCAUAUAAUUUUUCGACGCGAUGUGUUCGACUAGCCACCUAUAUAUAUAGCUACGCCACUACAUGUGAUAUAUUUUGAUACAUUUUGUAUACUUUUAAUUUAAGAUUAAAAGAUUUAAAAGUGUUUUUUUCUGCUUGAUUAAAAGAACAUUCUACAUAUAUGAUAUUUUGGAGAAUUAUUGAUAAUAUUCCAACUUCUAGGUCUUAUUAGAGUCCACACGUUGAGAGUUUGGAAUUACAAACAAGUCCAAAAUAUUUUGGUGAUGAAUGUGACAUUGGUGGCUAUAAUUAUUUGAUAGUAACAGUUAUUUGAUAUGAGUAAAAUGUAUUAUUCGAUAAAUAUUUGUAUAUAAUUUAGAUAAAUAUUAGUUAUGGAGUGAGAAUAGGGUUGGGGAGGGGCCGGGGGCGAUGGAAAGAACAUCAAAUGAAAUGAAAUGAGGUGAGUGGAAGAUUAUUGACGAUGAAGUUGCACAUCUUAUCCGGGUGUGACAGAUAGAUGGAUGAAUUAGUAGAGGUUCGAAUACGAUCAGAUCAUAUUUUCUGUGAUAAUAUGUAUUGUUAAGACGAGUUAGUUUGACUAUGUUAUAUGAGGCGGCUGUUGGUCGUCGGUUAGUUAAACAAGCUCGUGUCCGGAAGCUGAACGUAAUGGAAAUCAAACGAUAUUGAGAUGAAUUUGCGGCACAACAAGAGAGAUAAGAUUAGGUCGAAGAGAUUCGGAAUAAGGUGAGUGAAAGAUUAUUGACGAGGAGGUCGCACAUCAUAUCCGAGUAGGACAGAUAAAUGGAUGAAUUAGUAGAGGUUCGAAUCCGAUCUGAUCAUACUUUGUGUGAUAAAUGUGUUGUUAAGACAAGUUAGUUCUACAGAGUGAUUGUUAAUUGACUAUGUUCUAGUGGACGGGGUACUGCUGGUUAUCGGUCAGUUUAAAAAGCUCGUGUCCAUAAGUUGAAAGUAGCAAAAAUGAGACGAUAUUGAGAUGAAUGUGUGGCACACCAAGAUAGCAAAAAUUAAUUCUUCUUAGCUAUUAUAGCAAACUAAACUAAUCACGUCUAUCAUAUGUAUACAUAAAAAAUAAUUUUGACCUUUUCAUAUAGUGUAAUUUUCCACCGAACUGCGCCCUAGUCCACCGACAACCAAUUAAGGAGCAGAAAAGCCCAACAAAUUGAUUCUUCCUAACUAUUAAGCUAUUAUCGCUAACUAAACUAAUGAAAUAAAGAAGCAAACACAUGAAGAAAGCCAAGGAGAUUUCAACACCAACUAUAUUACGUCAUUGACUCGCCAACAUCAGCAUUUUCAUCAAGGGAUCCAAAAUAUAAUGAAUUAAACGCACGACGAAGCCAAGAGAUUCAACAUCUACUGUAUAUAUGCAUAAAAAACAGUUUUGAGCCCUUAUAUAUAGUUGUAAUUUUCCAAUGAAGCGCCCCCUAGCUCUGCCUAUCGGCAACUAAUAGGAUUCGGAGAGGAUAGAGUGUACGCAUACCUUACCUCUAUCUGGUGAGGUAGAGAGACAGUUUCCAAUUGACUCCCGACUCAAGACAAAAACUGUCUAGAAAAAUACGCAAUGAAAGUACAAGAGACAACAGGUAGUAACAAAACAACGUAUAAAAGCAUUACAGUACUACAAGAAAAUAAUACUACUAUACUACACAAAACAACAGAUAUCAACAAAAAACUAAGAACGAGAAUGUACAAGCGUAGCACUUCGACUAAUAGUAAAGACAGCAAGAUGACGCACGUUUACCUACUAGCAUGGAUAUCACAAGAAAAUACUACUACUAUACUACACGAAACAACAGAUAUCAACAAAAAACUAAGAACAAGAAAGUACAAGCGUAACACUACGACUACUAGUAAAGACAGCAAGAUAACGCACGUUUACCUACUAGCAUGGAUACCACAAGAAAAUAAUACUGUGCAACACGAAAAAACAAAUAUCAAUAAAAACUAAGAACAAAAAAGUACAAGCGUAGCACUACGACUACUAGUAAAGACAGCAAGAUAACGCACGUUUACCUACUAGCAUGGAUACCACAAGAAAAUAAUACUAUUAUACUACACGAAACAACAAAUAUCAACAAAAAAUUAAGAACAAAAAAGUACAAGCGUAACACUACGACUACUAGUAAAGACAGCAAGAUGACUCACGUUUACCUACCAGCAUGGAUACCACAAGAAAAUACUACUACUAUACUACACGAAACAAUAGAUAUCAACAAAAAACUAAGAACAAGAAAGUACAAGUGUAGCAUUGCAACUACUAGUAAAAACAUGCAACAAGAUAACGCACGUUUACCUACUAGCUUGGAUACCACAAGAAAAUAUCACUACUAUACUACUCGAAACAAUAGAUAUCAAAAAAUUAGAAACUAAGAACAAGAAAGUACAAGUGUAGUACUGCGACUACUAAUAAAGACAUGCAACAAGAUAAUGCACGUUUACCUACUAACAUGAAUACCACAAGAAAAUAAUAUUACUAUACUACACGAAACAACACAUAUCCGCACUAUACAUAAUACAUAAACAAAAUAAAUAAAUUUUAAAAAAUAAAUGAUAUAAAUAGAAAAAGACCUUUACCCCUUAAACCAAACUUGGAUUUGUGUGUACAUUAAAAGAACAUUUUUCGUAUGAUAUUUGAAAAUUCUUGUUAUAAUAUUCCAACUUCUAGAUUUUUUUGAGAGUCCACACGUUCAAAAUUAGGAAUUACAACAAUUUUAAUUUGACUAUUUUAUUAUUUGAUGGUAACAUUUCCAGUCAGGUGUACCUACUAAGGAGUAACAUAUAUUUUAUUUUAUUUUGCUGAUAUUUGAACUAUAAUCUCCGAGGUUUUUAUAUUCACUUAUCGACCUUAUAAGACUGAAAGAGAGGCAAAUAAAAUGAAAUGAGAUGAGAAAUUCUAACGUUUUUGGAAUAUUGAUAUUAACCAACGAAUGGUAACUGUUUUCCUUGUGUGGAUACUGUUACAAUGAAAAUCUGAUGAAUUGAUCCACCUACACGUACGUCUCGCUUUUACUGUUAUAUCUUAAAUUACUCCACGGAUUACUUGAUGUUAAAAAAGAAAUAGUGGAUUUCUAUAUGAUUAAUAUGAAAUUCAUCCUCUCUCUAUAUAUAAUACGAUCAAUGAUCAAUCCUCAGUAUAACAGUUAUUUUAUGUAAUAAUAUUUUAUUAUAACAAUCAACUUUACGUAAAAUGUUAAUAAUCAUCAUUAUAAUCGUACACUUUAUAGAAAACAAAAAGAAAGGAAAAAACACAGAAUUAAAAUCAAUUGUAAUAAUUUGUAUAUAUAUGUUUAAGAGAUCAUCAAAGAAUGUGAUGCAGUGAAUGAGACUAUUUUUAUCUUAAUCAAUUGUAAUAAUUCAAGUUCUGGUUAUGAAAAGAUCUUUGGUAGAGAGAGUGUCUCUCGAAUGGACCCUAUCCGAUGCGAAUUUAAAUUAGUCGAGCUUCAAUGCAGAUAUCGGGCACUGGAUAAAAAAACAAAAAAGAUGUAUAUAUGUUUAAGUGUGAACAUAUUUAUUACUACAAUGUUUUUUGAUAAGUAAUGAGCACUUUAGAGAAAUCAAUAGACUAAUGCCCUUAUCAUUCCCACAAAUAAUUUGAAAGUGAGAAAAAGACACUGGGAAAAAUAAUUAUGGUUGACUAUAACAUAAAUAUGUGUGUUUUGUUCACACUCAAAAGUAUGCAUGCAUUUUAUCGAAAAUAUAGUGACCUUAAAUAGGAGGUUAUGAAAUUUUUUACUAUAAUUUAAAAUAAAAUAUUAGUAGGUCGAUCGAGUGUUGUCAGGUCGUUUAUUUUUUUCAUACUAAUAGUUGUAGUAUUAUUACUAUGUAGUUUCUUAUUAUUAUAUUUUUGUUAUUGACUUCAUUUCAAUGUGUUUGUCUUAUUUUUUAGAGAUAAAGCAUUCAGUACCUCCCGAAUUAUAGCUAAAGUUGCUACGACACACUCCAACUUCACAGGGAUCCUAUUAUCCCCUGAACUCAACUUUAGCGUAUUUUUAUCACCCUUUUUGUGAUGUCGUGACACCUUUAUUUACAUAAAAUGGGGUCCACGUCUGUCACUCCCCUUUUUCGCUCGAGGGCCGAGUCGAAGGGUUUUUUCAAUUAAAGUAACAGUUUUGAAUAGAGAUUAAUUUAUUACAGAGUUGCCACUUGGAAUUGAGUUAUGGUGUUUCGAGUCACCUUUUUGAAUCCCUAGUCAAAAGGAAAUGACUCUUUUAUAUGGUCUGCGAAAACAGAAGAUCGGGUAAGGAAUUCUGUUGACCGAGGGAAGGUGUGAGGCAACCCUCGAGUCCCGUGGUUCUAGCACGGUCGCUUUUAUUGACUUAUCUUAACUUAAAUUAUUUUGACAGAUUAUGUUAGUAGGCCCUAAAAUCGCUCAUUUUAUUAUACUAAAAUUAUUUAAAACUCUUGUAUUAAACUGAUGAAAAAUAAUUUUAAAACGAACUUUGCCGAAGUGCAAUAUUGCAUCCUCGAAUUAUUUUUAAAGGUCUCAGAAAGAUGCGUACACCGCAUUCUUAAUCGAGGAAAUUGAGAUGAAAGUGUGGCACAACAAGAGAGAUCGAUAAGAUUAGGACGAAGAGAUUCGGAAUAAGGUGGAAGUGGCUUCCACGGUAGAAAACAUGCAGAAAUUAAAACGAGGUUGAGAUAAUUUAGACGCAUGCAAAGGAAAUGCGCAGAUGCGUUUGUUGAUGAAGUCCGAGAUGUAAGAGUAGGGUUGGAGAGGGGGCAAUGGAAAGAACGCCAAAUAAAAUGGAAUAAGGUGAGUGAGAUGAAGCCCGAGAUGUAAGAGUAGGGUUGGAGAGGGGGCAAUGGAAAGAACGCCAAAUAAAAUGGAAUAAGGUGAGUGAAAGAUUCUCGACGAUGACGUCGCACAUCAUAUCCGAGUGGGACAAAUGGAUGAAGUAGAGGUUCAAAUCCGAUUCAAUCAUGUUUUGCGUGAUAAAUAUGUGUUGUUAAUUAAGACAAGUUAGUUCUAUAGAGUGAUCGUUGGUCGACUAUGUUGUACGAGGCGGGGUACUGCUAGUCGUUGGCCAUUUAAAAAAACUUGUGCUCGAAAGUUGAAAGUAGCAGAAAUGAGACGAGAUUGAGAUGAAUGUCUGACACACCAGGAGAGAUUCAGAAUAAGGUGGAAGUGCAAAAUAACAAUCGCGUUUGGUCGUUUUUUCGAUCGGUCCAAAAUUCGAUCAAUUUUGUCAGACAAUUUUUAUCGUAUAUUUAAUAAUAUUUUAUGAUAAUCAUUAUUAAUUCUUUUUAUUCAUUUAGUUAGUUAGAUAAAAUUUACUCCAUUUUAGCAAACUAAAAAGAAUUAAAAGUGCAUAUCAAGAUUAUUAUAUUUAGUGGACAAAAAUAAAUUUACUAUAUAAAGAAUAGUUUUGACUAAAAAUUCCAUAAAUUGACAAGAGAAAGGAACAAACAUAGACAGAUGUCAAAGUGGGUCCCACAAAAAGUAAAAAAAUGCUGACAUGGCAAAUUAGUCCAAACUAUGUGGCAUCUUUUUAGUGAACGUAUAUUAAUCACAUGUGGUUCAUUUCGAUUUUCGAGGACGAACUUAAGUUAGAGUGUAGGAGUGAGUCCAUAGCAAUAGGUAGGAGUGAUUUGUUUGUAUCUGUGCCUGUAGUUUUUUGUUCGUAGUGUUUCGAGGAUGUUUGUGAUCUGGAACAAAUAGUUUAUUGUAUUAUUUUAUCCGUGUCUUGUCUCAUUGAUUAUCUAGCGGUGUAUUAUCUCAUUUUGUUGUUUAUUUUUAUGUUUUUUUUUGGUUGCUAUACUGUUAUCUGUCUUGAGCCGGAGAUCUAUCGGAUACAACCUCUCUACGUCAUUUGAAGUAGUAAUAUAGAGUGCGUACACUUUACCUUUCGAGAUCCCACUUUAAUUUACGGGAAUAUACUUGAUAUGUGGUUGUUGACCUCCAGUUCAAUGUGUUUUUCUUAUUCUUUUUUUUUUAAAAUCCAUUUUAAAAAUAAUGUUUCUUUCCUUUUUCUCAAAAUUAUUUAAUUUCAACUUUUCACGUAAUCAGAGGCGAAGCCAAAAAACUCAUUAAUUAUAAGGGUGUUUGAAAUUUAAUAUAUACGUACAUAUGUUAGCUUCGUAUAAUUUUUCGACGUAGGGUGUUCAACCAGCUAUCUAUACAUAUGGCUACGCCACUACAUGUGACACAUUUAAGAUCAGAAAAUAACAGAUCAUUUUGAUUCAUUCUAUGUAUCUUUAAUUUAAGAUUACAAGAUUAAAAAAUCUUUUUAUAUCGUAUGCAUUAAAAGAAUAUUCUUCAUAUAUUGACAUUUUGGAAAAUUAUUGAUAAUAUUCCAACUUCUAGAUCUUAUUAUAGUCCACACGUUGAGAGUUUGGAAUUACAAACAAGUCCAAAAUAUUUUUGGUGAUGAAUGUGACAUUGGUGGUGGCUUUAAUUAUUUGAUAGUAACAGUUAUUUGGUAUAAGUAAAAAGUAUUAUUCGAUAAAUAUUUAUAUAUAAUUUAGAUAAAUAUUAGUUAUGGGGUACGGUAAGAAUAAGGUUGCGUCGGGGAGGGGGCUAUGGAAAGAAAGUCAUUUUGAAUGGAAGAUUGACGAUGAUGAGGUUGCACAUCAUAUCUGAGUGGGAUAGAUGGAUGAAUUAGUAGAGGUUCGAAUCUGAUCCAAUCAUGUUUUGUGUGAUAAAUAUCUGUUGUUAAGACAAGUUAAUUAGACUAUGUUGUAUCUAGCGAAGUACUGUUGGUCGUCGGCCAAUUAAAAAAGCUCGUGUUCAGAAGUUGAAAGUAGUAGAAAUGAAACGAUAUUGAGAUGAAUGUGUGGCACAACAAGAGAGAUAAGAUUAAGAGGAAGAGAUUCAGAAUAAGGUGGAAGUGGCUUCCGCAGUAAAAAACAUGCAAAAAUUAAAACGAGGUUGAGAUAAUUUAUAGACAAAUGCAAAUGAGAUGCACAGAUGCGUUUGUUGAGGAAAUCCGAGAGGUAAGAGUAGGGUUGGGGAGGGAGCGAUGGAAAGAACGUCAAAUAAAAUGGAAUGAGGUGAGUGAAAGAUCAACGAUGAAGUGGCACAUCAUAUCUGAGUGGGAUAGAUGGGGUAAAGUAGAGGUUCGAAUCCGAUCCAAUCAUGUUUUGUGUGAUAAAUAUGUGUUGUUAAGAUGAGUUAGUUCUACAGAGUGAUUGUUGGUCAACUAUGUUGUACGAGGCAGAGACCUGUUGGUCGUUGGCCAGUUAAAAAAACUCGUGUUCAGAAGUUGAAAGUAGCAAAAAUGAGACGAUAUUGAGAUGAAUUGCGGCACACCAAGAGAGACUCGGAAUAAGGUGAAAGUGCAAAAUAACAAUCGCGUUUGGUCAUUUUUUCGAUCGGUCCAAAAGUCGAUCAAUUUUAUCAGUCAAUUUUUAUCGUAUAUUUAAUAAUAUUUAUGAUAAUAAUUAUUAAUUCUUUUUAUUCAUUUAGUUAGUUAGUUUGAUAAAAUUUACUCCAUUUUAACAAACUCAAAAGAAUUUAAAAUGCAUCUCAAUAUUACUAUUAUAUUUAGAGGUCAAAAACAAUUUUACUAUAUAAAGAAUAAUUUUGACUUAAAAUUCCAUAAAUAGACAAACCGAAAAAGAACAAUAUAGACAGAUGCCAAAGUGAGUCCCAUAAAAAGAGGAAAAAUUGCUGACAUGGCAAAUUGGUCUAAAUUACGUGGCACUUUUUAGUGAACGAAAUUAAUCACAUGUGGUUCAUUUUAGGACGAAGCCAGGUAGGACGAAGAUAGUUUUAAAACCCUCGUUGAUGAAAAAUUAUACUGUUAUUUAUAUAUGAUUAAAAUUAUUUUUAAUGUAUAUUUGUAGUAAAUGUUAAAUUCUUUCGACUGUCAAAGUGACCGUAAAAGAAAAAAGUUAUUUCAAAACCUAAUGUAUUUCAUAAAAUUAAAGUAAAUAUUUUGAAUCUUAACUUUGUUAUAAUUAAUUAGAUAAAAAAAUUAAUAGAGAAUUCUUAUAAUAUUUCUCUUCUUUCUAGUCCACACGUUAUGAGGUAAAUAGGAAUUUACAACAAAGUCUAAAUUGAUUAUUAUUUUUUUUAUGGUAAAGUUUAAAAAAUAAAAACAAUGGUUUAAACGUGCAUGGUACCUUUUUAUUUAUUUAUUUAUUUUUAUUAUUAUUAUUAUUAUUAAUUUUUUAUUUUUUUUAAUAAUGUUUUGAUAGUAACAGUUCAAGUCAGGUGCACUUGGUCCUUUUUAUGACAUCACAUAUUUUAAUUUAUUGCUUCCACAUUUUAAAGACUUUCGCUCUAACGGCAUAUUUUAAAUAACGUUUGCUAUGACGUACGCAAUAUAGACGGAUUCAAAAUUUGAAGAGUUCGAAACUUAAAUGACGAAAAAAAAGUCAAACUGAUUAUAAUAAUAACAAAAAAUAAAAAAAUAAUUACCCAAAUUAAGUAUAACCUUUUUUUUCAUGCGCUAGUUAGAGGGGCGGAUCUAUUCAUUGCCGUGGGGGUGGCACGCCACCCGCAACCUUCGACGGAAACUCUAUAUAUAUAGCUAUAUAUAUAUGUAUAUUGAUAUAAUCAAAUAUUAAAUCUGUCACUCAUAAAAAUAAAGUAAUAUCUAGUGCAAGUGGCAAAGUGCCAUUUUUGUCGCCCCUAGGUCGUGGGUUCGAUCCUAGAUUGAAGCAAUUAAAAUUUUUAAAUGUCUAAAACAUUGUUUUUAUUGAUAAAAACAGAGAAAAAAGCGUAGUAAGCAGUAGUAGACUCUAGUUGACUUAAGUUAAUACUUAAUAUUUAUUGAUUAUUUAUUUAAUGGUUAGAGAAGGUAUAAUAUAAUCUCUUAUCUCUCUCAUAAAAAAGAAAAAAAAUAUCCUAUUUCCAAAUAUCAAAACAUCGACUCUCUCUGUACUUCAACUCUUCAAGUUUGCUGCCUACUGCUACUUGCUGCCCGGUCGAUUCUCUAUCGUCGCCGGCAAAAAGCUUAUCGUUGAUCGUUUUCAGAAUACGAAAAAUUAUCGUGGGCAAUUGUAAUGAAUUAUGGAUAUUAUGAUAUUAGUAAUAUUAUUAAAAGUUUAAGUUUGGUCAUUUUAUUACUAUUCUUUUAUUAUUAAUUGAUUUGUUAAUUGUCCUAUAGACCGAAAAUAUGAAUAAUCUGACUAAUUUAAUCGAUAAGUUUACUUGGUACCCGGUGAGUCUGAAUCCUGGAUCGGCCUCUGACUAGUUAUAGGUCUUAAGUGACUGCAUAACACCUGAAAAAACUCUGUUAUACGUCUCCUAAAUUCAACUCCGGACAUCUUCUCUACCUGACUCCCGCUAGGAGUGGAGCCGAGCAGGUGAAAGGCAGUUAAAAUUAUCUUUUUUAUAAAUAAUAUACAGGGGCGGCUCAAGCGAAUUUGUGGCCUGAGGCCAAAAUCAAAUUGAGGCCUUAAACUUUUAGGAAAAAUUAACUACUUUUAAAAUUAUAUAAUGAUUUCUUUUAAUAAAUUUUUAAUUCAUAAUAUAAUCAAUGCAUUAAUUUCCUGAGACAAACUAGAUAUAUCAAAUUCCUUCUAAAUUCUUUUUAUAUAAAAAAAUUAUUUUUUCUACAAAUAAUAUUUAAUAUCUUUUUAAAAAUUUGUAAUAUAUUAUUACUAAAAAAAAUGAGGCCCCUCAAAUUUGAGGCCUUAGGCGGCCGCCUUUUUUUUGAAAGAAUAGAGCCACCCUUGAUAGUAUAUAAUUAGGAGUGGAGUCGCCUUAUGGUUAGGAGGUUUACUCAAACCUUUUUUGGCGAAAAGUUAUACUAUUUAUAUAUGGCUAAAAUUAUUUUUUAUGUAUGUAUAAUUGAUGUUGAACCCUUUCGGCUAGUUCGUCUGCCUACUUUUUUCGAUUUUAAAUUUCCUUAGUGAAAAUUUUGACUCUGUCACUGUAUAUAGUAGAUGUUUAAUUUUCAUUCGCUACUUGUGAGUUUAAUUAAUUUAUUAUAUUUUGUACCUCGUUCUUAAAAUUUCGACUCUGUCACUGUCCUCCGUUGAUCCCAUUUUUAAAUUAUUAAUUUAUUUUAACUGAAAAUAGUUUCUCUGUAAUUAAUAAACUUGUUUAUUUCUAGUCAUAACAAAGAAAAUCAAAUUAAAAAUUUAAUUAAAGUAUUAGCAGAGUCUCACUAUGCGUGCUAGCUAUUUUUUAUUUUCUACAAAUACUAGGAAUUAUUGACUUUUUUGAAUAACCAAAGUACAAAAAAAAUUAACAAAAUAUUAAUCUUGAACUAAAAUUCCCUACAUUUUUCUUGACUCGAUUAAUUAAUAUUUCUUCUUGACUUUCAUUAAUAUUCCCUACUAUUUUCUUUUGUCAUUUUAUUAAAACUAGUAGCAGGUUAUAUUUUCAAUAUUUUCUACAUAAAUUAAAGAUCUAGAUAUAUAUGUACGUGUUAAAAAAUUUAUUAAAACAUCAACAUAAAAAAAAAACUUACAAAUUAAAAGACAUGCUCAUAAAUCUAAUAUUAAAAAUUUACAAACAAGCUCGAUAAAUUUAAAUUUUUAAUCCGCCUUGUAAAAUCCACUCAAAAAAGAAUAAAUAUUUGAUAAGUUAGGACUCAAUUAUUAAGUACUUAUCAUAAAGGACAAGUAGGAGGAAUAAACAAAGAAAAAUGUCAUAGUGGGUCCCACAAAAAUAUAAAAAAUUGCUAAGUUGUCAAAUUCUGUCCAAACUACGUGGCACCAUAAAAAACAGAUUUAUUACUACUAACUACCUCUAAUUAUUUAUCAUUUUUAUAAAAUUUAAGAUAAAAUUAAUUAUUUUUUCGUUUAUUCUUGAAAGAUUAUUAAAUUCCCUUAUGCUGAUUUGUAUGUGUACUUUUAAAUUCCUCAAUGAAAAUUUUUGCUCUGCUACUGCCCUCAAGGAAGUGAUAUGAGCUGCAUGCACUUUAAUUUAUUCUUUCAGAUCUCACUUUAUGCGAGUAUAAUAGAUAUAUUAUUGUCGUUGUAUAUACUCCCGUUUCAUUCUACUCGAUCCUUAUAAACUUAAACACACCAGUUAUAUAACCGCAGCGAAAAAACUUACCCACAUCGAGCAUUUACACCAAGUCAAUACAUGCAUGCAACAGGAAGAGAAGUCUUGGAGUAACUGGUAAAGUUGCUAUCAUGUGACCAGGAGGUUACGGGUUCAAGCCUUGUAAACAGUCUCUGGCCGAAAUGUAAGGUAAGACUACGUAUGAUCAAUACACUUUUGUGGUGUGACCCUUCUUCGAACAUCACGCAUAACAAUAGCUUUAAUGCACCGGGCUGCCAAUAUAUGCAUGCAACUAUCUGAAUCUAAAAAUUCAUUUUACUUAAUCAUACUUAAUUAGCAUAUAUUUCACUUUACUAAAUCACUUAACCACAAUAAACUAUAUUAUUAUAAAAUUUUACUUAUACAACCCCACCUUUCGUGACACAAUAGAACGACUCUGUAAUAGAUCUUGUGAUCUAAUUCUUUUCAAACCCACAUGCAUACAGGGGAUUUUAGUGUACUCAGUUGGUUAUAUACUCCCCCCCUACCUUUCGUGACACAAUAAAACGACUCUGUAAUAGAUCGUGAUCUAAUUCUUUUCAAAUCUCGGUUGGUUAUAUACCCCCCUCCCCAACACAAUACAAUUACUGUAUGCAACAAAUCAUGUGAUCUGUUCCUUUCUCGAAUCCGCAUGCAUGCAACAAACUUUAGUGCAGCGAAUAAGUUAUAUACGACGACCCCACCUUAUGAUCUGACUCUUUCUUAAAUUCAUAUACAUGCAAGGAGCUUUAGUGCAGCGGACCAGUUACAUCAUAGUAACACCACCACCUUCCAAGAGACAACACAACCAAACAAACAAAACAAUAAAUUCUAUCCAACAACACACGAGGAAGUUAAAUCAAACGUGGUCCUCCUCUUCUUCUUCAUCUUCAUCAUCACUAUCUCCCCCACCGCGUAGUCCAACACACGGCCUGUUGACCUCCCUUUUAACACUCUCACUCUUCACUACUCCCCCCCCACCCCCCAACAUAUAUAUAUAUAGCCGCCAAUUCCAAAUUCUAACAAUUACCCACAUCCUAAUUCACAAACCCCACCUCAAAUCCACAAAAAUCUUGAAAAAAGAAAUGGUGAAAAAUGGUAAGAAUUCAUCGUCGUCGUCGUCAAUGAGUUCGAUGUACAGGGGAGUAAGAAAGAGGAAAUGGGGGAAAUGGGUGUCGGAAAUUAGAUUACCAAAUAGUAGAGAAAGAAUAUGGUUAGGAUCAUAUGAUACACCUGAAAAAGCUGCUAGGGCUUUUGAUGCUGCACUUUUUUGUUUAAGGGGUAGUAAUGCUAAUUUUAACUUCCCCAAUUCUCCGCCGGAGAUCGUUGACGGUAGGUUGAUGACUCCGGCGGAGAUUCAGGUCGCUGCGGCAAGGUUCGCUAAUCGGGCCGGGCCUGAGGAGGAGGGGGGAGAGAACCGGGCCGGGCUGAGGGAAAAUGGCAUGUCUGAUCGAUCAUCAUCAGACACUGAGGAUAUGUCUUUACAGUCCGAAUCACCGGAGAGUGAAAAGACAGAAAUGACCUCGGCCUGGGCCCGGUUAGUGAAUAAUGAUAAUUUAGAGAAUUGGGCCAGGCUGAGGGAGAGCCCGAAUUUUUAUCCUUCGUCGUCGUCUUCGGAUGUGUUUGUACGGGCCGAAUCACCUUGUGUAGAAAGUGAAAAGACAGAAAUGACCUCGGCCAGAUUAGGAAAUAAUGAUUUAGAGAACCUGGCCGGGCCAAGCGAGAAUUUUUAUCCACCUGAUAUGUUCUAUCGGGCUGAAUCGUCUUCGGUAUCGUUAUCUAAUAGAAUGGGAAGUAAAAAGACUGAAAUGACCUUGACUCGAUUUGCAAAUAAUGGUUUGGAGAAUUGGGCCGGGCCGACGGAGAACCCUUAUUUGUAUCCGUGGUCAUCGUCUUCGAAUAUGUAUUUACAGGCCGAAUCGCCUUCGGUAUCAUUAUCUAAUAGAGUGGAAAGUGAAAAGACAGAAAUGACCUUGGACCGGGCCGGGCCAAGGGAGAACCCUUAUUUGUAUCCUUCAUCGUCGUCAUCGGACAUGUUUUUACGGGCCGAAUCGCCUUCCCUGUCGGUAUCCAACAUAGUGGAAAGUGAAAAGACGGAAAUGACCCUGGACAAUGGAUUUAUGGACAUGUUUUCGUCGUUAGGGACGGUUAACGAUAUGUCUAAUUUCGGAAUUUUCCCAGGUUUUGAUGAUUUAUCUGGUGAAUUUUUUGUACCACCAGAACAACAAAUGCCUAAUUUGGAAUCAUCAGAAGAACAAGAAAUUAAUUAUUUGGAUUAUGAUGGAUUUAAUUCACAAGGAUCUUCAUUUCUUUGGAACUUUUAAAGGGUAAAAAUGUCAUUAUAUAUAUCCAUAAUGGUUAAUAUAGAGUUUAUAAAAUUAGGAAAAAGUUUAAGAUAUUAGUGAUAAUUAUUAGAGGAAAUUAUUUGAAUUUAGUUGGUUUUGUAGACAAUUCUAGACAUUUUUUGGUUGCUAGAAUUGCUAUAACAUAUGGAAUUUUUUGUACUUAAAAGGAUGUAAUUUUUAGUAAUUUUAUUGGUUUACUAUAAGGUCCAUAUGUUGUUUUUGUUCAUCAAAUAAUGUGACGGAAUGAAUGAGAUUUGUUCGAUUCUAGUUACGUAUUUGCCUUUCAAAUAUGAUUCAUGUAAAUAGAGAAAUCUAUAUAGUAUUUUUCUUUUUUUUUUUUUUACUAAAGAAAGUCGUAACGGCUGUAUUUUAGGUGCGCACGAGCUAAACCACCUUUCAAUAUAAAUAACCUUCAAAUAAUACUAGACAAAGUCCGUAUUGAUUCACAACAUUAACUUGUGAAUGCAAAAGAUUCUAUUAAAAAGGAAAAUCGUAACACGAACUCGAUCGAGAAGACAUUUCGAACCUAAAAAAUCCCCAUUCGGAGUAUCACAUAUUCAACCAUCUCGAUUACUCUUGCAAGUCCUCUGUAAUAAAUUGCAUUUUCUUAUUUAGAACUACAACUUACCUAGUGAAAUUCCACAUAGUAUAUAAUAUACACAUACCAUACCACUCUCUCGUAUGAGGUAGAGUCAGUGGCGAACCCAAGAUUUAGAGGUUGUGGGUGCACGAAAGGUUUGAAACACACAUACUGACGUCCAACGUUUUAAGGUUCUGUCUUAAAAUUAAGACACACCGACUAUCUUCUUGGCUUACUAUUGAAAAAGAAAAUCGUAACCCAAACUCGACCGAAAAAAUAUUUCGAACUUGAAAAAUCUCCAUUCGGAGUAUCACAUAUUCAACCAUCUCGAUUACUCUCGCGAGUCCCCUAUAAAAAAAUUGCAUUUUCAUCUUUAGUACUACAACAAGAACAACAACUUACCGGAUGAAAUUUCACAUAAUACAAUAUACACAUACCAUACCACUCUUUCGUACGAGGUAGAGUCAGUGGCGAACCCAAGAUUUAAAGGUUGUGGUGCACGAAAGGUUCAAAACACACAUACUGACGUCCAACGUUUUAGGGUUCUACCUAAAAACGAACACACGCAACUAUAUCAAAUUUUUUAAAUUUUAUACUAGAUUUUAUACAUUUUUCAUAUAAUUAUACCUAAUCUGCGCUGAAUUUAAUGGAUGUAGGAGCACCUUAUAAGUGAAUUUAAUGGAUGUAGGAGCACCUUAUAAGUCCAUCCUGAGGUAGAGUGAAUGUUUUCAAAAGACACUCGGCUCAAAUUAUUAAUAAAUUUAACUUAUUAAUUUUGAAUAUCAUAUAAUUAUAAUUUAUUAUUUUUUUUUUUUUUAAUUUUUUUUUUCAUUGUCUCCUUAUUACUAUGCCUAUAAUCAAUACACAUAUGCUCCCUCUUCUUUGAGGGUUUCUUUUCUUUUCUUUUCUUUUUUUAUUUUUUUUAUUUUUCUUCAUUUUAAUCCAAACCCCAAUUACCCUUUUUCAAUUUUUUUUUUUUUUUUUAAAUUUAGUUUUAUUUUUUUUUAUUUUGAAUUUCAAGAAAAUGAUGCAACAGCAAAGACUGAAACAACAACAAGCAUUGAUGCAGCAAUCCCUUUAUCAUCCUGGUCUUCUUGCACCCCCUCAGGUGAAUUUUACCUUUUUUACCCUUUAAAAAUGUAGUCUUUAUUUAUUUAUUUAUUUAUUUAUUUUUGUAAUUUUGUGUUUUGGAUUACUUGUUUGAGUGAAUUAAUAAUAAUAGUAUGUUGUGGUUUAAUAGUUUGAAUGUCAAUGGAGCUGUUAGCUAAUUUUUGUUUGUUUUGAUAACUGUUGUGUUUGGUGUUCAGGCCAAGUUAUUAGCUACUUUUUGUUUUGUUGAUAAUCGCGGUGUCUGAGUCAGCUUGAUACUCGUGGUGUGUGUGUUAGCUUGCGUGCACCCCUUGACUAAUUGUUCGAGGUGUUCGCGACUUAGCAUUGUAUUUUGAGUGAGUGAAUAACCUGUAGUGGUGUUUAAUAAUCUGAAUAUUAAUUGAGCUAUUAGCUAUUUUGUUUAUGUUUUGAUAGCUGUGGUGUUCGGGCCAACUUGCGUCUACCUUGAGUAAUUGUUCGAGCUAUUAGCUACUGUUGUUUUGUUGAUAAUCGUGGUGUCUGUGUCAGCUUGAUUGCACCUUUGACUAAUUCCUUGAGCUAUUAGCUACUUGAUAAUCGUGGUGUCUGUGUCAACUUGCGUGCAUCUUGACUAAUUAUUUGAGCUGUUAGCUACUUAGCAUUGUAUUUUGAGCUAAUAGCAUUGAGCUAAGUAGCUAUUUUUUUAUGGUUUGAUAGCUGUGGUGUUUGGGCCAGCUUGCGUGCACAUUGACUAAUUCAUCAAGUUAUUAGCUACUUUUGUUUUGUUGAUAAUCGCGGUGUCUGAGUCAGCUUGAUUUAACCUUUUACUAAUUCCUUGAGCUGUUAGUUAUUGUACUUUUUCCUUGAUGCUCGUGGUGUCUGAGUCAACUUGCUGCACUUUGACUAAUUGUUCGAGGUGUUAGCUACUUAGCAUUGUAUUUUGAGUGAGUGAAUAACCUACAGUUGGUUUAAUAGUCUGAAUAUCAAUUGAGCUAUUAGCUAUUUUUUGUAUGUUUUGAUAGUUGUGGUGUUCGGGCCAACUUGCGUGUACCUUGACUAAUUGUUUGAGCUAUUAGCUACUUUUUUUUGUUGAUAAUUGUGUUGUUUGCACCUUUGACUAAUUCCUUAAGCUGUUAGCUACUUGAUAAUAGUGGUGUUUGAGUCAACUUGCGUGUGUCUUGACUAAUUAUUUGAGCUGUUAGCUACUUAGCAUUGUAUUUUGAGCUAAUAGCAUUGAGCUAUUAGCUAUUUUUCUUUGGUUUGAUAGCUGUGAUGUUUGGGCCAGCUUGUGUACACAUUGACUUAUUCAUCAAGUUAUUAGCUACUUUUGUUUUGUUGAUAAUCGUGGUGUCCGAGUCAGGUUGAUUGAACCUUUUACUAAUUCCUUGAGCUGUUAGUUAUAGUACUUUUUUUUUCCUUGAUGCUCGUGGUGUCUGAGUCAACUUGCUGCACUUUCACUAAUUGUUCGAGGUGUAGCUACUUAGCAUUGUAUUUUGAGUGAGUGAAUAACCUGUAGUGAAGUUUAAUAGUCUGAAUAUCAAUUGAGCUAUUAGCUAUUUUGUUUAUGUUUUGGUAGCCGUGGUGUUCGGGCCAGCUUGCGUGCGCCUUGACUAAUUAUUCGAGCUAUUAGCUACUUAGUAUUGUUAUUUUCUUUAUUAUUGAUUUUGUGAUUCUGUUUUCUUUUCUUGAGUUAAUGGUCAAAAACACACAUAAAGUAUCACCUUUUUUUGUGAGUUUCCUAACUGAAUUAUCACGUUCUUGAGUUACCUACGUUUUGUGAGUUUCCUAACUGAACUAUGGAAUGUUCACUUUUCCUUAACUAUCAGAACACGUUCCCUUUUCCUAACGGAAAAAAUAUGGUGUGUUUCAAUAAAAUUUCCUCAUAGUUCAUUAUGAAACUCGAAAAGUCGGGAUACUUUUAGGUGUAUUUUCGACCCUUCACUCUUUGUCUUUUUUAUUUCAUAGCUUGUUUUUCGGUGGUUGUUUGUUUGAGUGAAUAAUCAGUACUGUGUUUAAUAGUCAGAAUAUCAAUUGAGUUAUAUUAGCUACUUAGCAUUGUAUUUUCAUUUCUGUGUUGUUUGUUUCGAUAUUGCGUUUGUGAUUUUGGGUUCUUUUCUUUUUUUCUUAGUUUGGCUGGUAAUUUCUCGUUGUUAAUUCUCUCAAAGAUUUGAUUUUUCCUAUUAUUCAAGGAAGUAUUUGCCAUCUUUAGGUUUUGACCUCUAAACAUAUAUCAGAUUUCGCAUGUCCACUGAAGCUACAACCGUCGUGUUUUCAUUUCUGGUUUUGGUUUAUUUGAAUAUUGAGUUUUUGAAACUAAACGAUUUAGCUCGUACAUUGGUUUACAAGUUUCAAUAUCAAAGUAGCUACUAGACAACAUUGCGUCCAAAUUUUUGUUAUCCAUUUGUCAUCUUAGUAUGUAAUGGAUGUACCAGUCUGAACAUCAAUAAAAAGCGACAUGUGUUCCAUUUCCACUUCCGACUUUUUCAAUCUUACGUACUCUUGAACAUUGGCAAUUCGAGUCUAGAUUCUAUUUGUUUGUUCUUCUUAUCUCGUGCUUGGGUUAUUACUUGGUUCCUGAGAGAAAUAUGACAUAUAGGAGAAAAUUUCUGAGUUUACAAGCUUGUAAAUGAUUAGAACAUGUGAAUGAGGUUUGGUCAUAUAGUGUUUUGUGAAAGACAAUUGCUUUGCAGUACUUCUAACAAAUUUGUUUCGUGUUAAAGGAUUUUAAUAGCAUGCGGGGACAUUAUUGAGUCUUAUGCCUUUGUGUAUAUUAGCUACUUUUGUUUUGUUGAUAAUCGUGGUGUCUGUGUCAGCUUGAUUGCACCUUUGACUAAUUCCUUGAACUGUUAGCUACUUUGUGUUUUUGAUACUUGCUGUGUAUGAGUCAGCUUGCGUGCACCUUGACUAAUUAUUCGAGCUGCUAGAGACUUAGCAUUGUAUUUUGAGUGAGUGAAUAACCCGUAGUGAAGUUUAAUAGUCUGAAUAUCAAUUGAGCUAUUAGCUAUUUUGUUUAUGUUUUGGUAGCUGUGGUGUUCGGGCUAGCUUGCGUGUACCUUGACUAAUUGUUCGAGCUAUUAGCUACUUAGUAUUGUUAUUUUCUUUAUUAUUGAGUUUGUGAUUCUGUUUCUUUUCUUGAGUUAAUGUUCAAAAGCACACAUAAAGUAUCACCUUUUUUUGUGAGUUUCCUAACUGAAUUAUCACGUUUUGUGAGUUUCUAACAGCACUAUUGAAUGUUCACUUUUCCUAAUGAACUGUUGGAGCACGUUCCCUUUUCCUAACUGAAAAAUGUGGUGUGUUUUCCUCAUAGUUCAUUAUGAAACUCGAAAAAUCGGGAUACUUUUAGGUGUAUUUUCGACCCUUCAUUCUCUUGUAUUUUUAUUUCAUAGCUUGGUUUUCGGUUGUUUGAGUGAAUAAUCUAUACUGUGUUUAAUAGUCUGAAUAUCAAUUGAGUUAUAUCAGCUACUUAGCAUUGUAUUUUCAUUUCUGUGUUGUUUGAUUCGAUAUUGCGUUUGUGAUUUUGGGUUCUUUUCUUUGUUUCUUAGCUUGGCUGGUAAUUUCUCUUUGUUAACUCUCUCAAAGAUUUGAUUUUUCCUAUUAUUCAAGGAAGUAUUUGUCAUCUUUAAGGUUUUGAUCUCAUAACAUAUUUCAGAUUUCACACGUUCAAUGAAGCUACAACCGUCAUGUUUUCAUUUCUGGGUUUUGGUUUAUUUGACUAUUGAGUUUUUGAAACUAAACGAUUUAGCUCGUACAUCGGUUUACAAGUUUCAAUAUCUAAGUGGUUACUAGACAUUGUGUUCAAAUUUUGGUUACCCAUUUUUCUUCUUAGUAUGUAAUGGAUGUACCAGUCUGAGCAUUAAAAAAAAAGCGACAUGUGUUCCAUUUCCACUUCUGACUUCUUGAAUUUUACGUAUGCUUGAACGUUGACAAUUCGAGUCUAGGUUCUAUUUGUUUGUUCGUGCUUGGGUGACUACUUGGUUCUUGAGAGAAAUAUGAUAUAUAGGAGAAAAUUUCUGAGUUUACAAGCUUGUAAAUGAUUAGAACAUGUGAAUGAGGUUUGGUCAUAUAGUGUUUUGUGAAAGACAAUUGCUUUGUAGUACUUCUAACAAAUUCGUUUCGUGUUAAAGGAUUUUAAUAGCAUGCGGGAACAUUGCUGAGUCUUAUGCGUCUUAUGCCGUCGUGUUUUAAGUCAUCAAGGGAGCAGGAGGGAAAGCCAGUGUUGACUCCUCGGAAUGGGAUAUCGGAGGGUUUUAUCAUUUGAAAAAGAUAUCAUAUCGGAGGGUUUUAUCAUUUGAAAAAGAUAUCUUUUCAAGUUUUUGAAGAGUAGGGUCCAUGGGAUGUUCAAAUUUUCCUUUCCUUCUUACGGAGUUUCACGAUUUCCUGAAAUGAUUGAUAAAAAGCAAAUUUUCGAAAUCCUUGGGGUGGGGCAUAGCAACUAACCGGCUCCUUCAUAUGUCCUUUCUCUUCAUCUUUUGUACAAUGCGCACUGUCGUUCUUUUAUGGUACCCUGAAUCACUGUUCGUAGAUUCUUUCUGGACUAUUACUGUGACUGAAUGUUAGCAUUUACUGACAUUUUGUUACUACUAUUUAUUUACAGAUAGAGCCCAUCUUGAGCGGAAAUCUGCCUCCCGGAUUUGAUUCUAGUACUUGCAGGAGCGUGUGAGUGCCUUAUUCAUUUUAUGUCUGAUAAUUUAUCUCAUGUCUCACUUUUUGCAGUUAUAAGAUAUUUUUCUUGUUUUUUUGGCUAAGGUCGAGUGUAGGAUAUGCUCUUAUCAGUUUUGCAGUUAUAGGAGCGAUAGUUUGAACAGUGACGCGUCAUCAACUUUAUUGCAUUAAGUACAGAAUUUUGCGGUCCAGAUUCCGAAAUUGCAACAUCUAACUAGCAUCUGUUGGCUGUAAGGUCUCUGGUCUGCUAAAGGGAGGACAUCGAAAUGAGUGAAAUAUUAGGCUGUUUCGGUGGCAAUCAAGCUUCCACCCUAGGUUUUCUCUUGUUAGAAGAAAGUAAAGGGGAGAAAUGGUUGCAAGGGUGGGGUGGGGGUGUGGGGUGGGGUGGGGGGGUCAGUGGACAAUUUUAAUGACAGUGUAAGACAAUUUUAAAGACAGUAUAAUUAGUAGUAUCUUGACCAUUUCGCUAGGACUUACUUGCAUUGACAUAAGACUAACUUGCCAAUUGCCCAUGUUAGCUUAUCUUAUUCUUCCUGACAACAACAACAACAACAACAAACCCAGUGUAUUCCUACACAGUGGGUAUCGUAUUCUUCUUGAAUUGUCUCGAAUUACCUACGGAGUUUGAGGGAUUCACUUUUAUCCAUAUAGUGAAUAAUUCCGGAAUUAAAUAAAGAAGGCUUGUUUAGUUUAAUAAAUUCAAAUGAUUUGGGGCACAAAAUCUGCCGUGGAUGUUAAAAUGCCCCCAUAGAAAUGAGAGUGAUGUUGACUUGCUACUUGAGAUCCCCCAAAAGAAACCGAACACUGUCCUUUUAUGGAUUAACCUAUCAACUAUUGGUGAAGCCUGAAGAAAUUACAGCCUGAUCAUUGGAUUAUCGUCCCAAAAAUCAAUUACGAGGGUGGCUGCUGCUUGGAAAUAGAAAAUGCCGUUCUGACAAUCUACCCUUAUGUGUGACAAUCUAUGCGUUUGAGUAUUUUCCAUAUUGGUGCAAGCACCCACAUACAAGUUAACAAUUGUUCUUUUAUCUAUUUCUUCUAUGAAUCUUAUUUAUCAAGCACGUUCUUGUGUGUACUUACAAGAGGAAUGGUUAUUAUUCUUCUGAUAACCUUUUUUGCUUUUGACAUGAUCGGAUACAGGUAUGUUGGAAACAUCCACUCACAAGUCACAGAACCACUUCUUCAAGAGGUUUUUGCCAGCACCGGUCCCCUUGAGGGAUGCAAGCUCAUAAGAAAGGACAAGGUACGGUCUUGUUUUGCUUACAAGAUAAGCCAUGAGAAUCAGUUGAAAAAUCUCACCUAACUACAAUAGUUCAAUUGAUCAAUGUGGUAAUUCUUUACCUCAUCAAACAUGUUAAGGUCUUUUUAUUUGGCAUAUGUUGUUUUAUGGUAUUUGUGUGCUGGAGACAGUCUAAAUUGUGCUGGAUGUUCGAAUUUCAUGAAUUACUUAUGAGCUCUUGUAGAUGAAAAUAUCUUGGUCUGAAUCCAUUGUUGUUUUUCCUUUUCACAAGUUAUUCACGAUGACAUUGUUGGUCUUAUCCUUGAUUUUAUGUUUCUGAGGAAACUUGUCUAACAAGAACAAGGCAGAUUAGUUAAGGGUAUUUCUUAGUGUUGAAUCUAGUGCAGAAGAUAUUUGUCUGUCUUCGUCUAGAAUUCUUAUUGAUAACUUGGAUCAUCGUAAGUAUUGCAUACUUUUUAGUACAUUUAUUUUAUUGCAAGUUUGUAACGCUAUGAAGCUGUUUGAUUUGUUGUAUAAGCUGUGUUAAAGGUCAACUACAUGUUACUGGAUUUUUUGAAAUAGUACAAGUGUCUUUAAAAUCGUGCAACUUUCCAGAUAUUUGGUUUUAUAAUAGAAAAUCAUAUUAAUCUCCGUUAAUACUUGCUAAAACAUUUGGAGUGUUUUUCUGUUGUCGUAUCUAUAUUAUCAUUCUUUAUAUUGAUCAUAUUAUGUUCCAAUUUGUUAAUCUUGACAAUUGAGGUAUAGCCUAACGAUAUAAGGACUCUCUAACCAUAAGUUGGAGGUUCGAGUCUCCUAGGGAGAACAACAGGGAAACGUUGCAAUUUAGACAGCCCCGAUCAAUACUGAUUUAUACAUGUAUAAAUCACUAAAUCAGUAGUUCAUCUCAAGUCUGAAAAUGGUUCAAUAUUAUCCCGUUGGUUGUUGUGUGAUUUAUUAGUACGAGAGUGAUAUAUGAUGAUUCUCUUACAAUGCAGUCAUCCUAUGGUUUUGUGGAUUACUUUGAUCGCCGAUCAGCUGCGCUUGCCAUUGUGACGCUUAAUGGAAGGCACUUGUAAGGAACUUUAACAAAAUUUUUACUUGAUAAUUCAAUAGUUGCUGCAUGGUUCGGCCUAACUUGUAAAUCACAGGUUUGGACAGCCGAUAAAAGUUAACUGGGCGUAUGCCAGUGCCCAAAGAGAGGACACAUCUAGUACGUAUCUUACACACCUCCAUUUUUGACCCUCUUAAUAUUACAUUAUUUUGUAAGAACUAAAAUGAUUUCUUCUCACUUACAGGUCAUUUUAACAUAUUUGUGGGUGAUCUUAGUCCGGAAGUUACAGAUGCCACAUUGUUUGCUUGCUUUUCAGUAUACACUAGCUGCUCGUACGUUAGUCUUUGUUUGUUUUGUACUAAGGGGUCGUUUGGUAGGAGGGAUAAGGAUAACUCAUCCCGGGAUUAAUUUAGAAGAGGAGCUUAUCCCAUGUUUGGUUGGGACAAAAUGCAUGGGAUAACACAUCCCGGGAUUAGUUAUCCCGGGAUUAUAGUGUUUUUCUUAUCCCUCCUUGAGGGUGGGAGAAUCCCGGAAUAACUUGUUUUCCGACCAAACAACCCCUACAUGUUCUUCUGGCAUUUGUAUUCAGCAAACGGCUUAUAGUACUUAAUGCUACAUUAAUAUUUUCUCUUGCAGAGAUGCAAGAGUGAUGUGGGAUCAGAAAACAGGCCGUUCAAGAGGGUUUGGGUUUGUUUCCUUCCGUAAUCAGCAGGUAUUAAGCUAGCUAAAUACUAUCUUCCGANNNNNNNNNNNNNNNNNNNNNNNNNNNNNNNNNNNNNNNNNNUUCCGAUCCUUUACAGUUUGCUCAUCCUUAACCCCCAAGCUCACCCAGAGAAAAAAACGAAAAGCAUUUGUUGUUUGGCGUUUUAAUCAUCUCAUGUACUUGUGUGGUAUGUUUUGUGCAGGAUGCCCAAAGUGCUAUAAACGACUUGAAUGGUAAGAUCAAAUGUUUGGCAUAUACUAGUAUACAAUCUUGUUUCUCCAUUAUGUUUGCUCUCGACAAUCUCAUCAAAUUAAGACCAUGGUGUCUUUAGUGAAUUUUUUUACCAUCCAUAUACUAUUUGAAAAUUGCGGCUGUGCCUAUUUAUAUUCCUGACGUUGGUUUGAUGGUAAACCUAUAUGUGAAUUGGAAUAACGUGGUUGCGGCAGCUUCUCAAAAAAAUGCGGUUGUGCCCUAUUUAUACUCCUUACAGUGACUGAGGGUGUUAAAAUGGAAGCGGCCGACCUAAAAUCAUUUGGAAUGAAGUCUAGAAGGGCCUAAAGUUUUUUAGAGAUCCAUGUAGACUUAGCGAAAGAUAAGACACAAUGGAACAAACAGAUCGAUAUAGGAAAUAUCUGUUUAUUCUCUCUGUACCUAUUAUGUGAGUCUCUUUCCAUUUUAGUCAGUUAAUCCCACAAGGUGUAAGUCUGGGGAGGGUAGAGUGUCGCAGACCUUAUCCCUACCUUGCGAUGUAGAGAGGCUGUUUCCGAUAGUGUCCCUCGGCUCAAGGAGAAACAUUUCAAAGCAGGCCAAAAAAAGACAUAGCAGAAGUGAAGAAAUCAUAGCAAAAUACUAUGGAAAGCAUGACAAAGCAUUCUGAAAAAAUGAAUAGUAACUACAACACAAUUAAAAAUAAUAACUACUACAAUUUUUUUUUAUAAAAAAAUACAACAAAAUAAUAUGAUAUUCAAAGUACAUGAAGUACAUGAAAUUACGGGAGUAAUACUACGGCUACUAAUAUGGAAGGAUAAGCGAAAAAAUGCUCUACUACCUACUGACUUUUCUACUCUAUAACUUUAAUCACGAGGGAGGUUAUUGUUAUAGAGGCAAACCUGGGAGUCUCUGAUAUUAUCCCUUAUUAUUUCAGAUAAUUUUGACAUGUCGGUGAUGAUUCAUAUAGCCGAGCAGUAGUAGUUGUUGGUUUGAUGGUACAAAUGCUUCUCUUAAUUUUUGCUGAGGGCCCUUACUUUAUGUUUGCACUGUAUGUCUUUAAUUUUCAGAAGAAACUAGAUAGAUCUCCGACUUCUGCCAGUGACCAUUCCAAUCUAGUUCCAUCUAGAUUUUCUUGUGAUAAAUCUGAAUUUCUACCGCGUUUUUGUUCAAGUAUAUGCAAAAAAAAAAUUAAAAAAAUUCUAAGAUGAUGGACGAAAACAAUUCAAUCUAAUUCGUAAUGAUUAAGGAAUACAAGGAUUGAUGCUAUCUUUCCUUUUAUUAAUUUUACUUUCAAGUUUCAUAUGGCUAAUUAGUUAGCUUCAUGCCAUCUUUACUUUAUCAUUUUAGAAUAGUGAAUUCCAUCGACAACGUCUUGGUUUUCUUUUAUUACCUAUUGGUAACCUAAUAGUGAAUUCUAUCGAAGACUCUCGUGGUUUUCUUUAUUACAGUCUUUACCUGAUUGAAACUUUUUGCUGAUUGAAAACAAAAGGUAAGUGGCUUGGAAGCAGACAAAUCCGCUGCAACUGGGCAGCAAAAGGUGCUGCUGGAGCCAAUGAUGACAUGCAGAGUUCAGAUGCCAAAAGUGUUGUUGAACUGACAGCUGGAACGUCAGGUUGGUUUUGUUGAAUGCCUUUUUUCUGGCUACCACUGCUGUUGUCUUCGCCUAUGUUGCUCGGGACUCUUCAAAAAUGUCGAUGGGUGUGUGUCGGAUCCUCCAAAAAUAGUGUAUUUUUGAAGGGUCCGACAUGGGUGCGACAACAUUUUUGGAAAGUCUGAGCAACUUCGGUCUUCGCUGCAUAAUAUUUCAACUUCUGAUGGCUGAGAGUCUCUGCUCGUUUAAAGUUUAAACAUCUGUAUGUUUUCAGUGUUUUCUAUUUCAAUUAGCUUCAGAUUUCGCGUAGGAUCUUUAAGUAUAGACCAGAGCACGUGCCAUAUUAUAUGGACUUCCGACUCUGGACUGUGCUAUAUACCUAAAUCUUCUAUCAAAUUAAUGUGAAGUUGUGAACUAUAAAUGUGACGUGAAGUUCUUAAAUAUGCCUGGCGGUUGGCCUAUCCUUGUUUAUUAUGGAACUUCUAUCCCGAAGAUCUUCAUGUUGUUUAUAUUUUCGUUAUGUAGAUGAUGGUCAAGAGAAGGCCAAUGAAGACGCUCCAGAAAACAAUCCCCAGUAUACGACCGUUUAUGUUGGCAACCUUGCUCCUGAAGUAAGUACCGUUCGAACCUUUUAACCUCCAUUUCUUAUUAACUUAUUGUAAGUUGUAGGCGGAUCAGUCACCGCACUCUUUUUGGCCUUGUUUUUUGAAGUUUUACAUCUCGUUAGGAUGAACAUCGAGAUGCAUAAAGGAUUACCAAGAGUCGAUGUGAUUUAAGUAAUAUAUGACUAUGUCAGAAGGGGAAAUAUUGUUGGGACUCGGGAGCUUCAUGAUUAGCAUUUUCUUCUAUAUUCUUUCAGGCAAUACGACUUCAGCUUCUAUUCCUCCUAUGCUGUCAGUUGGUUUUUAGGUGUGGAAGGGGACCUCACAACCCCUCGUCUUGUAAAAAGGGGAGAAAGAGAUGCACCCUCCUCCCAAUUUAUGUGCGUGUUUGUCUAGCCGCGAAGUCUAAGAAAGAAAGACUAAAAAGUAUUACGUAAAUUGGGACGGAGGGAGUAUAAAUCUUAAGCUUAGUCGGGAGGAAUUUCUUUGCAAUUAUUUAGAAGAUCUCGUUGAUCUGACUUCCCGUUGUGUUUUUAGGUUACUUCACUUGACCUCCAUCGUCAUUUUCAUGCUCUUGGAGCUGGUAUUAUUGAAGAUGUCCGUAUUCAAGCAGGCAAAGGUUUUGGUUUCGUUAGGUACAGCAGUCACGCUGAAGCAGCUCGAGCUAUUCAGUUGGGAAAUGCUCGAAUCCUCUUUGGUAAACCUGUUAAGGUACUGUCUUAUAUCGCGAUAUGAACUUUUAUCGUGUCAUAAUCUCUCCGAACCAACAUAGACAAAACCGAAAUAAUCCUGAAGUAUAACGUCAAUUUUUCUGUUUCGGUCUGCAGUGCUCGUGGGGAAGCAAGCCGACACCACCAGGAAGCAGUUCCAACCCCCUACCACCACCUGCUAUCGGACAACUCCCCGGUAUUUCAGCCAUGGAUCUUGCAGCGUACGAGAGGCAACUUGCUUUGGCUAAGAUGGCUGGUAUGCAGACACUCAUGCAUCCACAGGGCCAGCGAAUUGGUGGCGCUCCUAGUCAGGCUAUGUAUGAUGGUGGCUACGGAAGCAUUGCUUCCACGCAGCCACCGAUGUACUACUAGUCGAUUGAUUAAUCAAUAAAAGCAACUUGUAAACACACCUGUUGUUGCUACUUCACUUAUAGGAUCCUUUUUAUUUCCUAUUUAUUGUUAGUUUUUUCACAGCAUGCAUGGAAUAUAUAUAUGUUGUAUUCUGUUUGAGAAUGAAGGUUUUAAUUUCUUUUUUGCUAAUACUAUGGCCGAGGGUCUAUCGGAAACAACCUCUCUACUUCUUCGGAGGUAGUGGUAUGGACUGCAUACAUUUUACCCUCCCAAGGCCUCACUUUGUGGGAAUAUAUUGGGUCUGUUGUUGUUGUUUUGCUAAUACUAUGGUAGUUCAUGUCUCGGAGUAACCGGUAAAGUUGCUGUCAUUAUUGUCGUGUGAUCAGGAGGUCACGGGUUUAAGCUGUGGAAACAACCUCAAGCAUAAAUGCCAGGUAAGGCUGUGUACAAUACAUCGUUGUGGUGGGAUCCUUCCCUGGACCUGAGCAUAGUGAGAGAGCUUUAGUGCAUCGAACUGUCUUUUUCGUACUAUGGUAGUUCAUGCAUCAGAGUAGCUGGUAAAGUUGCUGUUAUUGCUGUCGUGUGAUCACGAGGUCAUAGGUUUAAGUCGUUAAAAUGACUUUUAGCAGAAAUGCAAGGUAAAGCUGCGUACAAUACAUCGUUGUAGUGGGACCCUUUCUCGAACUUGAGCAUAGCGGGAGCUUUAGUGCAUCGAACGUUUUUUUCUUACUAUGGUAGUUCGUUUCUUGAGCAAUUAUUUCAUAAAACGAGGAUUUGACCUUCCUAAUGACAGUAAUAAAUUAGAUCUCGAUGGGAAAUUCACAACUAUUCUACAUGAUGAGGGUGCUUGUAAGACUCUUUUAAAUCAUAAAAAAGGAUGUUGUUACAUAAAAUAAAAUAAAAAGAAUGAUAAAAAAUAACACGAUAUUAUUAUAGUAACACGAUACGAAUUCAAAUUAGUUAAAUGACUUUAAAUACCAAAUAAUUAAAAACUAGUACAAUUAUUAAACUCUAUAUACAUUUGUUCUAUUCAUAGACCACUCUAUUACACUAAAUUCUUUAUUAAUAGAAGACUUUUUUUUAAUAAUAAGGUGGGAACAAAACGUGACUAUUAUAAAGUCUACUUUGCUAUAAAAAAUAUAUUUUAUUUUUUCAUAUUAUAAAAAUAUUAAUAUUACUACUUUCUAGGAAACAUAUAAGUCCACCCUUUACCUAACAUUUUCCUACCCACUUGUCUAUGUCUUUCUUGUGAACAUGUUUAUAUAGUUUUAUAAUUUUAUUCUUUCAUUGGCAUGUACUUAUUGACUCGACUAAUUCAGAUACGUGUAAUGUAUAAUAACAUAUUUGAUCAGUGUAUUGUUAUAUAGUGGGGUCUGAGGAUAAUGUUUACGCAGUCUAUACCACUAUCUCAGAUGAAGUAGAUGAAGUAGAGAGGUUAUUUUUGAUAGACCCCCAACUCAUGCAACUAUGAAUCUCAUUUAGAGUUCGAUCCUGGCUCAAGAUGAACGCUGGCGGCAUGCUUAACACAUGUAAGCCGGACGGGAAACACGAAAAAAUGGUAUUUUCAAUGGCGGACGGGUGAGCAUCGCGUAAGAACCUGCCCUUGGGAGGGGAGCAACAGCUGGAAACGGCUGCUAAUACCUCGUAAGCUGAGGAGCAGAAGGAGGAAUCCGUCCGAGGAGGGGCUUGCGUCUGAUUAGCUAGUUGGUGAGGCAAUAGCUUUCCAAGACGAUGAUCAGUACCUGGUCCGAGAGGAUAAUGAUCAGCCACACUAGGACUGAGACACGGCCCAGACUCCUACGGGAGGAAGUAGCAGUACAACAAAAAAAAACAUAAAAACACAUAAUGAAAUAGGAUAACACAUUGCUAGCUAAUACAAAAAACGAGACAAUCACAAGAUAAUACAAUAAACUAUUUUUUCGAAAAUCAUAGACAUCACCAAAACAACACGAACAAGAAAUUCGAGACAUAGACAAAGACACUAUUUCCUACUGUUACGGACGAACUCCUACCCACUAAUCUUUUACCGUAAUCCGCAUCCUCCAUACCUUUUUAUCAAGACAACCAAAUACGUGUAAUGUAUGACUUUAUUAAAAGAUGAAACGUUUUUUUACAAUUUUUUUUAAAAACUUUUAGAGUUCAAAUUCGAUAUUUUUAAUUAAAGGCGAAGAAUUUCAUCUAUCGUAUCAUUUUAUGUUAAUUUAUUCAAUCUUUGUGCGUGUUUUAUUUUUCAAAACCGCGUGGUGGAUAAUGAAAGUGGAAUUUACUUUUUUUUUUUUUUUUUUUUUUUUUUUUUUCGCUUUAUAUAUAUUUUUUCUUAUAUGGAGUGUGAGUAAUAAUGGACUUUCCUAUUAUAAAAAAGAAAAUUUCACAUUGGAGAUGUUUUUUUUUUGUCUGUCCUUAUUUUGGAUGAGGCUGCGUACAAUAGAUCCUUGUAAUCGGGUUCUUCCUCGGACCCUAUGCAUAACGGUAGUUUAGUGCACCGAGCUGCCCUUCCCCGAACCCUGCGCAUAGCGAUAGUUUUAGUGCACCGGGCUGCCCUUUUUUUUUUUUUUUUUUUUGCACUAAAUUAUUUAUUUAUUUAUUUAUUAGGUUAUAAAUAUCACUAAAAUAUACUAAUAAAUAGUUUAGGGGGUCAUAGGAUCCUCCGCAAAGUUCAGACGUGUUACAACAAAUUUCACCGAAGUUUGAAUAUAUUUUGGACCCUUCUCCCUUGUUUUGCUACUAAUACCUAUGGUUUCUUGAAUUGAGGGUCUGUCAGAAAUAACUUACCGCUGAACCUAUACCUAACUUUGAUCAAAUUUGAGGGGAGAUAUGUUUUAUGUUUUACAAAUAUAAGGUAAGAUAACCAACAAUAGAUUUUUAUUUCUAAUUCUUUUCAGAUUCUGUGUAUAGCGAAAAUUUUAGUAUAUCAAACUGUGCUUUACACAUAAACUAUUGAAUUCACUUUAUAUAAAAGUCUUUUUUUUUUAUUUGAAAUCAAAUAAGGUGUCCUAAAUUAAAUGAACAAAACCAAACCAAAUUUGUACUACAAUUAGGUAGUGUAAACAUUAGAAGAGUUUGGCCAAAGAAAAAACAAAGCAAAAUGUGCACAAUUUUUUGAAAUAUUAUGUUUGGUCAAUUAUUGGAGGCCAACAAUAUGGUCAAAAUACCGAAUCAAUUAUACAAAAAUAUCACAUAACAUGUGAAACCCUUAUCAAAUUACAAAUCAUAUUAUAAAAUUUCAAGUUGGCAUCUUUGACCUUUACCUUACUUGUAGGUGUGGCUUGUUGAUUAUUAUUAUUUCCAUUCCCAUUUUUAGUUCACAUUUUUGUAUAUGCAUGUUUGUUUUUUUCUAUGGCGGUGAUGUUUGAGCCAGUUUGUUGCACAAAUUGAUGCAGAUCAAGAUUCAAUAGAUGAAAUGUAGUCUAUGUUGCAUGUAAAAGGGAAGCCCGGUGCACUAAAGUUUCCACUAUGCGCAGGGUUCGGGGAAGGACCCCACCACAAGGGUGUAUUAUAUGCAGUCUUACCUUGCAUUCCGCCAGAGACUGUUUCCAUGCUUGAACCCGUGACCUCCUGGUCACAUGACAACAACUUUACUAUUAGUCUAUGUUGCAUGAACUUUUCCAAAAAUGUUGCCGCGUUCGUGUCAGAUCCUUCAAAGGCGCAUUACUUUCGGAGCAUUGACAUGUGCCCGAUUUACAUUUUUGAAGAGUUCGAGCACCAUGAAAUCCAUUUAUUGCUUUAUUUCAAGAAAACCUUAGAGCCAUACAAUAAUAUUUCAACACAAAUACAAAGAAACUAGGCCUUAAGACAAUAAACAAAAUCAAUCAACUUUGAUGAAUUUAAAUAGUACUAAUACAUAUAUGAGGUACUUAAUUAACAACAAACAUCUAUACUUUGAAUACAAAAAUGAAAAAUAAAAAUGUUGUAAAUAAUAUUCAUGAGUUAGAUCAAAAUGGCUUCAAUCAAGCUUGAAGCUAACAAAAAAGGAACCAAAAACUAGGUCAUUUAAUAGUAGUAUAUCAAGCAAUGAAGGCCAGCCUGGUGCACUAAAGCUUCUGCUAUGCGACAGGGGUCUGAGGAAGCGCUGGACCACAGGAGCCUGUUUUCACGACUCGAGCCUCGUGACCUCUUGAUCGCAGCAUCAACUUUACCAGUCGCACUAUGCGAGAGGGGUUCUGAGGAAGCGCCGGACCACAGGAGCCUUGUUUUCACGGCUCGAACCUCGUGACCUCCUGAUGGCAUAGCAUCAACUUUACAAGUCGCACUAUGCGAGAGGGGUCUGAGGAAGUGCCGGAUCACAGGAGUCUUGUUUUCAUGGCUCGAACCUCGUGACCUCCUGACCACACAGCAUCAACUUUACCAGUCACACCAGGGCUCGCCUUCAAUGAUCAAAAAGUGAAAAACACUAAAAGUACUGCUCAGUCUUAACAAACUGAGCAGCACCUAAUCCCAACCAAGCCUUGUUCUCUUCAUUCUUGGAAUUAGCUAGUAUUUUCUUGUUGUUCUUGUGGAUGUUGUUGUUGCAGAUUUGGUAUGGUGCAGUUGCUGUUAUUCGAUCUUUUCGUUUCUCCAAGAAUCUUGUAAGUGAAUUCCUCCUUGCAAUAGGUAAAUCAGCAACAGAAGAAGUCUGCGAUGGCAUCGGCAUUGGCAUUUGACACUUGGGAAGUACUUCUUGAAUCCUAUUGUUCGCGAAUGUUGUAGCUGAAUCAACAGGUUUUUGAUUGUAAGAGAAAACAUUUGUGGGGUUGUUUUGUUUGUUGGUUUUCUUGGUGGCUAAUUUCAUGAUUUCAUUGGCUUUAUCAGCUGGGAAAUCAUCAAAUACAAUCACUUGUCCACCAUAGAAAAUUGUCAUUUGUGCCUUCUCUGGCUUCUUUGUUGAUUCUUGAGGGAAAAGAUUCAUUGGCUUUUGAGCAUUUGUUUCAACUGAUGAUGUUGUCGAUGACGAAUCGCCAGACUUUUCGAUCAUUGGUAGCAAAUCCAUGGUAGUAGAUGUUUGUUGAGGUCCUGUUUCAAGAAACAUAGGAAAAUUUAUCAGUUUCAGAAACCAAAAAAGGUGUACAAUCUUUGUAAUCACAAAUAUAAAGGAGAGACGGAUCCCGUUGGGAUUUUGAGUUUACGAGUUCUGGAUUUUAGAAAAGAGACACAAAAAGUGGUGGACUCAGGCUACAAUCUGUGCAACCAGAAACAUGAACAAGCAUUUUAAAAAAACACCAAAAAGUUACAAUCUUUGCAACUAGUUAACAUGAAAAAGUACUACUCGCAUCAAGCACGCUUAGCUUCAUAGUUCUGAUGGAAUCUAGUGCGUUAGCGCCGGUAUGAUCACAUCCAAUCUUUACAACAAGAAAGGGCAGCCCGAUGCACUAAAGCUCCUGCUAUUGCCCCAUUGCCUUAUUGUUCUGGAUUUCAACUUAUUGUUCUAAAUGUAUUAUUUACUACAUAUUAGGUAAAAUUUUAAACACAACUGCAAAAUUUUAAUCAAAACUAUUAAAUUCUGUCGAACUCGUUGCCUCAUGAAACAUAAAAAAAAGAACUCCUCCAAAAACCACAAAAGCUCCAACUUUACUAAACAUACCCAUAAACUAGAAAACUAAUUCAAACAACAACAACAACAUAUAUCUAAUGUAUUAGAACAAAGUGGGGUCUAAGAAUGGUAAAGUGUACGCAGUCCGUACACAACUACCUCAGAGGUGAGGUAGAGUGGCCGUUUUCUUUUGUAUAGAUCCUCGACUCAAGACAAAAAAUAAUCUAGAAAACUAAUUCAAACAACAACAACAACAACAUGUACCCAAUGUAUUCCAACAAAAUAGGGCCCGAUAAGGGUAGAUUGUACGCAAUUCAUACAACUACCUCGGUAGAGAGGCCGUUUUCUUUCCUAUAGACCCUCGACUCAAGACAAAAUACAGUCUAGAAAACAGCUACGGAGUUCUAAAAGAGAGAGAGAGUACAUACCAGUUGAUUCGAAAGUAUUGCGGUUGAGACCAAGACCAUUAAGAUCACCAACAAAGCCUUUCUUCUUCAAGAAUUGGCUCAAAAGAUUACAAGUCUGAGAAAACUGAGAUUUCUGUCCGGUGACUUUGCCGGAAUCUUGAUUUUCCGAUGACCCCAUUCUUGAUUUUCCGGCAACUAUAUAUGAAAAAAAAUAUUUAGGUAACUUGUUAAGAGGGAAAAGUGAGAAAACAAGAAAUGGUUUGUUAUGGAACUGUUUGGAUGAUGAUGCUGAAUUGUGUUUGGAGUAAUUAUGGGUAUAUAUAAGGGGUGGGUGGUGUUGGGGUAGGGUGGGUGGGUUUACGGGGUGGUGGGGUAUGUGUUUUUUUUAAUCUUUUUUCAUGAAUGAGAAACACAUGUGGUUUUUGUUUGUGGAAAAAAACAAUUGAGUGUGCUGUUUGUUUGUUUCUUUUUCCCUUUUUGAUUUUUGCCUUCGCAUUUGUGUCUGGUAUUCACACCGAAGCCAGAUUGUAACGUGUGUUUUGGAGGUGAUAUUUUCAACGGUAUGUUCUUGUAUACACAAAAUUCGAAUUCAAGAUAUUUGAUAUUUACAUUGGAGAUCCACUGCAUUUGGAUAAGGCGUUGCAAAGCUAAUUUCGAGGUCAGCACUCCCAACAGAUUUUUUCGUAUUGAGGACUUGAAGUCGAGAUUUAAGGUAUCAGCAUUGGAGCUCGCAUUCACUAUAUCAGUAUCGAGCUUUGGAAGGCCAAUUUGGAGACGAUGCUCCUGACAUAAUUUCUUUUUGUAUUUUUUUUCAGAGUUCAAAUCCGAGACUUUUGAUAUCCGCAUAGGAAUCGGUGGAGGAUUCAGGAUUUAGGGGUCGCAGAUUCUCAGGAGGUUCGAAUACGUAUAUUGAUGCACAAAGCUUUAAGGUUCUUCUUGAAAAUUAAAACACCCAAAUAUCUUCUCGGUUUACUGGAUACUUUCUAAAGCUUAUACCAAUUUUUAUUCAUUUUUUUUAUAUAAUUAUACCUUGUAUACCUCGAAUUUAACGGGUGAUGAAGCACCAAAAAAAUGGUCAUUGGUCCGCCCCUAAUUGGAGCUCGACUAUAUCCAGAUUAAGCAUUAUAGGGUUCAUUUUGGAGGCAACAUUCUCAACAUUAUUUUAUUCAUACCAAAGAUUCGAACCCUAAAUCUCUAGUAUCCGCAUAACAGAACGACACUAUAUAAAUUGGGUGAUGCAGGGCCCACAUAAGCUCUUGAGGUCUUUCGAGAAAGAUCGAACAAACUUACUUCAAAACAAACAAUAUCAUAUAAUAUAAAAAAAUCUUUGAGCUGACUGAACCCAACAUCCACCGUUAUCCAUAUUGGUCUUAUUUGUUUGUUUGAACUACUAUUGUUUUUUAUUUUGAAAAAGGAAAAUAAAUUAUUAGUAUGGACAAAAGAGAAAACAAGAAAGUAAAAUAAAACACACAUUUCAAACACGUUUUUUAUGUCUUAAAAAAUAAGGAAAGUAAACAAUAAUACUGUAUAUAUUCCGUGUUUCUUGGUUUACGUUAUUCUUUACAAAUUGCCCUUGCUUUUCUCUAUAUUUACGACGUUUGCCCUUCCUCUCUUUCUGUUAACUCUCCGUUUGUUCCUUUAGGUCACAAUGCAACUAAAGCUAAGCCUAUGGGGGAGUCUAGGUCUCGAGUCAAGUUGGGGAGUUAUUUCAUUCUCGUAACGAGUAGGGCCGGAGAAUUUUUUCGAUAAAAAAUUAUAUUAUUUUAUGUCUGAUUAAAAUUAUCUUUUAUGUAUAUAUAAUUGAUGUUGAACCUCUUUCGACUAAUUCGUAUGUUUACUUCUGAACUCCCUUAGUAAAAAUUCUGGCUCUGCCACUGAUAACGAGAAUGAGCAUACUGUAAGAUCAGAGAAGUAGCUAGCUCCGUUAAGGGAUGAUAAAAAGAGGGCAUUUUCCUGUGUUGCACUGAAAAAAAAAACCUAAGAGACGAGCGUGACGAGCGUCUUCUCUUAGGUUUUUUCUUCCGUAUCUGUCGCCGCUUGUCCCGCGUUAGAGAGGAAUAUUAGAAAAGCGGGAAAAGAAAGAGGAAAGGGGAGCACCAUCUUAUUCUCUAUUUGAGAAUUUCUGGAUCGUAGAAGCAUUCAGAACGGCCUCACAGUGGCGAUAUCUGUUUUUUAGGUUAAGUCAUUUUUUUUAAUACGAUUCAUCUUUUUCUACGAUAAUUCAAGCUGCAGCGACACUUCACGAACUUCUUACUGAAACAGUACUAUAAUAGGCAUUAGCGAGAAUUUCUAGAUCGUAGAAGCAUUCGCAACGGCCUCACUACAACGACAUCUGUUUUUUAGGUUAAGUCGUUUUAAAGAGGAUUUAUCUUAUUUUACGAUAAUUCAAGCCUCAACGGCACUUCAAGAACUUCUUACCGAAACAAUACUAUAAUAGGCAUUCGCGAGAAUUUCUGGAUCGUAGAAGCAUUCAGAACGACCUCACAACAGCAACAUCUAUUUUUUUUUAAGGUUAAGUCAUUUUUCAAGACGAUUCAUCUUAUUCUACAAUAAUUCAAGCUGCAGCGGCACUUCACAAACUUCUUACUGGGACAAUACUAUAAUAGGCAUUUACGAGUACAAAGUUAUAUCUAAGAAUACAAAGUUAAAUUCACGUGGUCGACAUCAAUUUAUUUAUAUCUAACACAAUUAAUGUUGUACCUUUUUACUCGUGACAUAAAAUUAAAUAUGGUCAUGUACAUUAUUUAAUUUGGUCAUAAAUUUCACGAAAGCACGUUGGUAAAUAUUUAUUCUCACCGAAUGACAUUAAAUUGAUGUAAAAUUAUAGUUGAAUUAUCACUUUUUCACGAAUUUAUUCACAUAUAUUUCAACUAUUAUCUUUUUUUUUUCUUACCUAAACUCUUACGGAUUAUGCCUUAAAGUUGAUUAGAUCAAUUAUCAAUUAUUCUCUUUUCCUAUAUGAAAUAUCAUCAUCUACUCAACCGAGUCACGUGUUUUAUAACAUAAAUGAUGAUAGUUCAGCUAAAAACAACGAAACAAUUAAUAGCUAAAGUGUGAAACUCGCAAAAAAGGUGAUAAAGACAAAUGUGUUUUUAAUAAUUUUUUUUUAUCUUUAAUAUAAUAUAUAAAUAAGUAAAAAAUGAAUGAAAGAGCAAUAUAAAGAACUAAUAUGUAAUAGCCUAUAUUGUACGACUGAUGCAUUAAAGCUUUCGCUAUGUGUGGAGUCCAAAGAAGGACUGAAUCACAAAAAUUUAUUAUACGUAGUCUUACAUUAUAUUUCUGCAAAAAAACUAUUUCCAUGACUUGAAUUCACACAAUUUUUUUUAUCAGUUACUCAAAGACUCUGUUUAAUAAAUCACCAUCAAGAAAACUACAUAAAGUGAUUAAUUUGGACCGUUUACUUAUUCAACAUAAAAAUAAAAUGUAACACCAGAAAAUUCAAGUUUUUUCUAGAAUUUUGUUUAAUUAAUCCAAUCACGUGAAUUAUGACAAUAUUGUUGGAACUAUAUAAAUCAACUCUAAGCACAAACGUAAAUAAUCCAACAAUAUACUCGAUAUAAUCCCACAAAACGAAAUUUAUAGAAUUUGAGAAAGAUAGAAUGUACGUUGAUUAUUUCACCGCAAAAGUGAGGUAAAUAGGCUAUUAUCGAAAGACCUCCUACUCAAUAAAAACAGGCAUGAAAAAAGACGCAAUGGCAGAAGAACAGAUAAUAGAUAGUAACAAAUACAACAUAUAAUAGCACUCAUUACUAAAACAAAAUAACACUUUGAGCGAACUAGAGAUUUAAGGAGGAUAGAAUAUACACAAACUAUUUCACCUUAGAAGUCAGGUAAAUAGACUAUUUUCGAAAGACCCCCGAUUUAAUGCAAAAAAGACAAAAAAAAAAAAAAUGUAAUGAAAGAACAAGAAACAAUAGGUAGUAACAAACACGACAGAUAGUAGUAUGCAUUACAACAACAAAAUAAUACUUUGAUCGAACUAGGGAUCUAGGGAAGAUAUAGAAUAUACGCAGAUUAUUUCACCUCAGAAGUGAGGUAAAUAGGCUAUUUUCAAAAGAUACCCGACUUAAUCCAAAAAACAAGCAAGAAAAAAGAUGCAUUGAGUGAACAAAAAACAGUAAAUAAUAACAAAAACAACCGUUUACUUAUUCAACAUAAAAAUAAAAUGUAACACUAGAAAAUUCAAAAUUUUUCUAGAAUUUUGUUUAAUCCAAUCACGUGUAUUAUGACAUAUUGUUAGAACUAUAUAUAUCAACUCUAAACAAAUACAUCCGGUAUAAUCUCAUAAAAUAUAAAAACAGACGAGAAAAAAGACAUAACAAAAGAAUAAAAGACAAUAGGUAGUAAAAAAACAACAACAGAUAGCAGUAUGCAUUAUUACUACAACAAAAUAAUACUUUAAUCGAAUUACACGAAAUAAUAGAUAUUAAUAAGAUAAGGCAAAAAAUAAAUAUAUAUUAUUUUUUAUUAAAUGGAAAUUCCGUCGCAUAUGACUUUUAUGAGUUAAUGGUCCCAAAUUAGUUGACUCAAAAUUAUUUUAAAAAUAAUAAAUUAUUGACUCAAAUUCCUUGUUUACGUGCUUGGAUAACUAAUAAAAAUAAUAAUAACGUGUUGUUGAUUUGGUCUAAGUUUUAUUCUCAAUAACUUUCUUUACAUUUUCCAUGUAUAUAUAUUUAAAUAAUAAGUCCUUCACUUAAAAAAAAUAUAGCCAAUUAUGACUUAUUAAAUGUUUUUAAGCUUCAUCACUACUUUUUAGCACAUCAUUAGUAGUCUAUGUUGAAUAAUAANNNNNNNNNNNNNNNNNNNNNNNNNNNNNNNNNNNNNNNNNNNNNNNNNNNNNNNNNNNNNNNNNNNNNNNNNNNNNNNNNNNNNNNNNNNNNNNNNNNNNNNNNNNNNNNNNNNNNNNNNNNNNNNNNNNNNNNNNNNNNNNNNNNNNNNNNNNNNNNNNNNNNNNNNNNNNNNNNNNNNNNNNNNNNNNNNNNNNNNNNNUAAUAAUAAUAAUAAUAAUAAUAAUAAUAAUAAUAAUAAUAAUAAUAAUAAUCCUACUCCUACUACUAACUAAUAGUAAUAUAUAAUAAUAAUUCUAUCUGAAGUAUUACUAUCUACGUAUUAAAGCACACUUAGUUUAGUAGAUGCUUAUAAUUCAUAUAAAAAGAAAAGGAACAACUGAUAGUUCGUCUGAUCAGUUUCGAGGUGUGUUUUAUGAAAUGACAAUAGUUCAAGUAGGAAAUUAAUCACGAUGAAAAAUGGGAAUAAUUGAUAAUAAAAGUGUGAAACUCUCGAAAAAUGAUAGUUUACAUGUGUUUUUGACAGUUAACUAUAUUAGUAAUGUUAUUAUUGCUAAUUCUAUUAUAAUUAAAAGGAUAAAUUCUUUUCGAAAUUAGCUAUGAUUAAUCGCGAAAAGUCAGUAAUAAAUGGUCUGCUUUUUUAUAAGCCAACAAAACACAUUAUAACAUACUAAAAUAGUUUAUGAGUUUCUGUAAUGAUCUCAAAUUAAUAUGUAUAAAUAUUUAUAACUAUUAGCACUAAAUUUUUUAAUACAUACAAAAUCUACGCAAAAACUAUUAUAUUCUCGUGAAUCCAUAUAUUAUCGCAUAUUCAAACUCAAAACCCUAAUUAAAAAUUAAAGAAUCUCGAAUCAUUCCAUCACAAUCUACGUCGAUAGAAUAUUAAUUUUUUUUUUUUGAUUUUUCAUCUGGUGUCCGGUAUCGACAUUGGAACACCGACUAAUUCGAAUCGCGCGUUGCAAGGCUCAUUCUGAGGAUAGCGCUCCCAACAGAAUUUUCUUCUUAUCUAGGACUCGAACUCGAAACCUCUGAUUAAAAUUGCAUCAAUCCCACCACAACACAACAACUCCUGUUGGUAAUAUCAAUACUCAUUCCAUCACAAUCUAUGUCGAUAGAAUAUAUUUUAUUUUUUUUUGAUUUUUCAUCCGAUGUCCGGUAUCGGCAUUGGAGUCCCGACUAAUCUGAAUUGCGCGUUGCAACGCCCAUUCUGAGGAUAACGCUUCCAACAAAAUUUUCUUCUCACCUAGGACUCGAAUUCGAAAUUUCUGAUUAAAACUACAGCAGUCCCACCACAACACGACAACCCAUAUUGAUAAUAUUAAUUGUUGUUAGACAAGAAAAGGUGAUGUUGUACAUGUUGAAUUAAUUAGAGGGAAAAAGGGAACAUAAAAAUAAACAAGGAAUCAUAAUUAUGAGGUGCCUAACUAUAAAAAGUAUAUAUUAUAAUUAUAAUAUAUAGUAUAGUAUAAUAAAUACAAUGCUAGUACAUGUUGCACGAGGCAUUAGGUACAAAGUAAUAAGAUCUAUGACUCAUUCAACAUAAUAUUUGAAUCGCUGAGAAUUAUGAUGGGAUGAAUAAAAUUUCGUUACUUUUAAUCAGAUGUCUUAAGAGUUCGAGUUAUGAGUAUAAAAGGAAUUUUGAUAUGAAAUACUUCUCCAUUUCGCUUUAAUAUACCUUAUACAAUGUAAAUUUGAAUUUACUGAGAGUCGAUACGAACAUCGAAUAUCGAAUAUCAAGUGAAAACUUUUAUCAAUACUCUUAAUUAGAUGUGUGAAUAGAGUUUGAGUUAUAAGUAUAAAAGGAAUCUUGAUAAGAAAUGUUUCCUCUUUCGCUUUAAGAUUGUACCUGGUGUAAAUUUGAAUUUAUCGAGAGUCGAUACAAAUAUCGAAUUACGAGUGAAAUUUUUUAUCGAUAUUUUUAAUUAGAUGUCCCGAUCGAGUAUGAGCUAUAAGUGUAAAAUGAAUCUUGACAAGAAAUGUUUCUUCCUUUCGCUUUAAGAUCGUACAUGAUGUAAAUUUGAAUUUAUCGAUUACCGAGUAAAAAUUUUUAUCGGUAAUCUUCAUUAGAUGUCCCGAUCGAGUUUGAGCUAUUAGUGUAAAAGGAAUCUUGUGCCCCCCCCUCCCUCCUUUCGCUUUAAGACCGUACAUGAUGUAAAUUUAAAUUUAUCGAGAGUUGAUACGGAUAUCGAAUAUCGAGUGAGAAAUUUUAUCAGUACUCUUAAUUAGAUGUCACGAUCGAGUUUGAGCUAUAAGUGUAAAAGGAAUCUUGAUAACAAAUGCUUCUUCGUUUUUCUAUAAAAGAUCGUAUUUGACGUAAAUCUGAAUUAAUCUGAAUUUAACGUAAAUAUGAAUAUCGAAUACCGAACGAAAAAUGGAAUCUUGAUAGUGAUGUACACUUUAGUGAUGUUUCUAGGAAACAUCUCAAAUAGUGACCUCUCAAUAGAAAUUAUUUAUUCCUUUUUACUUCCUUUUCACAAAUAAAACAAAAGAAUAUUAAUAAUUUAAUUUUUUUGAGAUUUGUUUUUUUUUUUAGUAUUUAAUUGUAAAUACGAAUUAGGGUAUUUACGGUUUUUUUUAUUGCGAAAGUAAAUCUUUAGUUUUUCAUGAUUGAGUCGUUUAUGUAAACUCUGAGAAUGAAGAAACUCUUUAUAAAAGCGCGCCUUUACAUUUAAUAGAUUUUUUAUUCGAUACGAAUCUAAAUUAGUAGGACCAGUACAUUUUGAUAUCUAAUUUAAAGAAUAUUACAUAAUGUUAUAAUCUAUUUUUUUUAUUUUUUUUGUAAAAAUACUCCAUGUUUUAAAUUAUAUAGAAUAUUUAUUUUAUUGGAGUUUAGCAAUUUCAUUGCACUUUCCUAUAUUUGAAAAUUGUGUAUAAAUGUAGCUUCCAAGAAAAAGGGAAGAGAAAAAAAAUUGUAUAUAGAAACUUCUUUGCUACUAACAAUAGUAAUUAAAUUAUUAUAAUUAAAAUUAAGUCAUGUUUAUGGAAGGAAUAUUAUCAUACAUAGGGUGUGGGAUAAAAAUAUUACCAUAAUUGUGGUAUUAAACCAUCCCGAAAUAGCUAAUCCCAGAAUAAGAAAUCAUACGAAACGUGGAAUAUAUAUCUUAUUCCUCGAACCAAACAGCCCCUUAAAUACAAUGGUCAGAAUACUGAUGCACUAGGCUUCCGCUAUGUACGGAGACUAAAAAAGAAUCGAACCAUAAAAGCCUAUUAUAUGCAGUAGUCUUAUCUUGCAUUUCGACAAAAAGGCGUUUCCAACGUUCGAACCUGAGACAAUAGCUAAACUAAUGUAAAAAUGGACGUCCCGAUGCACUAAGCUCCAGCUACGCCAGAGGUUUGAGAAAGAAUCGAACCAGAAGCGUCUAUUAUACGCAAUCUAACCCUGUGUUUCUGCAAAAGGGAGUCCUUCCCACAACUCGAACCCGUAACUAUAGGCCAAACUAAUGUUUUUUUUUUUCAAAAAUAGCGCUAUGCGUGGAGUCCGAAAAAAGUCGGAAACACAAGGGCCUGUUAUACUCAGUAUUAUCCUAUGCAAGAAGGUGUUACCACCUACGUCGCUCGAACUCUUAAAAAAUGUUGGCGGAUGCGUGUCGGAUUCUUCAAAAGUAGUGCAUUUUCGGAGAAUCCGACACAAGUGCGACAGUAUUUUUGAAGAGUUCGAACAACAUAGAUUUCCACAGCUCGAACCCGUGACAAAAUCCAAACUAAUGUACCAAAAAGGAUUAGUUAAGACAUUAACUUUAUGAAACUAAGAUUCUAUACAGGAACAAAGAAGCUGUUCUUUACAUUGGAUCUGUGUAUGUAUAAUGCAGAAAACAAAAUUCAAAAAAAAAAAAAAAAUUUUUAAAAGGCAGCUCGAUGCACUAAGCUCCCGCAAUGAAGGGGUCGGUGCGAUCAUUUCAAAUGUCGUAAUCUAUGUCUGUCGCGUUUUGAGCAUCGAAACGUCUGAUCAGAUGUCCAUGUUCAUCGUAUAGAUCGAGGUUCUUGCAAGGUGCUCAAAUGUCGUAAUCUAUGUCUGUCGCGUUUUGAGCAUCAGAACGUCUGAUCAGAUGUCCUUGUUCAUCGUAGAGAUCGAGGUUCUUGCAAGGUGCAGGGAAGAUGGUGCCAAUUACGCGACCUUGAACGAAAGCACAUUGGAAUAUAUGUUUCUUCUUGUACGUUAACCCAACCGACAUAUCUCUGAAUGUAACGUUCCUUACCCAGAUUUCUUCACUACCGUGGAUUUGAACAGGCACGCGAACUCCCUCACCGUGUAUCGUUGUGUAGCUUAUGUUUUCCAGUAAUGGGACAGCUUUGGGAUCAAAACUAUCGUCAGCGUGCUCGUUGUAAUCUGUUUUGAUGACGAUUCCCACCCUAACAUUCUCGAAUGUUAAGUUCUUGUAUGUUAUACCUCGAACGUAUCCUCCUCUUCCGGGUGCUGUUUUGAUGCGUACAGCACGUCUCGAGUUCCAGAUAAAGACGUUCUCCACGGUGACAUUUGACACUCCCCCGGACAUCUCGCUUCCUAUUGAUACACCGGCACUGCCAUGUAGUUCAGCCAGAGUUAGUUCCUAGUAAAAUAUUUAAGGAAUGGUAAUGUAUCGGUCAAUCAAUCGAUCAAUCAACUAAACUUCCGUCAAAAAACAGUUGUCGGGCUUGAUUAGAACGAUCAUUUCCCGGACUCCACUUACUCGUGGGAUUACACUGGGUAUGUUAUUGUUACUAAAACGAUCAUUUAACCAAAAAAAAAAGUUAUGCCUCUUCAAACCAACAAGCCGCUGACCAGCAGGCCAACCGUCAAUGCUCAACAAACAUUCACUCAAAUGCAAGAAAAAAGAGAAGGAUUUGAUUUCGUGAACAUCUAUAACAACCCAAAGACGCAAUUGUUGUCGGAAAAAUUCAAUCGCGAAAAGAAAUGUAAAUGCAUGUGCGUAUAAGGAGAGAUCUCUCACCUGACGUUGGAACGAAUGACAAGGUUCCGAAUGAGUAUAUUCUUUGAAGGCCGUCCAUAUGCAAUUCCAUACUGAUCCCAUCCACUCUUUAUCGCGAUGCCAUCAUCACCAACACUAAUGUAACAAUUCUCUAUCAACACAUCUUCGCACGAAUCUGUUCACUCCAUUAAAACACAUUAAGAGUUUAUACCGAGCGACCCGCUACAGUAUAUAAGCAAUAAAAAUGUACAGGAUAGAUAUCGGAGUCUUUUACAGUGAUGUCAACCAGUGUUAUCAAAAGCAAAAAACGCAAAAGAACUCUAAGGUCGGUUGGGGCUUUAAUGAAAAAAGGUGCAAAGGGAGAAAGAAUACAAAUAUAAAUGUUAGUCCACGAUUAACAAUUGUAAGCACGAAUGACAAAUAUAUGAACAAAGAAAUUAAAUUUUUUUUUCUACAUAAGUGAAGUAUCAAUUGCUUAGUCUCUCCUCUUCAUAAGAGGCUCAUCGGCAAGGGAAAGUACGCCUUAGAACCUCGAUGACGAUACUGAAGAUCACAUUAAGUGACACGACGCGCUCAACACGUUUUGAGCCUCGCUUCAGGGCUUAAGCGAGCCUUUGAUAACACUGAUGUCGAAAUCAAACGCAUCACAUUUCAGCAAAACCCUGUCAAUUAAUUGUUUUUGCUACAAAAGGGUUGCAUAUGAUCGAAGAAAUACAGCAAAUCAAUAUGUCAAAACUUGAGCAGCUUAACCAAAGUCCCAAAACCAGGACGACGACCAACAAGUGACACAAAAGUUGAGUCUAAAAUAUAACUGUAUUCACAGAUGAAACAUAAACGAACUAGCGCAAGAUUCAUUUAUCAAAAACACUGAACCUAUCGAUGAUUCACCUGGAUUUACGCCAUCAGUAUUCGGAGCCCCAGCGAUGGGUGCUAGGAUUGUAAGAUUCCUGACCGUUACAUUCUUGCAGUCGUAUGGAUGGAGUGUCCAAAAGGGAGAAUCUUGUAAAGUUAUAUUUGAGAUUAGUAUGUCAGUAGACCACAUGAUCUGCACGAGCGGUCCUCUGGUAUGGUUAAGAACCUUCUGCUUGAAUUUCUUCCACCACGCUUGACCCUGCCCAUUAAUGGUACCAUUAUGACCUGUUAACAGGAACAACAUAUGCAUAAUCAGAACCAGCCGUUGUUCCUUUACACUUACACAAAAUUCCGAAUACUUCAAUAUAGAAAAUAUGCUUAAGUGUUUUCUUUUGAUGAAGAAAUCUGCUUAAGUUAUUUUGAGCAUGUAGCAGGUACCGAACGCAUGUGAUGAGGAGGGACUCGAAUGCUCCAGUUCGGAGGUGUGAGAGGUUGUCUAUGGAUGGUUUUAGGCGGGGUAGACGUAGGCCAAAGAAAUAUUGGAUGGAGGUGACUAGGCAGGUCAUGGGGCAGUUACAGCUUACGGAGGACAUGACCCUUCAUAGAACAAGGUGUUUUGGUGAAGUUUUCGUAUAGUUAGUUUACAAUAUCACUUUGUGGGUGUUUUGUUUCCCUUACUAUAUAGCAGUGUGAUAUCCCUUGUUUGUUGGUUGCUUUUAUGAUUUUUGUUUGAUCAUAUUUAUUUUCUGUCCUGAGCCGAGGGUCUAUCGGAAACAACCUCUCUCUCUACUUCAGAUGAGGUAGUGGUAUAGACUACGUACACUUUACCCUCCCUAGAUCCCUCUUUGUGGGAAUAAACUGGGUAUGUUGUUGUUGUAGUAGGUACUGAACACCGAACUGAACUGAAAUUAGUUGGGGUUCGGUUUUUUCUAUUAGGGUAGAGGGUUAGUAGGUGGUUGAGAGUUGUCAUGCUUUUUGAGGGUUUAGGCUAGUUGGUAUUUGUCUUGUACUAGUUGUAUUUUAGUAGUUCUUGCCUUUUGCUAUCUAUCAUAUCGGUUGUUUAUUGUGUUUGCUUGUCGAAAUAUUUUGUCGUAACUUGCUAUGUUUUUCCCAUUGUUUCCUUCUUCUUUGUACUUAAAUUUGCUACACUUGAGCCAACGGUCUUUUGGAAACAGCCUCUCUACGAGGUAGUGGUAUGGCUGCGUACACUCUACCCUCCCCGGACCCCACGUGGGAUUUCACCGGGUAUGUUGUUGUUGUUUGGUUCAGUAUGAUUAAUUACUCCCUCGAGAUGAUGUGAAUUCUGCUCAUAUAACGUUCUUAACUUCAUAUAUAACAAGUUACAUAAAGCAUAUACUUCAUAUUUUGGAUGACGAAUGGUUUGACUAUCAACUUUGCUUACGCAGUUCACUAUAUAUGUUUGAUAACACGUCAAGAUCAUCGCAAUGCCAAUAAUUAGAACGUAGGACAAUCAACGAGAAGCACAAUCACAUUCUGGGAAGACAAGUUUAAGCUGUUAGGUUUUGAUGUUAAAAUGUAGCAAUGCCAAUAAGAUGAAAGACAAAGCUAGGAAAUCUGAAAGCUCGGUUCUUCGGUUAACCGAAAUACUGGGAUACUAAAACUGAGAAUCGAAUUGAAUACCACAGUUCAAAAAAUUUUAUUACAGACACCUAAUCAACAACAACAUACCCGGUGUAUUCCCACAAAGUGGGGUGUGGGGAGGGUAAAGUGUAGGCACUCCAUACCACUACCUAACGGAAGAAUGAAUUAAUUCGGUUCGAUUUUAUGCCCACCCCUACUUUCUCCCCCCACUUACCUUCAUUUAAGAGACGAUUACUCCCAUAACAAGAAUUUUGAAAAAAAAAAUCCCUUUAGUAGUGCUUGUGGAGCAAUUAUCGACGAAGCACCAGCAAUUAACAGCGCUCGGAGAAAAACCAAGACAAAAAUCAUAUGUGAACUUGCCACACGAACGAUCUCAAUGAUUUGCAUCACUUAACAAACAGAAAAUAAGAACCAAAAACAGAUAAAUUCAACUUUCCAGUAAAAGAAACGGAGAUAGUAAGAAAUCUUCAUUUAUAACAAUGCACCUGAUAAAGAAAGCGAUCUUGGGCCUAACUCAACCCCAAAAGCUAGAUCAUGAGAGGAGGAUUGCCCAAGUCCAUAAAAGGAGACCAACUACCCAUCCCCUUUCCGAUGUCGGACUCUUAACAGCAACAACAUAUCCAGUGUAAUCCCACAAGUAGGGUCUAGCGAGGGUAGGAUGUACGCAGACCUUAUCCCUACCUUGUGAGGGUAGGGAGGCUGUUUCCGAUAGACAAUAAAAGAAAUAAAUCAAGAACUUCAAAAUUUUAAAACAUUGUGCGGUUCUCGUGAAGCUAGAAUUUCAAACUGAGGUCAGAGUCGACACACCUGUGAUUAUCACAUCUUUCAGUUUUUGUCCAUGGAUUAAGCUUCCAUAGCGUGGUCCACGAUGCUCUCUUCCAUAUCCAUAUGAAGGUAAGGGAGGCAUGAGAGUCCAGUACUUCUCAUCCUGUUGAAUGCCACAAAUACAAAUAGAAAAACAGAAAUAAUAUAACUUCUGUUAGUUCUCUACUAGAAAGACGAAAAGCAAGGCUUCAAUUAAGGGAGGUAUAUUCAUGUUCCCGAUGAAACGUUAUCAAGUUAUUUUGAUCGUCAAGAAAACAAUUGUUGGAGAACAAUACUGUAGUAACAAAAUUGUAGUUCACUUUCCUUCCGCAAAUUAUAACUAGCAAUUCAAACUGAAUCUUGCAGACAAAAAAAUGUUCCCAACACAACAUUGUUCGGAACUGACAUAAUCACAUAACCAAAGAAGGGAAAAGAUUCUUCAAGUGUCUCAUGUUCCAGAAGUGCAUGAUGAUGCCGGGAUAAUUCUUAAGUUAAACUAGAGGGACCAACCGAUUCUUCAGUAAAGAAUUCCUAUUUUAUAUACAACAGUCUUCAACAACAAACUUCGUAUUCUAAUGCACUUCCACCGGCCUGUCACAUCCAGGAAAAGGACCUCAUUCCAUUCCCCUAUCAUAUCUAGCAAACACAGCGAGACACACAAACUCAGCAAUUCAAUCACACAACUGAUUGGUUUUGUCUUGUUUUUCUAUUUAACAAUGCCUGUUCGGAUUUGAUUUUAGAUGAAUCAGGUUAGUGCGUGCUAGAAGGAUUGUUUUGAAGAAGAGUCUUUUGGCUUGUCCCCUGAAAUGAUUUGAUACAAAAAAGCUACAAGCCCUCGGAAUACAUACAUAUAUAGCAAAAUACGACACAAGGAAAGCAAAAGAUCCAUAUAAGCGUAUGUUGGGGUUAAGAUCACGAUGCUACUCUUACAUUAGGUAUAGUAUUGCUUAGGACAAUGUUCAGUAACGUUUAGAGAUUUGUGUGCCAGUCGAAAAUGUAGAUAAAUUCUAGUGUUAGAGAACCUACGGAAUAUUGGAAGAUAGCAAGAAAUCAUAUCCAAUACCAAAAAACUUGGGAUUGAGUAGUAUUGGGCUUCUUUGUAGAUAAAUGCACAUUGCUAGUUGCCAAAAGUAAAAAGUAAUCGCAUGAUCGUAUACAAAUGUAUAUAGAAGCUAGAUCAUGCACCCUACGUAGCACCAGCAUUGAUUGGAAGAGGAGAAGCAGCUAGGAACUUAGUUAAUGACUACUAAAAGAGGUGAAUAUGACUAAGAAACAAAUAAGAGACCCAAAGGGCCAUGUCGACAACAACCAUAAAGAAUACCAAUGAAAUGGCAUGGCAUAACGUCAAGACAUGGUUGGGAAAACAGUUAACGUACUAUUCACAGGCAACCUCACAUAAUACAGAUCUCUAAUCUAAAACUGACUUCUUUGUAGGUAUAAACAGUUUGGGAUUGAGGUGUUAGCAGCUUUACAUUAAAUACCGUCUGGCUAGAACUCCCUCUGUCCUAUUUAAUGUGAAGGGGUUCAGAGUACAAGGGUUGACGCAAUUCAUUUCGGUGGAAAUUCGGGCAUAGAUUCUUCAAGUUCUUUGAAACAAAUAGUUAAGAAUUCAAAAUAAUAAAAAUGAGUUUGAGAAAAUCGUAAUCAAAGUAAACCUUGUUUAACUACCCAAAUAGUAAUAGUGUUACAUAAAUGGGACAGAGGGAGUACAAAAAUUUGUUUUGGUACUCAAAAUCAAUAAAUCAAUACGGAAUUUGGAUAGGAUUUACNNNNNNNNNNNNNNNNNNNNNNNNNNNNNNNNNNNNNNCAGGAGGAAUUCCCUUGGCAUUUAGAAUUUAAUCGUUGAACUUCAAGAUUUAUUCAAGAUUACCUUGAGUGAAUCUAAGUUUUUAGCAAAACCAAAGCAAUUUUUCUUCCUUCAUUCUCCCGCUUAUAUCUGGUAUUACAACUGGAAACAAAGGGUGGAGCCAGGUAGGACCGAGAGGGGUUCGAUGGAAAAUUACACUGUUUAACAUGGUAGUAAAAAUUAUUUUUUAUGUAUAUAUAGUUGAUGAUGAAGCCACUUCUUCGUAUGUAUUUGCAAAGUCGAUUCUUAGAACAUAAUAUGCUUAUUCGCAAGCACCUAUGAUUGCCAAAAGAAUUGAGGGACUGGUUGGAUCAAGAGUUGAAGACUGUCAAAAGAAACCAAACAAAACGCUAGUCCUCAACAAAGAGAAAAGAAAUUAACGAGCAAGUCAAGAAAGGUGCUAAAAAAAACUUGAGAUGUAUUGAAUGAAAAGUCGAGGAAAAAAUAAUUCUAACCGAAUUAGAAGUCUGACAUAUAAGAAGUGAUAAUCGAAGUACAAGAGACAAUUGAUAGUAACAGAAAUCGAAAGACAAGUAACUACAGUAGCUAGCAGCAGAAACUAAAGGACAAGAAACUUCAGUAGAUAGUAGGCAGAAACUAGAUACUACUAUCAACUGAUUCAGCUGAUUGAUUACUGAUUAUAACAAAACCAACGUCUUUCAUCUCAUCAAUUCUAUAAGCUCACUAAUCCAAGGAUAGCCGGAAUAUCAGCAUCAAACAAAUCCAAACUACCUCUUCAUUCCACCGAUACUGAUAAAAGCCUUCCAUAACUAACACUAAGCAAUUAGCUAGGUGAUUUCUUCCCAUCUAUCCAAGCCUCGACAGGCAAAGGCAAAGUUACCAGAUACUCAUGCUAGACGCUAGUGAGAGGUAGCAGGUACACAUUGCAAUAGUCGAGGUGCACAUAAGCAAUUAGCAUACUAUGUGAAACUCACUGAUCUAAGCAAAGCAAAGCCAACCAAACAUUCAAACAAGAAACCACAUACAAUUAGCAUAAAUGGGAACAAUAAAGGGAAGUAGAAUGCACUAAGCUCCCAUUUAGCAUGGGAUCCAAGGAAGGACAGGACCACAGAGGUCUAUUGUACGCAACCUUACCCUACAUUUCGUGAACCCGUGACUUAUUCACAUGAAGGCAACUUUAACAAUUACACCAACGUUCCCCUUCCACAAACAGGAACAAUGAAACGAACAAUCAAAACAUCAAGAAACUAACUUUCUUAGCUCAUUAAGCAAGAUUAAAAUAUCAGAAAACUUACAUCAAUCCCCAAUAUAACAGCACCCUCAGCAAGAAACAAAGUCAUAUAACCAGUAAGAAUAAACGGCCUGCUAACCAAUAACCAGGAGGCACAUUAAGCUGCCCACCACCUUUCUUCCCAAGUUUACCGAUUUCCAAUAUUGCCCUUUCAAACGCCAAUGUAUUAACACUUACUCCAUCACCAACCUCACCAAAGUCCAUCAAGUUAAAUGCCACAUACAAUUACCAUAAAUGGGAACAAUGAAAUGAACAACUAAACAUCAACAACUAAGCAAGAUUAAAACUUUAAUGCUGACACACUAAGAAAUUUGUUAAAGGGCUCCACCCCAUGACUCUGAUCACAUGGCAACAAUUUUGCCAGUUACACCAAGACUCUCCUUCCAUAAAGGAAACAAUGAAAUGAACAACUAAACAUCACCAACUAAGCAAGAUUAAAACUUCAAUGCUGACACAUUAAGAAACUUGUUAAAGGACUCGACCUCAUGGCCUUCUGAUCACAUGACAACAACUUCAACAAUUAUGUCAACACUUCCUUUCCUUAAAUAGGAACAAUGAAAUGAACAACUAAACAUCAGAAACUAAGCAAGAUUAAAACUUUAAUGCUGACACAUUAAGAAACUUGUUAAAGGGCUCCACCCCAUGACUUUCUGAUCACAUGACAACAACUUUACCAGCUACAUCAACGCUCCCUUUCCAUAAAUGGGAACAAUGAAAUGAACAACUAAACAUCAACAACUAAGCAAGAUUAAAACUUUAAUGCUGACACAUUAAGAAACUUGUUAAAGGGCUCGCCCUCAGGACCUUCUGAUCACAUGACAACAACUUUAUCAAUUACGUCAACACUCCCUUUCCUUAAAUAGGAAAAUGAUAUGAACAACUAAACAUCAACAACUAAUCAAGAUUAAAACUUUAAUGCUGACACAUUAAGAAACUUGUUAAAGGGCUUGAUUCCAUGACCUUCUGAUCACACGACAACAACUUUACCAGUUAAGUCAACGCUCCCUUUCCAUAAAUAGGAACAAUGAAAUGAACAACUAAACAUCAACAACUAAGCAAGAUAAAAACAUUAAUUCUGACACAUUAAGAAACUUGUUAAAGGGCUCCACCGACCUUCUGAUCACAUGACAACAACUUUAUUAAUUACAUCAACGCUCCCUUUCCAUAAAUAGGAACAAUGAAAUGCACAACUAAACAUCAACAACUAAGCAAGAUUAAAACAUUAAUGCCGACACAUUAAGAAACUUGUUGAAGGGCUCGCUCCCAUGACCUUCUGAUCACAUGACAACAACUUUUCCAGUUACAUCAGCGUUCCCUUUCCAUAAACAAAAACAAUGAAAUGAACAAAUAAACAUCAACAACUAAGCAAGAUAAAAACUUUAAUGCUGACACAUUACGAAACUUGUUAAAGGGCUCCACCCCAUGACCUUCUGAUCACAUUACACUAACUUGUUACAACAACGCUCCAUUUCCAUAAAUGGGAACAAUGAAAUGAACAACUAAACAUCAACAACUAAGCAAGAUUAAAACUUUAAUGAUGACACAUUAAGAAACUUGUUAAAGGACUCAACCCCAUGACCUUCUGAUCACAUGACAACAACUUUACCAGUUGCGCCAACACUCCCUUUCCAUAAAUGGAAACAAUGAAAUGAACAAUCAAGACACUAAGAAACUAACUUUCUUAGCUCAUUAAGCAAGAUAAACACAUUUAAUACUAACAAAUUUUGCUCAAAACUUACAUCAACCCCCAAUAUAACAGCUCCUCCAGCAAGAAACAAAAUCAUAUGACUAGUAAGAUUACAUGGUCCCAUUAACCAAUAACCAGGUGUACACAGCCUUACCCAACAUUAUUGCAAGAGGCUGUUUCCAUGGCUCGACCCCAUGACCUUUUGAUCACAUGGCAGCAACUUUACCAGUUAUGCUUUACAUUUGGGAAUAUGUGAAAUGAACAAUUAAACAUCAACAUAGUAACUUUCUAAGUUCAUUAAGUAAUCUCAGCAAGGAAAUAAUGUGGUAAGGUAAAUGAAAAUAAAAUACAUGUAUAGAAGAAACCACAUACAACUAGCAUAAAUAGGAACAGGAACAGCUAAACAUCAACAACUGAGCAAAGAUUAAAACUUUAAUGCUAACAAAUUAAGAAUUCUUGCUAACAGAACUUACAUCAAUGCCCAAUAUAACAGCACCCUCAGCAAGAAACAAAGUCAUAUGACUAGUAAGAUUAAAUGGCCCUGUUAACCAAUAACCAGGUGGCACAUUAAGCUGUCCACCACCUCUCUUCCCAUGUUUACCAAUUUCCAAUAUUGCCCUCUCAAAUGCCAAUGUAUUAACAGUUACACCAUCACCAACCCCACCAAACUCCGUCAAGUUAAACACCACUGGCCUCAAUUGUGGAACUUCCCUCCCCGGAAAAACUCGCCGGAAAAUCAAGAUUCCGGCAGUAGCAUCAAUCUGCCACCAAAAUAGAGUUAACAUGAAUGCCAACCACAUAACAAUGACAAUAGCUUUGUGGGUGCUGAUCCAUCUACGUGGUGGGUGGUGGGGUUGCACCCCCCACCUCCACCACCAAUACGAUGAUGUUACUGUCUCCACCAUAUGAUAUAUCAAUAAAAAGAGAAAAAAAAAAAUUGGGAUCUUAAUCUUGAUUUUUCAUAACUAUUAAUGAAGACCCAAUUUCAAGAACCAAUCAAGAUUGGAUGUAUUUUAUUUUUUCAAAAUUAGAAGGUGAAGUGUAGUGAUCAGAAAUCAGUGGAAUGAGUAGAUUCAAAGGAAGAAGAAGAAGACUAUAUUGGAAGGGUCAUUGAUUUUGAUCAACACAAAAGGCUUUAUUUGUUUAGGAUUUAACUUAUUAUAAUCUUUAAAAAAAAAAAGUUUAAUUGAGAUAUUAGAAAGUUUAGGAUUUUAAGAUUGUGAGUUUUCAUAAUUAGAUUAGAAGGUUAGUUUUGUUUAAUUAUCCUUUUAUAUUUUGUAGUUGUAGUAAUUGUUUUUUUUUUUUUUUUUUUUUUUUUUUUUUUUUUUUUUUUGUCUUUGAUUGUCGUAUUAUUUUAUUGUAAUUAUUGAGUUUAAAGAAUUUUGAUUAAGCAAGAUGAAGACGGAAUAUUUGGAAUGUAAUUUUGGUGAUGUUGCACGUUAGAUCGAUGCGGGAGUAAGACUUUAGUUUCAAGAUAAUGGCGAGAUCGAUGACUAUGAGAAUGUCACACACUGUGUUAGUGUAGAAUGGGUGAAUGAAGUGGAGGCUAACUUCUCGGGUCUUGUGUUGAUAUGCAAGUAUCACAUAAGUUGAAAGGUAAGUUCUACAGAAUGAUGAUAAGAUCAAUUAUGACAGAAUGUUUGAAAUGUAAUUUCAGUGAUGUUGCAUCUUAGAUCGAUGCGGGAGGAAGACUUGAGUCUCAAGAGAUCGCAAGAGAGAAUGUUUCGAGGUAAUGGCGAGAUCGACGUGGAUGUCAUACAACGUGUUGGUGCGGAGUGGGUGAAGUGGAGGCUGGCUUCUGCGGUCUUGUGUGAUAUGCAAGUGCCACAUAAGCUGAAAGGUGAGUUCUACAAACUGAUGAUUGGACUAAUUAUGUUAUAUGGAGUGGAGUGUUGAUCUAUUAAGAACCCUCGUGUUUAGAAUAUGAAAGUUGCGGUGAUGAGAACGUUGAAGUGGAUGAGUGGCCAUACUAGUAAAAUCAAGAUUAAGAAUAAUGAGAUACUGAAUAAGAUAGAAGCGACUCACACGGUGGAUGGGAUGAGAGAGGCAAAAUUGUGAUAAAAUGGGAAUGUGAGGAGAAAGAGUGCAGAUGCCCUCAAUAAGAAGGUGUGAGCGAUUGACGUGGCAGACAUUACAGGAGAAAUAAACAUGUCAAAGAAAUAUUGGGGGAAAUGAUUAGACGGGACCUGAUUCAUCUUGACCUUACUAAGGGCAAUGACCUUAGAUAUAAGAGAUCAGAGAUCAUAUAUUAGGACAGAACGUUAGUUGAUUGUGGAAUGUUCUCUCGCUUUCACGUGAGAUAGGCUUGAUGGUUAUUCUUGAACCUCCCAUCUUUUCAAUAAACUUGGGUAUGCGAGGAGAAUGAGUGCAGAUACCCUCAAUAAGAAGGUGUGAGCGGUUGAUAUGACGGACAUCAGAAGAGGAAUAGACAUAUCAAAGAAAUAUUGGUGGAAAGUAAUUAGACCGGACCUGGUUCAUCUUGACCUUAAUAAAGGUGAUUGACCUUAGAUAUAAGAGUUCGGAGAUUAUAUAUUAGAGCAGAAAGUUAGUUGAUUGUUGAAUGUUCUGUCGCUUCCAUGUGAGAUAGGCUUGGUGGUUAUUCUUGAACUUUUCCGUCUUUUUAAUAUUAUUAGUACUAUGCGAUCUUCGAUUUCAGCUUUAAUUGAUAUUUUUCUGUGUCAAUUAUCAUAUUAUUUUAUUUUUAUUAUUGUCUACUGUGUAGCGUAUUUCAUUUUGAUUAAUUUUAUAUUGUGAUUGCUUGGUAUUCCUUUUUCAGACUGUUUGACAGGUAAUAGUUAAAUUGAAGGUCUAUCGAAAUAACCUCUCUAUCUCGUAGUUAUCACUUAGUUCCUAAUUUAUCUUUAUUAUUAAUUAUAGUUAUUUAUCAAAAUAUUGAAUUCAUUAUAUUUAAAAGGGGUGCUAUAGUAAAAUCAUUAUUUUAUUAUUUACUUUUAAAGUGCGUGCUAAGUCAAUACUGAAUAAGUAAAAAUGAAUGAAAAAAAUACUUAAUAAUAAAAAUAAAAUACAUAUAAAAUAAUAAAUUAUCUCUUGAUAAGUUUCAUUUUUUUUUAACAAAAGAGUAAGCUUUUAUAUGCAUUUAACAAUCAAAGUCAAGCACAAGAAAAAUAGAAAAUACAAAUUCAUCACUUUAAUAGUGUAAACUUUUAUUAUCAUACUUCUUUUUUAGGAAUUUAAUUACUACCAUUUUACUGAAACUUUGAUGUAUACUUAUCUAUUUUUUUUUUUUUUUUCAAAUUUAGAGGGGCCAAAUAGCUAUUUAUGGUAAGAUAUAAUUUAACGUUCUUAAUAUUAAUACUUGUGAAUAGUCAAAGCUUCAAAUAUUUAUUUCAAUUUUAAACUAUGAAUUGAAUAAUGCAAAUCAUAAUUUUGUAAAAUUCACUACAUUUAUGAUAGAUAAGAUUUAGAUUUUAGUAUUUAUGUUGAAAUAGAAAAAUAUUAAACUUGCUAUAAGAUAUGACUAUUAUACUAAUAAUAAGUGAUAUAUCAUCAUUUAUAUUCUUUUGCUAGCAUUUUUUAUUUUUUUCAAUUUGUAGAAAAGUUCUAUUAUUAUAUUGCUAUGCUUUAUUUUCAAAAUUUCUAAAUUAGACUUUUAGGAAGAUAAAAAUUUCUAAUUUUAUGAAAACAAAUAAUUUAUUUAAUGCCUUAAAACUUAGUAACAAAAUGAUAUCAUACUCUUUUUGUAAUUAAUUUUUCUUACUAUCAAGGUUCCUCUAUUUAACUAGCAGUCUCGCAUUUGAGCCAUGAGGAUAAAAAAAGUUCAAUCGAAAGCGCUUCACCUUUUAAUAGGCCUAAUGGGAUAUGAAUUCUGAUUACUCGAUACUCCAAAAUAGAUAUUGAACACUAGAUAUCGAACGUCAAACCUCACUUAGAGCCGUCAAUAUGGGCUAGGCCCGUUGGGCCGAUCCGAUUCAACCUGUAAUUUGAUGGAGUUGGACUUCAGUUUUUGCAGUCCAUUUAGGAACAGAGCUUUUUAGCCCGACCCAAAUAAUUCCGUGGCCCGUGGGGCUUGAGCAAUGUGGGUUGGGCUAACUCGUGGGCCGGCCCGUAACCCAUUUAUGUUUAUUAACAUUCUAAAAUUAAAUUAUAAAAUAUUAUUUUUUAAAAAAUGGGCUGACCCAUGAGACCCUCGACCCACAGAGUAAUGGUUUGGGCUUGGUGUUUUUUGGUCCAUCAUUUUGAUGGGCCAGUCCGACCUGACCCGUCAAACUCAAAACCCGUGUUGACUAGCCCAAAUGGACUGGAUCGACCCGUAUUUACAGCUCCACCUCACUUACUGAAUUAUACCACAUAUAUUGUUGUCUUAAAAAGAUAGAUAACCAAUGCAACAUUUUAUCACAAAAGAGAAAAACCAAAAAUCUUCUAAUUGUCAUUGGUCCAUUUUUGUGGUGUUGUAGUAUGUUUCACAAUCUAUGUAGAUAAGCUUUUUGUUCUAAAAUAAAUAGCCAAAAACAUAUACACAUUUCUCUUUUAAAUUUACAUAAAAAUUAAACAUUACCUUAGUUUAUUCUCAUUUUCCAAUGGCUUUAGCUAUUCAAUCCACUGCAUUUUCUAGCAUUCCAAUCAGGUGACUAACAUUAAUUUAUCACUUCUUAUACUAUUUUUUGUUUUUGUUAAUUUGGUUGCAUGAUUUUAACAUUCUAACCCAAGGUUCUAUCAAAAAAUAAUUUCUCUAUCUAUACGAGAUAAGUUUAACGUUUGCAUAAAUUCUACUCCAAAUGCUACAUUGUGGGAUUACACUGGGUAUGUUGUUGAUUUGAACAUUGUCUCCAAAUAGUAGUGAAAAUACAAAUUCCGCCGAUUUUGCUAAAUUUGUGUGACAAUUUGAUCUAAAAGAUUAAACUGUUAGAGAGAGCAUACGUUUAGUUACUCAACUAUAAGCGCGGACUCACGUAUGGGUUUUUGAUUCUUUUUCAUGGAUUAAAUACGUGAAAACGCUUUUUACUAUGUGGGUGACGGUUAUACGUAACAUCUUGAAUCGUGUGACGGUCUUAUUUAAAAGCUUACGCUGUUAGGGAGGAUGAGUUUUUAGUUACUCACAUGAUAUGUCUCAACACAACAUCUUGCAUGUGUGUGAUGUGUCUAAUUUUUUUUCAUGAAUCAACUAUGUAAAAAUGCUUUUUUUUAUUGGGUUGCGGUUGAAUAAACCAUGUUGAAUUAUGUGACUGUCUCAUCUUAAUAUAGUUACUAAAUUAUACUAUAUGUCUGAUUCUUUUUUCAUGGAUCAAACACGCGAAAAUGCCUUUUUGCUUUUCAUGUUGUUAUAUACAGAGAUAAGCAUCCAAUACCCCUGAACUAUGGUUAAAGUUGCUACUACACACUACACCUUCAUAGGAAUCCUGUUACCUCCGUAAACUAAAUUUUAGCGUAUUUUUAUCACUCUUUUAUGCUGACGUGACACCUUUAUUACAUAAAAUGGGGCCCACAUCAAAGGUGCCAUGUUAGCUAAAAAGGUUGUCAAAAGGUGUCACGUUAGCUAAAAAGGUUGACAAAAGGUGCUACGUCAGCUAACAAGGUUGAUAAAUGGUGCCAAGUCAGCUAAAAAGCUUGACAAAAGGUGCCAAGUCAGCUAAAAAGGUUGACAAAAGGUGUUACGUCAGCUAAAAAGGUUGACAUAAAUACGCUAAAAUUUAGUUUAGGGGUAAUAGGAACUUCGUGAAGUUGGAGUGUGUCGUAGCAAAUUCAGUCAUAGGUACUAGAUGCUUUACUCUAUAUAUACCACGUUGAAUCGUGUUAACGUCUCGUCUAAAUGCUUAAAUUGUUAGACCUGAAGCCGCGUUUUUAUUUACUUAAUUAUAUUACGUCUCAACAGAUUCUGAUUAUUUAUCUUUGAUUCAGGGAAGUACUACCUACAAAAACAUUUUCAGGGAAAGUUACAACAUGUGUGUUGUCCAAAAAAAGUACUAGGUUGUAUGCUGGUAAAGAAGUUUCAAGUGUUUGUGAACCACUUCCUCCAGAUAGGCCACUAUGGUUUCCUGGAAGUUCACCACCAGAAUGGCUUGAUGGCAGGUCACAUUAAUCUCUUGUCCUUUUACUGCAUUUUCCUCUCGAGUUAACGGUCAAAAACACACCUGAACUAUCACAUUUCCGAGAGCUUCAUUAAUCGUACCUCUCUGAGUUGGCUUAUACGUGUCUGUUGUCGAUUGGAAACAAGUAUCUGUUAAGUUCAGCAUGGAGGUGUGUUUAGUUCAGGUAGGUAAACUAUCCGUUGUUGUAUUCACCUACCUAAAUAAUCACGCCUCUUUGAGUUGGCCUAUAUGCGUCUGUUGUCGAUUGGAAACAAGUACCUGAUCAGCUCAGCAUCGAGGCGUGUUUAGUUUAUGUAGGUAAAGAGAAUAAUCGAUGCUUGUUUCAUAUCUCAACUAUCCAUUGUUUUAUUCACCUACCUAAAUAAUCGCACCUCUCUGAGUUGGCCUAUACGCGUCUGUUGUCGAUUGGAAACAAGUAUCUGAUCAGCUCAGCAUCGAGGCAUGUUUAGUUUAGGUAGGUAGAGAGAAUAAUCGAUGCUUGUUUCAUAUCUCAACUAUCCAUUGUUUUAUUCACCUACCUAAAUAAUCGCACCUCUCUGAGUUGGCCUAUACCCGUCUGCUGUCGAUUGGAAACAAGUAUUUGUUCAGCUCAGCAUCGAGGUGUGUUCUAAUACAAAGAGAGUGAUAGUUGAGGUACGAAACCCGUAAAUAAUGUGAUAGUUUAGGUGUCCUUUCGACCAUUAACUCUUUCCUCUUUUUCUAAAUGGUUCAUUUUACAGAUUUUUGAUUUGUUUUCUUGUUCUUGAAUUGCAGUCUGCCUGGAGAUUUUGGCUUUGAUCCUCUUGGAUUAGGUACACAUAUCAUAAAUGUUACAACAUUUUUCGUAAUUCUAUAGUUUUCGAAUUAUGAGAAACGUUGAAUUUUGAUAUAAUUGUUGGAGAAAAUGGCUUUGAUCGUUAUAGUUAUAGUUGUCGUUCACCUUCAACUUCCUUGACCUUCGAGCACUGUGCAGGCAUUAGCUUCUAUACAUGAUCUUACCACUUUACGGAGGAUUGUGUUUAGGUAAACAACCGCUCGGGCCUAGUCAUUGCUACACUUCGAUGAGGAAGCACCCUUUCUCGCUAAGUUAUAGGGCGAUUAUGCCGAGUUUGGAAUUGACACUUCGGAUCCAGAUAGACCGUAGCUUGUAUUAGAAACUCUUUCUCUUUUCAUUCAUUCGUAUUAUACAAUGACCGAUAAUUAAAUGAUCGCUCUUUCAGGGUCCGAUCCAGAACUACUGAAAUGGUUUGCUCAGGCUGAGCUAAUACACAGCAGAUGGGCGAUGUUAGCAGUAGCUGGAAUACUAAUCCCCGAAUGGCUAGAAAGUCUCGGAUUCAUCGACAACUUUUCAUGGUACGAUGCUGGUGAACGAGAGUAUUUUGCAGAUUCGACAACUCUAUUUGUUGUGCAGCUAGUCUUAAUGGGGUGGGCGGAGGGUCGUAGAUGGGCUGAUAUAAUCAAUCCAGGGUGUGUUGACAUUGAACCAAACGUACCUCACAAGAAGAAACCGAAACCAGAUGUUGGAUAUCCCGGUGGAUUAUGGUUUGAUCCUUUCAUGUGGGGAAGAGGAUCACCCGAACCGGUUAUGGUGUUGAGGACUAAGGAGAUCAAGAAUGGUCGGCUCGCUAUGUUAGCUUUCGUUGGAUUUUGUUUCCAAGCUGUGUAUACCGGACAAGGUCCUGUCGAGAAUUUAAUGUCACAUCUUGCUGAUCCCGGCCAUAACAACAUAUUCGCGGUAUCCAAACUACCAACAUCUCGAUGAUUUUCAAGAAAGUCUGUUACAGAUUACACGCGAUUCGCUCAUCUUAACAUUCAUUUUGUCUGUUUUUUUGCAGGCUUUUACAUCCCAUUGAUGAUACUUACACCAAAAAUGAAAAAAAUUACUCCAUUUGUACCAAGAAAGUCUUUGUUGAUGUUGAUAUAUACAAAAAGGGCAGUCCGGUGCACUAAAGCUACCGCCAUGAGCGGUGUCCGGGGAAGGGACCCACCGCAAGAGUGUAUCGUACGCAGCCUUACCUUGCGUAUAUGUAUUCAUGUAAAUGGACAGGUCUAUGUAACUCAUUCUUGACAAAUAUGACAUUUCUUUAUAUGUUAUCAUGCAUUGAUUCCUGUAUCUGUGAUCGGAGUUUCUUGUUCGUAGUGUUUCGUGAUGUCUAUGAUUUUGGAUAGAUAGUUUAUAGCAGUAGCUUGUUGUAUGCUUCUAUGUUUUUUUGAUGGGAAAAGUCUUUGUUUCCAUCCUGAACUAUACACGAAAUUGCUGAGACACACCCGAACUUUAGGAGGGUCCUAUUACCCCUGCACUAAUUAAAACUGUAUUUUUGGCAACCUUAGUGCCUACGUGGCACAUUAGUGAAUCAACACACUGAAGGUCCACGUAGGCACACGUAUGUGCCACAAAGGCACCAAGGUUGCCAAAAAUACGGUUUUAAUUAGUCCAGGGGUAAUAGGACACUCCUAAAGUUCGGGUGUAUCUCAAAAAUUUCGUGUAUAGUUCAGGAUGGAAACAGAGCAUUUUUUUUUUUGUUUGUUAUAUACUGCUAUUUGUUUUGAGUCGGGGUUUUUCAUCGGAAACAACCUCUCUACUUUAUCUGAGGUUGUGGUAUGAACUCGUACACUUUACGUUCUCUGGAUCUCAAUGAUCGGCAGGGACAUAUAUGUGAUCAUAGAAAGCUGGUGUGGAUCAACAGUGAGGCUACUAAAGCGUUUGCUUGAGGAUUCCGACUUUUUUGAGGUCCCAAAAAAUUUAAAACGAAUUAAAUAGACUGCAAGUUAUUUUUUUGGUAGGGAAAUGCCCCAUUUUUAAAACAGAUCUAUUGUCUAUCCGACUGAUAUAUAAACAGAUCGAUUAUCAAUCCGACCUAUAUAUGGACAGAUUGAUUAUCGAUUCGACCUAUAUAUGGACAGAUCGAUUAUCGAUCCGACACAUAUAUGGACAGAUAGAUUAUCAAUCCGACAGAUAAGAAAAUAGAAAUAGACCAUUUUGCUAAUUGGAAACUUGAAGAGGCUUAAAUUUUCUCCAUCAUUUUGCUAAAUGGAAACUUGACAAGGUCAACAAAAUAUUGUGCAAACUUACAAGGUCAAUUUAAGAUUUACUUUUUUCUUACCCAAAAUAUUUAAAAAAUUCUCUCAAACAAGUCCUCUAAGAUCAACCCAACCCCACCGAUGAAUUUAGUAGAUCGUUUUAGAAGACCCUAAUCACUAUACAUCGAACCUAUCUUAACAGAAACUUUGUCAAAAAAACACAAUACCCCCCCCCCCCACCCCCACCCCACCCCCAAAAUCAUACACCAUGACACAUCAUCAUCCAAAACAACCAAAUCCAAUCAAGAAAAUCAUCAACCAACACCUUCUAAGAAAACAAACAUAACAGAAACAGGUGCAAAUUGUUUCUUUAGGGGGAAGGUGGACAUGUCUAGUAACAAACAUGGCCGCUGUUCCCCUUGUUAUCCUUCUAUCUCUUCGAACAAUCUCUCCUAGAAAACACUGCCUUUUCCUUUUACGUAUCUCUAUUUUCUUCUUCAUCUUUCUAUCUAACCCGCAUUUAUCUUUCUCCAUUUCUGAGGACGAGGCAUUGAUCAAAUUCAAAGAAUCUUUAAGGAACACAACGAUUUUAGAUUCAUCUUGGCGUAAGGGAACGAAUCCAUGCGAUAAGAUCAAGAAAUGGGCUCGUGUUCAAUGCGAUGGGAACACGGUUACAGGCCUGAUUUUAGAUGAAGCUGGUUUAUCAGGAGAAAUUGAUAUCGAUCCAUUGCUUGCCCUUCCGGGACUGAGAGUUGUUGAAAUUGCAAACAAUACGUUUUCAGGAACGAUACCUGAAUUCUUCGUGCUUGGUGCACUUAAAUCUCUUUAUAUAGACGGAAACCAAUUCUCAGGAGAGAUUCCUAAGGAUUUCUUUUCCAGAAUGGGGUCUCUUAAAAAAGUGUGGCUUGCGAACAACAAAUUUUCAGGAUUAAUUCCUGAAUCUCUCGUCAACUUGAAAAGCUUGAUGGAACUUCAUCUCGAAAACAAUGCAUUUUCAGGUCGUAUUCCAUCUUUUUCGCAGGCGAGUUUAACAUAUGUUAAUCUUACGAACAAUAAAUUGGAAGGCGAAAUCCCUCAGAGUAUGUCGAGAUUUGGUGUAGAGCCAUUUAAAGGAAAUGCUGAAUUGUGUGGACAACAGAUAGGUAAAGAAUGCAGUAAAGAAACCAAAAAGAAUGAAGAAGCACCAAUGUCCAAAAUGAAAUGGAUCAUUCUUGGUAUAGUAGUUGGCCUUCUAUUGCUGACGAUUCUUUUACGCGUCAAGCGCAAGGAAGAUCAUUUCGAUAAGCUUGGCAAAGAGAAUCUUGUAGAGGGGUUGCACGUUGCAACCUCGAGUAGGAAGAGCAUGAGCAUUCAAAGGAAGGGAAGUGAGUCCCUCCGUGGAUCAUCGCGAAGGGGAGGGUCGAUGAAGGGUGGUGGUAAGGGUAUGGAAGACCUCGUGUUGGUGAACUCCGAAAAGGGUACCUUCGGGUUGCCUGAUUUGAUGAAGGCAGCUGCCGAGGUGCUAGGGAACGGCGUGUUGGGAUCAGCUUUUAAGGCGAAAAUGGGAAAUGGUUUAUCCGUUGUGGUAAAGAGAUUGCGAGAGAUGAAUAAAAUGAAUCGAGAUGUUUUCGAUGCAGAGAUGAUGAAACUUGGCAAGUUAAGGCACAGAAAUAUACUGCAACUAUUGGCAUAUCAUUACAGAAAAGAAGAGAAAUUGAUUGUAUCUGAAUAUGUUCCCAAAGGCAGCCUGUUAUAUCUGCUACAUGGUAUGACAAUUUCUCUAUAACAACGUCGUUCGUCUAAAUACUUUUCGGCUGCUAUAGCGAAGUGUUUUUACGUAGAACAUAUAAUAUAACCUAACAUGAAAAUCGGUUUUGAAGAAAACUUGGUCGUUAUAGUGAAAGGUAGUUAUAGAGGAUGACUGUUAUAAAAGAUAUCUGACUGUAUAUCAACUUCUUUUUGACAUUUGCAUGAGUAGAUAUUAUCCGAUAAAGUAUUCCGAUCUAUACUUACCGUUCCCUCUGGGGAUAUCUGAUAAAAUUGGAACGAUAUAGAGAAGAAUAUUAGCAUGACCCCUGCAUAAGGAUGACACGUACAAAUAGCUCUAUCGGAAACAACCUCUCUACCGCUUAGGUAAUGGUAAGGUCUGCGUACACUCAACCCUCCCCAGACCACACUUUGUCGGACUACACUGAGUAUAUGUUGUUGUUGUUGUUCGUUUAUGUUAACUAUCCUAAUUUGAAACAUCACGUGUACUUUCAGGUGAGGUACGGGUAAGGUCUGCGUACACGCUAUCCUCCCAGACCUCACUUCGUGGGAAUACACUGAGUAUAUGAUGUUGUUGUUGUUGUUCGUUUAUGUUAACUAUUCUAAUUUUGAAACUUUACGCGUACUUUCAGGUGAUCGAGGCUUAUCACACGCUGAUCUAAAUUGGCCAACUCGCCUUAAAAUCGUCCAGGGAGUUGCUAGUGGAAUGUGUUAUCUUCAUUUGGAGUUUGCAUCUUACGCGGUGCCUCACGGGAACCUCAAGUCCAGCAACAUUCUACUAAAUGAAAACUACGAGCCGCUUCUAUCAGAUUACGCCUUCUAUCCACUAAUCAACAACGCGGAAAUUGUUCAGUCCCUUUCCGCGUAUAAAGCACCAGAAGCCAUACAACAUCAACACCUCUCUCCAAAAUGCGACGUCUAUUGUCUUGGAAUCAUCAUACUCGAAAUCCUUACAGGUAAAUUCCCUUUGCAGUAUCUCGACAAUCAAAAAGGCGGAACAGACGUUGUUCAAUGGGCGCAAUCAGCUAUAGCUGACAAGAGAGAAUCCGAGUUGAUCGAUCCAGAUAUAGCGUCAGCAACAGAUUCCAUUGAACAAAUGGUGAAGCUCCUUCAUGUAGGAGCCGCGUGUACUAUAAGCGAUCCGGAUAUGAGGAUUGACAUGAAGGAAACACUAAGGAGAAUUGACGACGUAAGUUUAACUUGAUGGUACAUCAAAUUUCCAAAAGUUAAUAGGCUAGUAUAUAGUUCAGCGUGAAGCUUUAGUUUCGUUACCUGCCAGAGCUCCUGAGUCACUCUACACAUCUCUAUAUUCGCGACUCGUAUAUACAUAUCUAUAUUGAAAAAGGUACAUAAAUGGAGGCUUCAUUAGUAACCAAAAUUAUAUGUUUGAUACACAUGAAAGUACUUUUUUCUAAUUGUACAUGUACAUUAUAUUGUAUAGUACAUUGGUUUCUAUUGUUGUGAGUUAAAAGAAGGACAUGGAUCCUCAUGGCAAUGCUCAAUUUAGACAUAGAUUUUGUAUAUAACCUUCCAAGUUCUCCUUUAUGUUGAUGCUAAGAGUCUUGAAAAUGUUGCUGCAUUCGUGUUGAAUUCUCCAAAUAUGCACUACUUUUGCACGAUAGACAUGCACCCGUUGGUACUUUUGAAGAGCUCAACGACAUAAAUGAUAUUACGAAGGGGAUCCUUGGAGUAACUGGUAAAGUUGUUGCCAUGUGACCAGGAGGUGUUACACGAGUUCAAGCCUUGGAAUCUCCGUUACGUUGAUGCUAGGAGUUUCAAAAAUUGUUGCUGCAUUCGUGUUGAAUUCUCCAAAUAUGCACUACUUUUGCACGAUCGGACAUGCACCCGUUGUUACUUUUGAAGAGCUCAAGGACAUAAAUGAUAUUAGGGAAAAGGCUCAAAUAUGCCAUCGAACUAUUAGAAAUGGCUCAUUUAUGCCAUCCGUUAAAAGUUUGGCUCGUUUAUGCCAUCGCCAUUACAAAACAGGUUCAUCCAUGCAUUACUUGUUAACUGUGGUUUUUCAAAAAAAGCUUUGCCACGUGUCGUCUUACUAGAGGUCCACAUCAUUAAUUAAAACAACGGAAAAAAGCUCAAAUAUGCCAUCGAACAAUCAGAAAUGACUCAUUUAUGUCAUCUGCUAAAAAUUUAUCUCGUUUGCCAUUGUCAUUACAAAACAGGUUCAUCCAUUCCAUUACAGGUUCAUCCAUACAUUACUUGUUAACUGUGGUUUUUCAAAAACAGCUUUACCACGUGUCGUCUUACUAGAGGUCCACAUCAUUAAUUAAAAUAACGAAAAAAGGCUCAAAUAUGCCAUCGAACAAUCAAAAAUGACUCAUUUUUGCCAUCUGCUAAAAAUUUAUCUCGUUUGCCAUUGUCGUUACAAAACAUGUUCAUCCAUUCCAUUACUUGUUAACGGUGGUUUUCAAAAAUAGUUUUGCCACACAUCGUCUUAGAGGUCCGUUAAAAGUUCAAUGGCAUAUUCAAGCCUUGGAGUAACUGGUAAAGUUGUUGUCAUGUGACCAAGAGGUUACGGGUUCAAGCCUUGGAAACAACUACUAGCAGAAAUGCAAGCUAAGACUGCAUACAAUACACCCAUGUGGUGGGGCCCUUCCCUGACCCUACGCAUAGCGGGAGCUUUAGUACACCGAAUUGCCCUUUUAAGGACAUAAAUGAUAUUAUAGACUUAAAUUAUUAAAUAUUGAGAAUAUUUUUGAAACUCAUAUGGACAAAAAAAAAAGUGAGUUAAAAAGGCCAAUUUAAACAACAAAACAAAAGAAGUGACUUGAACAAAAAGAAACGAAGCAAGUUAGACAAAUCUUUUUUAUGUAUAACUUCAGACCAAUCAAUCGAAUAUUGAUUUAUACGUAAUCAAUAGCGAUGGACUAUUUCAAAUGUUCUUGAAAAUUCUUGCUCCCAUUGUACCAUUUAUAUAUAUAUAAGCAUCUCGAUUAAUGGAUAAAUGUUAGUCGAUAGAAACUCCCUUUGAUUCAUUUUAUGUAGCGCUAUUUUCUUAUUAGUUCGUUUUAGAGAAAAUGACAUUUUUUUUAUAGUAUUUAAAAAUGAUUCGAGUUUUAAUUUUUUUUCUAUGUUAUCCUUAAUAAUAUGUUUUUAUAUAUCUAUCUUUCUUAGAUUUUGUUCCAAUAAAUCACGUGUUCAAAUCUUGGAUAGGAACUCUAGCAGAAAUAUAAGGUAAGACUACGUGUAAUAAACCGUCGUGGAGCUAAAGUUACAUAAAUCACGACACUUUUAGAGCUAAUUACUCCAUAUUCCGACUUUUUUCAAAAUUACUAAAAUUUCACGGUUUUGACGACACGGACACAUCACAUUCUUCCAGAUACAUCACUUUAACUUUAUAUUGAUACAUCAUAUUCUUUCGAAUAUAUCACUUAGUUUUACACGCAUACAUCACAUUUCAAGUUGAUAUAUCACAUUGUUAUGAAACCAAACAGGAAUAGGCAAUACAAUAAAUAAAAGAAAACAAGAAGAACACACAUAUUUUACGUGGAAAUCCUAAACAGAAAAAAUCACGGACAGACAGUGGCGGAGCCAGGAUUUUUAUUGAGGGGGUUCAGAAGUAAAUAUACGGACUAGUCGAAGGGGGUUCAACAUCUACUAUAUAUACAUAAAAAUAGUAUAAAAAUAGUAUAAUUUUCCGUCGAAGGGGGUUCGGAUGAACCCCUGAUUACAAGGUGGAUCCGCCACUGCGGAUAGAGGAGGAAAAAAUAUCACUAUAUCGGAGAAGAGUACAAGGAGGAGACGAAAAUCUCAAUAACAUAUGAGAACCGUCAAAAGAUUAACCCUCUAAACCAUACUUAUAUAAUACGUGCGUACAAUGCCUAAGCCCAAAAACAUCCCUUCACUACCACCACAGAUCCCAAAAAUUCUCAUAAUUAUAGUUUUACCAACAUGAAUCGCACCGUGAUCUUUUCGGGUCGAAUCACAAAUUCUAACACACAUUCUUUUGAAUAUAUCACUUGAUUUUAUACGAAUACAUUACAUUCAUUAGGUAUACAUUAACUUGAUUUUAUAAGAAUAUAUCACAUUCUUUAUUUUAAAUGAUUGAAAUUUUAAGUAGCUAUAAUAAGUUAAAGUUGUGGUACGCUGUGAUUUUUCAAUAGUCAAACAAGUAGCAAUUGGAGUUCAAUAGUCAAAGAAGGAGCAUUAUUUAAUUCCUGGUAUUCCAUAUAUAACUUCCAAAUUCCAGGAGUAGGUGUAAGUAAAGGCAGAAGAAAAAAUGGCUACAGCUUCAAAAAUUGUUGAAAAACUGAACUUGAAGCCACAUCCAGAAGGUGGAUUUUACUCAGAAACAUUCAGAGAUAACACUGUUAUUCUCUCUAAAUCAAAUCUUCCACCUACAUGUAAGUCUUUAUGUAUAAAGUUCUUUACUUUUUUGUGAUUUGUAGUUCUUGAAUCUUUGUGAUUGUUAUCUGUAUUGGUUCUUGAAAUUGAGCCAAUCAUGGGAUUUUUGGAUCUUGAGAAGACAUUGUUAUUAGUCCCUCUGUUUCAUUUUACGUGGCACCCGUUGACUCGAUAUGUCAAAGGACAGCCUGUUAUUUUUCUUCUACGGGUACAAGAAUCUGUAUACUAGAAGCAACCACUUCAACUAGUUCAAGUUUAUAAACCAAGAACAUGAUGAAGUGCAAAAAAUACCCUCAACACAAGAUCAAAGUGAUCUUUUCAAGAGGUGUAUUUUAUUUUUAGAAAUAAAGAUGAAACAGAAAUGGUCAAGUCGCCCGAAUUCACAGACUUUUCUUGAGGAAAUAAUUCCCCUCUCUGUACCCGAGGUUGCGGAAUUUUCCUCCCAGGAUAAAAUGGCCAAACAAACCAACUGUAGUGGUACCUCAAACAACUGGAAUAUCUUCGAACUCACUGAACGUUUUGAGUGAUCACACAGAAUAUUUUUAAGGCAAGAAGAGUGUUUUUAUUCUGAAAUUUUCGUUCAUAUCAAAACCUGUGAAUGAAACCAGGUUUAUAUAGCUAUAACAUGCCUCUUUGAAAACGGCAGUGGUUCAAUUUAGAGGUGUGACUUUUCUGGAAAUGCAUGUUUGUUUACCCAAAACAGUGCAGUAUUUUUGCUGAAACAGUAUACUAUUUCACGAAACAGUGCACCAGUUCGAAACAGUGCAUCACUUCGUUGAAGAAUUGCAUCUGUUCGAACCAGUGUAUUAAUUCAGGAAACAUUGUUUCGAAAAUCUGCAUCAGUUCAGUCGAAACAUUGCAUCUGUUACUGCUACUGCAUGCAUAUAAAUGGAGUAUUAAACACACAGAAAAAUUUUCUGCAUUUUUGUCAUUGAUCAGAUUUCGUCAAAUAAAGUUUAUCCAAAAAGAUAGAUCUCAUCAAUCAUUUUUCAAAUCCAAAGCCGAGCCGAGCGAGCAACGAUGAAGGUGCGAGACAUCUCUUAUUUCUUGCCUCACUUAUCAUGUGGAGUAAGUGUUCUUGAUUAUAAACACUUCCAAGUUCUCUUCUUCCACCAAUGUGGGAGAAAGAGUAAAUUUUCUAAUUUGGGAGUAUACUUUCCAUUUUAGUGCCUCCUUCCCUCCACUAUUUUACUCUCCAUUUUUCUAUUCACACUUCUUUCAUACACUAUGAACCCAACACAGUCCAGUGCGCUAAAACUUCCGCUAUGCACAGAGUCCGGGGAAGGGCCCCACCAUAAGGGUGUAUCAUACGCAGCCUUACACUUGCGUUUCUGCCAGAGGCUGUUUCCAAGGCUUAACCCGUGACCUCCUAGUCACAUGGAGGCAACUUUACCGGUUACUCCAAGGCUCCCCUUCCCGUGACUCGACAUGUUAUUUAAGAAAAAAAAGAAUGUUUUUAAAAUUUGUGGUGUAAAAUAAUUGUUGAAUAUUUGUAUGGUUGUUAUCUGUAUUGGUUCUUGAAAUUGAGCUAAUCAUGGGAUUUUUGGAUCUUGAUCUGUUUUAAUAAGAAUUUCAGUGAAAAAGAAAGACAUUUUUAUUACUCACUUUGUUUCAUUUUACGUGGCAUCCUUUGUUUUGGCACGAAAUUUAAGAAAAAAAGAAUUUGCGGACAUCCUUUGACUUAUCACGAUAUUUAAGAAAAAAAAGAGUUCGUGACACCCUUUGACUUGUCACGAUAUUUAAGAAAAAGGAGUUCGUGGCACCCUUUGGCUUGUCACGAUAUUUAAUAAAAAAGGAGUUUGUGGUACCCUUUGACUUGUCACGAUAUUUAAGAAAAAAAAGAGUUUGUGGCAUCCUUUGACUAGCCACGAUAUUUUUAAGAAAAAAAUACUUUUAAAAUGUGUAGUCUAAAAUAGUUAUUGAAUAUUUGUGUGGUUGUAGAUUGUUUCAUCAUGUACUAAUUAAUUAUAGUAAGAUGAUAUUUUUUAUUGAAAAGACUAAAAAGAAAAGGGUACCACAUAAAAUAGGACAAAGGGUCUUUACUAGUGAGAUCAAAAUAUGAAGCGGAAGUAAACACAUGAAGAAGUCAAAACGGUUUAAUUUACUUACUUUUUGUGAUUUAUGGUUCUUGAAUCUUCAUGAUUGUUAUCUGUAUUGGUUCUUGAAAUUGAGCUAAUCAUUUGAUUUUUAGAUCUUGAGAAAACAUUGUUAUUAGUCCUUCUAUUUCAUUUUAUGUGACAUCUUUUGAAUUGUCACGAUAUUUAAGAAAAAAAAGGAGUUCGUGGCAUCCUUUGACUUGUCGCGAUAUUUAAGAAAAAAAGGAGUCCGUGGCACCCUUUGACUUGUCACGAUAUUUAAGAAAAAAGAGUUCGUGGCACCCAUUUGAUUUGUCACGAUAUUUAAGAAAAAAGGAGUUCGUGGUACCCUUUGACUUGUCAUGAUAUUUAAGAAAAAAGAGUUUGUGGCAUCGUUUGAUUUGUCACCAUAUUUAAGAAAAAAAUGAAUGUUUUUAAAAUUUGUGGUCUAAAAUAAUUAUUAAAAUAUUUGUAUGGUUAUAGAUUGUUUCAUUAUAUGAUAAUUAUAGUAAGGUGACGUUCUCCUUUGGAAGACUAAAAAGGAAAGGGUACCACAUAAAAUAGGACGGAGGGUCUUUCCUAGUGAGAUCAAAAUAUGAAGUAGAAGUAAACACAAGAAGAAGUCGAAGAGGGUUUAAUAUCUAAUAUAUACGUAAAAGAUAAUUUUAACCAUGUAUAAAAAGCGUAAUUUUCUGCAUAUUAACCCCUAGCUACAUGUAAGUCUUUUUUUUUUUGAAGUUACUUUUUGAUUUUUUGGGUUAUUGAAUCUUUGUAACUAUGAUCUGUUUGGAUUCUUAUAAUUGAGCUGUUCUUGGGAUUUGGAAUCUUGGUCUGUUUUUCUUCAUGUGUUUGAAGUAUCUAUUUCAUUCUGUUGUUUUUUUGGGAGAUUUAGGUUCUGCGGUUCUGUCAUACUGUUUGAUUUCGAAUUUCCAAUGAAAAAGAAGACAUUUUUACCAUUUGUUUAGACCCUUAUGGUUCAGCCCUUCCUCGGACACCGAGCAUAGGGGAAGCUUUAGUGGAUCGGAUAGUGGCGGAGCCACCUUUGCACCAGGGGUUUCAUCCGAACCCCCUUCGAUGGAAAAUUAUAGAUGUUGAACUCCUUCGACUAGUUCGUAUAUAUACUUCUAAACCCCCUCAAUAAAAAUCCUGGCUCCGCCACUGGGACCGGAUUGCCCUUUUUUUUCCUAGUGAGAUCUUUAAGCUCUAUUCAGAUGUUAAUUCCAAGAAUCUUUAUGACUGUGAUCUGUUUUGAUUCUUACAAUUGAGCUCCUCAUGUUUUUUUUGGAUCUUGGGUCUGUUUUUUCUUCCAUGUGUCUGCAGUAUCUGUUCAAUUCUAUGGCUUUUUGGGAUAUUUAGAUUCUGGGGUAUUGUUAUACAGUUAAAUUUGUAAUUUCCAGUGAGAAAGAAGACAUCUUUAUCAUUUGUCUAGACCCCUGUAGUCUGGCCCUUUCCCGAACCAGCGCAUAGCAUUUGAUUAAAGCGUUCUGUCUCCACCUAGAGAAUAAAAGCACAUCUUUUUGCAAAUAUCAGUUGGUUAUCUUGCAAAAAGGUGUGUUAACAACGGGGUUCUACUUUGGUGAUUCCCUCAACUCUAAUACUAAUGGUUGUUUGCCACUUAUUGGAGGAACUUAUCGUCUUUGAGCACUUAAAAUGUCUCCUCAAGAUGAUGAAAUUUUGUUUUCUGUCCUAAGUUCUGGCAGCCAUUUACUGCGUCAUGUGUAUCAUGAGUAGUGUUGAUAGGAGGGUGUAGAGGACACAGAACAUGAUAGAAGGUUAGUAGGUCGUAGGAGCAACAUUGCCCCGGUAGUUUCUUGUCCUUCGAUUUCUAUUACUAUCUGUUGUUUCUUGUAGUUUCUGUAGUUGUUCUUAUCUGUUGAUUUUGUUAUUAUCUGUUGCUUCUUGUACUUCCGUUACUUCUCUUUGGGAUUGCUUUGGACUAUUUUUCAUUGAGUCAAGGGGCUAACUGAAACAGCCUCUCUACCUUUGAGGUAGGGGUAAGGUCUGCGUACACUCUACCUUCCCGGACCUCACUUUGUGGGAUUACACCUGGAUAUGUUGUUAUUGUUGUUGUUUUGUAUCACGAACAGCAUUUGCCUCGGAAGAGAGAGCACAUGUUGAAACUUUCAUUAUCGAAUUAGUUGUUUUUUCCCUCUUUUUUCUGAUUACGCCUUUGCAGAUAAGGUUGAUCGACCUGUCAGUACAUGCAUCUACUUCUUGCUACCUUCUGGAAGUGCGUCUCAUCUUCACCGGAUACCAUGCGCAGAAACAUGGCACUUUUAUAUGGGAGAGCCAAUCACGGUGAGUGCUACUCUCUCCGUUUCAGUUUGCUUGCCUUACUCACCAUUUUAGCCCGUUUCAAAGAGAAUGUAUCUUUCCACGUGGUAUGUUUAAGACUGCAAAAUUACAGGAGUUUCGUUAUAUUCCACACAUCUUUAAUGUAAGACCACAGGAUUCAAAAAUCUUCAUUACUUUCUUAAACUCCAUGACUAGUCAAAACUAGACGAACAAAUUGAUGCUGAUCGAGAGAGUAAUACACUAUAGUGGAUGACGAUCUUUCGUGUAGUUUACAUUGAUCUUCAUGCACCAGAACAGUAUUACUGCAUUAUCCAAGCUGUCUUUCUGCAUCAUGCUGUAUUGUAAGUGUCCAUCCUGCUUUGUGCUAAUGUUUGAACUCAAAGGGAUUUGGUCGGCAUGGCUCAGUCACAACCUUAAGGGUAGUCAAAUUUAUAAUCGACACAGUUUUUACCAUUUGGCUGCUCCGUAUGCUAAAUGACACGCUUGACUAUGACCGCGCUUAGCAUGAGGCAUAUGACAUGAAACGAAUAUCUUCUUGUUGUUAGUUCAUGCUUUGUCAUCUCACCUAAGAUUGAACGCUACUUAUCCAUAUCUCGGCAAUGGCUGAUCGAUGUAGCCUUUGGACUAUAGCUUCAUGUGAACUCGUAUAUGUGAAAACUGGAAACCAUAAAAAUAUGAACCCACAGUUUCAACAGCGCAAUGAGUUUAGUGUUUGAUAAUCUUAAAGGUCGAAGGUGUCAAGUUUAAAUGUUGGAUCCGCCUCUGCAUCUCGAUUAUCAUAUCUAGUCUUGAUCUUCGGAAGUAAACAACCCACUGUUCUUCUGUGGAAAGUUUCUUAUUUUGGAUCUUCAUAAUCGUUCUUAUAAUUGAAGGGGAGCCUUGGAGUAACCGGUAAAGUUGCUGCCAUGUGACCCGAAGGUCACGGGUUCAAGCCUUGGAAACAGCCUCUGGCAGAAAUGCAAGGUAAGGCUGCGUACAAUACACCCUCGUGGUGGGGCCCUUCCCCGGACCUUGCACAUAGCGGGAGCUUUAAGUGCACCGGGCUAACUGUUCACGAAUGAUAAAGACUUUACGUGCUUGCUUUCAGGUGAUGGAACUAAAUGAGACUGAUGGGAAGGUGAAAUUAACUUGCCUCGGACCCGAUCCCCUCGUAGAUGAUCAGCUGGUGCAGUACACAGUACCUCCAAACGUCUGGUUUGGCGCGUUUCCCACGAGGGACUACAACAUUACUUCCGAUAUGCAAGUAACGAAAGCGCCUACAAGAGACAGUGAGAAGCAUUUCUCUCUAGUUGGAUGCACUUGUGCUCCAGCAUUCCAGUUUGAUGAUUUUGAACUAGCGAAACGAUCUGAUCUUGUUUCGCGCUAUCCUGCUCAUGAAUCCCUCCUCACUUUGCUCGCCUUCUCCGACUAAACAUGAACCUACGCGUUCGCAGAACCCAGUAGCUUUUUCGUGGACCUUAAAAAAUAUCGAUAAAUAUUCGAGUGUAAUGCUUGCUUGUUUCAUGUUUCAUCUUAGUACUGGUGUGUAAUUUGUUCAGUGUGGCAAUAAAAGGCUUAUCAGUUGAGUUAUUUCCCAUAUAUAGAUUUUCAAUCUCUCGCGAUACAUAAUUAGCUCUCGAUAUAUCGAACAAAGAUACAUAAUUAGUUGAGAUUUUUGUAAUUACUUUGUCAGGUGAGAAUUUAUGUAAAUAUGAUAAGUUAACGUGUAUGUCUAUGUUAUUUUUCAUAAGAAGGGCAAACAAUAUAAAUCCUGGUAGUUUGGAGUUUAACUACAAAAAGUCUCGACAUUUUGCAUAAUUAUCGAAAAUCUCAAUUUUGGAUCUGUCGAGAUACAUAAUUAGCUCUCGAUACAUCCAACGAAAAUAUAUUUUUUCCUUUGUAAAGAUACAUAAUUAGCUUCCGAUACAUUUUUUUCGAGUUUGGGUCUGUCAAGAUACAUAAUACAUCCAAUGAAGAUACAUAAUUAACUUUCGAUAUAUUUUUUUCGGUUUUGGAUUGUCGAGAUACAUAAUUAGCUCCCGGGUGCGUGCAACGCAGAUACAUAAUUAGUUGGGAUUUUUGCAAUUACUUUGUAAGGGUGGGAAUUUGUGUAAAUAUGAUAGGUUAAUGUCUGCGUUUAUAUUAUUUUUUUCAUAUAUAUAAAUAGGGUUAAAUGUAUUUUUUUAUGUAUCUAUAGUAGUAAUAUUGAAUUCUCUUGAUUUUUUUCAUGUGUUUAUCUCUUUAUAUUCUGAACAUCCUUAGUGAAAAUUUUGAUUCCACCACCGUAUAUCUUUUCCAGUAUAGCUCAUCGACAACCUUCUACUCCACCGUCUCAAAAUAAUUUCCGUUUUUAUUCAGACUAUCUGCCUUAAAAUACUGGUCAUUUUAAAAAUUCAAGAUGAAAAUAAUUUUUUUUCUCAUUUUAUCCUUACUAGUAAUUGUGUAAAGAUUAGAAAAACUCCCAUUAUGACGCACUUAAAUAAAGUAAUUAUUCAAUGAAGAAAGAUUAUAUCUUAAAAAUAUACUAAUUUCGAUUUAUAUACAUGAUAUAAUCGUAUCGCGCAUACUUUAUGCUUUGAAAUACAUUAAGAUUAUAGGGACUCUAUUUUUUAAAAGAAAAAAAUCUGUAGAAUCAAAAUUAAUUAGCUAACCAAAAACAAAAAAGGAAAAUCAUAUCAUCAAAUUAAUCUUCUUCUUUUUUUUUUUCAAAAAAGAAAAUGUUAAUUAUUUAAAUUUUAAUAUUUAGACUGUUUAUUCCUUAAAAACAACCAUUAAUAAUAAUAAUAAUAAUAAUAAUAAAUACUAGUCAAAGUCAAGAAAAUCCAUUUUCCUUGUAGUGGAACCCUUUAGUUCUUCCUUUUGAGCCUGCAUAUAUAUGCAAUAAUAUUAGCUGAAUUUGAACGGAUUAAAAUAAAUUAAUUCAAUAAAUAACUCAACAAAAAAUUAAUUGAACUAAAAUGGGUUAAAAUAUGUGUUUUCAGUUGUUUUAUUUUAUUUUAUUUUUUUUUAUAAUUUUUUAGUACCUAAUAAAAUUAUUUUUUUAUUAUGGCUAUACAUAGCAUAUCAAAUAAAAAAGAGUAAAACAUCUAGUAACCCUCUGGAACUAUUACCAAAUUUGCUACGGUAUACUCUAACUUCACGGAAUCCUAUUACCCCUAAACUAAAUUUUAACGUAUUUUUGUCAUUCUUUUUAGCUGACGUGACACCGGUCUUUUUUCAACCUUUUUAACUAACGUGACACCUUUGACGUGAGCUCCAUUUUAUGUAAUAAAGGUGCCACGUCAACAUAAAAGGGUGACAAAAUAUGCUAAAAUUGAGUUCAGGAGAGUAAUAAAAUCCCUGUGAAAUUAGAGUCUUUUAGCAAGUUUGACCAUAAUUCGAGGGUACUGGAUACUUAUCUCAAUUAAAAAUAUAUAUUUUUUGAUAAUAUUUUAACGAGAUUUCUUAUAAGCCGAUUCGACUAUAUUAUAUAUAGGCUGUAUAUCAACUUAAACUUUUGAGUGAUUGAGUUAAUGAAUAAAAGAAUUAAUAACUCAUCCAAAUUUAAAUGACAUAUUUUUUUGAGCUAAUUUUAUCACUUCUAAUAUUAAUGGCAACAUUUUAUCAUAAGGUAAAUACACAUAAAAAUGUUAUGAUACUUAGUUCAUAAGGAACCAACAUUCCUUUUUUAUUAUGUUACAAAAAAGAUAGUAGUAAAUAGUACUAAAGAACUAACUUUUUAUAUUUGUAAAUUUGAACUUUAAACUUUAUUGUAUAUUGUUUUAUCGUCACACAAAUGUAUAAUGAUAUAUGUUUAAAAUUAUAGGUUCUACUAGUCAUUUUUUUCUUAAAAUUUCGAGCAGAAUCAAAUACAAUCACAUAAAAUCAUGAAACAUAAAGCACCGUUUCGAUCUAUGGGGUAUCAUAUACGAGUUUCGAGAGUAUACCUUAACUUUUAAAUUUGAGAAAAUAUCCUAUUACCUUCCUGAAUUAUACGCAAAACGAUUGUGACACACCUCAACUUAAAGGGAGUUCUAUUACCCCUGAACUAAUUAAAAGUGUAAUUUUGACACUCUUAGUGCCUACGUGGACACUUCAGUGUGUUGUGCCACGUAGGCACUAAGGGUGUCAAAAUUACACUUUAAGUGGUUCAGGGGAUAAUAGGGUCCCUUUAAGUUGAGGUGUGUUUGUCGUUUUGGGUAUAGUUCAGAGGAUAAUAGGAUAUUAUCUCUUUGAAUUUUGACCGUAAACUCUGACUUAGAAGUUUUACAAAUAUAUAAAAAGUACUAUAUACGUAUAUAUAUGUCAUACGUACCUUUCUGAUUUCUGCUACCGACACACAAGUCAUGUGAGGCGGAAGCUCCUUCUCGUCAGAUUCCUACACAACGACAUGCGCUUACUAAGAAUUUCUCGUUGAAGAUCAACAAUUGUAAUAACCUUAUACACAUACAUUAUCACAAUAAAAUUUCAAAAUAUUACUCUGAUACAACCCUCGUGAAAAUUUUGCUUUUCCACAAUCUAUAUUUACCAUUCUGCAUUAAAUUACAAUUCAAAAAUUUAUGUAUUAUUUUAUACAAAAUAAACAUAAAACCCUUACCCGUUCUCCGAUGAGCAUAACAUUCUCUCCACGAAUAAUGUAGAGACCCAAAGGUAUGUCACAAAACAGAUUGCCCACCAUUAUUCUCUCUAAGGUACCUUCCAAUACUAUAUUCGCUAUAUAAACAUAAAAAAUAAAUAAAUUAUCAAGAAAUAUAUAAAUAAUACAUUAUAAUAAAAACUGAAAUUAGUUACAAACUUUAUCGCUAAUUUAGCAAAAUGUUUUGAUAAUCGGUUGCUCAUCCGGAAAUAAAUUGGAUGAGCGAGAAAUUAAUUAUUCUUUAGCUAUAGAAUUUAUUUGUCGCUAACGAGGUAUAAAGAUCAUAUAUUUUAGGAAUAAAUAGCAAAGAAAUUAAUACUUUACCAUAUUGAUCGAAAGAACGAAAUGUUCCCAAGAAUUCUCUACCAUCUCGUAGUAAUAUUAGAAUUUUUCCUAUAAAAAGAAAUAGUGAAUUCACUCAUAUAAAUAAAAAAAAAAAAAAAAAAAAAAAAAGCCGAAAUUAAUAUGCCUCAUUAAUUUUCAUGUUAAAAUUCACUAAUAAUGCAAGAGUAAUGGAAGGUAUGAUCAAGCAAUUCAUCUUCAACUUAACCUAAGUAUGAUCUAACUUGGCCUUUAAAUUAAUCACAUCACAUAGAUUGCACGUACAGACAGAGGUAAAGUGCAGUUGUUGAAAGCAGUUUCUCUUCACCUUAACCUAUCACUUGAAAUUAACCACAAGGCAUUUUAAAAUCAAAAUAACAAAUAUUUAUUAACCACAAGGCAUCUUAAAAUCAAAAUAACAAAUAUUUAUUGUAAUGCAGUUUUUGAAUUUUUACGAAAAACACUCCUCUUGAUAUUGUAAUCUGAAAGGAUAGUAGUAACAUACUAUACUCGAAAUAACUUUAUAUCAUCGAUGAAAUACAACCAGUUCUUUUUAUUCAUACAGACUUGAUAUGCAAUACAAGAAACCAGUUAAUAUUCGACAGAUCAGAAAAACAUCUAGUUAAAAAUGUUUCUGACAAACACUCUGCGAUUCAUAAUCCAAAAAAUACAAUAAUAACAUACUAUACUCCGAAUAACUUCAUAGCAUCAACGAUAUGUACGUAUAACUUAAACUCUUAAUCUAUGUAUAUUUAGUGAUAGGAAAAAAGAAUUAGAGAGAAAAGAGAAUUUCAUACUAUCAAGAUAGCUUGCAAGGCUUGAUGAGAAUAAGUUGUCAUCUGUCAUCUGAGUUUGGCCAAUUUGACAUGUGCAAACUCAGUUUCUUUGUCUAAUAAACGAGUCUUAGCACAUCUGUUUUCUUGCUCGUUAUCGCUAUUUCUUUUUUUAAUUUAUAGAACGAAGUAAUGAAAAUGAUUCAUAUACUAUGACGAUUUAUAAUAGUUUUGUUGAUGCAUUCCUCUUGAGAAUGACGAUGAAGAGAGAUUUAUAGGAUGUAUAGAGAUGGGAUCAAGAAAGUAAUGAUGACUCUACAAUGUAUAGUAUCUAGCAAUUAAAGAUGGAUUCAGAAUUUAAGUUUUAUUAUAUUGUAUUUUGAAUUAAUGGUCAAAAAAACACAUCUCAGCUAUCAUUUUUUUUUUUGAGUUUUACAUCUCAACUAUUGUUUCCUUUUUUUCAUACGAAUCAUUACCAUCUACGUGAUUAAAUGCAACUCAACUAUCAGUUGUUCCUUUUUCUGCCUGAACGAUCCAUCAUUCAGGCAGACAAAGGAACAACCGAUAGUUGAAGUGUGUUUUAAUACAUAAAUGGCAGGGGCGGACCUAAGUGCUUUCUGGUGAUGCUCCAGCACCUGUUAAAUCUGAUGGGGACAAGAUAUAACUAUGUAAGGAAUAUAUAAAAAAUGAUAUAAUAGUUAAAAAAAAAAAACUACUCAGGAUGUCAAUAAGAUAAUUGGGUGCUUUGAUUUCUAGGCGGAACCUUAAAGUUUUGACCAUCAAUAUCUGUUUGAAUUUUGUGAGACACCCACGAGCCCAAAAUUCUGGGUUCGUCAUUGAUAAAUAGGGAUAGUUCGGGUAGAAAAAGGAAACAACUGAUUUAUGGGAUGUGAAACUUGUGAAAAAUGAUAGGUCGGGUGUGUUUUCGCCCAUUAUAUCUCGUACUUUUAAUUUGUCCAUUCAAACUUAGUAAUAUAUUUAUUGCAAAUUACUAUAUUUUUACAUGUAAAAAAUAGAGAAAAUGCUCUGUUUUCUUCCUGAACUAUAUACGAAAUUGCAGAGACACACCUGAACUUUAGGAGGGUGCUAUUACCCCUGACUAAUUAAAACUAUAUUUUUGGCAACCUUCGUGUACCUACGUGGACCUUCAGUGUGUUGAUUCACUUAUGUGUCACUAAGGUUGCCAAAAUACGGUUUUAAUUAGUCCAGGGGUAAUAGCACCCUCCUAAAUUUCGAGUGUGUCUCAGCAAUUUCGUAUAUAGUUCAGGAAGAAAACAGAGCAUUUAAUCUAAAAAAUACUGAAUUCAGAUAAACUCGAUACUGCUCGCAAUAUUGACAUAUUAUAAACUAUUAUAAAAAAAUACAUUUACUUUUCAAUGAGUUGUUUUUUUCAUAAGUGGUGUAAGUGUUUGGUGAUAUAGCCUUUUUGGACGGUGGCUUUUGCAGAAAAAAAAAAGAGAGAUACCAAUCUUUUUCUCCCAUUCCCAAUUUUCCCAUGAUUCUAUCCAUGACAUUUUUCAAGCACUAAAUCUUUAUAGGAUGCUACAUAUACUAGAUAACCACCAAUAAUUUUUUACUUAUGAAUUUUAAGUUAAUUUUUCACUAUUUAAUUGAUGAUCCAGAGACGUCUUGAAGUAACGAUAAAAUUAUCAUCGAAUCGUAUGAUUUGAUUACGUGUUCGAAGUAGUUGUGACAUUAGGCAUGGAUGAUCAAGCGAAGUCUUGAAGUAAUGAUAAAGUUGAUUUAAUUACGAGUUCGAAGUAGCUGUGAAAUUAGGCAUAGAUGCUUGUGUAGGUAGAUCCGUAUUAGUGUAUUUAAUUGAUAAUCAAAGGGAGUCUUGAAGUAGCAAUAAAAUUAUCAUCAAAUCGUAUGAUUUAGUUUCGAGUUCGAAGUAGCUGUGAAAUUAGGCAUAUAUGCUUGUGUAGGUGGAUUCGUAUUAAUGUAUUUAAUUGAUAAUCAAGGGGAGUCUUGAAGUAGCGAUAAAUUAAUGUGUUUAACUUGAAGUAGCAAUAAAUUAAUGUGUUUAAUUGAUGAUCAAGAGGAGUCUUGAAGUAACGAUAAAAUUAUCACCAAAUUGUAUGAUUUAAUUACGAGUUCGAAGUAGCUGUGGAAUUUGGCGUGGAUGCUUGUGUAGGUAGAUCCUUAUUAAUGCAUUUAAUAGAUAAUCAGGGAAAGUUUUAAUUAAAGUAAUGAUAAAGUUAUCAUCUAAUCAUAUGAUUAUAUUACGAGUUCGAAGUAGCUGUGGAAUUUGGUGUGGAUGCUUCUGUAGGUAGAUCCUUAUUAAUGUAUUUAAUUGAUAAUCAGGGAAAGUUUUAAUUAAAGUAAUGAUAAAGUUAUCAUCUAAUCAUAUGAUUAUAUUACGAGUUCGAAGUAGCUGUGAAAUUCGACAUGGAUGCUUGUGUAGGUAGAUCCUUAGUAAUGUAUUUAAUUGAUAAUCAAGGAAAGUCUUAAUUAAAGUAACGAUAAAAUUAUCACCAAAUAGUAUGAUUUAAUUACGAGUUCGGAAGUAGUUGUGGAAUCAGGCAUGGAUGCUUGUGUAGGUAGAUCCUUAUUAAAGUAUUUAAUUGAUGAUCCAGGGAAGUCUUGAAGUAAUGAUAAAAUUAUCAUCGAAUCGUAUGAUUUAAUUACUAGUUCGAAGUAGCUGUGAAAUUCGACGUGGAUGCUUGUACAGAUAGAUUCUUAGUAAUGGAUUUAAUUGAUGAUCCAGGAAGUCUUGAAGUAAUGAUAAAACUAUCAUCGAAUCGUAUGAUUUAAUUACGAGUUCAAAGUAGCUGUGGAACUUCGUGUGGAUGCUUGUGCAGGUAGAUCCUUAUUUACGUAUUUAAUUGAUGAUCAAGGAAAAUCUUGAAAUAACGAUAAAGUUAUCAUCGAAGCUUUAAUUUGCUUAAUCCAUGCAAAUUUUAAAUAAUCUUUUGCUUGAAGCCAUGCAAUACAACGAGGACGAUACUUUCAAUGUAAUCUCAUAAAGUCGGGUCUAAGAAAAAUAGAGUGUACAUAGAUUUUACGAUUACUUUGAGAUUAAGUUGAGAGAUUGUUUUCAAUAAAUCUUCGACGCAAGGAAAAACAAUCCAAAAAAGAAGUAAUAAAAGUAAAAGUGCAAAAUGACCUUCUGGACCCCUGUAUUAUGUCGGUUUUGUAAGUUGAACACUUCUACUUACAUGUUUGUCAUCCUGAACUCACUAAAAAACAAUAUUUUAAAUCCUUUUUUGGUGAGUGUAACACACUCUCCCCCACAUCAGCUGUCAUGUCAGCUGCCACGGCUGCCACAUCAUUUGCCACGUCAUUUUAAAAAAAUAAAAAAUAAAAAAAUAUUACAUUAAAUUCCAAGUCAUUUUUAAAAUGUCACAUAACAAAUUAAAUAUUAAAAUUAAUUUAAUUAAAUAAGAAAAAUGUAUAAAUUGUAAAAAAAUUUGAAUAAUCAUGUUUUUAUUUUUGCUCACAAAUUAAACAUCAAAUCCAUUCCAAAUAAUUAAAAUUCUUCUCCGACUAAUUUAAAUUUUUAACUAUAAAUUCAUAUAUACAAACAUAAUGAAUUUUUNNNNNNNNNNNNNNNNNNNNNNNNNNNNNNNNNNNNNNNNNNNNNNNNNNNNNNNNNNNNNNNNNNNNNNNNNNNNNNNNNNNNNNNNNNNNNNNNNNNNNNNNNNNNNNNNNNNNNNNNNNNNNNNNNNNNNNNNNNNNNNNNNNNNNNNNNNNNNNNNNNNNNNNNNNNNNNNNNNNNNNNNNNNNNNNNNNNNNNNNNNNNNNNNNNNNNNNNNNNNNNNNNNNNNNNNNNNNNNNNNNNNNNNNNNNNNNNNNNNNNNNNNNNNNNNNNNNNNNNNNNNNNNNNNNNNNNNNNNNNNNNNNNNNNNNNNNNNNNNNNNNNNNNNNNNNNNNNNNNNNNNNNNNNNNNNNNNNNNNNNNNNNNNNNNNNNNNNNNNNNNNNNNNNNNNNNNNNNNNNNNNNNNNNNNNNNNNGGGUGAGGUGUGGGGGUAGGGACGGGCUGGGGUGGGAUAAAGCAUUUUUAUUUUUUAAAAUUUUUAAAAAUAUUUUUAAAUUAUUUUUAAAAUUUUAAAAAUAUUUUUAAAUUAAAAAAGAUGGAGGGAAAAAAGGACCUUUUUUAUUUUUUUAAUUUUUAAAAAUAUUUUUAAAUUAUUUUUAAAUUCUUAAAAAUAUUUUUAAAUUUAAAAAGAUGGAGGGAAAAAAUAACCCUUUUUUAUUUUAUUUUUUUAAAUUUUAAUAUUUUAUUUAUUUAUUUUUUAAUUAUUUUAAUGUUAAAUUGGCCAAAAAAUGACCCCUACUCGCACCCCAGGCGAGUGGCUACACUCUCUUUGUCCUAGUCACCAUUUGCAAGGUGAACGGUCAAAGAAAGCAAAAUAUUGUUUUUUGACGGGUUCAAGGGUUCAGACGACAAAUAUGUAAGUAGAAGUAUCCAACUUACAAAAUCAACAUAGUACAGGGGUCCAGAAGAUCAUUUUACCUAUUAUUUACUAUAAAUAUAUUUUGAAUUAAUGAUUUUAUUUGAGAAACUUUAUUCGCUUUAAUUUCCAUACCUUCUUCUAAUUGGACAUCUGUUAAUAUUGCUUUAAUACCAUAAGCUUUUGAGAUUAUUUGUCUGUUUAUGCUUUUCAAAUUUCACUUUUCUUAAUUUAAUCAAAGUUCAUUGCUUUAAAAUGACAUCUCAAUAAUAAAGUACAUCUUUAACUACAGGUCUCAACAAGUAUCAGCCUCGUUAGAUAUAGAAUCGCACACCUAAAGAUCGGAGCGCUUUAUUCCACGAUAUAAGAUUUUUUGACGAUGACUCGAAUUUCAAUAUAAAUAUUAAACGCCGAAUGAAAAAUUUAAAAAAAAUAAUAUAUCAUGGUCCUUGUUUUGCCCCCACAGUUCUUUGGUUGGUCAAUAAUCUGGAAUAUAAUUACUAUAUUUUAUGGUAUCUAUAUUACUUGCCACUUAAGCUAGAAAAUGAUCAAUUUUAUAUUAGAGAUAAGCAUUCAGUACUCCCAAGCUAUGGUUAAAGUUGUUAUAACGCACUCCCAACUUCACAGGGGUCCUAUUACCCCCUGCCCCUCCGAACUCUUUUUUGGCGUAUUUUUGUCACCCUUUUGUACUGACGUAGCAUCUUUAUUACAUAAAAUGGGGUCCACGUCAAAAAUGCUACAUUAGUGUGGUGGUAAUUAUUCGUAAAAAAUUUCUCCAUCAUUAACCAGAAAUCUCCAAUUUGAACGGAAAUGAAAUUACCUACCCCAAAAGUAGGACUUCCCGAUGCAAAGCUAGAUUAAUCAGGCUCCAAAACGAGUACAACAAAACCAAUUGAGUACAAUUAUUUACAGAUUGAUAAUAUUCUUGAUCAAUUGCUUAGUAGAAUAAUAAAAACAUGUACCUAUUGACAAAUAUUGUAAUAAAAAAAUGGAUACAAAAAUAUGGGGAGCCCAAAAAAAAAAAAAAAAAAAAGCCCAUGAGUAUUUUCACUAUCAACUAAUUGUAUAAUCUAUCAUUAGUUGACACUUGACACACAACAUACAACAAAAAUCUUGGUGGGAAAAAAGUUGAAGUCGGUGUUGCUCAGGCUCUUCAAAAAUGUCAUCGAAGGCGUAUCAGAGGCGUGUCAGAUUCUUCAGAAGAAGUAGUGUAUAUGUGUAUAUCUGGAGAAUCUGACACUGGUGCGACGUGGAAAAUGUCAACGAAGGCGUGUCAGAUUCUCUAAAAGUAGUAUAUUUCUAGAGAAUCUGACACUGGUGAGACGUGGAAAAUGUCAACGAAGGUGCGUCAGAUUCUCCAAAAGUAAUGUAUUUUUGGAGAAUCUGACACAGGUGCGGCACGGAAUUCAAAAAUAGUAUAUUUCUGGAGAAUCUGAGACGGGUGCGGCACGGAAAACGAUGAGUUGAUGCAACUUAUUUAUGACCUUCACAACAGCAGUAUUUACAACAAGCAAAGCAACCUAAACAUCCCAAAGCAGCUAGACAUUGUGAGAGUGCAAUGGCACACUGAUGAUUCAUCGUCGAAAAUGUCCUAAUGCAGCAACUGCAGCAGCAGCAUAGACCACACAACUUCCCACAACAGUUAGAUGUUGCUUUUGCUAUAAUCUCUGCUGGUUCGUCCUCUGUAUCGAUGGCACCAGGAGGUAUAUUCUCAAUCGUAGCAAUGAGGUUACCAAAACCGAAGCCAAGGGAGUGUAGUAAUACUGUCUUCUGUACUAAGCGUUCCUCUAUCUUCUCAUCGGCAGAGUAAACCUGAUUCAGAUAACUUCGGUUACAGAAAGAAGGCGCGUGUGAUGGCGAAAUGUUAUUAUGAGUCUUGUAUCUAUGCCAUGUGCUGUUAACAACAAGAAGAUACGCAGUGUAGUCCAACAAGUGGGGUCUGUCGAGGGUAAGAUGAACGCAGACCUUACCCCUACCUUGAGAGGUCGAGAGACUCUUCCUGAUAGACCCUCAGCUCAAGGAAAACGAUUUCUUAAAAACACUCAAGACUUGUUUUCUUGAAAAAAUGUAUUCAAUCAUACCUUCCUCUUCGCGGUUGGCUUAAUGACUUUCACUCUUUCCGUCUGCACCAAUGCCAUACGUGUAUACUCAGAGAUUACUGCAUUUUGUGUACUCAUUUUCGCUAUCUGUCAUGUGAAAACAACUUGAGAAUUAAGUCAAGAAUGUAAACGGUGGGUUAAUAUAUAGGAUUAGGACAACGUACCCAGUGAAAUUCCACAAAGUGGAGUGCGUGGAGGGUAGAGUGUACACAGACCUUACCUCUACCUCGUGAAGGUAGAGAGGCUGUCUCUCAAAGUCCCUCGGCUCAAGUGAAACCAAUCAAAGUAUGCAAGGAACAGUAACAUUAGCAAAACAGUGUGAUCAUGUAAACAUAAUAAACAACAUAUGCUAACCGAUAACAAAAGCAAGAAACCAUUCAUGUAACAACCUUCUGCUCGAGAUCCUUUUUUUCUGUAAACCAUGCCUGAGCUGUGAGUAUUUCAAUCUGCUGCUUCACCCUUGCCUGCGUGUUCAAACUACACGUAAUGAAAUCAAUAUUAUCGAGGAUCCUCUUAAACCAAGUGCAUAAAUUUGGAAAUUGGAAGCGGAAAGCCAUAAAACUCUCUCAGUCGUUCAAUCAAGAAAAAAGACAGAUAAACUAGACACUUCAACUCGUCUCCAUUGUGUUAGUUGAACACUCCAAGUUACAAAACGGUCAUCCAGACACCUCCAAAAUUCAUGUACCAUGUCAGUGUCGGGUGUCCAUGAGACACAGUAGGAAUGAGUUGGAGCGUUUUGUUGUCAGUCGAGACCAAGUUGAGGUGUUUAGAUAUAUAGACUAGACUGACAGGAAAAUCCGAAAGCCACAAAACAUGCAUCUGCUACUGAGUCUGCGGUGCCUUACCUUGUCGAGAGGAAUUGCUUUCGACUUGAACCCUUUCAGCUCCACGGAGAAUUUACUCGUGUCCGCUAGGAUUCCCUUAACUUUGAGCAUCUCAGGAAACACUCCUUGGUAUCUUCCUGAUAGGACUAUCGGGCCUUCGGAUGAAAGGUCUGGAAUUUGAGACGGAUACACCUAACACAAAAUUUAACAGUUCUUUGUUACGAAAAUGUAUUUACAUAGGUAAAACUGCAACAACAUAUACGGUACAAUACCACAAAGUGGGGUCUGGGGAGGAUAGAAUGUACGUAGACCUUACCCUACCUCAGAGGUAGAGAGGCUUUUUCCGAUUACAUAGGUAAAACUGUAUCAUGUAACUAUAGCAGUCUUUUGAAACGACACUGAGAGCUCGAAAAAAUCAUUGUUCAUAUUCAUCAUCAUAGCAAGAGAUAUCAGUAGGAUAGCAUAGAUUCAUAAGAGCACCUCAAGUUCUUCAAGACCAUCAAGGUUCUCAAAGGCAAUAUUUGCAAGGAUGACGGACGACGCCCUGGAGAAUAGCCUCUCCAAUCGAACUUCAAGUGAUUCUGCAAAAGCAACAUCGCGAGAAAUGGUUUCAGGUCACAACAGAUAAGGAAUUCGCACGACAAAAGCAGGUAACCUAAAUCUAAGCGUUUUAGCAAAAUAUGACGAAAGUCUGCAACAAAACACUAUCUUUUGAAACGAUGUUUUUGGGACACACUCGGAAACUACACCAAUCAUAUGACUAUAGAUCGAUAAGGUGAUUAAGAGAGUGCAGUAUAUUAUGCAGAAACCACAAGAUAGUAACCAUCAAACCAGUUUAAUGAUAGCCCCGCCAUUCAGUCAUGUGAUAAAAGCUUUUCGGCAACAGUUCUCAAAAGAAUUACUUUGUACAGACUCACCAACAUCCAUAGCAGCAUCAUAAUGGCCGCGACUCAUCAUUGCUAGUGUGCGGAGAAAAUAAUGGUUGCAGAAUAAUCCUGAAAGAUUUUGAAAUUUGAAUCAGAUAUUGAAAAAGAACUGUACUAACAACAAAUUACUCAUCGCAGAGAGAGACGGAGAGAAUCUGAGCACAGAGAUCCGAAACAGCAUGCAACCAUUGGGAUUAAGUUGGCUAUGAAGAUUGAAGAGUAUCGAUUAUAUGGUAAUAAGCUAGUUAUAGCCUCAACGGAAAAUCCUGAAGUCCUAUGUUUGUGAAUGCCGAUAUGGUACAGUUUGAGAUAAUGUCACUCGGUUUUGAAACCGAAAAACAGAAAGAGCAGAGAAGAAUGCAGAUCAUGUAUCCCUACAGACAAGACUCCACUGGUUUCGAGGCUGCAUAUAAUGUAUACCUAUGCCAAAUGUGUAAAGUCGUGGGCACAUUGUUCGGUUUUGUGUAAGAUGAUUCUUCAUGAAUUCGCAGAUCUGUCUUUCAUCUUCAACAGCUCCGUCUGUGAUCAGAAAAACGAUAGGCAUGGAUUCUCCCCCAUUAGAAAACAUACCUAUGGACUGAAAGGAAAAAAGCAAUGCUAUCAGUUUCGUCACAAAAAUGAUUUCCAUUAACUACACGCAGUCCCAAACUGGUGCGGUUAAGCAAUACAAACCAUCAUAUCCAUUCAGCUCUAUUCAAGUCCAUUUCAAUCCAACACUAAAUAAGGGCAGCCCGGUGCACUAAAGCUCCCGAUAUGCGCGGGGUUCGGGGGUGGACCGGACCACAAGGAUCUAUUGUAUGCAGCCUCGUCCAACACUAAAUAUUGUCUUUAAAGGCAAACUAGGAUUAUCUAAAGCUACUCGUUUUCUAACCGUUGCACAUCACUAGAAUCGAUGUGUUAUCACGACACCAGCAUCUUACUGAUAAAUGAUAGCGUACUACUGAAAAGUAUACGAGAAGAUAAGUGGACCUGUUUCAAUGGAUUCAAGAUACUUGUACCAUCGCCAGGAAUAAAGUUCAUGUCGAUCCACUGAGUUGCAUUGUCAAUAGCUUCCUUGGUUGCAACCUCCAAUGACGAUGAAAAUAGGAACUCUUCACUGUUGAAAGCUAUUAUAUUAAACAAAUCUUCGGAAUCAAGUUUCGAUAAUGCUGCAGAGAUUGCUUGUUUGGUAUCGUCAAUUGGUUUUCCCUUCAUACUACCACUUAUAUCAACAAGAAAAAUCACCUCCUUCCUGAAUACCUAUAACAAAGUUCGAAGGAAAUGAAACGAAAAGAAAAAGAGGAACCUUAAGAACCAAUAACGGAAAGCAAGUCACCAUAUUCAUCGAAUGUAAGAAUCUUUUCCACGUUAUAAAGGCGGAGGUAAAAGUGUGUGAAGUUGUCUUCCAGGCAUGAACUCCUUCUAACGACUUAUGCAUUUUGUUAUCAUUUACAAUCGGAUGAUCCAUUAAUUCAACGAGUAGAGGAUUAUAAAUGGAUCAAUUUUUUUGAUUCCCAGUGGAGAUUAGGAAUAGACAGACUUUCUAUAGAACCCGUUUUAUUAACAUGAUUUAUCACUACUUUAGCGACUUUGGCAGCUUGGCCUUAUGAAUCAACUAUGAUGAUCAAGAAACCUUAAACUGCAAAUAUUUUGUAGUUGAGUAAAGCAUCUAGUACCCCCGAACUAUGACCAAAUUUGCUACGACAAACUCUAACUUCACGGGGGUCCUAUUACCCCCGAACUAAAUUUUAGCAUAUUUUUGUCAUCCUUUUAGCUGACAUGGCACCUUUGGCAUGGGCCCCAUUUUAUGUAAUAAAGGUGCCACAUCAGCACAGAAGGGUGACAAAAAUAUGCUAAACUUGAGUUCAGGAGGGUAAUAGAACUCCUGUGAAGUUGGAUUGUGUCGUAGCAACUUUGGCCAUAGUUCGGGGAGAUACUAGAUGCUUAUCUCUUUGUCGUUUGCUGUUCAAACAUAUUUUAGCUAGUUUACCACAUCUUUUGACCGUAAAUCGAUUUCUAGAUUCAACAUAUUGCUUAGUUUAGAAGAGUUUAGAAGAUUUACUAUUUCAACUUUGCUAGUAAAAACUUCUCGAGAAAUGAACAAGAAGACGAUGAAAAACACCAACCUUUUUACACUCCAGUGCACCCGGAAAAAGAUAGCAGCUGAACAUCUUUCUCUGGUCCGUGUCAUGUUGUUCCGGAGAUUGCAGAAGUACGCUGCCAUGGUAGUUAGGACUCGAGAUCUGAAAACACAGCAAUGAUCGAUGAGAGAGUUCCUCGAUCAGAACCCAAAUCUUGAUACGUUUCUAAGUCACUUUAACGUUGCUAAAAUGAAAUUGCAGCAGACAUGCAUAUUAUAAACAACAGACAGCGACAUAUUAACCUAGUCGACUCAGAAUUUGUACUUUCGACAUGAACAGCGUACCUUGUAAGUAAUGACAACAUCGCUGCUCGACCAGUUAAAGACAUUAGCGUCAUAGAACAAGCCCGACUUUCCAUCUUCAUCUUCAUCUUCUAGCUCCUAAAAUACCAAUAUCGAAACCACUGUUAAGAGUUACUUCAUCAACCAACAAAUUACAAAUCGAUAGAGUACUCGACAAGCUUCACCUUAAAAGGAUGACUGAUAGCCUUAGACGAAACCUCAAUUCCCGGACCACAGUUAACGUUAAACUUUAUAUUUUCUUUCUUAGUUAUCUUCUUUCCAGCUGGAGUCACAUACUCCGGGAAACUAUACGGUAUGCUCAAGGUAAAUUGGCCAUCGCGAUACAAUAACUUCUGAGACCAUCUCAAAGUGACCGAGAUAUAGGUUCCCCCAUCAAUCUGAAAAGGUAAUUCCAUUAGUAAAAUGAAGAGAGAACGAUCAAAAACACACCUAAAGUAUCCCGAUUUUUCGAGUUUCCUCCUUGAACUAUCACCAAAAGUUCUGUCGAAACACACCUCAACCAUCAGUCGUUCACUUUUCCUACCUGAACGACAAAUGAUAGUUGAGGUGUGUGUAAAUAUUUGCUGAUAGUUCAGGUAGGAAACUCACAUCAAAAGCCGGGAUACCAUAGGUGUGUUUUUGACUCGUAAAUCCAAAAUGAACAAUCACAGACGAAAUAAGAAAGCAAAUUAUAUAGAAGAAAGUUAGUUACCUCUGGUAUUGUAAUGGUAAAUAUAUGGGGCUUCAGAAAGCGUCCGUCUUCAAUUUUGGCUAUCGUUUUAGUGUCCUUCUCAUCAUCCUCGGCAACUAGUUUAGUACUGUAUGAUUUGCUCGGUAACUCAACCUCGACACCUAGAAUUGAACCCUGUUAGCCAAAUAAUGCAUCACUUGAGAAACAAACAAUUAGCAAUGUUUCACUUCUGUGAAACAAGAGAAUCGAAAGGAUUAAAAAUAAACGAUAUAACUAUUCAACGAUACAACACUUCAAAUUGAAAUCGCAAAUUCCAUAUCGCUAAAGAACUAAACAUACUUUGCCUUUAACAUUCAGAUGCUUUUGACUUGGGAAGCAAAAUAUUGUAUACAACAACAACAACAUACCCAGUGUAUUCCCACAAAGUGGGAUUCGAGGAGGGUAAAGUGUACGCAGUCUACCUCAAAUGAAGUAGAGAGGUUGUUUCCGAUAAACCCCCGGCUCGGGACAGAUAACAGUAUAACAAACAAAGAACAUAAAAAUAAACAACAAAAUGAGAUAACGCAUGACUGGAUAAUAAAAGAAACAAGACACCGACGGAGUAAUACUAUAUACUAUCGAUUCGAGAUCACAAACAUCAUCAGAACACUACGAACAAGAAGGCGUAGAUACAAACACAACACUCCUCCUUACUAUUACGGACGUACUCCUAUCCACUAACUCUCGCACCUAAUUCACCUCCUCCACACCUUUCUAUCAAGGGUCAUGUCCUUCGUAACCUACAAAUCUACAAAACCCCUUCGAUAUCCUAAAUCAUUAUCACCGACAUCUUUAUCGGAAAAUUAAAGUGUAUAGUAUCUUUUUGGAAGGAAAUAAACUACAAAUGCCAUUCUCCUGAGAAAGAACACCUCGAUGCUGAGUUGAUCAAAUAUUUGUAUCCCAAUAUAUAAUUGGGACGUGUAAGGCAACUCAGCGUCAAGAUGUGUUUAGAGAUUGAUAGUUUACGUAGGCAAAUGGAACAAUGAGCAGUUAAGGUAUGAAACUCACGAAAAGGCGAUAGUCUAGGUAUGUUUUUGACCAUCAACUCUUGUAAUAAGUCUAUUUAGAACAACACUUCGUAAUAAGUCUAUUUAGAACAACACUUUACAUGUAUUACAAAAUCGAAAAAGAGUAAAAUUUUAUAGGUCCCGAGAAGGGUCUAACCACAAGAAUCUAUUAUACGCAAUAUUAUCCUACAUUUUUGCAAGACGGCUUGAACCUCGUGACCUAAAAAUAAACUAGAUAAAUCUUACUCCCUCCGUCACAAUGGCUGAUCGAUUUUGACUGUAUGCUACUACAUGGAAUCUUUUAAGUUUUUCGAGACAAAAUUUACAUAUUUGGAAACUAUGUAAAAAGUAUUAUAAUUAACAUAAAAGGCAUAUAAAACAAUCAUGAUCAAAGAAAAACUCGUUUGAAUCUUGAAAUACGAUACAUAGGGUAAAUUUCUGAAAUUACCUGCUCUCCCAUAGCAACAGCAAUCCUACAAUCACAACUCUUGCAAGUCAUAAUACAAUGCAACCUCCACGAUCCUUUAACAGUAACAAACGCUGUAUCAUAAUAACAAUCAGCCAUAACCGAAAUCUCGUUCAUCUGCAAGGGGAUCAAGGCAGGUGGAUAACACUUGCCAUGCACAUGAGGUUGAUAACUUGGAAUAUCCGGGUUAUCAACCAUUGCUGGAUUCUCAAUCACAGCAUACAUCAUUGGGGAUGUUGGAAUAUAUGAUGAUUCCAACUUAGCCUUUUCCGUCGUCAUCUGUUGCUUCUGUGGUGCAACUGCACGAUCUUUUCCAAAAUAUAUACGUUUCAAUAGCCUUAUUCCAUCUUCUACUGAUCUUACAAACUCUUCUUGAUCAGCCAUUGCAGGUAAAAUAUGAAAAAAUGUACGUAAAAAUGUAUGUAAAAUUCAAAUAUAUAUCUAUAUAUAUAAAGGAGAAGAAGAGGAACUUUAUGAAAUGUAGAUUUCGUUGUUAUUCCUCUUCUUCUUUUAACGUGACGGAAGAAAGGAAAACUUUUCCGUAUCGCGAAUCUACCUUAAUGGUGUGAUGUUAAUAUUAUAUAAAGUAUGUUAUGAACACGUAAUGGCCACGGCUAACAGAUUUUCUAGCCCAUGGAUGUCAAACAAAUUUUUACUUUUGGAAUUUUGACUCAAAAAAAUUAAAGGAAAUAACUAAAUAGAGAAGGUGACUAGGUAUGUUUGAGGUUGUUUUACUUUUUUUCUGUAAUGGCCACGGCUAACAGGUUUUCUAGCCAUGGAUGUCAAACAAAUUUUUACUUUUGGAAUUUUGACUCAAAAAAAUUAAAGGACAUAACUAAAUAGAGAAGGUGACUAGAUAUGUUUGAGGUUGUUUUACUUUUUUCUUUUUAAUUAUUUGUAGUUUUCUUUUGGUUUUUUCCUCUCUAGCCGUCUUCAAAGUCAGAUCAAGUUAUUCUCAAUAAAAUUAGUGACGUAAAGAAAAAAAGUUUUUAAUAUACAACCUUAAAUAUAUAUACAUAAUAAAAAUAUUAUUAAUAAUUUAAAAUUAUUUUUUAUUUUUUACGUAUUACUUUUUUUUUAAGGGAAAUAGAAGAUAUUAAGCAAUUACAUUGACGUAGUAAUAUUAUUAUUUAUAAAAGGAAGGACUUUUUUUAAUUAAUAAAAUGUUAGUUAUUUGUGUGCAACGUAUUCCCUUGAAUAUUAUUAUAAAAAAAUUAUUUAUUAAUACGAAGAUUUGAAUUAUUUAAAUCAAAGUUCUAAUAUAUUUUUGAUAAAAGUAGAUUUCUUUUUUUUUUUAAUUUAAACUUUGUACCUUUUAUCUUUUACAAGCUUUAAUAUUAUUUUAAGUGAAACUAAAAUCAUAAAAUUCAUAUCAAAUUUUUUGGGGCUCAAAAUUUUGGAGGCGUCAAACAAACGUUUUACUAAUUUGACCCUUGAGCCACCCCUGAUAAAGAUCUAUGUACAUACUAUCCUCUCCAAAUAUACUCCCUCCAUCAUCGUUUUUAUAUGACUAUAAAUAUUUUGGACUGACAAUUAUUGUAAUUUAUCAUUUUUUUAAUAGUAUUUUAAUAUCAACGUGGAUAGAUUGUUCAUACCAUCGGAGAAUUAUAUAUUAAUUAAAGAAUAGCUAGUUAUUGCUAUUGUUAUUUGUUUAGUCCAAAAAAAUUUAUAAAAUUAUAUGUAUUUGAAAGUUUGCAAUAGCAGGUUAUCGCAAGCGUUUAUUUAUAAAUGGAACAUAAAAUAUGUAAAUUAUCAAAUUCCACGCCUUAAAGAUAUUUUAAUACCUUGUUUAUGAACAAUAUUUUGCACAUACAUAAAAUAUGUAAAUUAUCAAUUCGAUACCUUAAGGAUAUUUCAAUACUUUGUUUAUGAACUAUGUUUUGCUCAUUGGUAAAAUUAUUGAUAUAAGCAUCCAGUAUCUCCCAAAUUAUGGCCAAAGUUGCUACGAAACACUGUAACUACACAGGGGUACUAUUAUCUUUGAAUUCAAUUUUAGCAUAUUUUUGUCACUCUUUUAUGCUGACGUGACACAUUUAUUACAUAUAAUGGGCACUAUGUCAGCUAAAAAAAUUGACAAAAAUGUCACAUCAGCAAAAAAGAAUGACAAAAAUACGCUAAAAUUUAAUUCAGGAGGGUAAUAAAACCCCCAUAAAGUUAGAGUGUCAAUAGAAAAUUUGGUCAUAAUUCAGGAAUACUAAAUGCUUUACUCUAAAAUUAUAUAAAAGUUAAAAGUAAUUUAAUACUCCCUCUAUUUCAUAAUAAAUGAAUUGUUGGAUUUUGACACACAUAUUAAGAAAAAAAUAUUAAAGACAUAAAUUUAACACAACUUUCUAUUUUUACCCCAAAAAAAAAAAAAGUUGACCUUAUAAUAUCUUUUCAGUUAAUUGAUUGUCAAAUCAUAAGAGCAAACUUGAAAAAAAAAUUCAAUGAUUCACUUAUUUUGAAACACCAAUAAAUACCCCAACAAUUCACUUAUUCUGAAACGGAGGGAAUAUUUUUCACAAAAAAAAAGAGGCAACCCGGUGCAGUAGUAAAGCUACCGCUAUGUACGGUGUCCGGGGAAGAGCCCCACCACAAGAGUGUAUCGUAUGCAACCUUAUCAUGCAUUUCAACCAGAGGCUGUUUCCAAGCUUCAACUCGUGACCUCCUGGUCGCAUGGCAACAACUUUACCGGUCACAAAUUGCAAAAAUUUAUAAGAAUCAUACUUGAUUAACAGAUAAAUAACCUUGGAUAGUUUUCUCAUAUAUCUAAAUAGUACAAAAAUCAAGUAGAAUAUAUAGUAUACAAUCAAGGCUCUUGCAUACAACUAUUCUUUAGCAUAUAGCAGAGCAGCAUCUACAGUUCCCUGUAUGUGUAUUAGUUCUACAAGUUGUUGGAUGGUAUCUCUCCGUCGACGAAAAAAACCCGCCUCACCUGACAUUAUUCAUGUAAUAUUUGGCGACUCGCGUUCCUCUGAUGGCAGAUGAAGUCAUUUGCGAGUUAAGGUAUGUCAAAGUUGAGCGAAAAGGAUUUCGUUCCAUGUAUCCGGAACACCGGGUAAGCACCAAUGCAGACAAUCCUGGACUCCGGGUGUUGCUUUGAUGCUGUAUCGAGAUAUAUGACCCUCGUCUCUCAGCUGAGAUAAAGCCGUGAUGUCCAGAAGCUUAACGGAUGUGCCUCUUACAGCCCGCGCUGCAUCGUAGUCACUUGAUUCGUCUUGUAGAACUUCCUUCCCCUCGGAAAGUGGUGUAGUGUUGUCACAGGUACCUCCGGUGUUCCAAUCUCCGUUGAAGAAAUGUCUAGGGGAAAUAGACCGGUAGAAUGCUUUUACGUGAGGGUAUUUCGGUAGCUGUGAGUUCACCCAAUUGACAAUACUGUGAAUGGUAAAAUUCUUGGCACCACCAAUAGUCGCGGUCUUCUUGUUUGUAUUAGGAACACCGUCUACAUACAUGACCCAUCGGUUGGCCUUGAGUUUUCCUCUAUUCCAAUGAUGUCCUGUGUUUAGAACAAUGACAUCGAGCCUCGGGAGGAAAUGACUCAAAAAUGCUGGAGGACGGUCGAGGUGCAUGGCGUAAUCGGUAGCAGGGUCGGAUGGAUUUAUAGGUGUUAAGUCGCAGAGACUAGCAGACCAAUAGUAAAGGAUAGUCGUGUUGGUCUCUGGAAAUCGAUAAGCCCAUCCAUCAGGUCGCUUAGAACCACGAGAUUGCACAAGACCAUAUUCAUGCCCCACGUCACGAACAUCAGGUCUAUCUUUUCCACCAGUAACCAUACACAUAAGUGACUGAAAUUGCUGUCUACCAAGCGAAUCUCCGAUAAACGCCAGGGUCUUGUUUUGCAUCCUAGAUGCACCAUCAAAUUUAGUGAAUCACUUACAUGUCGAAUAACUAGAUUCAGAUAAGUUCGAGAUCGCAAUGCUAAGCAACAAGAAUUAACUUACCGAAAGAUGUGAGAACAUAAUUUUUCAUAAUUUGCAUGUUCGUAUGUGCAAGACAAGGAUGGGGAACAACCCACGAGAUUUUAAAAAAAAAAAAGAGGUCUACUGUCACAGAUGAUACAUUUCAUGUUUGACAUACAUUUCAAUAUUUCGAUUCAGCCAAACACCUAUCUUAUUAGCCUCGAAACAAUAGCCGACAGCACGAAGGUAAGCAUUUCAUCCAGUAAAUAAGGAAUAUUUUGCUCUUUCAUAGACCACAUCGGAGUUGGAUUCAAGAGUCAGAAAUAAAGACUUCAUAAGAAAAAUUACGUUACCUUUUGAGAAACUUAACACCUGUAAACUCUUCCAUCUCGCAGUUUUUGGGUCGCCAACGUAACUUUUCAUAUUCAAAAUCUGUACGUUGUGUCAAGCGGCAAGCCCACAUAGAUGACAACCAUUGCUUGCAGCCAAAUCCAGAAUAUAAAGGUCGGCUAUCAUCUAUGUCCCAUCUGCCUUUAGCUAAGUUGCAAUCUGAAAACGCGGCUUGCCAUAUUAUAAGAAUCUCAAGAAUUUGUAGACAAUUUCAUAGCUAAACGACAUCAAUUAUCACGCAGACAGCAAAAAUGAAAAAACAAAUCAAUGAUUAGAUAAAUAAGAACAAGAAACAAAAGAUAGGUUACCUCGUCUUUCCGGGGUAAUUGUCAAAUUUUCACUAUGUUCAUUGCCAGAGUUCACAAGAGUGGAAACAUCAGUAAGCUGCUCUAUCGAACCACUUUUUUUGUCUGAAACGUCUUUUAGAUCUCCAUUUUCAGUAAAGUUGGGAACAAUACCUGCACUGUCGAAGAACACAAUUAAAAUAUCAAAUGGUGGAGAAUAGAGAUCAGCUAACUUUCCUAGUAUCUCAGAGCAAAACAAAAGAGUCUGUUCACUUUAGCACGUCAAAAACAACCCCAUGAAAGUAAUCCAUUACGAUGCACUAUGCAACAACAAUAGCAUAUGCCCAGUGUGAUCCCACAAGUGGGGUCUGGGUAGGGUAGAGUGUACGCAGACCUUACCCCUACCUUGGGAGGUAGAGAGGUGGUUUCCGUCUUUCCGAUAGACACUCUUCUCAAGAAAAAACAUAUCAUUUUGUGAAUGCAAAUCAAGUUUACCAGUCAAAAACAAGCUAGAGUACGAGUUACUUUUACGUUUACUAUUGAGGAGAGGGUAGUUCUUCUUUUGUUUAAAUUUGGAAGGACAAAAGCAGCCACAAUUUCAAAUACCGUAGAGAUGUUAAAGGACUCUUCUAAUUCAUCAAGGUUUUUGUACUUCGGGGUGAGGAAAUAAUGACGUACGAAACAACACCCACCUCCUAUUUCUUCGUGAGUAACCAAUUCUUCAGUCACCUUAAUUACUGGUGAAGAGUUGGUAUAAGUAGGAUAUUUCUCAGAUUCAAGGAUAACACUGUCUACUGAUUGCUCGGAUCCGCUUCCUUCUCCCAAAGCGUCUUCAUCUUUCACUCUAAGAUCUGCCAGAGAAGAGAGUAUAAAUAAGUAAUUCAACAGGAUCCCGCAACAUGUCCACCAAAGGGUUGAGUCCUAACUCCCAAUUCGGAGUAGUGCCUUCAUUACUUAAAAAGUAGUUGCGGAAUAUACACAAACUCGACCAUUCUUUUAGGAGAUAAAUAGUUGAGAACUAAAAAACUACGGUUUAGCAAAAUGCGGCUAGAUCAAUAAGGUCAGCAGUGUAUCCACCAUAAAGUAAGAUGAAUGUGGUAAAGAUCCAACCAUACCAUUUGACAAAAGGUGUAUGUAUUAGAGAUUCCAUGUCCGCCAAGUAAUAACGUAUCCUAAACUCUCGUAAAAAAAUGAGGCGUAUUCACUUCGAAUGUUACUUUCCCAUUUAGACAAGCUUUCUUCAUAAGAUAUCCUCACAAUAAGCCGUUGAUAUUAACUAUACUGGUGUUCUGUGCAAACUUAAACCCAUAAACGCAUCUCAACUAAGAAAGACCUAUUGCACUCAAAAGAUAUAUAAAACGUUUGAAUGGUUAACAAAGGACUUCUUCGUUUAGUGUGAAAAUGCUCUAGCACAAACAGCAAAGAGCUCCAAUGUAAAAUACAACCAUAAUCCUUAAACUUGAUAAAGAUAUUAACUAACACGUAAUAACGAAAAAAAUGAAAAGGCAGCAAUGGUACGUCAGAGGGUUUAUACAAACCUGGAGAAAGCUGCAAGACGUGAUUCUGAGGUAGUAGUGAAGAAGAAAGAAAUAGGCUUUUCACAUACGCCAAAAGAAGAAUGGUAGCACAUACGAAUCCAAUAAGGAUGAGAGAGAUCUGUGACACCUUCAAACCUCCCUUCAUCCUUCAAGCUCGAUGUCUGGACUUGAACUCAUUCCACCACAAUGGACAUUGAGUUUGCUUCAGAUUAACAUCUGUCAAUCAGUGAAAGGAAAAUGUUUUGAGGUAAAAAUAGAAGUGCUGUUUCGUGUAAAAAAGGUGCAGUUAGAGAUUCACACGCACAAAUCUUGAUAUGGACCAUAAAACCAGACAUUUAUAGAUCGUAGAAAGUCACCUUUGACAGAUAAUAACGGAAACUAUUGUAUGCUCUCAAAUAAUGAAGUAAGCAUCUUUAAGAAACGGCAAUCAAAUAGUACUCUGAUCAAUCAAAAAGAGCUGUCCUCCAUAAGCUUCCUUCUCUAAAUUUGAGAGUAUAACAACAAAGGCAACAUAACCAGUGUAGUCCCACAAUGAGAAGCAAACAGAGAUAGAUUUUACAAUUUACGUUAAUCAAGUCCAAUACACCUCUAGUAAACAGGUAAAGUUGUUGCCAUUUGACCAGGAGGUCACGGAUUCAAGCCUUGGGAAACAACCUCUGGCAGAAAUGCAAGGUAAGGCUGCGUACGAUACACCUUGUAGUGGGGCCCUUCUCCGGACCCUGCGCAUAGCGGGAGCUUUAGUGCACCCGCUGCCCUUUUACAUUAAUCAAGUCCAAGCACAACAAAAAUCAUCCAAUACUUAAAGGCCAUUGCUAUUUAGAGUCUACGACCCUUUCUAGCUCCUUCACUUUAUGAUGAAAAACCAGCAUCCUGCCUUCACCCGUUAUUUCAAUCAAUAUCUUUCUGUACAGUUCAACACGACCUCUAAUAAAGGUUCAGUAACAACCAAUAAGAAUUGAAAGUUUCCAUGUCAAAGGUUCAGUAAUUUCAUGCAAUACUAGAUAGUUUCAGCAAAACCAUGGAAUGAUAACGAUAAUACCGCUGUUUCUUCCUAUUGACCACAUUUAACUAAGUAUUACCUCCAUUCUCAAGGUCUCUGGUUCGAAAUGGAGUUGCCUUUGAUAAGAAGUGCUUUACUCCCUAGGGUUGGACCAAAUUUUAUCUUUGAACCAGAACCAUCCACUUGUUAUUAUUUCCUACCUGACAAAUCAAUCCUAGUAACUAAAGCAACAACCACUGCAAAUAAUACUACUAGAAAACAAAAACAGUAGCUCUACCAACAUGAAGGAAUUAUACCAACAAUUUUAUUAAAAGCAGAUUGAGACGGGUAAGGUGCUUAAAUUGAACAACAACCUACCCAGUGUGAUCCCACAAGUGGAGUAUGGGAAAGGCAGGAUGCACACAGAUAUUACCCUUACUUUGUGGGUAGAGACGAAAUCCAGUACCCUGAACAUGCAAAUUACCACUACAUCAAGGAACAUAAACAACAUUCAUGGCACAAAUCAUAAUCACUACUAAUAAAUCUAGCAAAAGAAAAAAAACAAAGAUUGCAGCUUUUUCAACAUGAAGGAAUGACGGCAACAAUUUUAUUCAGCGCACACACAAAUGGAGGUGGAAACUUGAAAACCCCAAAAUCUCCAAACAAGGACAGAGCUAGCCUUAGCUAAACGAUUCCGCACACAGUAUUUCUUUUUCAGUCCGUUUCAAAAAAGGAUGUUUCUUUCCUUUUUUGUCCAACUCUUUCAUUUCAACAUGUUUAAGACACAAAAUUAAACUAAUUUUAGUAUAUUCUACAUAUCUUUAAGACCACAAGACUCAAAAGUAUUCUUCUACUUUCUUAAACUCAGUGUCAUGUCAAAAUACAACAAUCAAAUCGAGACGGACGGAGUAAUCUACAACCUAAUAACAUAAAAAGGCUAAAAAUCCAAGACCAUAAACUUCGAAUUUCGGCUCUGCCUCCGUAUUAAAAUAAGCUAAAGAUUGGAUCUUUAAGAAUGUCGAACGCAGAAAAUAAAUACAAACAACAACAACAACAUACACAGUGUAUUCCCACAAAGUGGGGUCUGGGGAGGGUAAAAUAUACGAAGUCCAUACCACUACCACAGAUGUAGAGAGGUUGUUUCCGAUAGACCCUCGGCUCAUGACAAAUAAUAGUAUACCAAAAAAUAAAUACAUAUAACAUAAUACACUCAAUUCAAGCUGCAAAAAGAUUGGAUCCUUAACAAAUUCCAAGGCAAAAAAUAAAUAGUACAUAUAUAUAACAUAAUACACUCAAUUCACAACACAAAAAAAAAAUACAUACAAAAUAACACAGUCAAUUCAAGCUGCAAAAAAGAUUGGAUCUUUAAUAAAUAGUACAUAAAUAACAUAAUACACUCAAUUCACAUCACAGAAAAAAAUAUACAUAUAAAUUAACAGAGUCAAUUCAAGCUGCAAAAAAGAUUGGAUCUUUAAUAAAUAGUACAUAUAUAACAUAAUACAUUCAAUUUACAUCACAAAAAAAAAUACAUAUAAAUUAACAGAGUCAAUUCAAGCUGCAAAAAAGAUUGGAUCUUUAAUAAAUAGUACAUAUAUAACAUAAUACACUCAAUUCACAUCACAAAAUACAUAUAAAAUAACACAGUCAAUUCAAACUGCAAAAAAAAAAAUGGAUCUUUAUUAAAUAGUACAUAUAUAACAUAUACACUCAAUUCACAUCACACAAAAAAAAAAAGAGAAAAUGAAUUGUUUCCACUCUAAACUAUACACGAAAUUGUUGAGACACAUCCGAACUUUAGGAGGGUCCUAUUAUCCCUGACUAUUUAAAUCCAUAUAUUUGACAACCUUAGUACCUACGUGGACCUUCAGUGUGUUAGAUUCACUGAUGUGCCACGUAUGUGAUAUGUAGGCACUAAGGUUGCCAAAAAUACGGUUUUAAUUAGUACAGGGUAAUAGGACCUCCUAAAGUUCGGGUGUGUCCCAGCAAUUUCAUUUUUCGUGUAUAGUUCAGGCCGGAAACAGAGCAUUUACUAAAAAAAAAAAGUACAUAUAAAAUAACACAUCAAUUCAAGCUGCAAAAAAGAUUGGAUCUUCAAUAAAUAGUACAUAUAUAACAUAAUAUACUCAAUUCACAUCACGAAAAUAAAUACAUAUAAAAUAACACAGUCAAUUCAAGCUGCAAAAAAUAUUGGAUCUUUAAGAAAAUUGAACACACACACAUAAAAAAUCUGAAUUAUAACAGCUAAAAAAAAAAAGGAUAAAUAAUAUUCAAGCACAAAUGAACAGUUUAAUGCCACAUAAUUCAUAAACAGUAUUGAGUGUUUUAGCAGAUUUACAUUAAAAAUAUAUACAAAUACUAUAUUAAAUCUGAGCAAAAUAAAUAUAGAAAAUGUGUACCUCAAAUUGGAUAAAAUUGGAGCUGGAAAUGGCAAGAUUUAAUGAUGGAGAAAUAAUUAAAGAAGAUAAAAUAAUUAAUUAAAUUAAAUUAUAUAAUAAUAAUGAUGAUGAAUUUUGGGUUUAGAGGCAAAAUAAGAAUUAUGAGUUGGAAGAAUUAAGAGAGAAAAUGGAGAUGUAUGAAGUGGAAGAAUAGUGUAAUGGUAAUGGAGAAAAUCAAGUGGGACAAAAAAAGGAAAUAGUAUUCAAAUAUGGUCCAUUAUUUGUUCUAUGUUUUAUUGUUUUUUAUAAAAAUAACAUAAAAACUUACUUAAUUAUAUAUUUUAAUAAAUUUAAAAUUAAAAAAAAUAUAUCAAAAGCUAAUUAUAUAUUUUUAUAAAGAAAAAAAUAUAUCUUUGUUAGAUGUAUCGAAAGUUAAUUAUAUAUCUCGACACAAGAAAAUCGAGAAAAAAUAUUGAGAGUUAUUAUGUAUCUUUAAUUCUUUACAGAGGAAAAAAAUUAUAUAUUAUCGAAAGCUAAUUAUAUAUUUUCAUAGAUUCAAAAUUGAGUCGAGAGGUAAUUAUGGACCUAUUUAUUGUUUAGCUUCAAUUUAUUGCAAAAUUUUGCAUGUUUGCAUUCUCACUCUCCCUAUGUAUGGUGUGUUUGGUGUCAUUUUAUUAUAAAGAUGUGUAUUUUUAAGUCAAAAAUAAAAAAGAGGAGUAUUUUUUAGCUAAAAAAAUUAAUGGAGAUAUAUUUUUCUUCGUUUCAAAUAGUUCAGGAGUUUUUUUUUUUUCUCCUCGCCACCUCCCACAAGCAACAGAUACCAAAUAACUCUGUCAGACUAAAAUAGAUGGAAAGAAAACACCUGAUGUUUGUUUCUGAUGGGAAUUGAACCAGAUAGUAUUUCUGGCCCCUUUCUAAAUAAUACAUCUCAUAUGUUUCACUGACAGAAUUAUAAUAUUAUUUAUGCAAUUUUUAAGUAUAUAACAAAUUAAAAAUAAAAAAAUAAUUACAAUAAAAUAUAAAAUAAAAAAUUACUAAAAUACCCUCGAUCACAAGUAGACAGGUGGAAGUCAGAGUGACAAUCGUCAACUCCCUGCUCACUCGCUCAUGCUUAUAUAAUGAAAGUCGACGUGACAACUAUCAGCUACCUGCUCACUCACGCUCGUAUAACGUAAACCGACCGACAUGACAACCGACAGCUUUCUGCUCACUUAUACUUUUAUAUAAUGUAAAGAAAAUAGAUGAUAUUUGAUGGUGGGAUUGUGGGUGUUCAAAAGGUUCGAACAUAUAUAUUAAUGCUAAAAAAUUUAAGAUUUUGCCUACAAACUAAAGCACUCAGUUAUCUUUUCGGUUCACUAGGGUGCUUUUAUACAGUACUUUUUUUAUAUAAUUAUACCUAACUAGUUUAGCCGCACGUAUCUCGCCCGUGUAAUAUUUGAUUAUUUCAAAUUAAAUAAUUUUAUCAAUGGCGGAGAUUUUAUCUAACAUUUUUAUAUUUAUUCUUAAAUUUUUUAAAUAUUCUUAAAAUCAAAUUCAGUUGAUUUAAAAUUCUUAAACUAAUGAAAAAAGAAUUAGUUGUCAUUAAUUCUGAUGAUUCUAACAAGAAAUGAUUUUAUCAUAAAUAUAUUUAAUUAUUUUUCAACUCUUAUAUAUUAGGAAAAAUAGUGAAAAGACGAUUUUAUUUAAAGCAAAAACUCUUAAUUAAGAGUAAAAAAUUCAAACAUUAUUUUUAAGUAGGUUUGUGCAAAAACCAAACCGACCGAUAAACCGAACCGAUAAAAAUAUUAUUAGUUUAUUGUUAUUAGGUUAACGGUUUUUAAUGGUUUUAUAAAAAAAAUUAUUGGGUUAUUGGUUCGGUUUGAUUUUAUCUUAUUGGUUAUUGGGUAAACUGAUAACCCAAUAAUAUAUAUAUAUAUAUAUAUUAAUCAACCUUUUAUUUCAAUUAUACAAACUCUUAAUUUCUCCUAACAACAUUUAGUCUAAAUUUGAAGAUUUUUGUAAAUUAAAACACAUCAAGUAAGAUUUUUUAUUGCAAUUAGGAUUCGAUUUUUUUCAUGUUAGUCACUACUAUUUUUAUGUUUGAGUAUUUUCUUAUCGGUUAAACCGAAAAUGAAUCGUUAAAGAUUAAAAAUCGAUAAAUCGAAAACUGCUAAAAAAUAUCUUAUUGGUUUAGCAUAUUUAAAAAACGAAAACCAAUAAAUCAAAUCGAACCGAACCGACCGAUGCACACCUCUAUUUUUAAGGUCUUUAAUACUUUUAAUAUAAUAUAUAUAGAGAGAGAAAUAUAGAUAUAGAUAUAGAUAUAGAUGUGCGUAGCCAAAAUAUUAGCUAUAGGUCCGUCCUAACAUUGGAUCAUCCAAACAAAGCCUAAUGGAGGGGUAUUUUUGGAAUUUGAGUAGUCACCCAAAAUAGUUCUCACUUUCUUCUUCUUCUUCUUCUACACGAAAUCUACAACUCUCUUUAUACUGAAAAAAAAACCCUAAAUCAGCAAUCAGAAGGAACACAAAAAGCAAAAAGCAAAAAUGAGUAGAGGAAGCGGAGGAGGAUACGAUCGUCACAUUACCAUUUUCUCUCCCGAAGGUCGUCUCUUCCAAGUUGGUAAGCUUUUUUUUUGAAUUUCUUAAUAUUUUUUUUUAAUAAAAAAUACUUACUUUUAACAUGUGAUUUUUAUUCAGUUGAUAGAAAAAGUAGUUUUUGUGUGUAUGUGUUGUGAGCAGAAUAUGCUUUUAAAGCUGUGAAGGCAGCUGGAAUUACAUCUAUUGGUGUUCGUGGGAAGGACUCUGUUUGUGUUGUUACUCAGAAGAAAGUCCCUGUAAGUCAUUUGUAAAUCAUUAGUUUUUUCUGUGUAAUUUGUACAUAGCAAAUUGUAAAUCGUUAGUGUUUUCUGUGCAAUUUGUACAUAGCAAUUUGUAGAUCAUUAGUGUUUUCUGUGCAAUUUGUAAAUUAUUAGUGUUUUCUGUGCGAUUUGUAGAUCAUUAGUGUUUUUAUUCAGGUGAGCAAGUUGAGUUUCCUAUCUAAAUUAUCGUGUAACUAGUUGUCAAAACAUACCUCAACUAUGAAACUCAAACAAUUAAUAGUUGAGGUAUGUUUUGACAAAUAGUUACGUGAUAAUUUAGGUAGAAAACUUGCACACCUGAUGGUUCAAGUAUGAGACUCAAUAAACCACGAUACUUUAGGUGUGUUUUUUACUAUUAACUUGAGGCGGAGUCAGGAUUUGAAUCUUAUGAGUUUGGGGUUCUAAAUUAAUAACUUUUAUAUAUAUAUAUAUAUAUAUAUAUAUUCAAGGGAUUAUUUAAAGACAAAUCUAAAGUUUCGACCAAAGCUGCUAAAUCUUGCCGCAUUCUUAACUCAUAUUCUAGCUCCGCCCCUCUACUCUGUUGAGAGACUUGUACAUCAGUGUAUGGGGAAGUGAGAGAUUUAGAGUACGUCGAGUUUUCCAGAGCUCAUAAUUUAGUGUCAAAGAUAAGAUUUUUAGUAUUUGAGUGAAAUGGUCUUGAGUAAGCAAAAUAGAUGUGUAAGGUUCAUAAAACCAACGUCUACUAGUUUGGAAUUGAAGGCUUAGUUGUUUGUGAUGUUACUCAGAGGAAAACCCCUGUAAGUUCCAAGUUUUUGUGCAUUUGUAAAUCAUAAGUCCUUUUAUUCUGUUGAGAGACUUGUAGGUCCGUUAAGUAGAAGUGACAGUUUUAGGGAACCUCUUGUUUUCUAGAACUCAUAAUUUGCGAUCAAAGACAAGUUCCUUAGUAUUCCAGUAGUCGGGACCAAAUAAAGCAGAAUGCAUGUGGAGAAUUCAUAAAGACCACCCCAAUUAUCUUGGAAUUGAAGCUUAGUUAAUAUAUUUUCUAUAUGAUCUAGGAUUACUGAUAUAGCAAAGUUGGGGGAAUUGUGAGAAAAGGAAGCCAUUGUUUUGUAUAUAGUCAGAGAGUGUUGUGGUUUGUUCUGGUACAGCCUAUUUUGUUGAUUAUGUUUCCAAUAAAUUAGACUUGUAACCUUGUAAAUAUAGACCUGCUGUGGAGUUUGAUUCAUUAUGUGUGUUUUGGCUGAGCAGGACAAGCUAUUGGAUCAGACCAGUGUAUCCCAUUUGUUCCCAAUUACCAAGUAUCUCGGACUAUUGGCUACUGGCAUGACAGGUUUGCAAUCUUUAUGGGGUUCUAGUAGACAUGGAAAAUAAUGUUUUUAAUCUUUUGUUGAUAAACUACCAGUUAAUAAAGAUUCAUCUUAUAUCUGUCUACCUUUUCCCCUGGAAACAAGGGAACAUAUCAAUGUAUCCUCCUUUUUGUGAUAAGUGUAUAAUUGUUGAAAAAUGUGAAAACUUUUGCACCCUAAACUUUCCUGUAUGGAUGCCUAUUAAUCUCUUUUAGCAUUGUUGCUUAGCCCCAAAAGAGAAUGCUUUGCUACUGAGGCUAUGGUUUAAUGUUUAUGAACUAAUUAGGGACAAUUUGAGUUUUAAAAGUUAUCCAUUUAUCGUAUUUUAGGUUUAUUUAGCUAUGGAUCAUAUUACUGUCAAUAUGUGAAUAUCAAUGCAUAGCUCCUUCCAGAACCUAUGAUUCUAUAAUUUGUUUCGACGUUUUCAAUUUCAGCUGAUGCAAGAACCUUGGUUCAACAAGCUCGAAAUGAAGCUGCUGAGUUUCGUUUUAAAUAUGGAUAUGAAAUGCCAGCAGAUGUACUGUCUAAAUGGUAUUCCUUUUGUUUCAUUGUAUUCUUCUCUUUGUACCUUCCCGGUUUAUAAUUUAGAGUGCCAUCCUCAAUGGUCUUUUCUAAGAAAAUAGCAAAUUAUUGGUAUGGAAGGAGCAGCUUAGGACAUCGCUUGUACGUUUUUCUCCAUCAACUUUUAAUUUUCGAAGCUAUCAAUCAUUUAUUUGAUUCAUUAGAGGAGUUAAAAAGUUUUAGAAUUUUAUGAAUGUUCUUUAGUUGACAUUCUGUAAAUGCAUCAGCUUGAAUGCAUAACAGAUAAAACUACGUACAUGAGAAGAAUGACCAGCUUUAAUUUCCCAUUAAUAAUUGUAUAAUGAUCUAUAGAACAUGUAUUUUCAGGAUUGCAGACAAGUCUCAGGUUUACACACAGCAUGCCUAUAUGAGGCCCCUGGGAGUAGGUUUGUUGCUGGCCCCUUUGAUCUGAAGCGUCUCUUAUCCUACUUUUCUUUUUGUUGGUGAGGAAGGAGGGGGAAUGCAUUUCUGACUCUGCAUUUUUACUCAUUCCUGUUUUUUGAUGCAUAGUUGCUAUGGUUUUGGGCAUUGAUGAGGAGAAAGGGCCCCAACUCUUCAAAUGUGACCCUGCUGGUCAUUUUUUUGGUCACAAGGUAUUUGCUUAAUUUGAUUUUCCAAUCUGAAUAAAAGCUGUUAAAUUUUUUUCCUGUUUAUGGCCUUCUAGUGACUGCCUUUCCUAGUCAUGGUUAUUCAGUUGCUCGAGCUGCCAUCAUGCUAGUUGAAUCUUGGCAGACAAAUGAUCAGAUCUCAAAUUUGCAUAAUUUGUUUAAUCUAUAUAAGUCUCAUAAGUUAUAUACACAUGCAUAUACAGAUACAUAAUGCAUAUAUUUACACGUAGGGUAGAGAGGGUGGAGGAGAAAAAAUGUUCUACCUACCAAGUUUCCCCUACUGAAGGAAACUGCUAAUAAAAAUGUGGAAGACGACUAAAAGCCAUUUGAUGUUCCAAUACACACACACACACACACAUCACAAGUAGUCACUCUUUUUUGCUUUUCUUCUUAAUUCUGAAGGUCACGGCCUUGGGUGCACUAAAAGAUUUGAUGAACUUUACCAUAGUCAAAGAAUUUCUCAACAGCUAAGGAGGUUUAUAUAUGUAUUAUGAUUCACGAAAGAUUAGGGGGCUUGAGUAAUUUCAGGAAUUAAUCCACAAGAGCGGGUCGCUUCUUUCAUUUUAGUGGUUAUAAGAGUACCAAUUAAUUUGUGAAUGUAUUUUUGCAAUCUAGCAUAGUGUCUGAAAUCUUUAGAUGUCAUCUUGCUUAUCAGUUAAUCAUCUUUUAUCUCUCAAAUUCAUCUUUCUUUCUUUUUUCACACCACUCUAUCAUAGCCUCUAGCCAGAGACCAAAUCUUUGCCAACUGCAUUGUCCCAUUGUGUUCAAUCAUGUCCUGGCACCCUUUGUACCUUAUUGCAUACUGUGCAUAAGCCAAUGUGUGGUAUUCAUAUUGGGAUUCGAACCCAUUGACGAUUUUAAGUGGCACAUGAAAACUCUAAUCCUGAAAAUCCUAUAAUUCGUUCUAUUAAAAAAUAAGACAAGAAGAAAGAUAAAAUCAGAAAAAAGAUAAAAUCCUGUAAUUCAAGGACGAUUGUACUUUGGAUCUGAAAACCUGAUUUAAAUGCUGCAAGGUAAAAACGAUAUUUUACUAUUAUUACCCACAUUUUCUAUACGAAAUGAAUGUGUUAAAAUAUCAAUUGCUGAACAUGAUACAAGAAAUUUAUUAGUUGAAGCAUGCAUAUGAAAGGGUUUCUGGACGAGUUGAAGGAGGUAGAAUCUAGACUUUACGACUCCGUGCUUUGCUUCUUUUAAUGUUUAACUGUAGCUUACACUCACUCACCAUAAAAGGCCCAAAAGUACGAACACCAUGUCAUAUUAGUAAUAUUUAGCAAGUUUAUGAGAGGAUGUUACGGACUUUGAAUUCCCAUCCUGUGGUUCUUCUGAAGUGUUAGUACUUUCCUUGCUUGUCAUCUUGUUUAUGAUGGUAUGUAUUACAUUUAUCGACCUUGUGCAGGCUACAAGUGCUGGAUCUAAAGAGCAGGAGUCAAUUAAUUUCUUGGAGAAGAAAAUGAAAAAUAACCCUGCUUUCUCCUAUGAGGAAACUGUUCAGGUAACAGGAAUGAGAGUACUUGGAUGUGGUUUAAGGCUUUUAUUCUCCUUCUGUUGUUUUGUUCCUCACUGCAUAUACUAGCAAAGGACUGCACAAUUUCCCAUCUUGUUGUGUAAUUGACCAAAAAUUUUAGUAUAAGACUGUUACGGUUAAUGUAAGAUAUUAGAGUUGAUAAAUACCUCCUAAUAAAAUCUAGAAGUGGCUUUCUUUUCCAUGUACUGGCUUAGGUAAAUGGAUUCUUUUGUUAAAGCCUUAGAAAUCUUAAUUUGGCUAGUGCUUAUAGUUUUGCAGAUGUUUGAAAUAAAUUGUACAAGCUAUACAUUUGAUUGAGAACGAUUCAAUUUUAUUUGUGAAGUUUCAGUAUAUCGUGUUCAUGUAAUUUUUAGAAUUCUGUCUAUAUGAGGUUUUGAUGUUAAAAAGUUAGGAGAAUGCACUUCAGUGUUGCUGAUACAUUAUUUUUGUUCUGUAGACUACAAUUUCUGCUCUUCAAUCUGUUCUGCAAGAGGAUUUCAAGGCCAGUGAAAUUGAGGUAAUUUGUUUCUUUCCACAAUACACAUAUUAUCCGCCAUUAAUAGUGCAGUUAUUAUUGCCUGUGUUGAUCACCACUUGAGCAGAGAAGAAAAAGGGGGAAGGGGAAGGAGCGCAGUGCUUUUUGCUGUUCUUGGUUUUCUUCAAAGGAAUCAUUUCUUUUUCUUGUUUGGGGAUUGAUUUAGAAGUACUUGAGUCGCACCUCGGAAUGGUUACCAUCACAGGUCAUGCGAUACAUAUUCCAUUAGAUAGUGUAGUUGCUUAAUCUUCGUAUAACUAGCUACUAGACAAUAGAAUGAGACCUCUUUAUCACACUAACUGAUUCCACUUUUGUUGUCUUAGUGAAUCAUAGUGCUGCCUAGGAUGUGCAACUGCAUUGCUUCGUAUCAUAUUAUCGUUCGUAGUGCUGCUUAGGAUGUGUUGCAUUGCUUCGUAUCAUAAUAUCGUUUGGUCUUUGAUAGGUUGGAGUUGUGAGGAAGGAAGAUCCCGUCUUUAGAGUGUUAUCUACUGAGGAAAUCGACGAGCACUUAACAGCCAUCAGCGAGCGUGACUGAUUAGCCACGGGAUAACAGUCUGUUUUCAGUUAGAAAUGUAUGUUUGCGCUAUCUCGACUUGCAAAAGAUCCCGUUUGAUUGUCAGUUGGUGGGAAUAGACAGAAUCCUUCUGCAUAUGUUGAUACUGAGUUUCUAAUCGUUGAAUGUAACAUUUCUUGGGAUCUUCUUAGUUUCAACAAAAAUGUUUGAAUGCCUACUGCCUGGGAUUAUAUUUAAAUUUUACUUUGAGCGUUUCACAUCUUAUUCUUCGAUUCUAGUAUUACUUUGUUUCCUUGCUUCAAUGGUCGUAUUGUUUGUUGUUGCUACUCUUCGAUACUGUAUUUGCUUCACAUACUUGAUUUCACAUCUUAUUCUUCGAUUUUAGUAUUACUUUGUUUCCUUGCUUCAAUUGUCGUAUUGUUUGUUGUUGCUACUCUUUGAUACUGUACUUGCUUUACAUACUUGAUUGUAUGAUAUGCUUUACUUGAGUCAAGGGUCUAUUGGAAACAAUCUCUCUAUAUUCACAAGGUAGGGUUAUGGUUGCAUAUAUACCACCCUUCCCCGACUGUACUUGUGGGAUUACUCUUGGUAUGUUUGCGAGGUAGGGGUAUGCUGUUUAUAUUAUAUCCGUUGUGUGAUUCUUUCCUGGAUCUUGCGUGAACGUGGGAUGCUUUGUGCAUCGAGCUGCCUCUUUUAUGAAAUAUAUUUCCAGGCUUAUAGAGAAGCUUAACAAUAACUUGCCUUCAAGCACAUCAAGCCACCGGUUUUAGUGUCUUGAAAUUAAUACUAUGUUAGAACAUUAAAUUUAAGGCAAACAACAUAAAUUUCUACAGUUUUGAGCUUAAUUACAUAAAAUUUUGACACUUUGCAUAGUUACUGGAAUUUUAAUUUUGGGUCUGUCGAGAUACAUAAUUAGCUUACGGUGCGUCUAAUGAAAAUACAUUUUUUUCUUUGUCGUGAUACAUAAUUAACUUUCGAUAUUUUUUUUUUGUUUUCUGGGUCUAUCAAGAUAUAUAAUACAUUUAAUGAAGAUAUAUUUUUUCCUUGUAAAGAUACAUACUUAGCUUUCAAUACAUUUUUUUCGAUUUUAGGUCUGUCGAGAUACAUAAUUAGCUCUCCGAUACAUCCAAUGAAAUACAUAAUUUGUUGGGAUUUUUGUAAUUACUUUUUAAAGGUGGGGAUUUGUGUAAAUAUGGUACAUGAAGGUGUAUGUUAUGUUAUUUUUCCUAAAUCCAAAGCAUGCCAUAAAUAUUUGUUUGAUUAUAAAUUGUGACAAGAGUGAUGAACAUGCUCGAUAUUUGGCGUGUAUAUUAAAUCGCGAAAAAAUGAGGAGAGAUUAUAUUCCUCUCUAGCGAAAAACAGUAAAAAUACAUAAAUAAACAUUCACUGAAACCACCAAAUGAUGUGAUGCAGUGGAUGAGACUGUUUUUUCCUUGACUAGAGGUCUCGAGCUCGAGUCCUGGGUAUGAAAAAAUCCUUGGUAGGCAACGCUACCCCUGAAUGGGGUCCUAUCUGGUGCGAAUUCAAAUUAGUUGGUCCCAAUACAUAUAUCAAAUACCGAGUGGAAAACCAAAAAAAAAAAACAUUCAUUGAAUACAAGGUACGUAAUUGAAUGCAUCAAGUAAUUUAAAGAUUGUAGUGAAACCAUAUUCUCAUCAAUUCUAAUUGAUGAAGAUGAUUACAAGAAUCUCUCAUAUAACUUUAGGAAUAACUAAUAAGUAGUCACUAUUUUCUUAUUUGCCACUAGAUAUAUAGAAAAUGAUUAAUUAUUUAGUACUUUGUAAUGUCAACUAUACAAGCGCUCAUGAACAGAGUUAUCUGAUACUUGUAGGAGGUAGCAGGUAUUCUGUGAAAUUAGUUGAGAUGUACAUAAGUUGACCCAACAAAACAAUUACGACAACUACAACAUAUCCAGUAUAAUUUCACAAAGUGAGGUUUGAAAAGGAUAGAAUGUAUCCUGACCUUACCUUUACCUCAGAGGUAGAGAGGUUGUUCUCGAUAAAUCCUCUGGUACCUGUAGGAGGUAGCAGGUAUUUCGUGAAGUUAGUCAAGAUGUACACAAGUUGAUCCAACAAAACAAUUACAACAACUACAACAUAUCCAGUAUAAUCCCACAAAGUGGGGUCUGGGAAGGAUGGUAUGUACACAGACCUUUCCUCUACCUUAGAGGCAGAGAGGUUGUUCCCGAUAAACCCUCUGGUGGUACCUGCAGGAGGUAGCAGGUAUUCCGGUGAAAUUAAUCGAGAUGUACACAAACUGACCCAACAAAACAAUUACAACAACUACAACACAUUCAGCAUAAUCCCACAGGGUGGAAUCUGAAAAACGUAGAAUGUACGCAUAUCUUAUCUCUACCUCAAAAACAGAGAGGUUGUUUCCGAUAAACCCGAACGUCAGCAUUUUGUAGAUCCAUCGUAUAGGUAGUCAAGAAUAGCAAUAACUCCAAUAACAAAGGCUUGAUCAAUUCCUGCCUUAAUAGUAACAAUAUACACAUCUUUGCUUGGCAUCACUUGUUGAACCUCUUUUCUACUUCCAACCUGCAUUAUUAUACCAUGAAUAUCACUUUACUAUUCAUAAAAGGAUUCAACUUAUGAGUUUAAGUUAUAUAUAUCGUCAGUAUCUUCAUGUCAACUUUUAUAUGUUGUAGCCAGUAACAUAUCUUAUUUUCAAGAUUAUAUAAAGAUUUACAUGUAGAUAUCUUUUAGGUGAGUGGACUUCUAUCUAUCGGGAUAAAACACUUUUCGAGUAAAAUAGUCUAACGCAAAAUAAAAAUUUGUUCGCGUUCGUAGUUGCAAUACAAGGGAUGAUUUUGGAAACUAAAUUUAGUUAGGUUCCAAAAUAAGACAUGGAAUUUGUGUGUAUAUAUGUAUGUGUUCUUGAUAUUUAGACCAUAUACAAUGUGUUUAGUUCAAUCCACAAAUGAAAUGUCAUGUUCUUAAAAUACCAAAAGAUGAUUUUUUUUUCCUAUCUAACUCGAAUCUUGAUGGAUAAAAUUACUUGAAUCUUGAUGGAUAAAAUUAGUUGAUAUAUGUGAUGGUGGAAAGCAAAAUGCAUGUCGAAUUUAAUGAAGAGGAAUCUUGGAGCAACUGGUGAAGUUGCUGUCAUGUGAUCAGGAGGUCACGGGUUCAAACCUUAGAAACAGUCUCUUGCAGAAAUGCAAGGUAAGACUGCGUACAAUACACCCUUGUGGUGGGGCCAUUCUCUGGACCAGUGGCGGAGCCAGACUUUUAGUUAAAGGUGUUCAUAUUUUUCCUUGGGCAAAGAACUGUUUAAAAAACAAAGCUAGACUAUGCUUCUCUAGCUUGUCAAGGGUGUGCAACAACAUGUAUAUAACUAUAAAUAUUUAUAUUUAACCUAUAUACUCGAAAAAAAAUUCCGACGAAGGGUGUUUGUCUGACCACCCUUCGUUGGCUGUGGCUCCGCCACUGCUCCGGACUCUGUGCAUAGCGGGAGCUUUAGUGUACCGGACUGUACUUUUUACUCUAAUAUCUUGUUUGAUUUGAUCAUGUGAUAAAGGAAUGAGGAACCAAUACAUUAUGUUGGGAAGUUGCAUUUUGAUGUUUGUUUUUUCAAGUUCUUGAAACAAACAAAGAACUUGAGCCGAGGGUCUAUCGAAACAAUCUUUCUUUUUACCCCGUAUAAUGUUUGCUUACACAUGCACACCGUUCUCCAAACCCUACUCGUGGGACUAUACACUCGAUAUAUAUAUAUAUAUAUAUAUAUGUUGUUGUUGAAAGUAUCGAAAACCGAAAAAUUAAUAUAUAUGAAAGAGAUAUCACCAUUCAACAUGAAAAUUGAAAUUAGUUAAUUACCUUUGCAAUAACAUUGCCAUUGGAGUCAACAAUGCUACAAGCUCUAUCAGGAAAACAACCAGCAAUCUGAAAAUUCUUCUGAUUUUUGUAAUCAUUUGAUUCAAUAGAAACUUUGAUUGGCAUUUUCUUGAAAAAACAAGAAUUAUUAUUUGGCUCUUUCAAACAAAAUACCAAUUUUUCACAACCUUCAAAAUCUUUACUAUAACCCCUCCAUUUCUUUUGCAUGCUUAGUGCUUCAAUUACUCCACCCUGAAAAUUCAAUGUAUGAAUCAUAAGUAAACCUACAUACGCGAAUUCAAGAUUUAAAGUCGGUUAUACUUAAAUCUACUAAAUUUAUUAUAAAGUAAAGCAUCUAGUACCUUGAACUAUGACCAAAUUUGCUACGACACACUCCAACUUUAUGAGGGUCCUAUUAAUCCCUGACGGUGGCGGAAUCAGGAUUUUUAACAUGGGGGUUCACAAGUGAACAUACGAACUAACCGAAGGGGUUCGACAUCUAUUAUAUAUACAUAGAAAAUAAUUUUAACCACGUAUAUAUAGUAUAAUUUUCUGUUGAAGUGGGUUCGGAUGAACUCCCCUAUUCCAAGUGUAGCUCCGCCACUGCUCCCUGAACUAAAUUUUAGCAUAUUUUUAUCGACCUUUUUAGUUGACGUGGUACCUUUUGUCAACUUUUUUAGCUAACGUGACACCUUUGACGUGGACCUCAUUUUAUAUAAUAAAGGUGUCAUGUCACAUAAAAGGGUGACAAAAAUGCGCUAAAAUUGAGUUCAGGAGGGCCAUAGGACCCCUGUGUGAAGUUGAAGUGUGUCGUAGCUAUUUUGAACAUAAUUUAGGGGUACUGGAUGCUUUUUUCUUUAUUAUAUGAACAUGCAUUUUGAACUUUUUUCUGAAUGACUUUUAACUUCUAGGCACUUAAAGUAUACAUAACAUCGCUAUAAGAUUACCUAAAAGAUAACUACAUGUUUAUUGUACGCAUAUUCAUGAAAUGUGUACGUAUAAAAUAUCACCUAGUGAGAAAUGCAUACAACAACAAUAUACCCUAUGUGAUCUGGGAAGGAUAAAGUAUACACAAAACCUUAUCUUUUACCUUGUGAGGUAGAGAUCAAGACUGUUUCCAAUCGACCCUCGGCUCAAGAAAAACUAGUGAAAACAUGCAUGCAUGAUAUAUAAUUGAAAACAUAUGAAUAUAUUACUUUGUACUAACAAAUGUUAAAUGUACCUUUUUUCUAAUAAGAAGCAAAUCAUGACCAUCACCAUCUUUAAGAAUAACUUCAUUUUUUUUACCAAGAAUCCCACAUCCAUCAACUUUGAAAACAACAUUUUCUGUAUAAUUAUUUGUAACUAUAAAUCCACCACCAUUCACAACAGGUGGACGACUUCUUACUACAAGAACAACCUCAGAAUUUGAACAAUACACCUUACUAACAACAACAGCCAUAUUAUUUGAGUUUUAUUUAAGACGAGGGGGUUGCUCGGAAUUCAGAUGGUAAGAACCCUCAACUUCUAACGAUGAGAUUGUAAGUUCGAGUUAUCAAGGAAGUGAUAAGGUGGAAAAGAGGGGGUUGCUCAGAGGUUGUCAGUUGGAGUUUUCAAGGGAGCGAUAAGGCGGGAGGUCCUAGCUAGGGAAAACAAGGUUGAUUGUGGAAAAGACAAGAGGGGGUUGCUCGGAAUUCGGAUGGUAAGCACCCUCAACUUCCAACAAUGAGGUUGUCAGUUCGAGUUAUCAAGGGAGUGAUAAGGUGGGCGGAGCUCCUAGCUAGGGACAAAAAAAAGUUGAUUGUGGAAAAGAUAAGAGGGGUUUGCUCGGAAUUUGGACGGUAGCCACCCUCAACUUCCAACAAUGAAGUUGUGAGUUUGAGUUAUCAAGGGAGUGAUAAGGUGGGAGCUCCUAGCUAGGAAAAAAAAAGGUUGAUUGUGGAAAAGAUAAGAGGGGGUUGCUCGGAAUUCAGAUGGUAAGCACCCUCAACUUCUAAUAACGAGGCUGUGAGUUCGACUUAUCAAGAAAGCGAUAAGGUGGGAGCUCCUAGCUAGGGAGAAAAAAAUUUGAUUGUGGAAAUUGAUGUUGGAAUAAAAAUUGAGAUAGUGUGUAUUUAUAGGUUAUAAUAUGUAAAAAGUGACUAUUGCAAAAAUCAAAGUUUUGGUAGAGUCUUGUUUGACUUAUUGUAUCAACUUCAAGAAUCUUCUUGACUAUAACAUGUAGUAGUUUGAAAGUUUGUAUAGCUUGCACCUUACCCUAUUAAAAGAACAAUAAUAAAAUUUGAGACGGAUAAAUUCUGUAGCUAAAUAUUAAAAUUUCUCGCUAAUUUUAUGUAGCGAUUGUUGCAUUAUUUAAUGCAACUUGUGGUAAUUGGCGCACGGUAUCAUCAAAUAAUAUUCAGACUAAGUUAUACAAAAAAAUUAUACUAUAUAUUUUUAUGCGAAAUAAAAUAUGAAAUAAAUAUGUGUAUUAGCAAUUUAUACGAGGAUAAAACUAUUUAAAGACAAGAAUGCACUUAGAGUAACUAGUUAUGUAUAACAAAACUCUUUUCAUUAACAAUAAUCACAGCAUAUAUAACAUCAAUUUCUUCAUUAUUAAUCUCCAUAUAAACAAUUUUUUACAAUAUAAUCUCGAAAUAACUAGUAUGUGAAUCAAAGUCUAGUCCUUCAUAUUUUUAAUCAGAGGUUUCAAGUUUGAGACUUGUUGACUACGUAGUCGUCUUUGUUAAGAAAAUGUUUUACAGCCCAAUGUAGAACUUUUCGAUGCGAAUCUGAAUUUAACCGAGACGGACAAUUAUUGAUACUGGACACUAGGUGAGAAAACCAAAGAAAAUGAACCAAACAAGUCAUGAUGUUAACUAUUUUAAUUAAUUGAAUAUCUUUUACAAUCAAUUUCAAAAAGGAAUAUGUUUUACUUUUCCAUCCUUUCUUUCUCAUAUUACUAAUAAUUGAAUAGCAACGGAUGGAACUGUUCCUUCCUUAAUCAGAGAUCUCGGACUUGAUUCCUGAAUAUGAAAAAUUCCUUGGUAGAGAAUACUUUCCCCAAAUGAGUCCUACGCAAUGAGAAUCCGAAUUAAUCGGACUCCAAUACGGAUACCGAACAUCGAAUGGAAAAAUAAAAAUAAAGAGUACUUGAACCUUUUUGAAGUUUGGUUGCCUAAUUACUUGCAUAAGGGAAUCUCUUGUUGAAAAAUAGACCAUCUACAUUUUUUAUUUUACUUGUGUGCUUUAUAUUUCUUCAAUAGGGGUAGACUUUGUUGGUAGUAUAGAAUCUUUUUGACUUUUGAGGAUCUAGAGUUAAUUAUUUGAAUAAAAUAAAGCAUGUAAAUUAAGAAGCAUUAAUGAUCUUACUCUACAUAUUUUUAUGUAAAAAUUGGUUCUAUUAUUCAAUUGAACUCAUUAUAUUUCCAUCAAAUUAUGUAUAUAUAUGCAAUAAAAAUAUUAAAGUGUAUACAUAUCUGAUAUAUGAAGUCAUCUCUGGUUAUAAUAUUAAGAAUAACCAUAUGUGCACUAAUUGUCAUUAGUGGAAAAAGAUGAUUCUAAAUUCUUUGAUAAUUGAAUAAUAAUAAUCUUUAUAGAACUCUCGAAGGUAUGGAGGAUGCGAAACAGGGUAGACGAAUAGUAGGAAGACUUUGUUUUGUUAUUCGUGCCAAUAGUCAUAGUGUCAGUCUUAUUUCAGAGUGUGUUAGCAUUUGUCGUAUUACUUGGCGAUAGUUUUGUGUGUUAUUAUAUGGUGUGUUUGUACCUAUUGCUUCUUGCUCCCUUACUAUUUUUUAAAUUGCUAGACUGUUUUUGUUUUGAUAAGGGGAGCCUUGGAGUAAUUGGUAAAAGUUGCUGCCAUGUGGUUGGGAGGUCACGGGUUCACGCCUUGGAAAUAGCCUCUGGCAGAAUGUAAGGUAAGGUUGCGCACAAUAGAUCCUUGUGGUCGAACCCUUUCCCGAACCCUGCCCAUAGCCUUGGAAAUAGCAUCUGACAAAAAUGAAGGUAAAGUUGCGUACAAUAGAUCCUUGUGGUCGAACCAUUUCCCGGACCCUGCGCAUAGCCUUGGAAACAACCUCUGGCAACAACGCAAGGUCAAACUGUGUACAAUAGAUCCUUGUGAUUAGGCCCUUCCUCAGACCCUGCGCAUAACGGAAACUUUAGUGCACCAGACUAUCCUUUUUUUAAUUGUUUUUAUCUCGAGCUUGGGAUCUAUCGAAAACAACCUUUCUACCUCACCUUUGAGGUAGUGAUAUAGACUGCGUACACUUAUACCCUCCCUGAUAUGACCUCACUUUGUGGUAAUAUACUGAGUAAGUUGUUGUUGUUAUUUACAGAAUCCUCCCAUUUUUUGAGGGGGUGGGGGUAGGGUAGGGGGUAGAUAAAAAUGUUAUAUAUCAAAGUAUAUGUUUAGAUUGCAACAAGAGUCGCUUUGGCCGAGUGGUUAAGGCGUGUGCCUGCUAAGUACAUGGGGUUUCCCCGCGAGAGUUCGAAUCUCUCAGGCGACGUUUUUUUUUUUUUUUUUUUUCCAUACUACGGUAAAACUUCAUGAAUAAUACUCAUUUGCCAAAUAGAGUAUACCUUCAAUUACAUUCUGUUUUGUGCGUUUUUGUUUCUUUUUUUUUUCAUACUACGGUAAGACGUCAUGAAUAAUAGACUCAUUUGUCAAAUAGAGUAUACCUUCAAUUACAUGCUUUUUUGUGCAUGGUGUUACCUACAGUAGGUGUGGAUCCUACGGUAAGAAGUCAUGAAUAAUAGACUCCUUUGCCAAAUAGAGUAUACCUUCAAUUACAUGUUUUUCUGUGCCUGGUGUUACCUGCAGUAAAUGUGAAUGCUACGGUAAGACGUCAUGGUUAAUAGACUCGUUUGCCAAAUAGAGUAUGCCUUCAAUUACAGUUUUUUUGUGCCUGAUAUUACAUACGGUAGUACAUCAUGAAUAAUAGAUUUGUAUGCCAAAUAGAGUAUGGCUUCAAUUACAUGAUUUUUGUGAAUGCUAAGAUCAGACGUACUCCUUGUCAAAUAAAAUAUUCCUUCAAUUACAUGUUUUUUUGUGCUUGGUGUUACAUACGGUAGUACAUCAUGAAUAAUAGACUUGUUUGCCAAAUAGAGUACGUCUUCAAUUACAUGCUUUUUGGCGAAUGCUACGGUAAAACGUCAUGAAUAGUUUGCCUCGAUUGCUAAAUAGAAUAUGCCUUCAAUUACAUGAUUUUUUUGUACUUGUCGUUGCCUGUGGUAGGACGUCAUGGAUAAUCGACUCAUUUGUCAAAUGGAGUAUGCCUUCAAUUACAUGCUUUUCUGUGCAUGUUGUUACCCUACGGUAGACGUCAUGAACAAUCGACUUGACUUCAAUUACAUGCUUUUUUGUGCAUGUUACCUACGAUAGAAUGUCAUGAAUAAUCAACUCAUCCGCCAGCAGAGUGUCACUUAGUCUUCCCUCUCUCUCUUGCAUUGCUUACUCGAUAGAGAAAAUUCCGCGCACAUAAUUAAAGGAGGCAUAGAAGCAAGACUCACACCUGAAACGGGAAUUACCAAAGCUAAUGAUAAAGAGGUAAAAACACUUCCCAGAAUCGGUUUCUUUCAUUCCUAAAUCGAUGACCAAUAGUAUCAUCGCCAAAUUCGUCAAAGAUGAUUCUAUUUCUACAGAAUUAGCAUGAGACAUUACUUUGGAUAUUCUAAAACAGACAUGCGACAAUUAAAAACAUAGUUCAAGUCAUUACUUUGCAUAUUUGCAGAGCAAAAAAGAAAGGAACAUAAGGCGGCAGCAGAAUUGAUCGUUGUUCUGAAACUCCUCCCAUCCACUGUACACCAACAGUAAAUUCUAGUGACCAUACUUCUGAAACUCCCACUCGCUGUUAUCUGAAAGAUGAGGCGGGUUAUACAUUGAUUAGCAGGUAACAUACAAUGGCGGCUAACUUUAGCUGAGAUGGCAAUAUACAACUUACCAAGAGGGCAUACUUGACGAGUCUUGAGCCACCUACUGAUGCAAUGGAAGUGGAAUGCAUGGUUACAAACCCCUGCAAAGAUCAGAAGAUAUCACGAAAAAAGAAAAAUGAUCUCCCAAUAAAAGAUCGAUAUCCAUAUCCAAAAUGGUGUAAACAAGUAAAUUCUUCACAGAAGAAUAUAUUUGACACCUUCUGUACCUUGUCAAGAGUAUCUUAUUUGCUGUCUUCCAGAAUUUUCGGCAAACGGUGUCACGAUUUUUUAUAUAACCAGCUUAGAAGGGAAAUAACAAACUCAAAGUAACGCCAAUUGGCAAGCACCAAUUACAUGAUCCAAAAACAUGUGCAAUAAAGCUGGAGAAAUCCAAUGUAAUUCUAAACCUUGACGGAAAGGUACGAUUUGAAGAUCCUUCUACCUUUUUGUGACUAACGCCUUAUCAGUAUCCACCUCACAGUUGUAACACUAUAACUAUUACAGUAGACUCCACUAAAGCACAUCAAUCAAAUAAUUAUAAGCAACAGUCGUGUAACUGCAGAAUAAUAUUUGGCUUUAGACUACAAACUUGAACAAAAAUGUAACAUGUUUGUCAACUUGGAAACAUACAAAUGGAUAACAAGACGAAUGGUGUAAAGUUUAAUACCAUCAACACAUGGCUUGCAUAUCUUGAGUUACCACAGAUCUCAAUUUUUGACCAAAUAGCAGGAAGGAGGUUAUUUUUCCUACCCACACAAUCUUAUUGUAGAAGGUGACAAGUAAAAUCCCAUUUAAAACAGACACAAUCACUCUUGACUUAAAUUAGAAAAUACAAGAAAGUGGCGAACCACACUCGUAACAAAGAGUACCCUCAUUCAAGAAUGAAAAGAACAAUAUCCCAAGCUUGUAAUCCUAUGUUCCAGACAAGAUGCUCAUUAUUACUGUACUACUACUUGCACAAGGGCAUGGCUGCCAAUUAUCUAUUUCUGUAGCAGCCUUCAACCACCACCCUCCCCAAAACAAAAUCUGAGGAAAGCAAUAUCCUCAAAAAAAGAAAAGAGGUUUUCUCCAAAACAUGACCACACAAGUUUUUUUUUUUUUUUAAACUUUUUUUUUUUUGAGGAUCAAAAGAAGAACUAGGAAACAUGCUUAAAUCACCAUUCUCUCCCCUAUUAAGAAGUAACUACAUGAUUUCCUACUUCAUCCCUACUGUAGUGAUAUACUGAUACUGGUUUUUUCUAUUCACCUAUCUUCAUGGUAAAAGGGAGGACUGCAAUGCGCAGGCACGGAACUCUAAACCUAACAAUUUUCAAACAUCAUAACACAAUUGACAGAACACUUAUCAUCUAUUCCAAUAACGUCCACCCAAUUAAGGGACAACAAAUGCCUAAACACUAGGAAUAAGGGAAAUCUACUUUUACUAGCACUGAAUUAAUCACUUGAUAAUAACUGAUGGCCAUUGGCACAGAGACAUCCUUCUAAUUAUCUCAACAAUUGAGCAAAAUCAAGUAGUUUUCAUCUAGACAAAAUCUAUGGCGUCAAAUAGUAAUAAACAUAAGAUGCAGAAAACUGAUAAAAGUUGAUUACUCUGCAAAUUAAUUCCAUAAAACGCAUAAAAACUGAGGCAAGUUGACAAACUACAAUGUUAAAUCGAUAUUCUCGCACAUAACAAGAGCUACAUACCCCAAGCAACUGUGCAUUCCUCACUUGUUGCGCUAGCUUGAUUAGCUUGACACUCGAUACCUAAUCAGAAUUAGCAUAAAACUUAAAUCAAUUAUUAAGAGGAUAAAAGAUUUCAUCAUGAUAUCAUAUCAAAGAAAAGGAAACAUUGAAUUGAACAUCAUUGAAAAGAGAACCAAAACUCACAGAGAUCCAUGAUGUGAUUCCUACAGAUGGCACAAUUAUCUACCACAAUAUCUGCAACAAGAAAUCACAAGAUUGAUUAAAAGAAUCAGAAUGAUCGGCCAUAUGCGAUUCGGAUGAUGUGCAUGUGAAGGAAAUCAAAUAUGCACGCAAACACCAAAAAAAAUACAGUAAUUGCAUAUUAUGUGUAACACAAAAUCAUGGAUUACAGAACUGCUCUUACAUUUAUAAUAUAUUUUAAUGUGAACGUAAGAGGGUAAUAUGAUGUAACAAUAAGUACAACAAGAAUAGCUAACACUCAAAUAUAAACAUAGAGGGAAAAUUGUCUGUAAACAGAACAUAUAUUAUCAAACCCCCUCCUAAGAGCAUUACAAACAACUGCAAAUUCCAGUGAAUGUUGCUUUCUAAUUCCUCCUACUGGGUAUGUUGUUGUUGUGGUGGUUGUUGUUUGUUUGUUUCUAAUUCUAAUUCCCAGAUAGCAACAAGCGCAGGCAACAAAACAAUAUUACCAUUAGUACAUAAUUGACUUUAGAUUUUUGGAGCGAUAUUCACCAAUAAUUUCAUGUAAGCCAAAAUACAUAGAGCUGCUGUUUGCGAAUCAAAAACCAUACAAGCAUCCAUCAGUCAUCUAAUUUUUCGGCAGCGAGCACAGGUAUAUUCACUAACUUUGCCUCAAAAAAGAAGUUCAUAUAGUUUAAAGUUCCUAACCAUAUAUACAACAACAACAUACCUAGUGUAGUCCCGGAAAGUGGGUCUGAGAGUAGAUUGUACGUAUAGCUUACCCCUACCUUGACAGGUAGGGAGGUUCCAAUAGACCCUCAGCUCAAGAAAAACAGUCCAAAGCAGUCCCCCAAAAAAAGUAACUGAAGCAGUCCCGAAAACAGUUCAUGUAAGCUCAUGUCCUUGAUAAGCUGAGAACAUAAAUAUACAUAUACCUUACCCCUACCUUGCCAGGUAGAGAGGUUCCAAUAGACCCUCAGCUCAAGAAAAACAGUCCAAAGCAGUCCAAAAAAAGAAGUAACUGAAGCAGUCCCAAAAACGGUUCAUGUAAGGUCAUGUCCUUGAUAAGCUGAAAAUAUAAAUAUAUAUACACGCACCUCGACUAAUAUUCACACUAAUUUCACAACAAUAUCCACAAAAACUAGCAAGCAGAUUACUGCUCCAUGAUCACUGCAUUCCAAUACUCAAAAAUCAUCAACAAAUCACUAAAAUCUACAUCAAAAAGUAUGUAUUUGAACAACGACCAAAUUAACUGGGGUUCGAAAUAAGCUGAAACUACACCAUAUAUAUACAUACUACCACUCAUCUCAACUAAUUCCACGGGAUUCCCAACCACAAAUUCACACUAAUUUCACAACAAUAUCCAAAAAAUCUAGCAAGCACAAUACUACUCCACGAUCAUCGCAUUCCGAUGCUUUAAAAAGACCAACAAAAUCACUAAAUUCUACAUCAAAAAAAAACAUAUAUAACAAUGACAAUGUAAUUAACAAUUCACUGCUACCUACUAACCACCUUCUACCCUAAUUUGUAUCCUCCACACCCUCCUGUCUAAGGUUAUAUCCUCGAUAAGCUAAAACUACACCAUAUAUAUAUAUAUACUACGACAACUAAUAUGAACAGACAGCUAGACAAAGCAAUAAGCACUGCUAACAUAAAGCAAUAAGCACUGCUAACAUACAUGCACGCCCUAAUCAGCAAAAUCACCAAAUUCCACAUCAAAAAACAUGUAUCCGAACCUUCUACCCUAAUCAGUGUCCUCCACACCCUACAAUCUCAGCAAGCUGAAACUGCACCACAUAUAUACAUAAUUGCGCACACCUCAGCUAAUUCCACGCGAUUCCUAAACACAAUUCAACACUAAAAUCAACAACAAUAUCAAAUAACCAAACAAGCACAAUACAACUUCCCCAUCAUCGCAUUCUAAUACUCAAAAAUCAUAAACAAAUACAUCAAAAAAUACGUAAUCGAACGACGAUGAAAUCAACUAGGGUUACAAAAAAUUUACCCCAAGCCCAAAGCGAAACAGCAUUCCACUUUUUGAUCUCAAAUCGCUUCGCCUUUUUAGUAGAUGUUCCAGCUCCGGUAGAACCUUCGCCGGCGGGAACCAUCGGAACAUCGGUAUCCGGUGACGCCAUUGAAAAUUUUACUUUUAAUUUUUUUUUUUGAAAAUUAAUUUUGUACUGAAUUUAUAGAAUGAAAGAGGUAAAUAUAUGGAUAAGUUAAUGGGCUUUGGAUUGGGCUUGAGAUGAAUUGGGCUUCAAUGGAAGCCCGUUUGAAUAAGGAGUUUUAGCCUACUUUUUGGGACCAAUUGCCAAAUUUCUCUACAAUGGAGCUACUUUAGAGGGGACGUUAUAGGUUUGGUUGCUCUAUUGAAAAUAUUAAAUAAUCGUGAGCUACUAUUUUGGGUGAUUCAUAAAAGGAGAAGUUAUAUAUUUGAUCGUUCGAUUGAAAAUAUUAAAUAUUCGUGGGCUUCUAUUUCGGGUGAUUCAUAAAAGGGGAAGUUAUAUAUUUGGUCCCUCGAUUAAAAAUAUUAAAUAAUCGUGAAUUACUUUUUUGGGUGAUUCAUAAAGGAAAAGUUAUAUGUUUGAUCGCUCGAUUAAAAAUAUUAAAUUUUUUUGAGCUACUGUUUUGAUGAUUCAUAAAAGAGCAAGUUAUAUGUUUGGUCACUCAAUUAAAAAUAUUAAAUAUUUGUGAGCUACUUUAUAGGGUGAUUCGUAAAAGAAAAAAGUCGUAUGUUUGGUUGUUUGAUUGAAAAUAUUAAAUAUUUGUGAGCUACUAUUUUAGGUGAUUCAUAAAAAGAAAAAUUAUAUGUUUGAUCACUCGAUUGAAAAUAUUAAAUAUUCGUGAGCUACUUUUUGGGGUGAUUCAUAAAAGGAGAAGUCAUAUGCUUGGUCGCUCGAUUGAAAAUUUUGAAUAUUCAUGAGCUACUGUUUUGGGUGAUUCAUAAAAGGGGGAGUUAUAUGUUUGGCCGCUCGAUUGAAAAUAUUAAAUGUUUGUGAGCUACUUUUUUGGGUGAUGCAUAAAAAGGAAAUUUAUAUGUUUGGUCACUUGAUCGAAAAUAUUAAAUAUUCGUGAGCUAUUUUUUUGGGUGAUUCAUAAAAGGGGAAGUUAUAUGUUUGGCCGCUCGAUUGAAAACAUUGAAUGUUCGUGAGCUACUUUUUUGGGUGAUGCAUAAAAAGGAAAGUUAUAUGUUUGGUCGUUUGAUCGAAAAUAUUAAAUAUUCGCGACCUAUUUUUUUGGGUGAUUCAUUAAAGGGGAAGUUAUAUGUGUUGGUUGCUCGAUUGAAAAUAUUAAAUAUUCAUAAGCUACUUUAUAGGGUGAUUCGUAAAAGAAAAAAAUUAUAUGUUUGGUCCCUUGAUUGAAAAUUUAAAUAAUCAUGAGCUACUUUUUAGGAUGAUUCAUAAAAGAGGAAGUUAUAGGUUUGGUCGCUCGAUUGAAAAUAUUAAAUAAUCUUGAGCUACUUUUUAGGAUGAUACAUAAAAAGGGAAGUUAUAUGUUUGGUCGCUCCAUUGAAAAUAUUAAAUAUUUGUGAGCUACUAUUUCGGGUGAUUCAUCAAAGGAAAAGUUAUAUGUUUGGCCGCUCGAUUGAAAAUAUAAAAUGUUCGUGGGCUACUCUUUUGAUGUCAUAAAAGGGGAAGUUAUAUGUUUGGUCGCUCCAUUAAAAAUAUUAAAUAUUCGCAAGCUGUGUUUUUGGGUGAUUCAUAAAAGAGGAAGUUAUACGUUUGGUCGCUAAUUGAAAAUAUUAAAUAUUCGAGACCUACUAUUUUAGGUGAUUUGAAAAAAGGAAGUUAUAUAUUUGGUCGCUCAAUUGAAAAUAAAGGAAAUUCGACUUCUAUUAUACAUACAUAACAAAUAAUUUUAGUCAUAUACAACAUCAACAACAUACCCAAUGCAUUCCCACAUAAUGGGGUCGUCUGAGGAGGGUAGAGUGUACGCAGACCAUAUCACUACCCAGUGGCGGAUCCACCUUGUAAUCAGGGGGUUCAUCCAAACUCCCUUCGACGGAAAAGUAUACUAUUUUUACACGAUCAAAAAUAUUUUUAUGUAUAUAUAGUAGAUGUUGAACCCCCUUUGACUAGUCGGUAUGUUAACUUCUGAACCCCCUCAAUGAAAAUCCUGGCUCCGCCACUGCCACUACCUCAGGUGAAGUAGAGAGGUUGUUUCCGAUAAACUCCCCGACUUACAAAUACAAAUAAUAUAAUUUUUCACCGAGCAGGUUCGGCCUCGCUCCAUGCUAGCUCUACCCCCUGAAUUUAUAUCAAUGAAAUCUCAUCAUACAUACAUAACGAAUAAUCUUAUGCAUUUCUCCACCAAAGAGGAUUUUUUUUAAGGAGAAACUAUACGCUUUACAAAAUAUGUCAAAUAUCAUUUAAGCAUGUAACUUAUUUUCUCUAUUUUUAUUUUUAACAAAAAAAUAUUUUUCAAAAUUUUUGACCAGUCGAACACAAACAAAUAAAAUAAAAAGUCCCCACCACCCUCAAAGAGAUAUGUUUUGGUCAGAGAAUCAUGUUUUGAAAAUUGUGUUGUACCUAACAUUAUUUUGGAUUAGUCACGAAAGCUACAACAACUAUUAUAUUAGAACAAAAAAUAUUGAAUUAUUUCCAUGCAUUAUAUGCAUACAUAAAUUAAUAUUAUUGUCAGGCAAUUGGGUUAAUUAAUAUAAGUUGGUUAAUAUAUUUACUAAAUAUUAAUAAUAUUUAUAAAUUAAGUGAUUAUAUUAAAUCCCAUUUUUUUUUUAUACAAAAGAAUAGCUUUAUCAACAUUAUUUUACCACCAAACGCAUUAACUAUUUCAGAAUCGUCUCUUCAGAUUUAACAAUCUAUACAAUAUCACACUUAUCCUCUUUAUUCUGAUUUUUAUUUAAUAAUAAUUUUAUUAACAUAUUUAUUGUAUUUCUAAAUAUUGAUGAGUUUUCGCUAACUAAUAUUUUUUUAUUUUUUUUAUUAGACAAAUAAUUCAAAUUCAUUAUUAAUUGGAAGCAUCGUCGUGUUACAUGUGUUUCUUCAAGUGUGGAGCCAAUGGAGGGAACAUUUUGAUUUAGCGACGAAACAUGUACACAUGUAUAUAAAUUGUGUUUGUUCUUUUUUUUUUGGAAUUUUUUUUUUUUUUUUUUUCGAAAAUAUGGCCAGACAAAAAUUAUUAUGUUCUCGAUUGAAUAAAAUGGUUCAAUUUUCUACUUUCAUAUAAGGUCGAAAAAUGAAUUAACAGUACACUUGAAAUUACGUUAAGCGAUUUAAGAGCACAAAAAUUACAUUGAUUGUAUGAUGAAAUAACAAUGUAAUGCAAGUAAUAAUUAGACGAUAGCAAAUUCAAGAACUAUAAUAAAGAAGACUAUUAUAAUAUAAAAUUUGUAUCACAUUCGUCCACCUACUUGAGAUUGUUUUCAACCAUAUAUAUAUAUAUAUAUAUAUAAAAACCUGUCAAGGAAUAUCAACUCAANNNNNNNNNNNNNNNNNNNNNNNNNNNNNNNNNNNNNNNNNNNNNUAUAUAUAUGUCUUCUAGAGAGCCAGAUCCACAAAGAUCUCUACUGAUGUUAGUAUUUAUAUAUAUAUGCACAACUCGACUCUGAGAUUUUCUACUCAAUCAUAAACUUUUAUGUUACGUAUCGAUCAGUGAAAAUAUCGACUUCUUAAGUGAUAUGCGAACUUGCAAGCCUAUCACAUUUGUCCUCAAACUCAAGAUUGUUUUCACCCAAUACACAUAUAUAUCCACAAAGAUAUGUUAGUCUUUAUAUGUAUCGGCACAACACGACUCUGAGAUUUUCUACUCAAUUGUGAAAUUUUAUGUUGCAUAUUGAUCGGUGAAAAUAUCGACUUCUUAAGUGAUAUGUGGACUUGCAAGCCUAUCACUUUAGUCCCCCAACUCGAGAUUAUUUUCACCCAAUACAUAUAUAUAUUUCCUAGAAAGCAAAAUCCACAAAGAUACCUAAUGAUAUUAGUCUUUAUAAAUAUAUAUUCACAACUUGUAAGUUUUUCUUUUUUUUUAAGAAAACAAAGACCUCUAAUGAUUGUUAUCAAAAUUCCAGAAAAUAAAUAUUGUUUGUAUAUAUUAAUUAUGGUAACGUAAGACUUUUUUUUUUUUUGAUAACUUUAAUAAUAAACCUUUCACGAUUAAUAAAGUACUGUCCAAUAAUGGAGAAGAUACAUUAUUAAUCUUAAUAAAAAAACCUUAAACUUGCACCAACCAAUUUUAAUAUGAAUGUUUAUGCAACUAAUCAAUUUUAACAUAAUUUAAUUUUUAUCUUUCGGUGGAGGGGUAUCAAAGAAAUAUUAAAGUAAUGGAAAAAUAGUAUUUUUGGUCUCUACAUUAUUGCUAUGUUUUGGUAUCAAAGAAAUAUUAAAGUAAUGGAAAAAUAGUAUUUUUGGUCCCUAGAUUAUAUUGAUAUGUUUAUAUUAUUGGAUUAAGCAGAUUAAUUUAAUCUUCAAUUAUUGAAAUGUAUGUUAUUGGUCCCUUUGUAGAAAAUGUGCAAUGGUUGGAUUAUUUUUGAAAGUAUAUUACCUUUAAAUACAAAGUAGCCAUACAACUUUAAUAUUAUAUUGUUUAUAACUAAAUGACCAACCAUUUAAUAAAUCUUAAAAUUUAUGAGUAUACAUAAGCAAAGAGAUCAAAAAAUGCAUAUUUCAAAUAAUUAAAGAUUAAGAAUAUCAAAAGAACCAAAGUUAAAAUUUUAUCAGUAAGUGAGAGCUUGUUUGGAUGGUUAUUACACAUUGUUUAAUAAUAUACUAUAUAAUGUUAUAUUAUUUUUAAUAAAUAUAAUGUUUGGAUAGAUUGUAUUAUUCUCAAUCAUUUCAUAAUAUUGCACUCUAACAAUUUCGAGAGUAAAUUUUGUAAUAUUACAAAAAAAAGUAUGAUACAUGUGGAGCUAUAUUUUUAAAAAAUAAAAUGGGUAAAUAGAAGGUAAAAUAGGAAUAUUACAUAUAAUAAGGACAAGAUGAGAAAAAAAAAAAAUGUUAUACAAAACACUUGCUCCGUCUCAAUUUGUUUGACAUACUUUUCUUUUCAGUUCAUUUAAAAAAAAUUGAUUAUUUAUUUUUUUAGCAACUUUUUGAUUUUAACUUUUCACCUGAAACGUCUAAGACCAUAAAAUUAAAAACAAUUUUGAUACAUUUAACAUAUCGACUUUAUUUUAUUAAACUUCAUAUCAAAUCAAAAUAAGACAAACAAAUUAAAACGAAUAGAAUAAUAUAUUGAGUAAAACAUCUAGGUACCCCUUAAACUAUGUCCAAAUUUGCUACGACACCCUCCAACUUUAUAGGAGUCCUAUUACCUCUAAAUUAAAUUUUAACGUAUUUUUGUUAUUUUUUUUAGCUGACGUGACACCUUUGAUGUGGGUUUCAUUUCGUGUAAUAAAGGUGCCACAUCAGCACAAAAUAAUGACAAAAAUACGUUAAAAUUGAGUUCAGGAGUAAUAAAACUUUCGUAAAAUUGGAGUGUGUCAUAACAACUUUAACCAUAAUUCGGAGUACUAGUAGUGAAUGAUUAUCUAUAAUAUAUUUAAAGCAACAUAAUAAUAUGAUAGUACAAUACACCAAACAAGUUGUCCUAGUAUUGGAAAUGAUUCUCAUUACUAUAAAUAGAUGAAUCAAUCCAUUGAAGUAUUGCCAAUAUAAUUACUAUAAUAAACCAAAAGAAUAAAGAAACACACACACACACACUAAACUUUCUUCAAUCAUGGGUAAAGAAACAAAUGGAGUACUAGCAAGAACAAGUGAUGAUGAAGUUAUAAAAAAACAGGAAAUUCAAGAAGCACAAGCAAAUAUGUGGAAAUUUGUGUUUGGUUUCACAGAAAUGGCUGUAAUUAAAUGUGCAAUUGAAUUAGGAAUUGCUGAUUUCUUGGAAGAAAAUAAUAAUAAUGAAGAAGUUAUUAGCCUAAAUCAACUUUCUAAUGCACUUGGUUGUUGUUCUUCUUCACUCUAUCGUAUCCUAAGGUAUGAUUAAUAAUAAGUCUGUAAUUUUUUAUUCCUUCUGUCUCAAUUUAUGUGACGGUGUUUUGCAGACAUAGACAGUAGUGGAAAGGUGUGAUUAAUAAGUUUGUAAUAUCUUAAUCGCUUUGUCUCAGUUUAUGUGACGGUGUUUAGCAUGCAUAGACACUGGUGGAAAGGUAUGAUAAAUAAGUUUGUGAUUUUUUACUCCCUCUGUAAGUGGCGGACCUAGGAUCUAGGGGUCGUAAGUGCUCGUGAGGUUCGAACACACAUAUUACAUCUAAAGUUUUAAGGUUUUGCCAGAAAACCAAAGCACCUAGCUGUGUUCUUGAAUUUCUGGGUGUUUUUUCGAAGCUUAUACUAUUUUUUAUAAUUUUUUCUUUAUAACUAUACUUCAUCUGCAUCGGAUUAAAUAGGUGUCGGAGCAACAAAAAAAAUGUAUAUAGGUCCGUCCUUCUGUCUCAAUUUAUGUGAUAGUGUUUAGCAGGUAUAGACUGUGGUGGAGUCAGAAUUUUCACUAAGUUUGUUCAGAAAUAAACAUACGAACAAAUCAAAGGGGGUUCAAUAUCUGCUAUAUAUACAAAAAAAAUAAUUUUAACCAUUUUAAAUAGUAUAAUUUUCUAUCAAAGAGGACUUGGAUAAAAAUAAAAAUGUUAAUGCUACGUAUGUACCAAUAUAUCUAAAUUAAUUUUUUAUUUAUAGGUUCUUGAUCAAUCGCGGAAUAUUCAAGGAAACAUCAACAAAAAAUGGCGAAAUUGGCUAUGUUCAAACUCCCCUUUCUCGCCUUCUUAUUAAAGAAGGCGGGAAUAGCAUGGCUGCUUUCUUGCUAUUCGAAAGCAGCCCUGUAAUGCUAGCACCAUGGCACAAUCUUACCGCGCGUAUAUCAUCAAAGGACAAUGGUAGACCUGCUUUUGACGCGGCACAUGGUAAGGAUGUAUGGAAGUACGCGGAAGCUGACCCUGGACAUAGUAACCUCCUAAAUAGCGCGAUGGCAUGCGAUGCUAGGGUAGCCGUAUCCGCGAUUAUAAACGAUUGUCCUGAGAUAUUUAAGGGGGUGAACACUAUGGUUGAUGUUGGUGGUGGUGAUGGAACAACAUUAAGAUUGUUAAUAGAGUCUUUUCCAUGGAUUAAUGGGAUUAAUUAUGAUCUACCUCAUGUUGCUUCUGUUGCACCUCAUGCUAAUGGUGUUGUACACGUUGGAGGUGACAUGUUUAACUAUGUUCCUAAAGCUGAUGUUGCUUUCCUCAUGGUAAGUAGAUAUUUAAUAUAUAGUAUUUCAUUUAAAGCUCUCGCUAUACAUGGGGUUCGGGGAAGGGAAGGGUCGAAUCGUAAGGGUUUCUCUAACUAUUCACGGGUCCAGUAAAAGGUCAAAUCAUAAGGUUUUAAGGUAAGGCUGCGUACAAUAAACCUUUAUGAUUUUGACCUUUCCUCUGAUCCCGUGCAUAUCAAAACUUUAGUGCAUUGGACUGUCCAUUUAAAGCUCUCGCUAUGCUUGGGGUUCAGGGAAGAGUCGAAUCACAAGGUUUUCUCUCGAUAUGCACGGGAUCUAGAAAAUGGUCGAAUCACAGAGGUUUAAGGUAAGGCUGUGAACAAUAAACCUUUACGGUUUCAACCUUUCCUCUGGCCCUGCGCAUAUCGAAGCUUUAGUGCAUUGGGUUGUCCAUUUAAAGCUCUCACUAUACUUGGGGUUCAAGGAAGGGUCGAAUCGUUAGGGUUGCUCUCGUUAUGCACGGGUCUAGGGAAGGGUCGAUUACGGUAAGGCUGUGUACAAUAAACCUUUAUGGUUCGACCUUUCCUCCGAUCCCGUGCAUAUCGAAGCUUUAGUCAUUGGGCUGUCCAUUUAAAGCUCUCGCUAUGCUUGUGAUUUAUGGAAGGGCCUAAUUACAAAGGUUUCUCUCGCUAUGCAUGGGGUUCAAGAAAGGGUUGAAUCACAAGGGUUUAAGGUAAGACUACAUACAAUAAAUCUUUAUGAUUCAGCCUUUCUCUUGAUCCCGCGCAUAGCGAAACUUUAGUGCACCAAUCUGAAUUAAAUUUGUUUUAAAAUAUUUGACAUUAUAAUUAAGAUGGAAAUUAAUAUCUUGAAUAGUCAUUCAUGUUAUGAUAAAAGUGACUUAGUAAGUCAAAGUUAUUUUUGUUAUAUUUAUUAUGUUAUUUUUGUUUGCCACAAAAUGAUUCCUACAUAAAAGCAAAGCACUAAUAAUUAACAUAAAUGGACCCCUUAAGUUUGAAAUUAGGUCUAAAGUUGUACAAAUUGAUAUAUUUAGAAUUAUUUUUAUUAGUGUUAUUAAUUUUCAUAACCGCAUGUAUAUUAUUGUAAAUGUUAUAUUAGUGGGUUUUGCAUGAUUGGGGAGAUGAAGAAUGCAUACAAAUAUUAACAAAGUGUAGAGAAGCAAUUCCAAAAGACAAAGGAAAAGUGAUAAUAUUGGAAGCAAUAAUUGGUGAAAAAGAAGAAAAUAUUAUAAGAGGAUCAAAUAAUGAGAAGCUCAAAGAUGUUGGUUUAAUGUUGGAUAUGGUGAUGAUGGCUCACACUAGCAAUGGAAAAGAAAGAACAUCAAAAGAAUGGGCUUAUGUUUUGAAUGCUGCUGGAUUUAGUAGACACACUAUUACUCACAUAAAUGCCGUUCAAUCUGUUAUUCAAGCUUAUCCUUCUUAAUUUUUAUCGUGUGUUCAAAGAUGAAUUCAGAAUUUAGACUUUGUCGGUUCAUUAAUAAGAUUGUUAAUAUUGAAUAUUGUUGUAUCUUUAGCUUCAAAUCUAUUAUUUGUUGAAGUUUUGGUAAGAACGUACUAGAUUAAGAUGAAUUCAUAUUAUGUUUUGAAUGAUGCUGGAUUUAAGUAGACGCACUAUUAGUCACAUUAAUGCUAUUCAAUCUGCUAUUCAAGCUUAUCCUUCUUGAUUUCUAUCGUGUGUUCAAAGGUGAAUUCAGAAUUUAAACUUGGUCGGUUCAUUAAUAAGAUUGUUAACAUUGAAUCUUGUUGUAUCUUCAACUUCAAAUCCAUUACUAUUUGUUGAAGGUUUAGUAAAUUUACAUUUCAUAUCGAACGUACUAGAUUCAGAUGAAUUCAUAUUAUGUUUUGAAUGAUACUAGAUUUGGUAGACACACUAUUAGUCACAUUAAUGUCGUUCAAUAUGUUACUCAAGCAUAUUCUUCUUGAUUUUUAUCGUGUUCAAAGAUAGAUUUAAAAAAUUUAGAUUUUGUUGGUUCAUUAAUAAGAUUCUUAGCAUUGAACCUUGUUGUAUUUUUAAAAUUAUAAAAUCAAAUCUAUUGUUUAUUGCCGUUUUAGUGAAUUUAUAUUUCAUAUUGAACGUACUAAAUUCAUAUAAAUUUGUAUUAUGGUUUAAAUGUUGCUGGAUUUAGUAGAAACACUAUUAGUCACAUUCAUGUUGUUCGAUCUCUUAAUCAGGUUUAUCCUUCUUGUUUUAUAUCGUGUUUAUAGGUAAAUUAAGAAUUUAGUCUUUGUCGGUUCACCGAUAAGAUUAUUAUAAGGCAUUGAACUUUGUUGUAUUUUUAAAAUUCCGAAUUCAAAUCUAUUAUUAUUUGUUAUAACUUUAAUGAAUUUCAUGUUGAAAGUAUUGAAUUCAAAUGAACUCGAUAUAUGAAUACUGCAUCCGCUAUUGUUUUACAUUUGCAUGUACUUUUUUUUUUUUAAUAAAAAAGGGCACAAAAAGAAAAUAAUAGCUUAAAAAUAUUACUACUGAAAAAAGGGCGAACACAGAAUCGACUGACAGUGGCGGAACUACCUUUGCUUCGGGGGUUCUUCCGAAUUUCCUUCGAUAAAAAAUUAUACUGUUUUAUAUUAUUUUUAUAUGGUUAAAAAUAUUUUUUAUGCAUAUAUAAUAGAUGUUGAACCCCUUUCGAUUAAUUCGUAUAUUUACUUCUGAACUCCCUUAAUGAAAAUUCUGGUCCCACCAUCGUCGACUGACAUAAAUCAAUUGAAAAGAAAUAGCUUAUAUCGGAAUUAGUUAUCACACCCUUGAGAAGGAAUAAAAAUAGUACUACAAUUCCGGGAUGAGUUUAUCCCAUGAAUUUUGCUUCAAUCAAAGUUCACCUCAAAAUUAAUCGCGACAUUAAUUAUCUCUAAUCCCUUCUACCAAACGACCCCAAGUCGAGUACCUCAACUUGUCCAACCCGACCCGAUAACAACAACAACAUUCUGAUUUUAAGAAAUUUUAUCAUAAUAUUCAAAUAAAAUUUCGUUAUGUUAUUUUAAUUAAAUUUCAAAUAAUAAUAAUAACAAUAAUCAUUUUAUACUAUAUCGGUCUGGCCAGCCCGACCCGGCCCCUUGACAGUUAGACUACUCACCAUUUUUCUAUGAAUAAAAGAAAAAAAUUGUUAAAUUGUAAAUUAGAAAUAAAAAAUCUGCUAGAAAGUGUAAAUAUUGGCUAGAACUAAAAUCGUUCGAGCUCGAAGAGGAGGAAAAAAUGUCAACAGAAAUACAAUCUUCAGUAAUCUCAACAUCACCGGACGAAAAUAAUCUGUAAGUACUAAAAUAUCCUCCAAUUUAUUAUUAUUAUUAUUAUUAUUAUUUUUUAUAAUCAUAGUGUUCGAGCUAACUUACUCGCAUGAUUAAUUUCACGGGAUACUGUGAACUCCAAUUUAUUAGAAUUUUUUUUUGAUAAUUGUGAUGUUCGAGCGAGACGGGAUAGUGGACACCUACAAUCUAUUAAACACAUUGACAAUUUUCAGUUUUUGAAUUUUCAUUUCAAUUAUUAGUAGUAUAGUUUGUUAAUUAUUUGCUUUGUAAUUAACUUAAUUGUGAUAAGAAAAAAAAUGAUAGUUUGCGAGAGUGCUAUUGUAGUUAUUAGUUAAUUGAUAGAAAAUAUUAAUCCGUUCGUUUUAAUUUAUGUGGCGAUGUUUGACUUGGCACGAAGUUUGAGGAAAAAAAAAGGAACUUUUAAAAUUUAUGGCUUAAAUGAAUGAUAUAUAUUUGAAAUGUGUUGUGAUCCUGUUGCAAUGUACGCGACUUGAGUCCCAUGUCGGGAAUGGGGAGGUGAUGUGGGGUUUUAUGUAGCCGUGGGCUCUCCCACCUCAAUAAUUAGCUUUUGAGGUGUGGUUUUCUUUGGGUUGUAUCAAUGGUUUCAUGCCUGUCAUGCCUUGGAUGGUGAAGCUGAUAUUGUAGUGUUGACCCGGUGCGAGAAAUGGUCUAGAGCAUAGUUGUCGAGGACGAGGGAUGUGGAGUGUAAUGGUUUGUUGUAAUCCUAUUGCAAGAUAUAAAACUUAAGUCCAUGCGAAUGUCGGGCUAGCGUUUUGGAGUGUGGUUCUCCCUGAGUUGUAUCAAUGGUAUCAGUGCCACCCAAUCGCCCUUCAUACCUGUCAUGCCUUGGAUGGUGACACUGAUAUUGUUGUGUUGACCCGGUGCUAGAAAUGGUCUAGUGCAUAGCCAUCUAGGACGACGGAUGUGGAGUGUGGUGAUUUGUUAUGAUCCUAUCAAGAUAUGAAACUUAAGUCCACGCGAAUACCUGUCUUAUUAGCCUUUCGGAGUGUGGUUCUUCCUGAGUUGCAUCAAUGGUAUCAGUGUCAUCCAUCGCCCUUCGUGCCCGUCGUGCCUUGGAUGGUGACGCUGAUAUUGUAGUGUUGACCCUGGGCUAAAAAUGGUCUAGCGCAUAGCCGUCGAAGACGACGAAUGUUGAGUGUGGUGGUUUGUUAUAAUCUUAUUGCAAGGUAUGAAACUUAAGUCCAUGCGGAUGCCGGGCUUGUUAGCCUUUUGGAGUGGUUCUCUCUGAGUUGUAUCAAUGGUAUCAGAGCCACCCAUCGCCCUUCGUGCCCGUUGUGCCUUGGAUGGUGACGCUGAUAUUGUAGUGUUGAGCCUGUGCUAGAAAUGAUCUAGCGCAUAGCCGUCGAGGACGACGGAUGUGGAGUGUGGUGGUUUGUUGUGAUCCUAUUGCAAGGUAUGAAACUUAAGUCCAUGCGGAUGCCGGGCUUGUUAGCCUUUAGAAGUGUUUCUCUCCGAAUUGUAUCAAUGGUAUCAGUGCCACCCAUCGCCUCUCGUGCCUUGGAUAGUGACGCUGAUAUUGUAGUGUUGUUCCUGUGCUAGAAAUGGUCUAGCGUUUAGCCGUCGAGGACGACAGAUGUGGAGUGUGGUGGUUUGUUGUGAUCCUAUUGCCAGGUAUGAAACUUAAGUCCAUGCAGAUGCCGGGCUUGUUAGCCUUUUGGAGUGGUUAUCUUCAAGUUAUAUCAAUGGUAUCAGAGCCACCCAUCGCUCUUCAUGCCUAUCGUGCCUUGGAUGGUGACGCUGAUAUUGUAGUGUUGACCCUGUGCUAGAAAUGGUCUAGCGCAUAGCCGUCCGUCGAGGAUGAAGAAUGUGGAGUGUAGUGGCUUCUUGUAAUCCUAUUGCAAGGUAUGAAACUUAAGUCCAUGCAAAUGCCAGGCUUAUUCCACCCAUCGCCUUUCGUGCCUGUCAUGCCUUGGAUGGUGGCGCUGAUAUUGUAUUGUUGCCCCUGUGCUAGAAAUGGUCUAGCGCAUAGCCGUUGAGGACGAUGGAUGUGGAGUGUAAUGGUUUGUUAUGAUCCUAUUGCAACGUAUGAAACUUAAGUCCAUGUGGAUGCCGGGCUUAUUAGCCUUUUGGAGUGUGGUUCUCCCUGAGUUGUAUCAAUGGUAUCGGGGCCACCCAUAGCCCUUCGUGCCUUGGAUGGUGACGCUGAUAUUGUAGUGUUGACCAGGUUCUGGAAAUGGUUUAGCACAUAGUCGUUGAGGACGACGGAUGUGGAGUGUAGUGGUUUGUUGUAAUCCUAUUACAAGGUAUGAAACUUAAGUCCAUGCGGAUGUCGGGCCUAUUAGCCUUUUGGAGUGUGGUUCUCCAUGAGUUGUAUCAAAAGGUGUCGAACUUUAUAGGCCAAACUAGAAAGGAGAGGUUUUCCACAUAAAAUGAGACAAAGGGAGUUGGUGAUUUCUUCCUAUGUUAAAUCCUCCAAUACUCAAUUUGUCGGGAUGUCGCCCACUAGGUAUGUGCAACAUUGACUUGGGUUGAAAUGGAUCGAAAUAGAAUAGCAUGGAUAUAGAGGACUCAUAUAGUCUUUCCCAUCUAGUUUGUGAUUGAUUCUCUUCUAUGAGCGGCAUCCAGAUAUUGAAUGAUUUCCUUAUGAUUAUCUAAGUGACUGUACUCUUAACGAUCUUUCAUGUCGGAACCUAGACACUAAGGGAUGUAAUAAAUUAAAGGAAUGGAGUGGUGAACUUAGGAAUCAAGAUGAUAUACAGGUCAUGUGUAAGCAAAAUAGAGAUAUUGCUAGAGAAUUAUAUGACUUUAUUCAAGUUUAAUGCUGAGACUGAACAAUACAUUAUUCUCGUUUUGACUUAAAACUUCAGCUUUUCUUGCUAAUAACUAGUUAUGCUACUUUUUCAACUGUAGGUUCGUGGACGUACUGCAUGAAGCACCUCUAUCCGGUCAUAGGAAGCCUACGAGCCUUAUUGGGAGUAUUUUCUACUGUUUCUUAUUGGCAAGUAUUAGUUCAUGAAUUCUUUGUUGCUGUGACAAUGAUGCAAAUUUAGCCACUAGGUGAACUAAUUGUGACGAAUUCUAGGCAGGCUUUGCUAUUUUGGCAGUGGGAGCUAGAUGGAUAUUUCACCCUAUAGAACGAUUAGUGUUCCCACUUCUUUGCAGUUGUAACGUUGGCCUCCUUGUUGUCACAGGUGCGCUAUGAAGUCACAUUCUCUGCCUUUUUUUCUAUGCUUUCAGCAAAUCUUAAGAUCUAAAUCUCCUGCGUUUUAUUGUAUUUUUCCAACAUGUGAAUUCCCUCUAUAGCUCUAUGCCUAAAACAAAGGUGUUUGAUAUCUGUAGGCAUUUUCCAGCAAUAUUUGGUCUAUCAAGUUAAGAAAAUACGGUUACAGGUCAGUGUUUCUAUAUACUUCAUGAUAAAAAUAUGUACCAAGCCCAACUAGCUUGUGAUCAAGGUUUUGUUGUUGAAAUGGCCAUUAGUGAUAAAUAUUAUUGUUACAAUAUAUAGCUUGAGAUGAAAGUUAUUGGGCAAAAGAGGUUAAAAAUAACACUGGAAGGGCAAUUUCAAGCUUCCUUAGUUAUAUAAAUGAAUAUAUUACCUCAUUGGAUUUAACUCUCAUCCAUACCUCGCCCUUUUCCUCUCCCUUCUUGUGUGACAUGUGCACAGAAGAAAGCACGGAGUUAAAAAUGUCUCCUUUUAUAUUCUUAGUUAUCAAAAAAAAGAGAAAAGAAUCUCUCCUUGUAUAUAAUACUGGUAUAAAUCAUCUACUUGUGUGGUCUUCGGCAUAUUAAUGAUGUUACACUGCCCAAAAAAAUCAUAUUAUUCAAGUGUCUUUCCUUAGUAGGCAUUCUGUGGAGUGUGCAAAGUGGUGGACCAGUAAGCUGGAGAAACAGAUCAGUACAGUAGAAGAACCUGAUUUACAAACUGUAUGGGACUAAAGGUUUCCCAAAAGAGGUAGAGCAUAAUCUCGGUGGAAUGUAGGAGGCAUAAGGACCUUGAAAAUGGAUCAAGGAAAUCAUGAACUGUACUUUUUAGCACUUAGAUGCUUCUAUUGCUGAUUUUGAUAAGGAAAGGGAAGAGUUGAGUCACAUAUGAAUUUCAAGCUUUGGUUAUUUAUUUCCCUUCUCCUUUCUAUCCUGCGGGUACAAAGAAAGGUGAAGUCAGACAUCAGUUAAGCGAGUUGGCAACUUCUCUGUAGAACAAUUCAGAUCUAAGUUGCGCGAACUCUUCGCUUUCGAUGCUGCACCCAUGUUGGAUUCUCCAAAAUUACACAACUAUUGGAGAAUCUGACACGUACCCGCUGGGCAUUUUGAAGAGUCCGAGCAACAUAGAUUCUGAUAAAUAUUCUCAGGAUUCCUGUUAUCUUUCUUUUGGUGAAUGGAGACUUGUGGUAGGCUGGUAGCACUACUUAAAUGGGAAUUAGAUUUUACUGAUAUACUUCAUCUAUCAAGAUAGACCAUCUUCUUUUUUGUGUUCCUGUUAUUCAAAAUCAUAUGUUUGCUAAGCGACAAUUUCUGAUGUUUGCGAUAAUAUGAACUUUAAUGUUGUAGGGGUACUAUAUUUUCAGCCAGAAACUGAAGCAUAUUAUUCGCCUUCCAUUUGCUACAAUCGCCUAUGGUAUGCAUUACCUGGUUCUCUAGUUUGUAUAUUGAUCGCCUACAAGUCUUGCUAUUUGUAUUCAACUAUUUUAUUUAUAUUGGUGUUGUCUGGGCCAUCUUGUGCACACCUCGAUUAUUCUACCGGUGCUUGCUACCUCCCACCUACACAAAUGUCGGUUAACUCUGCCUACCAAAACUUAGCCAUAUGAGAAGAAAUCACCUAGCAUGCUAGCUAAUCUGCUAUAAGUGGAUUGCAUCUCUGCUAUUUUCUUCCAGAAUUACAAUAAAUUUCGAUGUAGUAUCUGUUAAUUUGCGCAUGAUGAUCUGGUCUUGGACCUUCUCAACCCUCCACUACAACUCCCAGUGGGGAAAAGUGGGGAAAAGGGAAGCUGAGUAAGUCUGACUGAGAAGUAAUAAUGAACUCUCAGCUUAGAAGAUAAUAUUCAUGAGAUCAUAAUAUGUGCGUGAAACAAGCUUAGACUAUUUUUUUCUUUCUAAAGAAAAGCUUUACUGUUGUAGUUUUUUGUCAAAUUCUUCUGUGAUCUGAAUAAUACUUCAGUAACUACUAACUAGUUUAAUUCUAAGUUGCUUUCGUAAUUGUUUCUAAAAAAAUAAGAACCAUCUUUCUUUUGUUUGUUUAACAUGGAUAGCCAUUUGAAACACUUGAAUUACAGGAACCGCUGCGAUGCUGCUUGUCAUGGUUUGGGAUCCACAUAUUAGCAUCCUCUCUAUGCCUAUGCUACUCAGGUUUACAUUCCAAGAAAUUGGCUGCAUCAAUUUUCUUAGUUCUGUGCAGCUCCUUGCAUAAAGAUUGAUUUAUUUAGCAAUUUUCAGUACUGAAAUGGUCCCUGGAAACUUUUCCCUUCUUAAUUUUAGGAUAAUUUGUGUUGAAUCUAAAUUAUGCUAGGAUAAUUUCAGUGAAUUAUUCCUUCAUCAAGGUGUAGUAUUUAGCAAAACAUAAAUGUUGAAUCUAAAUUAUGCUAGACACUUUUAUGCAAGGUAGCAUUUUAAGUCAGAGAGUUGGUUUUGAGGAUUGCAACUUUUAGGUGGAGCAAUUUGAAAUAUGGAAGUAUGACAGGGAAUAAUAACUUUAUUUGCAAUCCAUAGAUAAGUUAUAAACGAGGAAAGUGAGACUCUCAAGGAGUCUUAUAUGGGACUCUAUUGGAGCUUUAAGUAUUGGCUGCCAGGUUCUAACAUGAAAAAGGUAAAGGAACUGAAUAUCUCUAAAUUCACUGCUGCUGUUCUCGCUUUGGUUAGUGAUAUCCACUUCAUGGACUGAAAACAGUUGUGGAUUUGAUAUAUCAAUAUGUGUUGAAUCCAUGAAAAAAUAGGACCAAAAGUGUCAAAUUUGUGGAGUGGGAUUUUAUAUCCAUUUGUAUUUGGGCAGUAAAUAAACUUCAUGGAUGUAGGACAUGAACAUUAUCUUACUUACACCUCCCCCCCAAAAAAUCCAUCUAAAUCCUUAAAGUUGUCAUUAUGUGUGGAAGAAGAGAGACUUAAAAGAUUUUGCUGGUUCAGGCUCAAUGUGAAAGCUCCUUCUAGGCUUUACAAUUUUCGAAAUAUUAGGACCUCACGGAUAUAUAUAUCUGGUCAAAUUUCUGUUCCUUAAGUGACAUGCAGAUUGGAGGUUGCACGGGCUACAUCAGUGGUAUUGAAGUUUAUAUAUUAAUUCGUUGUAAUGUUUUCUUAAGCUUGCUUGCUUCAUUUUUGCAGGAUUAUCAUGCUGGCGGAAGUAGUAUGUGUUAGUUCCUUCAUGACAGUCUAUAUUGGUGAGUAACCUCCUUUAUGGGUUGCUUUUAACAAGAGUCAAUUUCCUUGAUAAAAUUUUAUCGUUUUCAAACACCUUGACUGCCUAGAUAAGAGUCCUGCAGAACUGCAUUCUAGAGAAAUGACAUUAAAACUUAAAGCCUCUGUGCAUUUGAGUUGUGAAAAUAAUUUGUCUGGCUUUUAAAUUGCCUAAUUGAAAUUCCAACCUGUUCUAUAUUAUUAGAAAGUACAGAUGCAAAAUAAAGUCAAUUAAACCUUCUACUCUCUGCAGGUUGCGUUCACCAGUACAAUUCAUUGGAUUCCCAGCCUGAUGUUUUAAAGUCACUUUAUUCUCCACUUCAACCAUCAAGUUCUCUGGAAGGUUUGAGGUACUUCUCAGGUUUACAUUCUGAUUAUGGAGAAACAUUUUGUCCAAUAAUUUGGUGACUGGUACUGUACCUUUAGGGCAUGCUUGGAAACCAUUGUCUAAUUAUAUGCCGUGUAAAACGUAGUAAUUGUUAAAAAAUUGUGAUAUCAAAGCUAUAAGAAUAUAAAGAAGUAUUUUAUGGAAAUUGUAAAUCAUGAUGGAUCUUUGCAUUAGAAGAAGGGGUAAAAUGAGUCGGGAUGACCAAAAUGAGUUGGGUCAAACAUAUUGAUAUUGACAAUAUUGUCUUCUUUGUUUCAGUUCAUUGAUCGCUGAGAUGUAGUUAGUAUUGAUUGUGUCUUUGCAAUAGGAUAUUUAUUUUGAUCUCUGAUAUGGCGAAGCAUUUGGUAGUUGAAGAAGUGGGAGGCUUUUGGAUAAUUAACUGAUGCUAAGAGGCCUAAGAUAAUAAAUCUCAAAUAUCUUUUUUGUGUUUUCAAACCAACCAUUAAUGCAACAUGAUUGGUACUUUUAUGAUGUCAAUGUGACUUCUGAGAAGAAAUCGAAGAAUGCUUGACAGUUGUUUUACUGCUUCUUCUAGAUGAGACAAAUGAUAAUUUCUCUAAGAGCCUUCUGUUCUACAGGUACCAGGAUGGUGGUCGACUAUCAGAUCAGCAGAUGGCGUUGCUGCAAUAUCAGCAAGAAAAUAUACACUUUUUGAGUGAGGAGGUACAUAGUUAUUAAAACCUCUGAGAUCUUACUGGAAAUUCACUUCCCAUGCUUUUAGGGGCGGGAGAGGGUAGAAAUGGGACUUUGGGCUGCUUCAGUUUUAUUAGUUGGUGAAUCAAGUACCUAAUAGCACAUAGAAGUAUAUUUAUUGUAAGUUAAGAAUUUCCUGCUUUUCUUGGAAAGGGUGCAUCUCUAGAUAUAUAUAGAUAGGUCUAUUCUCUCUUCAGGAUGUAUAGUUCUUAUGACCAAAUAGAUUUUAAUCCUGAUAGUUUCUUCUGGAGCUUUUUCUUUCUUUAUGACUGAAUGGAUUUUUUUUCUCUCUAGAUUCUUAGACUGCAAGAAACCUUAAGCAAAUACGAAAGGUCUAAUGAUGGGAGUGCACCUCAGGUAUGUUCUUCCUUGUCAAAAUUAUGAUACUGUUUCUGUAUUAUGUACAAAAGAAGCAAAAUGUGUUGGUAUGCAUGACAAGUUAAUUAUAUUUAAGCUAUAAGCAUAAAAUUGUGGGGAAAAAAGAACUCGAGAAACAUGAACUGAUAAAAUCUUAGUGGAGGUACCAUCUGUUUAAGGUGAUCGUCUAGCUUUUCUGUCCUAUUAGUAGGGCACUAAAUGUUGGCGCUGAUUCUAUCAUUUUGAUCUCGCAUGUCAUUGAGCUUUGACUAACCAGGUAAGUAAUAUCUUGUAGCUACUGCAAGGGAAACAGAAUUCAGCAAUAGCAACAACAACAUAACCAGGUAAGUAAUAUCUUGGGAGGUGGAAAGGCUGUUUCUGCUAGCUCGAGAAAAUGCCAGGAUGGAGAAACCAAGACCAAAAUUACACAAGGCACGUCAAAGCAUACUGUAAAAGGAAUAGUAACUACCACAAAAUAAUACGAUAAAUGAAUUAAAAGGGACAAAUAUAUAGCAAUAGAAAUCAAAUGUUGGAGUCCCACAUGAGCUAGUGUGGGCAAUCAUGCCCUCAUGAGCUAGUUUUUGAGAUUGAGUUAGGUCCAAGGUCCAUUUCUUUAUCAUGGUAUCAGAGCCAGGCCUAUCCCAAAUCUUUGUUCACCGAUGUUGGGCCCCCAUAUUAUAUUGUCCACGCUCCAGUUAAUGAGGCUUCGGUGUGCGGGGGAGUGUUAAGUAUCCCUCAGUUAACGAGGCUUGGGUGUGCGGGGGAGUGUUAAGUAUCCCACAUUGGAAAACUGAUGAAUAAUUGGUCUCCUUAUAUGGACUUGGGCAAUCCUCCCCUCAUGAGCUAGCUUUUGAGGUUGAGUUAGGCCCAAGGUCCACUUCUUUAUCAUGGUAUUAGAGUCAGGCUUUUCCGAUGUUUCCCUCCCCCCUGGUCUUAUAUUGUCUACGCUCCAGAUGUCCAGUCUAGGGCAUGCGGGAGGUGUUGGAGUCCCACAUAAUUCAUUGUUUCCGAUGUUGGGCGCCCCCCCCCCCCCCCCACAUCUUAUAUUGUCCACGCUCCAGAUGUCCAGUCUAGGGCGUGCGGGGGGUGUUGGAGUCCCACAUCGGUGGGUUAAAGGGUCCUUGGUCUCCUUAUAUGGUCUUGGGCAAUCCUCCCAUCAUGAACUAGCUUUUGAGGUUGAGUUAGGUCCAAGGUCUAUUUCUUUAUUAGGAACAAAGGCCUACAAGAGUAAUACUAGGGCGUAAUGAUAAACGAGACUACACUCAACUACCUACCAACCUUCCACACUAAUCGGUGUCCUCCAUAAUCUCCCAUCUAUGUUCAUGUUCGGUAAGAUGGAGCUGUGCUGUGUCCUGUUUAACCACCUAACCCUAGUAUUUCAGACCUCUCCUGAAACCAUUCAUGCCCAAAAAGGGAAAAAAUAUCAAAAGGAAGAAAUAUCAUAUAUGCUGAGAACAAUACUGCAUACACUAGCACACACAUCCUUCUGAUUUCUGGAGAAUUUGUUUUCUUAAAGAAAAAUUGGUAACUGUAUAAUAUGGGACUGCUGAUAAUGAGAUCAGCCAUCUUGUAUAGUCAUUAAUCACUAGAAUCUGGGAUGAAGUUUUGAAAGUGAUGAAGUUAACGACUCGUCUUGGUUCUUCCAGGUAGAUCUUGCUCAUUUGUUGGCUACUCGAGAUCAAGAGUUACGCACACUCAAAGCUGAGGUAAUGUGUGGCAUGCGGCUUUGUCCUUUUUUCAAUUCCAACAGACAUAUGGUUCUGAAUAGUACACGUGCAAUUGAAUGCCUGUUUUGUGGGCUUCGUUUUGAAUGAGAUUCUCCUCUCGUAUUCCCUUAUUGUAUUGUGGUGGUAAGUUGUUUUUUUAAUUAAGAAUGUAAUUUGUUUUCUCACAAGAUCUUGCUUUGAAACUCAAAGUUUAGCGCAUCCUGUUUUAUCCCUUUACCUCUUCUACUAAAUACUUGUGGGUUUCAGAUGAAUCAAUUGCAAUCUGAGCUGAGGCUUGCUCGAUCUAUUAUAGAGGAGAAAGACGCUGAGAUUCAGCGUAUUCGCAAUGCAAACAAUCAGGUGUGUAUUAGAAUAUGCUUUAAUAGUCAACAUUUUUGGGCAAUGAAAGAAGUUGUAUUUGGUGUACUUACAGCUGGGUUUAAUUUUCUUCUGCGAAUGGUCACUUAUGUUGAUUCUAACUUGCUUGGAUCUUGAAAUCUUCUUCCAUUAAGAAAUUGGGACUUAUUUGCGAUGAAUGAUGAGCUUAUUAUAAAAUAACAUUGACGUAUUCAUGUCGUCGUGUAUCGGCCUAAUAAAAGUGAACCAUUUUGAAAGAAUUUAGCACGUUCUUCUGUAUUUCAUGGCUCCUGGCAAUACUUCUCUGUUAAUCAGUUUGUUGUUUCUCAACUGUCAUCGCAAGUUUUAUUUAAAUUGUUAAAUGUGGUCCGCUACACAAGUCUUAUACAACAACAUGCCUGUGAGAUUCCAAGCACACAUCUUUCAUUUUUAUGUAGUAAGUAUUAACUUUUGACGUUAAUCAUUUAUCGACCUAACAAAAUUGGACCCUUUUUGAAAAAUUUAGUACAUUGAUCAGUCUGUAAUAUCUACUUUUUUGUUAUUAUCUGAUAUUUCUUGUACUUCCGUUACUUUUUUUCUGGACAAUUUUGGACUGUUUUCCUUGAGCCGAGGGUCUAUCUAAAACAACCUCUCUACCUUUGAGGAAGUGUUAAGGUCUGCAUACAUUCUACCCUUCUCGCACCCAACUUUGUGGAACUACACUGGGUAUGUUGUUGUGUUGAGCAGACUGUACUUCUGCACUGGUAUAAGAGUCGUAGGUAGUAGUUAGUCGAUCACGACCAAGUAUAUUCUAUCUUCAUUGUUGUCUGUAUAGUAUUUGGACUCACACAGUAGCACAUGAUCCUGCCUUUUUUAUUUUUCGAUGAAAGAGUGCAUAACAUCUCUCUCUGAAACAGUAUGUAGAAGAAAACGAGAGACUCAGAGCUAUUCUGGGAGAAUGGAGCAACCGAGCAGCUAAGGUAGUACUUCAUUAGUCGUGUUACAUUGCUAUGAUGUUUAUCGUUUGCUUGUCCUCUUAUCACACCAAAUGUUUUAUUUGUCUGGAUAAAAGCUCGAACGUGCAUUGGAGCUGGAACGGAUGUCAAACUUGGAACUGCAGAAAAAAAUGACCACACUGAAGACUCAAACGCGUGAAUAGUUCGGCCCCACUAGCAAGGUUAGCAAGUGGUUACUUCUUUAGCAGUUAAGCAACAAACAUGCAUGAACCAUUUCAUGAAGUAUGUGUCUGGAUAGUCCAGAGUCUCGAUAGUUAGCUCUGGGCCUCCCGGUCAAAAAACAACGUCGAUGAAGAGUUCAGGUGCAAAACCAUUCCUGGAAGAUAUAAUGGUCUUAUCUGCACAUGUACAGAUUAAGCUCAAAACAAUAGUUUGCUUGAUGUGUACCAUCUUCAAGACUAUCAGCUUUGUAUAGUUUUUCCCUCUAUUAUUUAUUUCAUAUCUUUUCUUCUUGUAUUAGAUUUUCUUUUUGGAAGAAAUUUUUUUCACUGUGUGUUAUUUUAUGGCCAUAGGCAAAUCUUAGAAGGAUGAUUUCCAAAGAUAAUGACAUCGAAAUAUCAGAAGGCGAAUUCAGGAUUUUAAUCCGUUUGGCCAUGAUUUUUUCACUUUUUCAGAAAAAAAUUCACUUUAUGUCAAAUCCAACUCCAAGUUGAUGUUUGGCCAUGAGAAUUUCAAAAACAACUUGGAGUUGUAUUUGAAAAAGUGGAAAACAAGAAAAAGUUAUUUUCAUUUUUUUUUCCAUUAAAUUUAUGGUUCUGGAUAGGCAAAGUUCCAUCAUUGUUUUUAUAGAAUGAAAGAGUUAAAAACAUACUUGAAGUAUAACAAUUUUUUGUGUUUCAUAUUUGAACUAUAAGGUGUGUUUGAGUUUCAUUCCUGAACUAUGACCAACUAUUUAUUAAAACACACCUAAUCUCGAGUCGGGGUUGGGUGUUGGGUAUCGGGUUCUGAGUCAUGGUCGAGUUUUGGGUCUUAAGUUUGGGUUGGAUUGCAUCUCGGGUCUUGAGUCUGGGUAGGAUGCUGGACCCGGGUCGGGGUCUAAGUUAGGGUGGGGUGUCGGAUCCCUAGUACAAAGAGCUAACGAUUACAUUCUCUAAUUUUAUAGCUAAUAAUUAGCUAAAUAAUUUUGCCUAAAUUUACCGUCUUUAGGCUUUAGUAGGUUAAAGUGGGUUAGAACCGUUUACUCAAACCAUAUUUCAUGUAGAUUGUAAUACAAUUCAUUUUAGCUCAAUUCAUAUUCGAUCCAUCAAAAUUCAAUCCAAUUCACCCAUUUGCCACCCCUUCCCCAACACAUAUUUCAUUGUAAUAUAAGAUAAGACGUUUCCCUUUCUUAUAUGAAAAGGGUCAAAAUUCUUCUCUCACAUGAAUUUUUUCCUGUCAUUUUAUUCAAGCGACUACAACGACAUACCUAGUAAAUCUCACAAUUGAGGCCUGGGAGGGUAAAGUAUACGUGAACCUUAUCAUUAUCUCGGGAAGGUGGAAAAGUUGUUUUCGAAAGGCCUUCGACUUAAGUAUAGCAAAUUCAGAUACAAUAAAGAGAAAUACAUUAAAGAUAAUAUGAUAACACGGGACAGUGCAGAAACUACCAUAAAACAAUUUCAGUCACAAAAUAGUGUGAUAAUUAAAACACAAUAAACAACAAAAACAUAUAUCUAUGGCUAAAUCCUACGCUAUCAUACUAUGACUAGUUCAAGACAUCACUCCUACCCGACUAACCUUCUAUUUUAAUGCACAUCCUCCACAUCCCCUAGCUAAGAUCAUGUCCCCGGUAACCUGAAUAUGUGUGAUGUCUUAUCUUAUUACCUCUCUCCAAUACUUCUUCGGCCUACCUCUACUCCUCUUCGUACUCAUUAUAUCCAAGCUUGCACACCUCCUCACCCGAGUGUCUAAACUUCGCCUCAUUACAUGUCCAAGCUAUCUCAAUCUCGCUUUCUCAUCUUAUCCACCACGGAGGCCAUUCCCACCUUAUCUCAAAUGUCCUCAUUCUUGAUUCUAUCACACCCAGUAUGUCCACAAAUCUAUCUCAAUAUUCUCAUUUCUACGACAAACAUCUUCUGAACAUGGGAGUUUUUGAUUGAUCAACACUCCGUCCAUUACAACGUUGGUCUAACCACCACUCUAUAAAACUUAUCUUUAAAUUUCACUGGUAUUUUCUUAUCACACAAGAUGGCCUUAUUUUUUUUUACAGAUACAAAAAAUAAAUUAAAAUAUGGCCACAAAUAGCAACAUUCAUUUAAAAAAAAUAAAAAAAAAACAUUUUAUAUAUUUUUCAUUUAAAAAAAAACAUAUCAAAAUCAUUACAAAAAAGGAAAAUAUAGAUUUAAUAUAAUUAAAAUGCAAUAUUUCUUCCGUAAAUAUAGUUAAACUUAAAUAACAAUAUCCCUUCCUUAAAUAUAGUUAAUAGUAACUAAUAGAUACCAAUCACACCACUAUUCUCUCUUUAACCAUUUUUUCUCCAUUUUUAAACAAUUUGAUUUCUUUUUUCACCAUCAUAUACAUUCGUUUUUUUUUUUCUAUCAGAAAUUAUUAUUUCAAUAAAAAGCUUCCACAAGUUGUUGUUGUUUCAUACAACGUUUGGAUAUUUUUAUUGAAAAAAAGGUCCAAUAGUCUAACAAAAAUAAAAAAACGAGACACACAAAUAUGAAUUAUGCUAAUUUGCACUCAAUUCAUGAUAUAUCAUGGAGGAAGAUGGGAUGCCUCAGGUAUAUCUUGGUUAUUAACUUUGAUAUUUUUCAUUAAUUCUUUUUUUUAAUUUCUUUUUGAAAUAUAUAUUGUCUAAUUAUUUAUUAAGAAAAAGACAUUAAGAGAAAAAGUUAAUAUUGUUUUAUAUUUGUUUUUAAUUAUGUGAUGUUGACAUGUUGAUUAUUCACGAGAACGUGGUGGAAAGUCACAAAAAAAUGUUGUUCAAUCAAUUUAUAGGUGUAUGAUUAUUGGUUGUCAAAUAUUUUCAUUCGGUUAUAUUACAUUCAGUGAGUGACCUAUUAUGAUAUUAUAUUUAUUGUUUUAGUAAUUUCUUUUAUUAAUUUUAUUAUUGUGUAUGUUUUGACAGUAUUAAAAUAUAUUGAAAUUAUCAAAUUUCAUAUGUUUAUCAUUUUUUUUAUUUUUUUUUGAUAUGUAUGUUUUGUGAAUUUUAAAAUAUGUUGUUUUUUAAUUACAUAUCGUUACCGAUUAUUUAGUGUUAGUUACUUAACAUAUCUGUAUUAUAUUUGAUGGUAGAUUUAAAGAUUUUUCUAUAGAUGAAAUUAUGUAUGGUGCAAAUACCAAGUGUAAAGGAUUGCUAAAUGCAAUAGCAAAAUAACUCAAGAUCGACAUCAACUCAAUUCAAAUUUGAGAUUAAGUUCUUGAUUGAUAGAUUCCCACCAAUGAUCAUACACAAUGAUACAGGAGAUGUAUCUAGAUCGAAAAAAGACUGUUAUCAAUAAUCAUACAUAAUGAUAAAGUCAUGUUAAACUUUUGUUAUGUUUCUGCAUGAUGUUUUUAGAUAUUAAAAUAUGUUUUUGUUGAUUUUAUAAAAGAGAUAAUACAUAAAUAUGACCCUAAACUUGACACUAAAUUAUAACUUUGACCUUAAACUUUGACAGUGGACAAAUAUGACCUUUAACUAUUCAAAACUGCAAAAUAUGACCUCCGAUCCUACAUGGCAAAACGCGUGUUCAACACGCAAAACUGGGCACAUCCUGCUUAAAAUCUAAGGGCAUAUACAUAAAUAUGAUAUGAAACUUGACACCAAAUUAUAACUUUGACCUUAAACUUUGAUAGUGCACAAAUAUGACUUUUAGCCAUUCAAAAUUGCACAAAUACAACAACAACAACAACAAAUCUAGUAUAUUCCUACAUAAUGAGGUCUGGGGAGGGUAGAGUGCACGUAGUCCAUACCACUACCUCUACAGAGGUAGAGAGGCUGUUUCCGAUAGACCCCGGCUCAAAACUGCACAACUAUGACCUUUAAAUGAUUUUUCACUAUUAUUAUUUCAUUAUUUUCGGCUCAAAGAUGAAAAUGACAUCUAAUUUCUUUUGUCAUUGCAGAAAAAGAACAAUAUUGAAGAUUUAUUAAUUAGGUGGGUCAAUCUCAUACGAAAAAAUCAUGCGGAUAUGUAUAUAUAUAUUAUAAAGCAGAGGGCGAAUUUAAGUUAUAUAAUAUAUCUAAAUAUAAUUUAUUUAACUAUUAAAUUAAAUAUGAAACUAUACUAAUAAUAAAAAAUUAUAGUUUUAAUAAAGCAUUAUCAAAUUAACGUUGUUAAAAUGUUAUAAAAUUAACGUUAUUAAAAUAUUAUUAAAUUAACGUUAUUAAAACGUUAUUAAAUUAACGCAGAGGCGGACCUACGUGAUUGCCAUGGGGUUCACCCGAACCCCCUCGGUAAAAAAAUUACGUUGUAUAUAUAAGGUAGAAAAUCUGUAUUCAUGUAUGUAUAUUAAUGUUGAACCACAUGAAACAAGACACUUAGAUAGCCCAGUGGUGUUAAUUGCUCUUCUUGGGCUCUUCCUUCAGCUUACUGCGCGGGUUCGAUCCCGUUAGUGGAUGUUCUUUUUUUUUAAUGAAAAAAAAGUUAGAUGUUGUUGCUAUAGAAAUAAAUAAAUAAAUAAAUAAAUAAUAAUAAUAAUAAUAAUAAUAAUAAUAAUAAUAAUAAUAAUAAUAAUAAUAAUAAUAAUAAUAAUAAUAAUAAUAAUAAUAAUAAUAAUAAUAAUAAUAAUAAUAAUAAUAAUAAUAACAACGUCGUUUUGACACAAAAAGCAAAAUUUUGAUAGUGCACAAAUAUGACCUUUAACUAUUCAAAACUGCACAAAUAUGACCUCCCUCCAAGUCAGCCCUUUUAACGACAUGGGACCAUGUGAUUAAAUUACCUUUCCACGUAGGCUCGAGUGAAACUCACGCAUGGGGCUGCAAAAUUGGAGGUUAUAUUUGUUCAGGUUUUGAAUAGUUAAAUGUCCUAUUUGUGCACAAUCAAAGUUUAAGGUCAAAGUUAUAAUUUGGUGUCAAGUUUAGGAUCAUAUUUGUGUAUUAUCUCUUUAUAAAAACAAUAUCAUCUUUAGAUUCAAUAACUUAAAUUUUUAUUUCUGAAAUUGUAGACUCAAUAUGUUAUAUAUGUAUAUUGAAAAAUAUAAAUAGAUAACUGAUUAUAAAAUAUUAAAAUACAUAAUUUUAGACAUCUGAUAUCAUUUUAAGAUUUAAAGAAAAACUUAUAUCAAUUUUAAACCAAAAAAAUACUUGAUAUAAGUAAAAUAUAACGGGAUAUAAUUUAUAUCGCAAAGUAUAAGUUCGCGAAAGCAAUAAUUUUAAGUUAUUUUAUAUCAAAUUGAAUACAAAAGAUCAUUCCCAUUAAGUAAGAAAAAAGCAAUUACUAUUGUAUGCAAUUUGCAUGAUAAAUCAUAUAUUAUGUUUUAAUGACACUUGAAUAAAAAAAUUAAUCUGCAAAUUUAUUAACGUGGCAAAAUGAAUAUACAAGAGUAACAAAAUUAAGAUAAUAAGUAACAACAUAAAAAGAUGUUUUGGAUAUCAAAUAUCUUAUUUGGAGUAGAAUCAAAUUUUUAUUUUUCAGACAUGACUCAACGGAAAAAAAGAAAGAAAAAUAUACUAAAUUGAAGAAACUUUAAAUCUGAAUGAAGAAAUGAAUGUUGAAAAAUUCAACUUCAUACACAUGAAUAUGAAAAGUAGAAAAAAAAAAAAAAAAAAACUUUAUGGAAAUGAAGAUAAAUUAGUGGUUGAAAAAAACUUUUAUCAAUAAAGUUGAUUUGGAAAUCCUGUAAACAUUGGACUACUAAGUUAAUUAAUAAAAUAAAAAAAAGUUAAAUAUCAUGUAUAAAUAUAAAAAAAAUAUCUUUACUAUAUUUGAUUCCUUAAUUUGAGAACAAAUUAUGAAACUUAAUUAACAAAAUAAAAAAUAAGAUAUAAUGAUUGAUACCAACAAUAAAACUUGUCAUAAUAAUCAAAAGAUUUAAUGAAGAGUGAUAACUAUUAAAGACUAUAAAUAAGGAUAUAUUUGAAUAUUAAAUAUGAAAAAAUAUUAUUUAAUAUUUAAAAUAUAGUUUAAAGAAGAUAAAUUAGUGAUUGAAAAUAACUUUUAUCGGUAAAGCUGAUUUGGAAAUCCUGCAAACAUUGGCCUACCAAAUUAAUUAAUAAAGUUAAUAAAAAGUCAAAUAUCAUGUAUAAAUAUCAAAAAAUAUAUGUUUACCAUAUUUGAUUCCUUAAUUGGAGAACAAAUUAUGAAACUUAAUUAACAAAAUAACAAAAAGAUAUAAUUGUGAAUACCAAUAAUAAUACUUGCCAUAAUUAUCAAAAGAUUUAAUGAAGAAUGAUAACUAUUAAAGGCUAUAAAUAAGGAUAUAUUUGAAUAUUAAAUAUGAAAAAAAAUAUUUUUUUUAAUAUUUUAAAAAAUAAAUUUUUAUGAGUAAAGAUCUUGUGUAAAUAAUAAUGAGUUUUAAAAGUUUUGUUGGAAGUUGGUAAAAGGUAAAAGAGCUUGCGUCUGAUUUUGGAUUGCGUCUGGUAAAAGGGUUGGAUUGCAACUCGGGUCUAGAGUCUGGGUAGGAUGCUGGGAUCUGGGUCGGGGUCCAAAUUCCUCUCACACAUUAAUUUUUUUCUGAUUUUUUAUUCCAGCGACUACAACAACGUACCCAGUAAAUCUCACAAGUGAGGCCUGGGAAGGUAAAAUGUACGCUAACCUUACCAUUAUCUCGGGAAGGUAGAGAAGUUGUUUAAGAGAGGCCUUCGACUCAAGUGUAGCAAAUUAAUUCAAAUACAAUAAAGAGAAAUACAUUAAAGAUAAUAUGGUAGCACGGAAUAGUGUAGAAACUACCAUAAAAACAAUAAUCAAGUCACAAAAUAGAGUGAUAAUUAAAAUACAAUAAAGAACGACAAAAAUAGAUAUCUACGGCUAAACCUUACGCUAUCAUACUAUGACUAUGCACGACAACACUCCUACGCGACUAAUCUUCUAUUUUGAUGUGCGUCCUCCACAUCCCCCUAUCUAAGGUCAUAUCCUCGGUAACCUGAAUAUGCAUUAUGUCCUAUCUAAUUACCUCUCUCCAAUACUUCUUCGGUCGGCCUCUACACCUCUUCGUACCCACUAUAUCCAACUUUUCGUACCUCCUCACCGGGGCGUCUAAAUCUUGCCUCGUUACAUGUCCAAGCUAUCUCAAUCUCGCUAUCCUCAUCUUAUCCACCACGGAGGCCACUCCCACCAUAUCUCGAAUGUCCUCAUUCCUGAUUCUAUCACACCUAGUAUGCCUACAAAUCUAUUUGAACAUUCUCAUUUCUACGACAUGCAUCUUUUGAACAUGGGAGUUUUUGGUUGGCCAAAACUCCGUCCAUUACAACGUCGGUCUAACCAUCACUCUAUAGAACUUACCUUUAAAUUUCAGUGGUAUCUUCUUAUCACACAAGAUGGACUGAUUUUUUUCGCAGACACAAAAAGUAAAUUGCAAUAUGGCCACAAAAAAUUUAGCUUGAUUAAACUGUGUUAACUCACUUAGGCAUGAUUUCAUCUCCGUUAUUGUUACUAGUAUUAUAUUAAUCCAACAUUAUAACAUUAUUUGAUCUAAUAUAAAUAACAAACUGACUAGUAGUGGACCAUGAUUUUCGCUACGGAUAGUUAAAAUAAAAGAAAUUAUAAUAAUAAGCAUACGAAUUAGGGGAUUAAACAUCCAAUAUAUACCAUACAUAAUUUUUUGACCUAUCUAUGCACAAUAUCUAUAAUUUUCCAGCAAACAUGUGAUUUAAUACAACAUGAAGGACAAAAUACAAGAGACAUUUGUUUGGGGUAAAAAGGAAAAAGAGUAAAGAGUGUGUCAUUACAGAGAAAAAGAUUGAUUAUUUAAUGCUGAGCCAGUGAACCUCAAAAAUAUCUAUAUGUAAAGUAAGGUUGGAAGAGGGUGUUGAGAUGGAUUGUUGAGAUCCUGCAAGAUAGCCCGUAGAAACAACUUCUUCAUCCUAGAGCAGUGGCAGAUAAACAAUUCUGUUAGACCCGAGAAGGUGUGAGAUGCAAUUUUUCCCUUACAGAGCCCAACAAGAUUGGCCAAGUCAUGAACUUUCAGACUGCAGAGGGUCUGUAGUUGUAUCUCUACCAGAGGGCACGUUGACGAUCCAUUCUAUGUCUUCACAAUCAGUGAUCCUGCAGGUCAAGCCUCUUGAAGAAGUAGUCCGUGACAGAAAGUUGUCCACAAAGCAGCUACUCAGACUUCAGAAGAGCGGCUUGUUAGAAUCAGUCUGCAUCCCUCCUCACAAAGAGGGUAACCCAACUCCUCCGAGCUAAGCCGAUCCCAAACAUCAUCCAAUAUGAUAACAAUGUUCUUCAUUUGUCUGAAUGCCCGGUUUAAUCGGUCCGCCCUUCUGUGUUCAUCGUCCUCAUCUGAUAGGUCCAGCUUCAUAAUUUUGGCAAGGUCGUCUUGUAGUCCUUUGAUGCUAAACCCUUGAGAGACCGUUAGCCAAUGGACUUGAUAACGACUAUCUUCAAGAAGAAGAUUAUAUGUAUACUUUGCCAAAGUGGUUUUACCCACCCCUCCCAUACCAUAUAUACGGAUGCUUGAGGCAUUCUCAUCCUGUAACCACGUCCAAAUCACUUCUAUAUUCUGUUUUGAUGUUUCCUCCUGAACUGGUUGCACCUGCAUUGGACACUCCUCGCUUUCAUACGCAUCAAACACGAGCUCUCCAAAAUGUCUACUUUUCUCGAGAAGUUCUCCAACCCUUCCAUCCAUCUUCUCCAAAUCACCUAUAUUUUGCUCCCCUCUUGUUGCUGCUUCUUUUAACUGAUGAAAUUCUUCUUCGAGCUGUUCAACCUCGUUAAGCCAAGAUUCAACUUUGGUUAGUGAAUGAAAAAACCAUGAGAACUAGGAUAAGAAGGGUGAGAUAAGAAAAAAGUUUUAAAUUUUUUUUUUUUAAAUAAUUUUUGGGGGAGGAGGAGGGGGGAGGAGUUGGUAGGGGUGGGGUCAGGUAGAGGAUGUAAGAAAAAAGUUUAAAUUAUUUUUAAAAAAUUAAAUAUUUUUUUUUGAGGGGAGGCUAGUAGGGGGUGGAGGUCGGGGUAGGGAUAGGGUAAGAAAAAAAUUUAAAAUAUUUUUUAGAAAAAAUUAAAUAUUUUUUUUUGAUGUGGGGUGGAAGGGGUGGGAUGGUAAGGGAUUGGGGGUCGGGGUAGGAGUAGGUGAUUUUGAGAGUUAUAGAAUAUUUCAACUUAAGAGUGAGGUUGAAGGAGAAUUUUGAAAAAUAUUUUCAUUACUUUUUGAAGGGAAGUUAUUUUUCUUAAAUUUGAGAAAAAUAAGUAGAUUUGAAAAACAUUUUUCAAAAUAUUUUAGUCAACCAAAUAUGAGAAAAUUGGAAAAAUAAAAAACAACUAACUAAAAGUAGUAAUACAAGUUUAGCUUUAUACUCCAUCAAUUUCAAAAUACUUCGUUCCUUUAUAUUUGAUACCCGACUUAAGAUGUCAAUGAUUGAAGGUGUAUUUUUACUUUUUUACCCUUAUACCCUAAUAACUAAACUAUAAUUAUGGAGCAGAAACCAAGAAAUAUUUAAUUGACGACAUGUACUCCUUACUACUCCAAUAAAUAUGACGGUUCAUAUUCACUUAGAAAUUCAAUACAAAAUUAACUAUCUAGAGUAAUUCACUUCGUACUCCACUUCAAUACAUAAUUGAAUAUCUCUAUAUUCACUUAAUACUCCUACUACUCACUCUCAUAGAUUAAAUUUUUUAUCGAGGUGCAUAUUUUAAUAAAAUUAUCAAAAAUUAAUAAGAGGAAAUACAUUUUGAUAACUCUUCAACCAAGAGAAUUUUUAAAAAGAAAAGAAAAAAUGGUAAGUUCCAUAUGUUUGACAUAUGAUAUGUAACAUGUAUGAUGUAACAGUUAGACAUAAUGAAAAGACAAAUGAUGAGAGUCCAAACAUAUACCUUUUAUUUAUCUAAAAAUUACAGAAAUCCACAAAUUAAGUUUCAUUUAUUACAAAAAAAUCUCAUUUCUCCAAACAUAUUACAAAAAUCUUAUUUUUCUCUAAAAAUGCAUCUACAUAGCUUUCUAUAUAUAUGUCGACCCUGUUAUAUAUAUGUCGGCUUUGUCAUAUACAAAGAUUUCUAUGUAUAUGUCGGCCUUAUUAUGUAUAUGAAUCGGAAAAGAGAGUAAAGGAAUUAAGAAAAUGGAAGAGAGUGUAAAUAAUUCUAAUAAGGUUGAGAUUUAUGUUAUUUUUACUUCAUUUAUAUGUAGUACUAGAUGGGCAAGGUCCGUGCUCAGCACGAGCCCAAAAUAUUAGUUUACAAACUGGUUAAUUCUUGGAUGCUUUGCAUAGUCAUUUAGUAAUGAAAAAAGAACGAAAAAGUAAUCGAUGGAGAAACAAACAGAAAGCUUAUAUACCUCUUUACAAACGUAUGUUAAAAAAGUAAUGAAGAUACAUUACCACUAUGUAGGGCUAGGCAUAUUUUGGUUUAAAUCGAAAAAAUUAAAAAGUUGAACCGAAAUUUAAUUUUGGUUUGGUUUUUUGGUUUUUCGGAUUGGUUUCGGUUUCAAAUUUUAGAAAUUUGGUUAAAUGGUUUGAUUUUUGGAUUUACAAAAAAAAAAGAGAANNNNNNNNNNNNNNNNNNNNNNNNNAUUUAAUAUAUAUGUAAAUAUACUUAAAAAAUAAUAUAAUCUGAUAUAACAUAUAAAUAUAUAAAUUAUAAUCAUUUAGUAACCCUAAAUCCUAAUAUAUUGCUUUGCUUUAGACCCUUACAUUAACGUGAAGGUUGCAGCAACGCUCAACCAUCCUUAGUUCGUCAAUUCAUUUGAAAUUUUAACAUCGCCAACGACAGUCAUUUGCUCAGUUCAUCACUGCCGUCGGCAGUCGCUGCCGAGUGCGGCCACUGUUGUCACGGCAACGGCGAUGACUCAGCGAGGUCGGUAUUUAUGGUUAUUUUAUGCAUGUUGAAUUAAUUAGAUUUUGGAAUGAAAAAUAGGUUUGAAAAAAAGAUUAUUUUUCUAGAAAAAUUACCAAUUUUAAAUGCUCACUACUUUAUUCUUUAAAACCGAAAUAAAAAUUCGAAAUAACCAAACUGAAUUUGUGAAAACCGAACCAAAUCGAAAUAAUUUUGAUUUGGUUAUGGUUUUCAUUUUCGUCAAUUCGAAAAUCAAAAAACUGAACUGAUAUUCAACAAUCAAACCGAACAAAUCGAAUGCCCACCCCUACCACUAUGCAUAUUUGCAGUUAAUUUUGAUGCCAAAUUAAAAUUGCUAAGCUAAUUCUCAUAUUUUAUGCCAAAUUAAAAUUGCUAAGCUAAUUCUCAUAUUUUAAGACAUCACUAAUCCAAGUAUAGGACUCUUAUGACACGGGAGAGCCCAACCCAAAAGACUAGCCUAAUAAGUUGGAUAACCCAUUUGACUUAUAAUCUCUUUAGCAUUUCUCUAUUUUUUCAAUGUGGGACAAUUAGUUCAUAACAAUCGUCUCCGCUUGAGAACCAACGACCUCGUUGGUCACGGCCGAGCUCAGUUGGUCACAGCUGGUACCCCUUUUAGGUCCAGGCCACCACUCCUGGCGCACAGGCCACUACUCUGAGUUACGCGUGGAUCAAUCUUUGUUGGUCACAACUGGUACCCCUCUUGGGUCCAGGCCACCACUACUGGCACACAAGCUACCACUCCGAGUCACGGCCCAACGCGUGAGACUUUCAAUGAAAGCAUCAAUGUUAUAAAAUAAACGGAAGAGGCCAACCCAAAUGGAUUUUUUUUUUUAAAUUGACUACAAAUUAGAUAAGAUGAUGACUGACGCAAAGCACAAAUAUGUACAAGUGAAUGGUUUACAUCUCUUUGGUAGUCUUCCUUUGUUUGUGUUUAGAUAUGUCUCUGGUGCAAUACCUAAUCUUUUUCAAUUACAAAAGUUUUUUUUUUACUCAAUUUUUUUAUAAUGUCUUAAGAAAAAGAUCCCCAAAAGUUCAAUCUUAUUUUAGGUGGUAUGAAAUUCUGCUACAAAGAGAUCAAGUUUCAUAUGACCUGAUAGAUUUUUUUUUUCUUCUAAAUUCUCUAUCAAGUAAUUUAGAUUCUGAUUUUUUCAUAAUUUUGCUUCAAGUCUUAUUGAUUUCUGAAUUGUAUUUUAACUACAUUAAGCAAGUUGUUUAUUGGCCACUUCAUAUGUUAAAUAUUAACUAUUCUCAUGUGAUUCAUAAUAAGUGUUCGAUUAUGGACGGUUACGUAUUUGUUGUUUGUUAACUUUCUUUUAUUUGUACAUUAUCCAGUGUUAAACAUGCAUACGAGACUUUCAAAAUGCAGCUUUGAACUUUUACGGUCAACAACAACAACAACAAUGUCAUGAUCCGAACCGGGGCCCUGUCCGUGACGGAUAACCCAAAUCAUGAAGGCCCGAGAACUCUUCUAACUUGUAAUUAUAUACACCAUUCAAAUAAAAAUAAGAAAUGCAGAAAAAUACAUAAUGAACGGAAUCAUGGUCAUGAAUCUGAACUCAAUUUAUGAUAUAGAAAGUAAAGCCCAACAACAAUUAGAUAAUGUCUUAACUAGUCUGCGAAAUCUCUACUACAUCUGAAAAUAACAACUGCCUGAAACUGGGACAAGGCCCCCAGUGGACCUAAACCAAAAUAAAUAACAUGAUCUGAAAGACAUAGACCUUCUGGAAUAAAGAAGGCUCACCAAUUGCACGCAUCACUGCUGUCUGAAAACUCUACGGCUUAGCAGGGGGGUCAAUACAAUUGUACUGGUACGCAAAGCAAUCCAAAAUAAUACUUUUAUAUAAAUAAAAUAGUUGAGAGCUAGUCAUAAAACAUCAUGUAUGAUAUAAAUUUAAAACGCAUGGGCAUUUUUGAUAAAUCAUAAAACUUUCUGUCAAUACAAUUUCUAAUCUUUGUGUUACUUCUGAGUUUGAUGGCACUCCCCUACAAGUCUGAUAUUCCACAGGCUAUAUGGAAUUCACCAUUAACUCGGCGGGGAACACCCCAACCCAAGUGUGCCGUAAGAAUUGGGGUGUCUGAGUCUGAUACGCCACAGGGCUCUUGGCCAGCGUAUAAUAAUAUACCUGGAUUGACAAAUCACGAUUUUGGACAACGAGUUGUAUGAACUCAUGCCUUCUUCAGGGAACCACCUAAGCUCUCUUUAUGCCCAAUUUUAUCCUUUUCUGAAACAUACAUUCUUCUAGUUUCAACAUCUGAAAAUCUAAUUUCAAACAUGUGUUCUAUUCUGUUCUGAAUUACUAUGGCUUUAAUUGAGUUGGUGUCAUCAUACCAAGACUUGAAACUCCUAAUUCUGAGCCAUAUUGUACCAUGCAUGAUUCUUUCAUGAAACUCAAUUCAGACCACCUAAACAUGCAAAUAGUUUAAGAGAUUUCAUGUUCCGAAACAUAAGUCAAAACUAUGCAAGAAUUCUUCAAACAUAUGGUGGUCAUGUGCUUUUGGCAAAAUCAUGCACUCUUUCAUUAUAUGAAUAUUUUCAACAUUUAUCAACAUAACUACCCUCUCUUUUGAGAUCAAAAUCAUAAUCCAAUUAUAACAAUACUUAAGGCAUUUCAUAACAUGCUUUUCAAUGAUGCAUUCAAAACAAUCCAUAGCAUAUAAUAAGCAAAGGAAAAAUCAUAGCAAGAGAGGGAUUUUUCCUGUGUCAUGCUCUCAAUUCAGUCAUCAACCUUAAAACACAUACAUAUAUACAUAUAUCAAUUCAAAUCAAUUUGGGGAAGGCCUAAAGACCAAAACAAAAUCAUUGAGGCUUCUAAAACAUGAAUGUAUUCAUAAAUCCAAAACCUUUUUCUUAAAAAUCAUGACUUCUAUGCCCAUAAGAUUUUAGGAAAACCCCGCGUAUCUUAAAUUGAAAGCUUUUGAAUGAACUCUCACGUUAGGGAUGCUAAUAUACGAUUGAUGGGUGCUUCUUGUAGCCCUCGCAAUGGGAAUUCCGAUUCUCUAAUUAUCUUCUAAAAUCCAUGGUUGAAUCUUGAGUUAUUUGGGACCUUAGUUUGAAACCCUAGAGAUGGUUCUUGUGGAUUUUUGAUGAAAGCAUGAGUAAUAUGGUGUUUUGGGGAUUGAAAUCCCGUGUUUAAGCUGAUAAGGGGUGAAAAAUACCCAAUAUACCUUUAAUGAGACGGAGCUUAAAAUUGUUGAAUUUCUCAGGUGCGCGCAGCAGAGCAUGCGUCUCAUGCUUUAUCCCACUGGACUAGAGCAUGCGUCGCAUGCUCCAUCACAUGAUACCUAGGAUGCGAUGCACCAAGUGACGCACGCAAAUCACAUGGUGCUACUGUUUUGAAAAUCAAACGCUCCCUAAACGUGGUCCAAAAUUUUUGAAACUCACCCGAGAUGUUCUAUAGACUUGUCCCAUCGUAACGCAGUAAAAAUUUCAAGAAAUGGAGGUCGGAAAGAUCGAAAAUAAAAUCUCUGAAGUUUGAGAGUUAAAAAUGAAACUAAGUCUCUUUGACAUUUAGAAAAAUUUCUAGUCUUUAAUUCUAUAGGCAUACUGCUAAGAGAUAACACAUAGUGGAUUCUUGCGGGGGUUUGCAACAACAGUUUGAUUUCUAGCUUGAAAAUACGGGGUGUUACAUUAUCUCCCCCUUGGGAUCAUUCGUCCCCGAAUGAUGGGUAGGAGCUUGUUGAAGCUUAAAGGUAUGGAAUAACGCGGACAUGAAGUGUCUUCUAAGAACAAAUAUAACUGAUCUGAAACAUUUUAACUUCUAUCAUGAAACUGAAUUCUGAGCUGACUUGACUUUAUUUCCUUCAAGAAGCUGAUUCAUGCUGAGAGUUUAGGAUUUCCUUGGAGUGUUCAUGAUCCAAUCAUACACAUUGAAUUGAGAAGUGAUAACUUAUGCAAGUAUGAAUCACGAGACAACUAGACUUAGAUCGUAUCGGGGUAUUACACUGUCUGAGCUAAAAUACUUGGGAAAAUUUGAGAUUAUGCACUGAACUCUUAUAAACUGAGUCAUGACUAAAUAGCUGAAUCUGAAACAUGAUGCUUUUACUGAACUGAAUUCGCAACUUACAUGGAUGGAAUAGAUUAUCUCUUGGGAUGGUCAUACGCCUAAGACUUCGAAUAGUAGGACUGGGUGAAAAGGUGAAAAAUCACCAUAACUUGUCUGCCUGACUAUUAAACUGAAUUAUUGGCUAUAAAGACUGAAUUAUGCUGGACCCUUAUACUUAACUGGAGUAUCUCUUCAACACUUCAUAGUAGUGUUAGAGAGCAAAGAAUCUUGGGCAUGAGUUACACAAGAUAUCCAACUAAGGAAUCACAACAAUGACAUCACUCUAUAGCAUGGAAUAUACACAUAAAUCUCAUGAACUAGGAUAGAAUUAUCAGGCCUUAGGCAAUACAACUUCUUACUUUCAAGCUUAGCACACUUCUCGAAUACUUCCUUAACUAUACUAUCCCCUUAAAUGCCAUGCUCAUUUAGUUCAGCCUAUAAUUCUUAUAUGGGCAUUGAUAAAUCUUUCUACUGAUGUCUAAAGUAACUUAAAUCCUCUGGUCGUGAUUAAGCCUAGCUCUAAUCAUAAAAUACAACCUGCCACACUACGAUACUAGUCUAAACCAUAUGAUUCAGCUUUCUAUAUCUUUUUAAAGUUCACACCUUAAGCAUAACGUGCUUUACCACUUCAAUGACUAACUCUGAACUCUUACUAUGGAUUCAUUGGUGCUUAUUGCGUUCCUCCACUUAAAUCCCAACAUGUCAUUCAAGCCUAUUCUUAUAACCGCAUAUGAACUUCAAGGCAACCACCCAUAAAGACAUACCUCAUAUAUUCUCUAAACCACCAUCAAUACAACUCCCACGCUCUACCCCAAGAACAUACACACACAAAUUUCAACUAACCAUAACAUGUAUCAAAUACUUGGCCCCAGAUCUUACUUCACACUUAUGGCUUUAUCUAAAACAAACAUACUAUGAUCUUCCAUCAACAAAAAAUAUUUACUCAUCACUACUAUCAUCACAUAAGGAUGAGUUACUAAAAGGUUAAAACAUAAGGCCUUAAAGCAUGGAAAGAUAUUAUAUGGGACUUGACACUUAACUGAGGCUUGAGGAAUAACAAAUCAACAUCAAGGAUUCAUCAAAGAGAUCUGAAUGGAGAGUAUACCUGUCUAUAAGAUGAAUCUCGCCAAUCAUUUGGCGUGUAGCAUGAGUUAUGGGAACUAAGUACACUAUAAAGCAUGAGUACAUGAGUCAUGAGCUACAUGACCUCAAUUUGGAGUUCAUAACUCAUGGAACGUGAUACUGACUACUGAAUGAACUGGAAUUCCUCAUUUAGUAACUAGAAGAGCACGUGAUUCUCUAUCAUAUAUAUGAACAUGAACUAUGAUCAUGGAACUGAAACGUAAGGCAUGAGUAAGUAUUGGGAUAACUGAAAAAUACUGAGAUAAGAAUGGGUUGAGCCUCACCCUCACUUCCGAAUGUUCUAUAUCAUACUGACAUCACUACUAGAAUCUGAGAGCCUGACUUGGUCACUUAUUCUAUCAUCUCCCCCCUAGCUUUAAGCCCUCAUCUUAAGUUCGAGAGAUCCCUUACUAAACUCUAACUGAACUACAAUUUCUGCACUCUAUGAUCUGGAAAACGACUAUACACGCAUAUCACAGAACUUAACUCGAAUGACCACACCAAACAAGUGGAAAACCCACUGGUGAUAUUACCUUCAGAGAUAUACUCUAUCAUUCUAUAGCCCCAAUAGUCAGCAUAUAAUACUUGCACACUUACUAACAUUGGGUCUUCACGAGUAUCCACAUAGUCGGAGUGCACACCCUUUAGCGCUUCAACUUUUAUUUCUAUUAGCUUAACCUUCAAAACUCAAACAUAGAUUCUAACACUUAACAUGGAUAUCACCAAGCCUUUGAUGGACCAUACUACUUCCGACAGAGCCCACCAAUAUCGCGACUCCAAACUUAUAUCUCUCUACCAUGAGAAUCAAGAUCAUAUCAAAAGGCUCAACACUAUCAGUCAAAACUCCUCAACUUUGCCAUUUAGAAUACCAUGUACCAUCUACUAGUCUUUCUCCACCUAGAAAACUCAACUGUACUACUAGCCACAUGCAAUAUGCAAUAGUCUUAGAAAAUGGCCCAAUUUCAUAUCAUCGUGGGAAUACUUCUACACCAUACAUACAACAUCAUACUUCAUUACGAAUCAAAUAAACUUCAGCCAUUGCAUACACCGUUCAAGCCUAUUAGAUCACUUCCAUAUAACUGGUAUCAUUAACCAAGAAAUUAUCACAUCCACCUUCAUGGCCAUCAACUGAUCAAACUUAAUGUCUAGUGCUAAGCAUGAUUUACAACCCAACCUGACACAUAAUUCUCACAAAACAUUCAUCAUUAAUCUUAAGCCACUAUUUCUUACAUCCACAUCCUACAUUAAAUUCAAGCCAAUAGUCUAGCAUCAAUCAUCUACCACCAAUGAAGAAGGCAACAUAAUAUACUAGUCCAUCAAAUUAGGACAUUCUAUCCAAAUACCUCAAAAAUCUACUACAUACCUUCUCACAAGUAGUACUAGUUUACAACUACCAACGAAUAGAAGGUCAAGGGGGUAAAGUCACAUAAUAGACAUGGUCAACCUUAAUCUUAUAUUAUAACCCCAUACAAUCUUAUAUUAUAAUCGACUGGCUAAUCUAGCCAUUUUCGUACUUCAAGUAAACAACAAUUCACCGUGACUAAUAACUCCUUUCACCCCCGAGCUUAGAUUUAGGAUCUCGAUUCAGCCAUAAUGAGAAGAUUGGCUGGGUAACGAUGCGCUGAAGCAACAUAUUAUACCUGACAUUAUGGUGCUAAAUUAGUGCACAUAGUUCUUUCAUUUCAAUUUGUUUGUUUUACUUUUUUUUAGUUCAUUUCAAAAAGAACGCGUCUUUCCUUUUUUGGCAACUCUUUAGUUCUAACUUUACACAUAGCAUAAUCAAGAUCGCGGGAUUGAAGUGUAUUUUGGUACAUUCUUCUUUAAUUUAAGACCUUAAGAUUCAAAAGUCUUCUAUACUUUCUGAAACACGAUCUGUAUAAGUCAACACCAGACAAACAAACUGAAACGUAGGGAGUAUAAGAUUAACAAUCUAUUAACAAAUAGAGAUGAUGGAGUGCAUUUUAAUAAUUAUAUAAUAUUUUUUAUUUUUUUUUGUGCUGCACUUGGUUUUAGCACUAAUAUUAUCUUUUCUUUGUGCUGCACUUGGUUUUAGUACUGCAAAGUGCUCAUUUAUAAAGCAUCCAUAAUGCCUUACAUCAUUCCUCUACUAACUUAAUGGAAAAACUUUUGUUCCUCUAAUUCCUGUCUAAUUAUGUAAGCCUCUUCCAUCUAUAUAAGUAGAGGCACGGAUAACUCACCGAAAAAAAAGAAACAGAGAAGGAGAAAAAUUGUAAUACAACAUUAUAUAUAAAAGAGAGUUUAUUAGUUGAAAAGGAGGUGUUAUUGUGUGGAGCUUUGCAUUCAAUUCGUGUCCAGAGUAUUGAGUUAUAUUGAGAAGGCUGUUGUAUCCUGGAGGGGACAAGUCAAAGUGUGUUACUGCUGGACCGGAGAAACAAGACUUGAAUAUCGGUGCCUCACCCGUAGAAGAAAUAUAUUUUUCUUUAUCCAUUUAUAAUUUUCAGUUGUAAUAUUUAUUGUAAUAUCACGAACAAGAGAUAUUUACCAUACUGGUGUUACUCGUCGUGCAGCGACAUCCUGAAAUCCUAGUCCUAGUACUCCAUCAUACCGUGCGUCAAGAAUGUGAAAGAUCCUUCUGGUGUUACCUCAGUGAAAACCUGAUAGAUUUUUAUUUUAACAGGUAACGUUAAAAGCAUACGUAACAUGAGCAACAAAGAAUUAAGAUGUACCUGCUGAUUUAUGACAGAACUCCCAACUUUAACGUUUCUUGGCUGAACAAACCGCUCACUGAUCUAGUGCCAAAAGGGAUUUUACAAUUUUUUGCUGCAGUAGAAAGCCAAAGUAAAUACAUUAAAGAUCAAAUAAUGUUUCAUCAAAGUUAGGAGCUUUCAAGUCAUUUGGAUAAACAAAUUAGUCAUUUUAUUGCCAUAAACAAAUCUUAGAAGGAUGAUGUUAACAUCCGAUGACAUCGAAAGAUAAAAGCGAAUUCAAGAUUUUAAAUUUACGUGUAACACCCAAAUUUAGGAAGGAGUUCCAUAUUGACAAAACACAGUAGGGAGGGAUACUGGGUAUAUAAGUAAGAAAGCCUUACUCUCUAGUGACGCGUUUUAAAGUCGUGCGGAUCUGGGCCCAAAGCGGACAAUAUCACUAAUAGGUUGGAGAGUUAGAGGGGGUCUCUCGAGCCUUCAUGGUUUGGGAUGUCCGUCGUAGUCAGGGCCUCGGAUCGGGUCGUGACUGAAUGGUAUCAGAGCCGCUCCUGUGCCAGCCCUGUCGAUGUGGGCCAAAGUUCAAACUGAGUGUAGGCAAAUCCCGGUAAAGCGGGGCAAACCUCAGUCCUGAGUGUAGGCAAAUCCCAUUCAGUGGGGCAAACCUCAGGUAGUGAUGCGUUUUAAAGCCGUGCGGGCCUGAGCUCAAAGCGGACAAUAUCAAUAGUGGGCUAGGGAGUUAGAGGGUCUCUCGAGCCUUAGUGGUUCGAGAUGCCCGUCGUGGACAUGGCCUCAGCUCGGGUCAUGACAAAAGGCCUGCGCGUUACGAAUUUUUUUUCACGCCAAACCAAUUUUUAAUGGGUGUAGGGGAAUUUUGGUCAUUCCCCCUCACCUGAAUUUCGUCUAUAACACUGAAAUUAAGCCUUAGAACAGCAUUUGAGCCCCAAAACUCACAUUCUCCCCAAAUUAAAAUCAUCCUCCCUUUCCCCAAAGAUUCAAGAACUCAUCCCUGAGAUCAAGAAUUCUAAGAAAAGGAUCAAGAUCUAGGUUCCAUUCUUCUAACUACGAAAUCUAAGGUACGUAGGGUUUUCCUAAAAUCUCAUGGAAUAGAAAUCAUGAUUUUAAGAAAAGGAUUUUUAGAUUUACGAAUUAUAAUCAUGUUUUAGAAGUCUCAAUGACAUUGUUUUGGUCUUUAGGCCUUCCACCAAAUUGAUUAAAAAUUAUAUAUUUAUGUAUGCAUGUGUUUAAGGAUGAAUAUUCAAUUGAGAGCAUAAAUUAUAAUGAGUCCCUCUCUUGCUAUGAUUUUUCCCAUCUUUCAUAUGAUAUGCAUUGUUUUGAAAUGUAUCUUGAAAAGCAUGGUAUGAAAUGUCUUGAAAUAUGUUAUGAUUUGAUUAUGGUUCUGAAUUGAAAAGAGAGGAUUGUUUAUGAUGCAUAAAUGUUGAGUAUACAGAUAAUGAAAGAGUUGCAUGGUUUUUGCCAAAAGUACAUGACCACCAUAUGUUUGAAGCAUUCUUGCAGAGUUUUGACUUAUGUUUUCGGAACAUGAAAUCUCUUAUCCUAUAUGCAUGUUUGGGUGGUCUGAAUGGAGUUUUAAUGAAAGAAUCAUGCAUGAUGCAUUAUGGCUUAGAAAUAGGACUUGCAAGUCUGGGUGUGACGACACCAAUUCAGAUAAUACCAUGGUAAUUCAAAACAAAAUAGAGUGCAUGUUUUAAAUCAGAUUUUUUCAGAUGUUGAAACUAGAAUAAUGCAUGAUUCAGAACAAUAUAAAAUUGAGCAUAAAGAGACCUUAAAUGGUUCACCGAAACAGGCAUGAGUUCAGACAACUCAUUGCCCAAAAUUGUGAUUUGUCGAUCCGAGUAUAUUAUUAUAUGCUGGCCUAGUGCCCUGUGGCGUAUCAGACUCAGACACUCCAACCUUUGCGGCACACUUGGGUUGGGGGAUUCCUCGCUGAGUCAAUGGCGGAUUCUAUAUAGUCCGUGGAAUAUUAGAUUUGUAGGGGAGUGCCACCUAACUCAGAAUUAAUACAAAGAUCAGAAACUGCAUUGACAGAAAGGUUUUAUGAUUAUAAAAAAUGCCCAUGUAUUUUGGAAUUUAUAUCAUAUAUGAUGUUUCAUGACUAGCUCUCAACUGUUUUAUUUAUAUAAAAGCUUUAUUUUGGAUUUGCUCUGCGUACCAGUACAAUUGUAUUGACCCCCCAACCUCCCAGGGUCUAAAGCUCAGUUCAGAAGUCCUGAUAAGCCGUAGAGUUUUCAGACAGCAGUGAUGUGUACAGUUGGUGUUUGAUCAUUUAGUAGAGAUUUCGCAGACCGUUCUAGAUGUUGUUUAGUUUAUUUCGUAUUUUAUUCCUUAUUGUUAAACUAAAUCUAAAGUUUGACCAUGUUUCCUUAUUAAAAUAUAUUUCCGCAUCUUAUCUUAUUAUAUGAAAGUUGUGCAUGAUUACCAGAUAGAGUCGGGCAUUCAUGGUUUGGGAUGUCCGUCACGGUCAGGCCCUAGUUCGGAUCGUAACACGUAGGUAGGCAAAGUUUUUCAUCAUUGUUUUUAGAGUGAAAGAUCAAAAAACCACGUAAAGUUUCAAAUUAAUUUGAUUGCACAAUUAAUCAAUCCUGCACAUGCAACGAUUAGCUGAUUUUUUUUGGAGAUACAAACAAUAAAUUACAAUAUGGCUGCAAAAUUUAGCUUGAUUAACGUUGUCUCUGUUAUUAUUAUUGUAGUAUAUUAAUCCAACAAUCUAAUGGAACUCAUAAAAGUAACAAACGGGAGAAUUAGUAGAGUCAGAACUUUUACUACAAAAAUAUAGCAAAAAAUAUUAAGUACACGAAUUGGGGGAUUAAAGAUACAAUAUAUACAACACAUGGCUUAUCAGCAGCAGCGGCAUCGUCUUCAUCAUCAGCAUCAGCAGCAGCAGCAGCGGCAUCAUCGUCAUCAUCAGCAUCAUCAUCAUCAGCAGCAGCAGCAGCAUAUCUAAUUUUAGGUUGGAAGAGGGUGUUGAGAUGGGAUUGUUCCCACUCCAAUCUUUCCCACCAAUUUUCAUCAUCAACUAUGAUUUGGAAGAGGGAUGGAAAAGGAUGUUCAUUUGUAGUAUAGAAAGGCAUCCUCUUCAGAUUGGAGCAGUACCCAAAUUCCAUGUAUUCAAGGGAGUCACACAUCAGUUUUCCCUCACAGAUACUCUUCAAUUCAAACAGGCCUUGCAGGUGGAGGAUUUUUAGCUCAGGAUGGUCAGCAGUUGUAGAUGUACUGCUUUGGCUACUUCCCUCUCCUUCCUCUCUUCCUAUUAUCUCUUCCAUCUCUGAACACCAACCUACAUCAAGCACCUCAAGGUUCUUGAGAUCCUGCAACAUAGCCCGUGGAAACAACUUCUUCAUCCUAUCACAGCUGCAGAUAUCCAAUUCUGUUAGACCCGAGAAGGUGUGAGAUGCAAUUUUUCCCUUACAGAGCCCAACAAGAUUUUCCAAGUCACAAACAUCCAGACGAUGGAAAGAUAUGCAGUGUGGGUCUGUAGUUGUAUCUCUACCAGAGGGAACGUUGACGAUCCAUUCUAUGUCACCACAAUGAGAGAUCCUGCAGGUCAAGCCUCUUGAAGAAGUAGUCCAUGACAGAAAAUUGUCCACAAAGCAGCUACUCAGCCCAUGGCAAGACAUAAUAUCUAGAACGCCAAUGCCAUGUGGAAGAAAAAUUGAUGUUGCUGCUUCAAUGGUGUAAUCUUCUACAAUCACUCCUCUCUGUUUCGGUAUGUAGUCAUCAAAGCGACGAUCAAUAUUUACUUGCCCCACAAAUAUGGUAUACCACAAAUCUUUCUCAUAGUUAUGGAGACUACUCAUGAACUUGUGAAAGUUAUGCAAAUCACAGAACCUGCCUCCGAAUACUUCGAGCAGUUCCAAGCUGGCCAAGUCUUCAACUGGGGCAUUCACACGUCCAGGAAGAUUGAGGUAUUGAAGNNNNNNNNNNNNNNNNNNNNNNNNNNNNNNNNNNNNNNNNNNNNNNNNNNNNNNNNNNNNNNNNNNNNNNNNNNNNNNNNNNNNNNNNNNNNNNNNNNNNNNNNNNNNNNNNNNNNNNNNNNNNNNNNNNNNNNNNNNNNNNNNNNNNNNNNNNNNNNNNNNUUUUUGAGCUUUCCCAGUGGUGGCACAGAUUUUAGCCAACCACAUCCUCGAAGCGAGAGCGCUCUAAGACUUCCCAAGUUAGAUAUGCAACUUGGCAAAUCCAUAAGCUCAGAGUUGUAGCUCAAGUCGAGUACUUGGAGGUUGUUCAUGUACUGAAAGAAAGGACCUGGGAUCAUUGUCAAAUCACAAUAGGACAAAAUCAAGGUUGAUAAUGUGGGGCAAUUGGGUGACAUCUCUUAAGGGAUUCUCUUUAUCUUGCUUUGGUAAAAAGAGACUCUAUCCAAAUUGAACACCCAAGGCUGCUCCUUCAACACUUGUGGUCCUAUUCCUGCCCUUACUAGGUACCUUGGUUUGUCAUUUGUGAUCCACAAUGCCAUUUCUCUGAGUAGAUCAUGCAUCCUUACUGCUUCAGCUACUAAGAGAUAGACAGUUGCUUCAAGUAAGCAGAGUUUGACUAGUUUAUUCAAUAUGGUAUGGCCAUGGUUAAACUCAUCUUCCCUACUACUUCCCUUCACCAGUCCCUCCAUGAUAAAUCGGCCAAUUAGUUCAUCUCUACCAAUUUUGUAGUCUUCAGGAUACAAAGCACAGUACAAGAAGCACUCUUGCAUAGUUGUAUCUCUCAACCGAUCGUAACUAUACUUCAGUACCUUGAAGACAUCGCUUUCCAUGUCCUCAGGGAAUUCGUUCAGAGCAUUCCGCCACUCCCUUAUAUCGGUCACCCCUCUCAUGCUUCCCGCCAAAGUGAUGAGCCCGAGCGGCAAGCCGUCACACCUUUCUGCCAUGGAUUUGGCAACACUCUCAAUAUCUGGACUAAGCUGAGUCUCAGAUCCUAGACCCUUCCUGAACAGCUCCCAAGCAUCAUCAGCAUUCAGGGUCUCCACUUCGAGUUGUUUCUGACAACCCAUCUUUCGGCAGACUUCAUAUAAGCGAGUUGUUAGAAUCAGCUUAUAACCCUCUACACCAAGAGGGUCACCCAACUUCUCCAAGGAAAGGCGAUCCCAGACAUCAUCCAAUAUGAUAACCAUUUUAUUCAUUUUUUGGAAUGCACUNNNNNNNNNNNNNNNNNNNNNNNNNNNNNNNNNNNNNNNNNNNNNNNNNNNNNNNNNNNNNNNNNNNNNNNNNNNNNNNNNNNNNNNNNNNNNNNNNNNNNNNNNNNNNNNNNNNNNNNNNNNNNNNNNNNNNNNNNNNNNNNNNNNNNNNNNNNNNNNNNNNNNNNNNNNNNNNNNNNNNNNNNNNNNNNNNNNNNNNNNNNNNNNNNNNNNNNNNNNNNNNNNNNNNNNNNNNNNNNNNNNNNNNNNNNNNNNNNNNNNNNNNNNNNNNNNNNNNNNNNNNNNNNNNNNNNNNNNNNNNNNNNNNNNNNNNNNNNNNNNNNNNNNNNNNNNNNNNNNNNNNNNNNNNNNNNNNNNNNNNNNNNNNNNNNNNNNNNNNNNNNNNNNNNNNNNNNNNNNNNNNNNNNNNNNNNNNNNNNNNNNNNNNNNNNNNNNNNNNNNNNNNNNNNNNNNNNNNNNNNNNNNNNNNNNNNNNNNNNNNNNNNNNNNNNNNNNNNNNNNNNNNNNNNNNNNNNNNNNNNNNNNNNNNNNNNNNNNNNNNNNNNNNNNNNNNNNNNNNNNNNNNNNNNNNNNNNNNNNNNNNNNNNNNNNNNNNNNNNNNNNNNNNNNNNNNNNNNNNNNNNNNNNNNNNNNNNNNNNNNNNNNNNNNNNNNNNNNNNNNNNNNNNNNNNNNNNNNNNNNNNNNNNNNNNNNNNNNNNNNNNNNNNNNNNNNNNNNNNNNNNNNNNNNNNNNNNNNNNNNNNNNNNNNNNNNNNNNNNNNNNNNNNNNNNNNNNNNNNNNNNNNNNNNNNNNNNNNNNNNNNNNNNNNNNNNNNNNNNNNNNNNNNNNNNNNNNNNNNNNNNNNNNNNNNNNNNNNNNNNNNNNNNNNNNNNNNNNNNNNNNNNNNNNNNNNNNNNNNNNNNNNNNNNNNNNNNNNNNNNNNNNNNNNNNNNNNNNNNNNNNNNNNNNNNNNNNNNNNNNNNNNNNNNNNNNNNNNNNNNNNNNNNNNNNNNNNNNNNNNNNNNNNNNNNNNNNNNNNNNNNNNNNNNNNNNNNNNNNNNNNNNNNNNNNNNNNNNNNNNNNNNNNNNNNNNNNNNNNNNNNNNNNNNNNNNNNNNNNNNNNNNNNNNNNNNNNNNNNNNNNNNNNNNNNNNNNNNNNNNNNNNNNNNNNNNNNNNNNNNNNNNNNNNNNNNNNNNNNNNNNNNNNNNNNNNNNNNNNNNNNNNNNNNNNNNNNNNNNNNNNNNNNNNNNNNNNNNNNNNNNNNNNNNNNNNNNNNNNNNNNNNNNNNNNNNNNNNNNNNNNNNNNNNNNNNNNNNNNNNNNNNNNNNNNNNNNNNNNNNNNNNNNNNNNNNNNNNNNNNNNNNNNNNNNNNNNNNNNNNNNNNNNNNNNNNNNNNNNNNNNNNNNNNNNNNNNNNNNNNNNNNNNNNNNNNNNNNNNNNNNNNNNNNNNNNNNNNNNNNNNNNNNNNNNNNNNNNNNNNNNNNNNNNNNNNNNNNNNNNNNNNNNNNNNNNNNNNNNNNNNNNNNNNNNNNNNNNNNNNNNNNNNNNNNNNNNNNNNNNNNNNNNNNNNNNNNNNNNNNNNNNNNNNNNNNNNNNNNNNNNNNNNNNNNNNNNNNNNNNNNNNNNNNNNNNNNNNNNNNNNNNNNNNNNNNNNNNNNNNNNNNNNNNNNNNNNNNNNNNNNNNNNNNNNNNNNNNNNNNNNNNNNNNNNNNNNNNNNNNNNNNNNNNNNNNNNNNNNNNNNNNNNNNNNNNNNNNNNNNNNNNNNNNNNNNNNNNNNNNNNNNNNNNNNNNNNNNNNNNNNNNNNNNNNNNNNNNNNNNNNNNNNNNNNNNNNNNNNNNNNNNNNNNNNNNNNNNNNNNNNNNNNNNNNNNNNNNNNNNNNNNNNNNNNNNNNNNNNNNNNNNNNNNNNNNNNNNNNNNNNNNNNNNNNNNNNNNNNNNNNNNNNNNNNNNNNNNNNNNNNNNNNNNNNNNNNNNNNNNNNNNNNNNNNNNNNNNNNNNNNNNNNNNNNNNNNNNNNNNNNNNNNNNNNNNNNNNNNNNNNNNNNNNNNNNNNNNNNNNNNNNNNNNNNNNNNNNNNNNNNNNNNNNNNNNNNNNNNNNNNNNNNNNNNNNNNNNNNNNNNNNNNNNNNNNNNNNNNNNNNNNNNNNNNNNNNNNNNNNNNNNNNNNNNNNNNNNNNNNNNNNNNNNNNNNNNNNNNNNNNNNNNNNNNNNNNNNNNNNNNNNNNNNNNNNNNNNNNNNNNNNNNNNNNNNNNNNNNNNNNNNNNNNNNNNNNNNNNNNNNNNNNNNNNNNNNNNNNNNNNNNNNNNNNNNNNNNNNNNNNNNNNNNNNNNNNNNNNNNNNNNNNNNNNNNNNNNNNNNNNNNNNNNNNNNNNNNNNNNNNNNNNNNNNNNNNNNNNNNNNNNNNNNNNNNNNNNNNNNNNNNNNNNNNNNNNNNNNNNNNNNNNNNNNNNNNNNNNNNNNNNNNNNNNNNNNNNNNNNNNNNNNNNNNNNNNNNNNNNNNNNNNNNNNNNNNNNNNNNNNNNNNNNNNNNNNNNNNNNNNNNNNNNNNNNNNNNNNNNNNNNNNNNNNNNNNNNNNNNNNNNNNNNNNNNNNNNNNNNNNNNNNNNNNNNNNNNNNNNNNNNNNNNNNNNNNNNNNNNNNNNNNNNNNNNNNNNNNNNNNNNNNNNNNNNNNNNNNNNNNNNNNNNNNNNNNNNNNNNNNNNNNNNNNNNNNNNNNNNNNNNNNNNNNNNNNNNNNNNNNNNNNNNNNNNNNNNNNNNNNNNNNNNNNNNNNNNNNNNNNNNNNNNNNNNNNNNNNNNNNNNNNNNNNNNNNNNNNNNNNNNNNNNNNNNNNNNNNNNNNNNNNNNNNNNNNNNNNNNNNNNNNNNNNNNNNNNNNNNNNNNNNNNNNNNNNNNNNNNNNNNNNNNNNNNNNNNNNNNNNNNNNNNNNNNNNNNNNNNNNNNNNNNNNNNNNNNNNNNNNNNNNNNNNNNNNNNNNNNNNNNNNNNNNNNNNNNNNNNNNNNNNNNNNNNNNNNNNNNNNNNNNNNNNNNNNNNNNNNNNNNNNNNNNNNNNNNNNNNNNNNNNNNNNNNNNNNNNNNNNNNNNNNNNNNNNNNNNNNNNNNNNNNNNNNNNNNNNNNNNNNNNNNNNNNNNNNNNNNNNNNNNNNNNNNNNNNNNNNNNNNNNNNNNNNNNNNNNNNNNNNNNNNNNNNNNNNNNNNNNNNNNNNNNNNNNNNNNNNNNNNNNNNNNNNNNNNNNNNNNNNNNNNNNNNNNNNNNNNNNNNNNNNNNNNNNNNNNNNNNNNNNNNNNNNNNNNNNNNNNNNNNNNNNNNNNNNNNNNNNNNNNNNNNNNNNNNNNNNNNNNNNNNNNNNNNNNNNNNNNNNNNNNNNNNNNNNNNNNNNNNNNNNNNNNNNNNNNNNNNNNNNNNNNNNNNNNNNNNNNNNNNNNNNNNNNNNNNNNNNNNNNNNNNNNNNNNNNNNNNNNNNNNNNNNNNNNNNNNNNNNNNNNNNNNNNNNNNNNNNNNNNNNNNNNNNNNNNNNNNNNNNNNNNNNNNNNNNNNNNNNNNNNNNNNNNNNNNNNNNNNNNNNNNNNNNNNNNNNNNNNNNNNNNNNNNNNNNNNNNNNNNNNNNNNNNNNNNNNNNNNNNNNNNNNNNNNNNNNNNNNNNNNNNNNNNNNNNNNNNNNNNNNNNNNNNNNNNNNNNNNNNNNNNNNNNNNNNNNNNNNNNNNNNNNNNNNNNNNNNNNNNNNNNNNNNNNNNNNNNNNNNNNNNNNNNNNNNNNNNNNNNNNNNNNNNNNNNNNNNNNNNNNNNNNNNNNNNNNNNNNNNNNNNNNNNNNNNNNNNNNNNNNNNNNNNNNNNNNNNNNNNNNNNNNNNNNNNNNNNNNNNNNNNNNNNNNNNNNNNNNNNNNNNNNNNNNNNNNNNNNNNNNNNNNNNNNNNNNNNNNNNNNNNNNNNNNNNNNNNNNNNNNNNNNNNNNNNNNNNNNNNNNNNNNNNNNNNNNNNNNNNNNNNNNNNNNNNNNNNNNNNNNNNNNNNNNNNNNNNNNNNNNNNNNNNNNNNNNNNNNNNNNNNNNNNNNNNNNNNNNNNNNNNNNNNNNNNNNNNNNNNNNNNNNNNNNNNNNNNNNNNNNNNNNNNNNNNNNNNNNNNNNNNNNNNNNNNNNNNNNNNNNNNNNNNNNNNNNNNNNNNNNNNNNNNNNNNNNNNNNNNNNNNNNNNNNNNNNNNNNNNNNNNNNNNNNNNNNNNNNNNNNNNNNNNNNNNNNNNNNNNNNNNNNNNNNNNNNNNNNNNNNNNNNNNNNNNNNNNNNNNNNNNNNNNNNNNNNNNNNNNNNNNNNNNNNNNNNNNNNNNNNNNNNNNNNNNNNNNNNNNNNNNNNNNNNNNNNNNNNNNNNNNNNNNNNNNNNNNNNNNNNNNNNNNNNNNNNNNNNNNNNNNNNNNNNNNNNNNNNNNNNNNNNNNNNNNNNNNNNNNNNNNNNNNNNNNNNNNNNNNNNNNNNNNNNNNNNNNNNNNNNNNNNNNNNNNNNNNNNNNNNNNNNNNNNNNNNNNNNNNNNNNNNNNNNNNNNNNNNNNNNNNNNNNNNNNNNNNNNNNNNNNNNNNNNNNNNNNNNNNNNNNNNNNNNNNNNNNNNNNNNNNNNNNNNNNNNNNNNNNNNNNNNNNNNNNNNNNNNNNNNNNNNNNNNNNNNNNNNNNNNNNNNNNNNNNNNNNNNNNNNNNNNNNNNNNNNNNNNNNNNNNNNNNNNNNNNNNNNNNNNNNNNNNNNNNNNNNNNNNNNNNNNNNNNNNNNNNNNNNNNNNNNNNNNNNNNNNNNNNNNNNNNNNNNNNNNNNNNNNNNNNNNNNNNNNNNNNNNNNNNNNNNNNNNNNNNNNNNNNNNNNNNNNNNNNNNNNNNNNNNNNNNNNNNNNNNNNNNNNNNNNNNNNNNNNNNNNNNNNNNNNNNNNNNNNNNNNNNNNNNNNNNNNNNNNNNNNNNNNNNNNNNNNNNNNNNNNNNNNNNNNNNNNNNNNNNNNNNNNNNNNNNNNNNNNNNNNNNNNNNNNNNNNNNNNNNNNNNNNNNNNNNNNNNNNNNNNNNNNNNNNNNNNNNNNNNNNNNNNNNNNNNNNNNNNNNNNNNNNNNNNNNNNNNNNNNNNNNNNNNNNNNNNNNNNNNNNNNNNNNNNNNNNNNNNNNNNNNNNNNNNNNNNNNNNNNNNNNNNNNNNNNNNNNNNNNNNNNNNNNNNNNNNNNNNNNNNNNNNNNNNNNNNNNNNNNNNNNNNNNNNNNNNNNNNNNNNNNNNNNNNNNNNNNNNNNNNNNNNNNNNNNNNNNNNNNNNNNNNNNNNNNNNNNNNNNNNNNNNNNNNNNNNNNNNNNNNNNNNNNNNNNNNNNNNNNNNNNNNNNNNNNNNNNNNNNNNNNNNNNNNNNNNNNNNNNNNNNNNNNNNNNNNAGUUUUCAGACAGUUGUCAUUUGAUCAUUUAGUAGAGAUUUCGCAGACCGUUCUAGAUGUUGUUUAGUUUAUUUCGUAUUUUAUUCCUUAUUGUUAAACUAAAUCUAAAGUUUGACCAUGUUUCCGUAUUAAAAUAUAUUUCCGCAUCUUAUCUUAUUAUAUGAAAGUUGUGCAUGAUUACCAGAUAGAGUAGGACCUUCGGGCAUUCAUGGUUCGGGAUGUCCGUCACGGCCAGGCCCUAGUUCGGAUCGUAACACGUAGGUAGGCAAAGUUUUUCAUCAUUGUUUUUAGAACGUGAAAGAUCAAAAAACCGCGUAAAGUUUCAAACUAAUUUGAUUGCACAAUUAAUCAAUCCUGCACAUGCACCGAUUAGCUGAUUUUUUUUGGAGAUACAAACAAUAAAUUACAAUAUGGCUGCAAAAUUUAGCUUGAUUAACGUUGUCUCUGUUAUUAUUAUUGUAGUAUAUUAAUCCAACAAUCUAAUGGAACUCAUAAAAGUAACAAACGGGAGAAUUAGUGGAGUCAGAACUUUUACUACAAAAAUAUAGCAAAAGAUAUUAAGUACACGAAUUGGGGGAUUAAACAUACAAUAUAUACAACACAUGAAAAGAAAUUUACCUGUCUAUACCCAAAAUAUAUAUAGAAUUGUCCAGCAAACAUGUCAUAAAUUACAUGAUGAGCCAGUGAGCCUCAUGGCUUAUCAGCAUCAGCAUCAGCGGCAUCGUCGUCGUCAUCAUCAUCAGCAGCAGCGGCAUCGUCGUCAUCAUCAGCAUCAUCAGCAGCAGCAGCAUAUCUAAUUUUAGGUUGGAAGAGGGUGUUGAGAUGGGAUUGUUCCCACUCCAAUCUUUCCCACCAAUUUUCAUCAUCAACUAUGAUUUGGAAGAGGGAUGGAAAAGGAUGUUCAUUUGUAGUAUAGAAAGGCAUCCUCUUCAGAUUCUGGCAACCUCCUAAUCUCAUCCAUUCAAGGGAAUCACACAUCAGUUUUCCCUCACAGAUACUCUUCAAUUCACGCAGGUGUUGCAGGAUGAGCCUUUUUAGCUUAGGAAGGUGAGCAGUUGUAGAUGUACUGCUGCUGCUGCUGCUGCUUUGGCUACUUCCCUCUCCUUCCUCUCUUCCUAUUAUCUCUUCCAUCUCUGAACACUCACCUACAAAAAGCACCUCAAGGUUCUUGAGAUCCUGCAACAUAGCCCGUGGAAACAACUUCUUCAUCCUAUGGCACUUGGAGAUAUACAAUUCUGUUAGACCUGAGAAGGUGUGAGAUGCAAUUUUUCCCUUACAGAGCCCAACAAGAUUUUGCAAUUCACGAACAAUCAGACUACGGAAAGAUAUGCAGUGCGGGUCUGUAGUUGUAUCUCUACCAGAGGGAACGUUGACGAUCCAUUCUAUCUCACCACAACAAAAGAUCUCGCAGGUCAAGACUCUUGAAGAAGUAGUCCGUGACAGAAAGUUGUCCACAAAGCAGCUACUCAGCCCAUGGCAUUUGCUAAUCUCUAGAAAGUCAAUGCCAUGUGGAAGAAUAAUUGAUGUUGCUGCUUCAAUGGUGUAAUCUUCUACAAUCACUCUUCUCUGUUUCGGUAUGUAGUCAUCAAAGUGACGACCAAUACUUACUUGCCCCACAAAUAUGGUAUACCACAAAUCUUUCUCAUAGUUAUGGAGACUACUCAUGAACUUGUAAAAGUUAUGCAAAUCACAGAACCCUCCUCCGAAUACUUCGAGCAGUUCCAAGCUCGCCAAGUCUUCAACUGGGGCAUUCACACGUUCAGGAAGAUUGAGGUAUUGAAGAUGGGAAAGUUUAGUUAAUAUUUCCUUUGGCAGUUCAUGAAGAUCUGUUCCACCCAUAUCCAGAAAUUUAAGCUUGACUAAGUUUUCCAUGCCUUGAGGUACUUCUUCAAUACCAGUGCCAGAUACAUCUAACACCCUCAGAUUUUUGAGCUUUCCCAGUGGUGGCACAGAUUUGAGCCUACUACAUCCUCGAAGUGAGAGUGCUCUAAGACUUUCCAAGUUAGAAAUGCAACUCGGCAAAUCCAUAAGCUUAUAGUUGUCUCUCAAGUCGAGUACUUGGAGGUUGUUCAGGUACUGAAAGAAAGGACCUGGGAUCAUUGUCAAAUCACAAUCACACAAAAUCAAGGUUGAUAAUGUGGGGCAAUUGGGUGCCAUGUCUUCAGGGAUUCUCUUUAUCUUGCUUUUGUAAAAAGAGGCUCUCUCCAAAUCGAACACCCAAUCCUUCUCCUCCAACACUAGUGAUCCUAUUCCAGCCCUUACCAGGUACCUUGGUUUGUCAUUUGUGAUCCGCAAUGCCAUUUCUCUGAGUAGAUCAUGCAUCCUUACUGAUUCAACUCCCCAAUUGUCAGUUGCUUCAAGUAAGCAGAGCUUGUCUAGUUUAUUCAAUAUGGUAUGGCCAUGGUUAAACUCAUCUUCCCUACUACUUCCCUUCACCAGUCCCUCCAUGAUAAAUCGGCCAAUUAGUUCAUCUCUACCAAUUUUGUAGUCUUCAGGAUACAAAGCACAGUACAAGAAGCACUCUUGCAUAGUUGUAUCUCUCAACCGAUCGUAACUAUACUUCAGUACCUUGAAGACAUCGCUUUCCAUGUCCUCAGGGAAUUCGUUCAGAGCAUUCCGCCACUCCCUUAUAUCGGUCACCCCUCUCAUGCUUCCCGCCAAAGUGAUGAGCCCGAGCGGCAAGCCGUCACACCUUUCUGCCAUGGAUUUGGCAACACUCUCAAUAUCUGGACUAAGCUGAGUCUCAGAUCCUAGACCCUUCCUGAACAGCUCCCAAGCAUCAUCAGCAUUCAGGGUCUUCACUUCGAGUAGUUUCUGACAACCCAUCUUUCGGCAGACUUCAGUCUUCAGGAUACAAAGCACAGUACAAGAAGCACUCUUGCAUAGUUGUAUCUCUCAACCGAUCGUAACUAUACUUCAGUACCUUGAAGACAUCGCUUUCCAUGUCCUCAGGGAAUUCGUUCAGAGCAUUCCGCCACUCCCUUAUAUCGGUCACCCCUCUCAUGCUUCCCGCCAAAGUGAUGAGCCCGAGCGGCAAGCCGUCACACCUUUCUGCCGUGGAUUUGGCACCACUCUGAAAUAUCUGGACAAGCUGAGUCUCAAAUCCUAGACCCUUCCUGAACAGCUCCCAAGCAUCAUCAGCAUUCAGGGUCUUCACUUCGAGUAGUUUCUGACAACCCAUCUUUAGGCAGACUUCACAUGAGCGAGUUGUUAGAAUCAGCUUAUAACCCUCUACACCAAGAAGGUCACCCAACUUCUCCAAGGAAAGGCGAUCCCAGACAUCAUCCAAUAUGAUAACCAUUUUAUUCAUUUUCUGGAAUGCACUGUUUAAUUUGGCUGACCUUCUAUGUUCAUCCUCCUCAUUUGAAAGAUCUAGAUUCACAAAUUUGGCAAGCUCAUCUUGUAAUCCUUUGACGCUAAACCCUUGAGAGACAGUAAGCCAGGAAACUUGAUAACGAUGGUCAUUAAUAAGACGAUUAUGAAUAUGUUUUGCCAAAGUGGUUUUACCCACCCCUCCCAUACCAUAUAUUCCGAUGCUUGAGACAUUCUCAUCCUGUAACCAUGUCCAAACCAGUUCUAAAUUCUGUUUUGAUGUUUCCUCCUGAACUGGUUGCACCGGCAUUGGACACUCCUCUCUUUCAUAAAUAUCACACACGAGCUCUCCAAAAUCUCUACUUUGCUCGAGAAGUUCUUCGACCCUUCCAUCCAUCUUCUCCAAAACACCUAUAUUUUGCUCCCCUCUUGUUGCUUCUUCUUUUAACUCACGUAAAUUUUUUUCGAGCUGUUCAACCUCGUUAAGCCAAGAUUCAACUUGUUGUUUCCUCUUCUUCCUCCCAGAUUGCUCUUGAUUCUCAAUCUCUGUCCUCAUAUCGACUGCUUUAUCUGAUAAUUGCUUUACAUUUCGUUCCACAGUUUCCAAAUCCUCUCUUUCAUACACGAGCUCUCCAAAAUUACUUCUUUGUUCAAGUUCUGCAACUUUUUCAUUCAACAUCUUCAAAACACCUCUAUUUUUCUUCCCUGUUGUUGCGGCUUUUUGUAACUCACUGAAGUCCUUUUCGAGCUGUUCAACCUCGUUAAGCCAAGAUUCAACUUGUCGUCUCCUCUUCUUCCUCCCAGAUCGCUCUUGAUUCUCAACAUCUGUCUUCGUAUCAACUGCUUUAUCUGAUAAUUGCUUUACAUUUCGUUCCAGAGUUUUCAAAUUCUUACCAAAGUUUAUGCAACUCUUAAUCUUCUUUAUCAAAAAUCUAACCCCCUCAUCUAUAUAUUCAAUUACCUUCCCAGCAACAGCUUCCAUGAUAUUUCAAAAAGUACUGCAACAAAAGAACCAUGCUAAAGUAACUAUUUUGAAUGGCAUCAAGGAGCUGAAGACAUCACAUAUGUUGGAUGUAAUUCAAAUUCGAAUCUUAAUGUGAUGUUUUCUCAAUAAAACUAACUUUUUUAUCAUAUUACUUUAAGAGUGUGUUUGGUAUGAUAGAAAAACUAGAAAAUGUUUUUCGUUUUUCUCAUAUUUGAUUGGUUUAAAUGUUUUUCCAAAUCAACUUAUUUUUCUCAAAUCUAAGGAAAAUGACUUUCUUCGAAAAUUAAGGAAAAUAUUUUUAAAGCUCUCUUUCAACCUCACUCUCAAGUUAAAAUAUUUAUACAACUCUCAAAAUCAUCCACCCUUACCCCGACACCCAAUCCCUCAUUACUCCAUCCCCCACCCUUCAUCCGAAAAACAUAUUUUUAUAAAAAUAUAUAUACAAAUUCUUUUAGGAAACACUUUCUACUUGCAUAAUGAACAUAAGAAUAUAAGUCAGAAACAACUUAUUUUCCUAAAAAAUAUUUUCCGCCUUCAAAUUGAAAUAAGAAUAUAAGUUAGAAACAACUUAUUUUCCUAGAAAAUAUUUUCCACCUUCAAAUUGAACACACCCUAAAAAAAAGUAUUUUCGGGUUCAAAAUUCAUUUUUAUAAAAAGUAGGGAAAAGGCUCAAAUAUGCUACUGAAUUAUCAGAAAUGACUCAUUUAUGUCAUCCUUCAAACCAAACUAUGGGUGAUCUACACUUCCUCCCAUACAAACCUCAAAUGGGGCCAUCUGGAUACGAGAUUGAUAACUAUUAUUAUACAUAAAUUCAAUUAAUGGAAAAUACUCAUCCCAACUACCUUUGAAAUAAAGAGCACAUGCCCUCAACAUGUCUUUCAAAGUUUGGAUGGUCCUCUCUGCCUUCAUCCGAAAAACAUAUUUUUAUAAAAAUAUAUAACUUGGGCCUAGGGGUAUAUGACAUUUACAUUUAAUAAGGGGUCGUUUGGUAGAGUGUAUUGAAAUGUUAAUGCAUGCAUUAGUUCAAUGUGUAUUAGUAGUUCCUUGUUUGGUAUACCUUUUUACCCUAUGUAUAACUAAUGCAAGCAUUAGUUAUAGACUCUAUUAUGUAUUAAGGUGUGUAUUACUAAUACCUCAAAAUCCAUGGCAUUAGUAAUGCAAUGGAUCUAAAGCAUGCAUUAACAUGCUUAAAGACCCUAUUACCCCUCAAAAAAUUUUCCGCAUCCUUUCCAACAUAUAUAUAGAGGGUAUUAGGUAAAAAAAAAAAAAAUUUUUUUUUAGAAAUUAUGUAAUUCAUGAUUUUUUUAAUACAUCGAACCAAACACUGCAUAAGAAAAACAAGCAUAACUAAGGCAAACAUAACUAACACAAGCAUUACUAUUACACCAUAUUUUGUAUUAUUCUUAUACACUCAACCAAACGACCCCUAAUAGUCUUGAAACUGAUGUGAUACUUGAUGUAUUACAAGGGGUAAAAUUGAAAAAGAAUGUUCAUAAUAGUCUUGAUUUUAUAAGUAGGAUAAAUAAUUUAAAACAAACAAAAUUAAAAAGAAGGCGAAGUAUUUUGAAACGAAGGAAGUAACAUAGAAAACAAUUAACUAAAAAUAGUAAUACAUGCUAAGUAAACAGAUAAAGUUAAAAAUAAUUUACCUUUUUCAGUCGUUCAGCAGUCGAUCUAGUGUCAAAUACAAAUGAAAAAGAAAAAGAUCUAUUAAUAGUAUUAAAAAUUAUAUAUCUGAAGAAGUCGAAUAAAAAAAUAAAGAGAUUUUUAAUAUGAUAAACUUUAAAUAUAGAUGGCUUUUAUAUAACAAUAAACUUUAAAGAUAAAAUGACUUUUAUGUAACAGAAAAUAAAAAUAAUUUUGCGUCACCAUUUGUGUAAUUUAGAUGACAAAACAAUUUUGUUAGGAUCUAAAAAUCAGAUUAUAUAACAUAAAUUGAUAUAUUAGAGAGACCUUUCUAUGUAAGUAGAUAUUUUUUAAUUUAUUACACUGAAAACAAUUAACUAAGUAGUAAUUUACCCUUUUUCAGAUGUUCAACAGUCAAGACGACCUGAUGUCAAAUACAAUUAAAAAAUAGAAUCAAUUAAUAACAUGAAAAUGUAUAUAUUUGAAGAAUAUGAUUUCAAAAGCAAGAGAGAAGCAAGUGUUGUAAAUGGACUGGUUUGUUUAAGUCUGUCUUCUUUAAAGGAAUAAAAAGAAUUAAGGAAACUUGAGAAUAAAGGAAUAGAAAGAAUUAAGGAAACUUGAGAAAUAAAGGAAUAAAAAGAAUAAACGAAUCAAAUAUGUGGCGAAUUCAGGAUUUUAAAUUUAUGGUUCUGGACACUGGUAUGCAAAGUUCCAUCAUUGUUUUUAGAGUGAAAGAGUUAAAAAACAUACCUGAAGUAUCUUGAUUUUUGCGUUUCAUACCUGAACUAUUAAGUGUGUUUGAGUUUCAUUCCUGAACUAUAACCAACUAUUUAUUAAAACACACCUGAUAGUUCCGAUGUGGGUUUCUUAGCAAAAUGACUCACUGAUAUUUGGGAUAACUGAAACUUCUUGCUUUUACAGAAAUAUAUUUUGAAUUUAUGCAUCUAAUUUUUUGCAGCAUAGGUUCAUUGUUUCAGUCAGUUUGAGGAACUCAAAUAGUAUAUCUUAAUUGGAUUGUCUUCCUUUUUUUAUUUGUUUGACAAUGUCUAAUAUAACAUUUUCAAUCUCUAGAAUUUUGAUAUCCAACAUAAACAACAUAGCCAUAUUUACAACUUUAUGUAACAUGUAUGAUAUGAAAAGACAAAUUAUGAGAGUCCAAACACAUACCUUUCAUUUAUAUGUAGUAGUAACUAUUAGCUUUUGAAAAAAUUGGUACAUUGAUCGGUCUGUACAAUUUACUGUUUUUGUUAUUAUCUGAUAUUUCUUGAACUUUUGUUACUUCUUUUCGGGACAAUUUUGGACUGGUUUUCUUGAGCCAAGGGUCUAUCUAAAACAACCUCCCUACCUUUGAGGUAGCGGUAAGGUCUGCAUGCACUCUACCUUCCUCGCACCCAACUUUGUGAGACUACACUAGGUAUGUUGUUGUAUUGAGCAGACUGUACUUUUGCACUGAAGUAUGUGUCCGGAUAGUCCAGAGUCUCGGUAGUUAACUCUCGGCCUCCCGGUCAAAAAACUACUCAUGAACUUGUGAAAGUUAUGCAAAUCACAGAACCUGCCUCCGAAUACUUCCAGCAGUUCCAAGCUGGCCAAGUCUUCAACUGGGGCAUUCAGGCGUUCAGGAAGAUUGAGGUAUUGAAGCCGGGGAAGUUUAGUUAAUAUCUCCUUUGGCAGUUCAUCGAGACCUGUUCUAACCAUAUCCAGAAAUUUAAACUUGACUAAGUUUUCCAUGCCUUGAGGUACUUCCUCAAUAUCAGUGCGAGAUACAUCUAAUACCCUCAGAUUUUUGAGCUUUCCCAGUGGUGGCACAGAUUUGAGCCGUCUGCAUCGUCGAAGUGAGAGUGCUCUAAGACUUUCCAAGUUAGAAAUGCAACUCGGCAAAUCCAUAAGCUCAGAGUUGUAGCUCAAGUCGAGUACUUGGAG